GCUAAUUCAAUCAAAAUGCCUCCCAAAUACAAGCUAGUGCUGUUGAUAGCAUUGGUUUUGGUUGCAACCUCCCUUGCUGGUCGCACAAAGGAACAUCCUAAGCAUCCUCCAUCCCUUCAAGAACAACAACACACCCCACACCUUGAUAGCUACCCGCCGCCAACGCAUAGACACAAACCACCUCAUCCUGUACAUGGUGCCGGGGAGGAACCAACCUCCAUUCCACGAAAGAAGGGACCAAGAAGGCCCCCGAACUGAUGAGUGAGUCAAAGGUUUCCGAUUGUGCAUGCGUCAAAUGGUUUAACUUUGACUCGAUCUCUACCACCACAACAUCACGAUAUGUUGUUACAACCAUAAUCGCAAUUUGAAACCUUGGGCUAGCUAAAACUAUUUUAAUAUAAAGUAUUAAUGGUCACUGCUACAUGAGCGUCUAUGAUUAAAUAAAAAGUAGGGAGUUUGAACCCAUGUAAUACCAUGUUGUGAGGUUCUCCCUCUGUGUGUGCUUUAAAUUUUCACAUUUAGUUUGAUUUGUGUCCGGUGUGGUCUCUGUUUCUUGUAUUUAUUUGUACAAGCUAGAUGCUAAAAUGGAUGAGUUAAAGCUUGCACUUGUUUAAAAAAAAGCUAGUAUAUGUGCUAUUCGGGAACCAGAUAAAAUAAAAUUAUUAUUCAUAUGAAAAAAGUUAAAAAAAUAUAUUAUAUUCAUAUAAUAAAAUUAUGGGACGUUUUUUUUCAAAGGUAUUAUAUAUCUUAUCAAGAAUCACAUUCUUCGAAAUAUUAUUAUGACUGGAAAGAUUAUUCCUGAGCAUAUUUAACUACAUGUUUGGUUACAUUUUGAUCUUUCUAAGAAUAAUUUUUUAAAAUUCAAAAUAAUUGAAUAAAAAAAAUUAAAAAUAAAAGUUACAAGGAUGUUAAAAAAUAACUUGUAGUAUUUCCGUGGAAAUAUCACUUCCCCAACGCCUCUGCAUGAGAAUGGAAAUCUAAAAAAAUAUAUAGGAAAAAUAGAAGUUGCAACAUCCACAAGAAUAAAUAAUAUUGGGAAAUAAUAAACAUGAGCUCAUGUUUAUUACAUACAUGGAGAUCAACUCUUAAUUCACACUCUUAAAAUUUAAAUUAUUAAACAAUAAAAAAUAAUUUUUUAUAUGACUUUUAAUAUAAUUAUUAUAAAAAUCAAUAGAUUUAAUUAUCGUACAAAAUAAUUUAUUAUUAGAUAACAUUGUCAAAAAAUUACAUUUUUAGUGCUUAUAUUUCUUAUUUAUAAAUUUAUAUAAUAAUUUGUAGCAUUUUUUUUUCAUCUCUUUCCCUCUUAUGUUCUGUCUCUACCCUUCCAUAGAAGACAACAAAAACGUAGGUCUAAGGGUCUUCUGCCUUAGAGCUUCAACCCAUCACGUUAGAAUGCAAAAUUUGGUAAGCUUUGCUAUAUAUACGCUCCCUCCAAUACUAUUCAGGCGGUGUUAUUUCCCCUUAACCUCCUCCUUUCCUUUCCCUUUUCUUUUCAUGAUGAAAACAGUAGUGACGGAUAAUACCUGAAGGUUAUAGACGUUUCUCCUAGAACGUCGAAUUCUUUAAUGAAAACCACUCUCUGAAACACUAAAAACCUUGUAAACUUCAUGAGGGAAGGGAAGUUUCUUUUUUUAUUUUUUUCCCUUUCUAGAUUGUGUUUAGUAUGUAGAUGACGUAGAAGAAAAAAAACAUUUAGCAUGUGUUUAGUGUGGAUUAACUUAGAAAUUUAAAAACCAUGUUUGUGCUUUGUGUGCUUUAAAUUUUCUAUUCUAUAUAUUCACGCAUAAUUUGAUGUGUUAACGACAUGUAGUUUGUGUUUUGCGUAUGUUUGCACAAUAUGAAAAUUUUAAAAAAUUAUGCGUGAAUAUAUAGAAUUUUUUGUAAAAAAAUUUUUAAAAAAUAAAAAUUAAGAUGAUUUUUUCAAAAAUCUUCUUAUAAUAUAUUUUUUUAAAAAAAAUUAAAAAUUUUAAGACGGUUUUUAAUUUCAAAAACCGUCUUAAAGUAUAUUUUUUUAACACAAAUUAAAAAACCCCAUAAUUAAAAAAUAUUUUCUAAUACAUGUCUUCCAAUACUCUAAAACUGAAUGACAUUUAAUAGAAACCACAAAAUUACGAAUAAAACUCAAUAAAUAAAGAGAAUCAUGAUAUUUUACAAAUCUAAAAAAAAUCCAAUUAAUAAUAAAUAAUGUCUAGCGAGAAUUUUGCUAAUAUUUAUUUAGAAAAAGAUCAUGAAUAUUCUAUCUAUAACACUCUUAAACAAUGAAAAGGAAAAUAAAAUUUUUCUUUUAUUGAGUAUGGUGUGAAGAGGAAAAGAAAACAUAAAAACUGGCAUUAUUUAUGUGACACUCUUCGGGGGUGUAUGGAAAGUCUCCAAGAAACUACCCAAAUCUCUAUUUGUGUGUAAUAGCUUAGUGUGAACCGCGUAGUCUAAGUGAAGAGCCAGUUGAGACAUCCAAAGGAUCAUCCAAGCCUUCACAUUAGAAGCCGUCUAACUUGCUUUAAAAUUCCUUUACCUUCCAUUGUCAAACCGCCUAGAUAGCUUGCUUUUUACCAAUUAGUUUUUUCCUUGUCUUUUAAACCUCUUUUAAUGUUUAUUUUGGCUAGUUUCAACCAUAGUUUCUUUUACCUUUGUUUUCAAACCCCAAACAAGAAAGAACCACAACUAAGGAACCAACAUAAGUCUUCAUUCUUCAUCUAGUGUUAAUGGUGAUGGAUCUAAUCCUAAGGAUCCCUUGUAUAGAAUAUCAGAUGUGUUGAGAUCCCUUAAAUUGUGAAAAGAAAAACAAGAGAGAAAAGAAAAAGAAAAAAAGAGUGGAAGAAAUAAGUCAAGAUGAAAGAGAGAAAAUAAGAGCAAGGAAGAAAGAAGAAAAUUAAUGAAAGAAUUAAGAAGAGGAAGAAAUGCUUCCUAAGGUAGUCAUGAGUAUUAUAAAAGUUUGAGUGAAGAGUUAAGUGACUACUAUGGAGGGAGGCAUAGGUCCCAUACUAGACCUCACUCCCAAAGAAGAGAAAAUGAUAGAAGGUGUUAAGAGGUUAGUAUUAGCCUCCCAUAUUUCCAUGGAAAAGAUAAUGUUGAGGCCUACCUAGAUUGGGAAAUGAAGGUUGAACAAGUCUUUGUUUGUCAUCAUAUUAGUGAAGAGAGAAAAGUUCCAUUGGCUACCCUUAGCGUCCAAGGGUAUGUCAUCUAUUGGUGGACUUCCCUUACUAGAGAAAGAGGCAUUCAUGGGGAUCCUCUAAUAGAGUAUUUGAAUGAUCUUAAGAGUGCCCUUAGAAAGAGGCACAUUCGCUCCUACUAUGAAAGGGAGCUUAUGGACAAGCUCCAAAGGUUUAGACAAGGGAGUAUGAGUUAAGUGACUACUAUGGAGGGAGGCAUAGGUCCCAUACUAGACCUCAUUCCCAAAGAAGAGAAAAGGAUAGAAGGUGUUAAGAGGUUAGCAUUAGCCUCCCAUAUUUUCAUGGAAAAGAUAAUGUUGAGGCCUAAAAAUGAAGGUUGAACAAGUCUUUGUUUGCCAUCAUAUCAGUGAAGAAAGAAAAGUUUUAUUGGCUACCCUUAGCUUCCAAGGGUAUGUCAUCUAUUGGUGGACUUUCCUUAUUAGGAAAAGAAGAAUUCAUGGGGAUCCUCCAGUAGAGUAUUUGAAUGAUCUUAAGAGUGCCCUUAAAAAGAGGCACAUUCACUCCUACUAUGAAAUAGAGCUUAUGGACAAGCUCCAAAGGCUUAGACAAGGGAGUAUGGGUGUCGAAGAAUAUAGACAACAAAUGAAACUACUUCUUUUAAGAGCUAGACACAAGGAAGAGGAAAGAACAAGCAUAGCUAGGUUCCUUAGUGGGAUUAAUAUGAAAGUGAAGGACAAGGUUGAAGUCCUUCCAUGUAGGGACCUAGAUGAGCUAUUCCAACUUUGUAUAAGAGUGAAGAAACAACUUAAAAGAAAGCCUUCUUCUAAAUAUUAUGGCUUUUACUCUUAUCCAAGGAAGGAACAAGCCCAAGGAAUUUUGGGGGCUGUACCUUCAAAACCCAAGGAAGAUAAGGGUAAGUCCAUAGAGAAACCCACCCCUAAGACUAGUUCCCAAGCAAGGACUAGCAACAUUAAAUGCUUCAAAUGUCUUGGGAGAGGUCACAUUACCUCUCAAGGCCCCACAAAGAAAACCAUGAUUAUGAGGGUUCAAGACACUUAUAGUAGUCAAGAGGAGACUACUUCUUUUUGUUCCUCUAGUGGAAGUGAAGAUGAAGCAAGGGGUGAAGAGUCUAGUGAGGAAGUCUACCCCCAUGAAAAAGGUGACCUCCUAAUGGUUAGAAGGCUCCUUGGAGGCCAAUCUUAUGAUCUAUCCCAAUCCCAAAGAGAGAACAUCUUUCAUACAAGAUGCAAAAUUUUAGAUAAAACUUGUCCUUAGCAUAAGAUUACUAUCAUUCCCCAACCAAAACCUUAUAAACUUCAAUGGCUCAACGAGCAAGGGGAAAUGAUAGUUAACCAACAAGUGAAGGUACCUUUCUCCAUUGGGCAUAUAAGGACAAAGUUAUUUGUGAUAUAGUUCCCAUGGAGGCAUGGCAUAUUCUCUUAGGAAGGCCAUGACAAUUUGAUAGGAAGAUCAUUUACAAUGGCCUAACUAAUGAGAUUAUCGUCACCCAUCUUGGCACUAAAUUUGUAUUGCAUCCUCAAACACCUUCACAGGUAGCUAAGGAUCAACUUACAGUGAAGGACAAGAGGGAUGAGGAAAAGUUAAAAAAAGAAAAGAGAAAAAAGGAUAGUAUGGUCUUAGUUCCAAAGGUCAAGGAAAAGGAAAACGAGGGAGGAUGUUCCUCUAAGAAAGUUGUAAAGAAGGAGAAUCAUUUUGUAACAAAAGGAGAUAUUAAGAGAGCUCUUCUUCUCAAGCAAUAUUUCUACCUUCUCCUCUCAAGGAAGACUUCUGAUGCAAUCUUACCCCCCCCCCAAGGGUAUUGGAUAGAAGACUCCAAGAGGAUUGGGCUAGAGCUGCUAAAGAAGGCCAUAGGAUUCUCAUGAACCUCAGGGUAGAUUUCUGAGCCCAUGGGCAAAUGUUGGGUCCACUCUUCUUUGUAAACAUUAGAAUAGAUUUUUCCUUCUUUUGGGCCUUGUAUUUUGGACAUUCUAGUAGUAUAGGGUUUUAGCCUUGUAUUUUAGGGUAUUUUGAGUAGUCUUUGUAGUAGAGACUUUUUUGUAUUUUCAUGUAUUUUGCAAUGGGGGUGAGCUUAGCUAUUAUGGGGGUUGUGUGUAGCUAAGCUCUAGCUUUUCAUCUCAAGGAGGUGAGUGAUCGAGGCCGUACCCGAAUCAAACGUUCAUAAUAUAUAGUAAUAAAACAAUAACGAAUUGGGGGGGUGUAGAAGCAAAGCUUCAUGGUGAAUCAAGAAUGAUUCAAAGAUGUUUUGAUGAUAACAAAGAUGAUAACAAAAGAUGAUGACAAAGGUGAUGACAAAAAGCUCAAAGGUCAAUCAAAGGAUGAAUUCAAGAUGUUCAAGAAGGAAUCAAGAACAAUUCAAGACUCAAGAGGAAAAGUUGAAGAACACUUCAAGAUUCAAGAAGAAGGAUGAAUUCAAGAAUCAAGAUUCAAGGAUCAAGAUUUAAGAAUCAAGAUCAAGAUUCAAGAUUCAAGAUUCAAGACUCAAGAAUCAAGAGAAGACUUAAUCAAGAUAAGUAUGAAAAGGAUUUUUCAAAAACAGAGUAGCACAUAGAUUUUUCACAAAACAUGUUUACCAAAGAGUUUUUACUCUCUGGUAAUCGAUUAACAGAUUGUUGUAAUCGAUUACCAGUAGCAAAUUUGUUUUGAAAAAGUUUUCAAAUUGAACAUAAGGCAUCCUUAAUCAGUUCAACCACUUAAUCCAACCCUAAAUUAAAUUACUAAGCGAAAUUUAACAUAAGGCAUUCAUUAUGUGAUUAAGCAACACAUACACCAAUUAAUCAUGAAUGAAACUGAUCAUUAAGCAUCAACGUAAAUUAAGCGCAGAGGCAAUUAAUCAAGCACUAAGCAUGCAUGGAUUAAUAGCAACAAAUAUAGAGUAAUUGGUGAAGAGGAAGAACUAAUCAGAAUGCAAUAGUAAUGAUAAAACCUCAAAGAGAAUUGUGCUUGAUCCUCAAAGGAAAACAAUGGUGGAGACUUAGCCUUCCAUUUAGUAGUAGAAAUGAAAUUGUAGAUUGAAGCAGAAAACGAAAUUUUAUUGCUAAGUGAAUAGUAAAAACUGGAAUUGCAAAACCUAAAAUUAUUCUCUCCCUAAAACAAAAAGUGACUAAAACGAAAAAAGAAGCCUCAAACUGGAACCUUGGUGCUGUUAUAUAUUCUUAGCCCCAAAGCUUACAAAUCUGUUUUAAGUCCAAGCCCAUAAAUAAAAUAAAAUCUAGAUAAGAUAAGAUAAGAUAAAAUCUAGAUGAAAUAAUAUAUAGAUGAAAUAAAAUCGCGAUAAGAUAAGAUUAGAUAAGAUCUAGAUGAAAUAGUAUCUAAAUGAGAUAAAAUCUAGAUGAGAUAAGAUUUGGUAGAAUAAAAUUGUCUACUCUCUUCAAGUCCAAGCCCAAUUCCGGAUUCAAGCCCAAUUACUUAUAAUUCUCCUGAAAUUAAAUUAAAAACACAAAAUUAAUCCAAUAGGCCCAAAUGAUAAAACUGCAUAAUUAGUUUGACAAUUAAGGCUAAUCAGUAAUUAAAAUGGUGGCAAAAAGGGUUAAGAAAUAUGACAAAAUGAUGACACAUCAAUUCGCCUCACACUUAGCCUUUUGCACUCCUAGGCAAAAAAGAAAAAAAAAACAAAGCAAGGGACAAAUCCAGAGACAUUAAAGAGAAACAAACAGACACAACAACAAUUACAUAUUUCUCAAUGAAUCUCAAGGAAUGAAAAGAAUGGAUAACAUCCAACACGUAAAGAGUUAAAGAGUCAAGGCCGUCAUGAAAAUCAUCCAAGCAUCUCAAACAUGGCAAGAUAGUAAAUCAGCUCAAGAAUGAAAAGUGAUAAAGCCUAACAAGAUAUGCACUCUAUCUCUCAAGUGUCUAGGCUACUGUUUACUCUCAAAGCACCCAUAACAAACACCACAUAGACUUGGCAAGACUCUAAAAUUGACAACCACAUCACAAACACAUGCACAUGAGGAUCAAAAGGUCUUUUAAGGUUGUAAUGGGCCAAGGACAAGGUAAAUGAAAGUAUGGGAUAGUAGCUAAAACCCAAAGGAAUAGAGGAGCAAUGGGGAAUAAGUGGGAAGUAAGAAAAAGUAGUAAACCCCAAAACCAAAAUUACAAAUUAAGUCUUAGAAAGUAAACCCAAAAUAAAAUCAACCAAGUCUUCAAACCAAGACCUCAUUUAUUCAACAUCAUUCUUUAUUUGUUUUUUUAUUUUAUUAUUUUUUUGAUUUUUUUUUGUUUUUUGUUUUUUUUUAACGUGAACAGUAGCAAUUGAAAGCAUUUGAAAAAUAAAGCAACAAUUAGGCAAUAUAUGUAUAUACGUCAAGCAUGGCCAAAAUACAUCAUCAAGCAUGGCCAACAAAAACAUAUCACCCAACGAAACAUACCCCCCCUCACACUUAUUCCCAAAACAAUUCCAAAGCUCCAAAAUUCCUUAAGGGUAGGGUGAAAUCAUGGUUUUUCACUUAAGGCUUGUAAUGAGCUUCAAAACAAAGAAAGGGGAACAUAGGCUCAAAGGGGCUAUCAAAGGAAUAAAUUCAAGGUGGGCUCAUUUGGCUAAAGGCUUAUAAGAACAAAAUGCCUAGAUCAUCUCCCAACAUGCAUGUGAAGCAAGAAGUAUCAACAAGAGUAAAGCCAAGGCUAUUGUGCAAGCAAUCAAUGGGGCAAAAUACACCGAAUAAAAUAGAUGAUGAUGGCUCAAAUUCUCACCAAGGGUAAAUCUAUCACCUUCAAUUCGAACUUUCAAAACUAACUUGACAUGUAGAGAAAAACAAGGAUUUCAAUUCACAAAAUGCCAAGAAACUCCUAUUUCAAAAAAAAAAUUACCCAUUACCUGUACAUAACCUAUAAUUCAAAGAGAACAUGCAAUGUUGUACACAAAACAUAAAACCAAAAUAACAAAAUUAACCUAAAUAACAAAAUUAACCUAGAAAAAUCUAAUAAAAUUUAACUAGAAUACCCAACAGAAUUAAAGAACAAUCUCCCCCCCCCCCUCUCUCACACUUAAACAACACAUUGUCCUCAAUGUAGCACAAUCAUAAGAUCAAGAGCCAUCAAAACAAUCAAUAAAUUUGGACAAAUGCAAUAAAAGUAAAGAAGGAGAAAGAAAAAGAAAACUCCCUAAGUCAUGGUGGAAGAGAAGUAGGGUGAAGUAAGGAGGUCUCCUCCACCACUACAUCCACUAAGGAGGGAUUUGUGAGGAAUGGUUUCAGCCGAUGUCCAUUGACCUUAAAGCCCUUAUCUGUGGAUUCACUUUUGAUCUCAACUGUACCAUAAGAAAAAACAUUAGUCACCACAAAAGGACCAAUCCACUUUGACCUCAACUUACCACUCAUGAGUCCGAGCCUAGAGUUAUACAAUAGAACUUUCUGUCCGACCAUGAACUCCUUCUUAGCUAUCAAGCUAUCAUGGAACUUCUUGGUCUUCUCCUUGUAGAAUUUGGAAUUCUCAUAGGCUUCUAAACGGAUCUCAUCUAGCUAACUUAGUUGCAACUUCCUUUCCUCUCCAGCCUGAUCAAUAGAGAAGUUGCAGGUCUUUACAGCCCAGUAGGCUUUGUGCUCUAUCUCUACAGGAAGAUGGCAUGCCUUGCCAAAGACAACCCAAUAAGGAGACAUUCCUAUGGGUGCUUUGAAGGCAGUCCUAUGAGCCCAAAGAGCAUCAUCUAGCCUGGUGCUCCAAUCCUUUCUGUUCGGCUGCACAAUCUUCUCCAAGAUCCUUUUUAUCUCCCUGUUUGAAGUUUCAGCUUGCCCAUUGGUUUGGGGGUGGUAUGGUGUGGAAAUUCUGUGCACGACCCUAUACUUUUUGAGCAAGGCAUACAUGGAUCUGUUACAAAAAUGGGUGCCUUGAUCACUAACGAUGGCUCUAAGGACUCCAAACCUGCAAAACAUAUUAGAUCUAACAAAAUCCACGACAACUUUAGCAUCGUUAGUUCUGGUGGGUUUCCACUCAUUUUGAAACAUAAUCAACAGCAAGGAGAAUAUAAACAAAACCAAAAGAGACAGGGAAAGGCCCCAUAAAAUCUAUACCCUAGACAUCAAACACCUCACAGAAUAACAUGGGUUGUUGAGGCAUUUGCUGUCUCCAUGAAGGUGAGCCACCUGCUCUCUGACAAGGCUCACAAGUGCUCAGAUUCUCCACGCAUCCUUGAAGAUGGUGGGCCAAUAGAAACCGCAGUCUAGCACCUUGCUAGCUGUCCUCUAUAUGCCAAGAUGGCCACUUGGUGCCAAAGAAUGACAAAAUUGCAGGACUGAGUCAAUCUCAUGGUCUGGAAUGCAUCUCCUAAUAACCUGGUCACUGCACAACUUCCACAAAUAGGGGUCAUCCCAAAUAUAAUGCUUAUCAUCGCUCUUAAUUUUAUCAUUUUGAGCUUUAGAUGCUAAGGGAGGAAAAAUAGAAGCAACCAAAUAAUUCACAAUAUUAGCAAACCAGGGAGUGGGGAAGGAAUUAGAAAUACUAUACAGAAUGUACAAAUGGUCAUCUGGAAAAUCAUCCCGAAUGGGUGAGUCCACAAACACACACCCUAAAUUAUUCAGAUGGUCAGCCACGAGGUUCUAUGCAUUGCUACGAUCACGGAUCUCCAAAUCAAACUCUUGGAGCCAAAGCAUCCACCUAAUCAAUCUAGGCUUUGAUUCAGCCUUCUUCAACAGGUACUUCAGAGCUGCAUGGUCAGUACAAACAAUAACACGAGUACCAAGCAAAUAUGAACAAAAUUUUUCAAGAGAAAAAACUAUCGCUAAUAGCUCAUUCUCUGUGGUAGUGUAAUUUUGCUUGAGCAACAUCCAAAGUUCUGGAAGCGUAGUAGAUCACCCAAGGCAGCUUAUCAAUCUUUUGAGCAAGGACAACCCCCAAUGCAUAAUUGGAUGCAUCGCACAUUAGCUCAAAUGGGGUUGUCCAAUCAAGUGCCUGAAUGAUAGGGGUUAUAGUCACCGCACGCUUGAGGCAAUCAAAAGCCUAUUUGCAUUGGUCAUCAAAAUCAAACUCCACCUCCUUUUGCAGCAGAUUGGAUAAUGGAAGGGCCACUUUGCUAAAAUCCUUGAUAAAGUACCUAUAAAACCCUGCAUGACCAAGAAAAGAAUGAACUUCUCGCACAUAAGAGGGGUAAGGCAAUUGUGAAAUAACAUCUAUUUUUGCAGGGUCUACCUCUAUGCUCCUAUUGGAAAUGAUAUGCCCUAAAACUAUACCUUGUUCUACUAUGAAGUGACAUUUUUCAAAAUUCAGCACAAGGUUAGUUUCAAUGCAUCUACUAAGAACUCUAUCUAGACUAUCCAAACAUGUAUCAAAAGAGGAUCCAUAAACAGUAAAAUCAUCCAUAAACACCUCUAUGAAACUCUCUAAAAAAUCACUGAAAAUGCUAAGCAUACACCGCUGGAAGGUACCAAGGGCGUUGCAUAGGCCAAAGGGCAUACUCCUAUAGGCAAAAGUGCCAAAGGGACAAGUGAAUAUGGUCUUUUCUUGAUCCUUAGGAUCAAUAUGAAUUUGUAAAUAACUAGAAAAACCAUCAAGAAAAUAGUAAUGAGACUUACCUGCCAAGCACUCAAGCAUUUGAUCAAUGAAAGACAGGGUUAAAUGAUCUUUUCUGGUUACCUGAUUCAGCCUCCUAUAAUCAAUGCAGACUCACCAGUUGUUAUGCACUCUUGUGGGAAUAAGCUCAUCCCUUUCAUUCUUAAUCACUGUGAGACCUGUCUUCUUAGGAACCACUUGGACUGGACUCACCCACUGGUUGUCAGAGAUGGGGUAGAUGAUUCCAGCUUGUAAGAGCAUGAUCACUUCCUUUUUCACCACAUCUAGAAUAACGGGAUUGAGUUGCCGUUGUGGCUGCCUCACUGGCUUAGCUCCAUCCUCUAAAAGUAUCCUAUGCAUGCAGGUAGAUGGGCUAAUACCAGGAAUGUCUGCUAAAGUCCAUCCAAUGGCUUUCUUGUGCUUCUUGAGAGCUAGCAACAACUUCUUCUCUUGUUCAGCAGCAAAGGAGGCAGAGAUGAUUACUGGAAAUUUUUCCUUGUCCUCCAAGUAAGCAUAUUUGACGGUUGCUGGUAAAGGCUUCAACUUUGGUGUGGGUGGUGGCUGAACAGUGGGAGGAACCAUGGUAGGAGAAAAAGAAGGUUCCUCAGCCUAUACCUCAUAAAGCAAGUCAGAAGUAUAUGUACUUCCUGCAACAUGGUUAGUGCAUUCUAACUCUAAGAAAUCAACAUCAAGAGGUACAACACCCAGAAAAUUAGAACCAAACUCAAAUUUAAAUUCACUCCCAGCAAAAAAAUCAGAUACAGGAUCAAAUUCAAACUCAGAUUCAGAUUUAAUGCAUAAGUAGUGACAAGUAUGCAGAUCAGAUAAAAAUGGAUGUUUCCUACCAUGAAGAACAGAAUCAAACAUAUAAUCAUCAACAAUCUGAUCAAUUAUCUCAGCCCGAAAAAUAGAAUGAUCCUCAGAUGGAUGUUUCAUGGCAUCAAGAAUGUUAAAAUGAACAACAAUAUCACCAAAUUCCAUAGACAAUGUGCCAGCAUAAACAUCUAUCUUGGUUCGGGUUGUUUUCAUAAAUGGCCUGCCUAAAACAAUUGGAACUGAACCAUGGGAAAAUCCCUCUUCCAUAUUAAGAACAUAAAAAUCAAUAGGAAAAAUAAUUUCACCAACCCGAACCAGCACAUCCUCUAUGAAACCUGCGGGGUAAGCAACACUUUUAUUUGCCAAAUGAAUCACCACAUCUGUAGAUUGCAAAGGUUCAAGAGAUAAAGAAUUGAAAAUGGACAGAGGCAUGGCACUAAAUGAUGCUCCUAGAUCUAGCAUGGCAUUCUCAAAUUUACUGUUCCUAAUAAUGCAAGGUAUACAGAAAGUACUUGGGUCCUUACAUUUCUCAGGAAUGUGAGGAACAGAUUUACCUAUCAAUGCUGACACGUUUCUGCCCAUGCUAAUCCUUUAAUUGCCCUUGAGCUUCCUUUUGUGGGUGCACAGUUCCUUUAGAAACUUCGCAUAUCUUGGAAUCUGCUUGAUGACAUCUAGCAGAGGUAUGUUCACCUCUACUUUCCUGAAGGUCUCCAAGAUCUCCUUUUCCGCUUCUUCCAUCUUUUUGUUUGGAAUUGCUCUAGGUGGGAAUGGAAGAGGGAUAGGAGGCUGCUGUAAGUCAGAAUUACUAGAAGAAGGUCCACCUGCAUGAAAAUUUUUGUUAGGAAGCUUUCUCUUUUGUGCAACUAUCUCAUCGUCUUUUUCAGGUGUAGAAUGAAGCUUGACAGGUUCAGGUGCAGGUGCUGCUACUGGUGGAGGCACCUUAGUUUGCUUGUUAGACCUCAAGGUGAUGGCACUCACAUUUUUUGGAUUCUACACAUUCUGUGAAGGCAAUUUGUCAGAAUUUUGGGAUUGAGCUUGGUUCAACUGAGUGGCCAUCUACCCCAUCUGAUUUGUCUGACUCUGAAUGGAGGCUCUUGUUUCUUGUUGAAAUUGCGUAUUCUGGAUGGUCAUUUGCCUCACUAACUCCUCUAAGGAAGGUUGAGGAGGAGCCUCAGUUGCUUUCUGUCUUUGUUGUGACUGUUGCUGUGGAUGCUGCUGUAUUGGAGGAGGAACAUAUGGCUUGCUUGGACCAGCAGCAUUCUGGAAAGGAGGGACAGACUGUUGUUGUUGUGGAGGACUUGUCCAUCUUAGAUUUGGAUGAUUCCUCCAACCUGGAUUGUAUCUAUUGCUUGAAAGGUUAUAAUUAUUCUGUUGUUGUUGGUUUUGCUGCUGAGGAGGUCUAUUAUAAAUGUUUGCAGCAUAAGCUUCAGGUUGCUCAUUGACUCCAGAUUGCUGCAAAGAAGGACAAGGAUCUGUAUGGUGAUCUGCAGAAGAACAUAGACUACAGACUCUUGCAACAGGUGUAGAUUUCUUAUUCAUGGCAAGCUGAGUUACUUGGUUGACCGAGGCAUCAAGUUUUCCUUCAAGCUUUUUAUUUUCAGUAGAUGAAGAUAAAUCCGUGGCCACCUCAUGGACUCCUCUAAGGAAAAUAGCAUCAUUUCUUGCACUAAAUUGUUGGGAGUUGGAAGCCAUCUUCUCAAUCGAAUUCCUAGCCUCAGUAGGGGUCAUAUCACCAAGAGCUCCACCACUGGUAGCAUUAAUCAUACUCAUUUCCAUGUUGCUAAGUUCCUCAUAGAAAUAUUGAAGAAGGAGUUGCUCAGAAAUUUGGUGAUGAGGACAACUUGCACACAAUUUCUUGAAUCUUUCCCAGUACUCAUACAAGCUUUCUCCACUAAGUUGCCUGAUGCCUGAAAGAUAUGAUCUUCUUGGACAUCAGGGGGCUUCAUGGUGGAACAAACAAUAUUGAACUCCUUAAGAUGCUUAUGAGGAUCUUCACCUGCAAGACCAUGAAACUUGGGCAGCAAAUGUAUCAGUCCAGUCUUGAGAACAUAUGGAACACCCUCAUCAGGAUAUUGGAUGCACAAGCUUUCAUAAGUGAAAUCAGGUGCAGCCAUCUCCUUAAGAGUCCUCUCACGAGGUGGAGGUUGAGCCAUGUUCUCAAUAUGAAAAUUAGUAGUGGAAUGUUCAAAAUCAGAAUAUUCAGAAUCACCCUCAACAAAAUGCUCAAAAUGCUCAAAAUGCACAGAAUGACCAGGAUGCACACUAUGCCUAACUAUUCUAUGAAAGGCUCUAUCUAUUUUAGGAUCAAAGGGUUGUAAAUCACCUGGAUUGCCCCUAGUCAUGCACUAUAUGCAGCAAAUAGUGUGUUUCUCAACAAGCACCUAACAAGGGGGUAAAACUACAGCUAUACUCAAACGAUAUCAAAAUGAGCUGAAAUUUUGUGAGGAACACCCUAAAAUCAUGAAAAGAUAGCACAAAAAUUUUCAAACAAAAAUUCAAAGUCUAACUAUGAAAACUACCUAAGCAAAGUUUUGAAAAAUUGGACAAUAAUACUUGAAAAAAAAAAAACUUAGUAAACGGCUGAUUUUUGGAGCUUGGGAGACCCCAACCGGCUUCAGCGGGUUGCCACAAUAUGGGAAAUUUUUACUUCCCCAAAUGCAUAUAUAAUAAUAGUUAUUCUAAUACCCGGAGCAAAAGUUAUAGCCGUUUUAAGUUUUGCUAAAAACAAGUUCCCAAAAUUUUUUUCUCUCUCAAACACUACCACACUAAGUGCUCCUGAUAUUUUUCACACAAAAUAUGGAUCAAAAGAAGCUACCACAGAAAAAAUCAGCCAAAAAUAACAACUCUAACUAUCAAAACAAAAACCGUUAAUUAAAUUGCAAAAUCCGUCGCUAAUUCCCAGUCGCUAAUCAUUGUUCAGCACUGUUCACAACAAAACAAAAGGCUAAAUCAGUCGCUAAACAGGGAAUGCAAUUGAAAUGCAAAACAGAAUGCUAUACAAAAUAAGAUAACUAAACACUAUUAUGAACCUUUGGCCCACUGCUCCCCGGCAACAGCGCCAAAUUUGAUCAAGGUCAUACUCGAAUCAAAUAAACAUUAAAAAUGUAGUAUCUAUGAAGUGAUCCUAGGUCGUCUUCCAACGAGCAAUGGUCAACCAAACGUUCAUAACAGAUAGUAAUAAAACAGUAACGAAUUGGGGGGGGGGGGUUGCUUGUUUUUGUAAAUUAAACAACGAGUAAAUUUUAAUUAGAAAAUAUCCGAAUUAAAACAUGUUGUUUCCCCUUGAUUCACAAGCAAGUCUCUUAUCCUAGGUUACGAGAGUUUAUCCUUAAUCAGUUCAACCACUUAAUCCAACCCUAAAUUAAAUUACUAAGCGAAAUUUAACAUAAGGCAUUCAUUAUGUGAUUAAGCAACACAUACACCAAUUAAUCAUGAACGAAACUGAUCAUUAAGCAUGAACGUAAAUUAAGCGCAGAGACAAUUAAUCAAGCAAUAAGCAUGCAUGGAUUAAUAGCAACAAAUACAGAGUAAUUGGUGAAGAGGAAGAACUAAUCAGAAUGCAAUAGUAAUGAUAAAACCUCAAAGUGAGUUGCGCUUGAUCCUUAAAGGAAAACAACGCUGGAGACUUAGCCUUCCAUUAAUCAUUAGAAAUGAAAUUGUAGAUUGAAGCAGAAAACGAAAUUUUAUUGCUAUGUGAAUAGUAAAAGCUGGAAUUGCAAAACCUAAAAUUAUUCUUUCUCCCUAAAACGAAAAGUGACUAAAACGAAAAGAGAAGCCUCAAACUAGAACCUUGGUGUUGUUAUAUAUUCUCAGCCCCAAAGCUUACAAAUAUGUUUUAAGUGCAAGCCCAUAAAUAAAAUAAAAUCUAGAUAAGAUAAGAUAAGAUAAAAUCUAGAUGAAAUAAUAUCUAGGUAAGAUAAGAUAAGAUAAGAUCUAGAUGAGAUAAAAUCUAGAUGAGAUAAGAUUUGGUAGAAUAAAAUUGUCUGCUCUCUUCAAGUCCAAGCCCAAUUUCGGAUUCAAGCCGAAUUACUUAUAUUUCUCUUGAAAUUAAAUUUAAAACACAAAAUUAAUCCAAAAGGCCCAAAUGAUAAAACUGCAUAAUUAAUUUGACAAUUAAGGCUAUUCAGUAAUUAAAAUGGUGACAAAAAGGGUUAAGAAAUAUGAGAAAAUGAUGACACAUCAGUGAGCUUAUCUAUUAGAGGGGUGUGUGUAGGUAAGCUCUAGCUUCUUUAGGAAUCUUCUCAAGGAAGCUUCUCAAGGAAGUUUCUCAAUGAAGCUUCUGAAGGAGGUGAACUUAGUUAUUAGAGGGGUGCGUGUAGCUAAGUUCUAGCUUCUCAAGAAAGUUUCUCAAGGAAGCUACCUAGGCUAUAAAUUGAAGCAGGUGUUACACUUGUUAUAACUUUGAUGAAUGAGAGUCUUGUGAGACACACUUCAAAGUUCAACUUCUCUCCCUCUUUUCCUCCUUCAAUUUCGUGCCCCCCCUCUCUCUUUCUCUCUCUCUCUCUCUCUUUCUUUUCCUCCAUUGAAGCUUCCUGUCUAAGCUUCUUAUCCAAGGCAUUCUCUUGGUGGUGAAGCUCCUUCUUCCAGGGCUUAUUCCCGAGUGGAUGGCGCCUCCUCUCACCUCUUCUCCUUUAUCUUCCGUUGCAUCUCCAUGGUGCAAAAUCACCAUUGAAGCUCAAAGAUCCAGCCUCCAUAGAAGCUUCACAAGCAAGCUUCCAUUAACUUCCCUUAACACUGCCAUAAUUCCUACACUUUUGGCCGUUCCUCCAAAGGUCCAAGAACUCUUACAAGAAUUUGGUGAUGUAUUUCCUAAAGAGAUACCCCCUAGUUUACUUCCUCUUAGGGGAAUAGAACACCAAAUAGACUUAGUCUCAGGAGUAAGCCUUCCUAAUAGGCCAACUUAUAGGACUAACCCUUAAGAGGCCAAGGAGAUUGAAUCCCAAGUUAAGGAAUUAUUGGAGAAGGGCUGGGUCCAAGAGAGCUUGAGUACUUGUGUUGUGCCUGUGUUGUUGGGCUUCCUAGGACCUAGAGGGGUGUAGACUUUAUCUUUGUGGUGGUGGAUAGGUUUAGCAAGAUGGAACCUUUCAUACCAUACCACAAGUUAAAUGAUGCUAGUCACAUCUCAAGACGCUUCUUUAGAGAAGUUGUGAGGCUUCAUGGUUUGCCUAAGACUAUUGUCUCUGAUAGAGAUGCUAAGUUCCUUAGCCAUUUUUGGAAAACUUUAUAGGCUAAGCUAGGAACUAAGCUUAUUUUCUCCACUACUUGUCACCCACAGACUAAUGGGUAGACAGAGGUAUUGAAUAGAUCUCUAUCCACAUUGUUAAGGGCUCUUCUAAAAGGCAAUCAUAAGUCUUGGGAUGAGUAUCUUCCUCAUGUGGAGUUUGCCUAUAAUAGAGGGGUUCAUAGAACUCCUAGGAAGUCACCUUUUGAGGUUGUCUAUGGGUUUAAUCCUCUCACACCUUUGAACCUAAUAUCCCUUCUACUUGACACUUCUUUUAUACAUAAAGAAGUGGUAUCUAGGUCAAAGUUUGUGACAAAAUUACAUGAAAAGAUUAGGAACCAAAUAAAAGUGUAUGUAGCUAAAGGCAACAAAGGAAGGAAGGAGUUGGUGCUUAAUAUAGGGGACUGGGUUUGGCUCUAUCUUAGGAAGGAUAAUUUUCCUACUAAUAGAAAGUCAAAACUUAGCCCCAGAGGUGAUGGCCCUUUUCAGGUCUUGGAAAGGAUCAACAACAGUGCUUAUAGGCUAGACCUCCCAGAGGAGUAUAAAUUAAGCAACACCUUUAACAUUACUGAUUUGGUUCCUUUUGCAUGUGUAGUUGAUUUAGAUGAUUAGAGGUCUACAAAUUUGAGGACAAAUCCUCUUCAAAAGGGAGGGGAUGAUGCAAUCCUCCAAAGGAGGGGACCUAUCACUAGAGCCAUGGCUAGGAGACUCUAGGAAGAUUGGGCCAGGGAUGCAAGAGAAGGCUCUAGGGUUGUCAUGAGCCUUAGGAUAGAUUUUGGGCUCAUGGGCUAAGUAUAAACCCACUUAUAUUUGUACAUAUUAGAUUAGGGUUUCAUUAUUUUUUUAGGCCUUGUAUUUAUGGCUCCAUAGCGUAGGGAAGGUACCCCUCAAGUUUAGGGUACCCUAGUAAUGUAGGAUUUUUCAACCUUUGUAUUUUAGGGCACCCAGACUAGUUUUUGUAUUAGGGGUAGUUUUGUAAUUUCACACACAUUAAGUGUAGAAUUUGAUGCGUGUGUUGGGAGAGAAAUUUAAUUGAAUUAGGAGAAGCCCAAUCCAGUUAAAUUUCAGACCAGCCUAAGGGGUGGUGAACAUUUGCUUGCUACACCCCAUUGCCACAUCAUAUAGUCACACUUUGCACAUGUCCUUCAUACUUUACAUGCCUCAUGACACCUAAGCAUACUUAGUGGAGAAUCUUGGAAUAGUGAGCUGAACCAUAGUUGAAAUUCACUAAUCAUAAUAAGUGAAAUUUGAAAUUUAAAUUUCCCUCCAAUUUUGUGUGACACUUAGGAUAUAAAUAGAAGCCUUGUGUGUGCAUUUUGCAACUUUGAUGAUUUGAGAAAUUAGAAUUCAAAGUUCAUACCUCAUUCUCCAUCAUCUAUCUCUCAAAAUUUUGUUCCCCUCUCUCCAUCUCCCUACACUUAUCUUCUCCUACCUUUAAGCUCUUAUCCAUGGCUUUCUAUGGUGGUGAGUGCUCGGUCACGGCAAGUGCACCGGAUCGCGCAAGUAGUAAAAAACGGUAAGAACCGACUAUCGAACUCUCGGGGAACUUGUGUUACUUGGUAAAACUACUUCAAUGAAUAGGUGUCUAGUAUAAAAAAAGAUGUGUUUACUAUAAACAUGUGUGUAAACUAACUAUGAAAAUGGAAAAUCACGUGAGUAAUGAUGCGUAAAGACAAGUACGUAACACGUUGGUCUUCCUAAUAGGUGCUUGAUGUUAAAAGGAUAUUCUCUACAUAACAAUGCUCAUGUGUUCUAUGGUGUCUCCUAGAAUGCUAAACCCCGAUUCCUCAUGAUAGUCUAGCCUAAUCCUGAUCAUGCAUCGUCCGCAGAUUCCUCUUAUUGGACUAAACUCGACCAGAACCGCAUUAAGACAAACAUACAACAACUAGGUUACCGUACCCCAAUCCCUCGUGAUAAUACGAUAAACUAGCCCCAUCCUAUCAAGUUCUAAGAAUCAAACCAGUUUCCACUGUUGAAUGAUUCUAAAAACACAUGCAUCUACAUGAACAAGGCAAAAGCAUGGUAGAAUGAAGUUCUGAUAGCACAGUGAACACAUAAAACAUCAUUAAAUAGAUAUACAGGUAUUUACAUCAAGUACCUACAAGGAAGAACCAACAGAGGAUUUAGCUCUCCAUAACUAGGAAGCUUCCAUUACAACAAAGAGAAGAGAAGAUGAAGGAUUAAAGAAAUACAAGUGGUGGGGAGGUCUCCUCCACCUCUAGAACCUCACAAUCACUCACAAAAUCAUCUCAAGCUCUCAGGAUGACUUCCCCUUCAAGCUCGAUUCUCUGCAGGUCUUCACACAACAAAAUCUCUCAACUCUCUGGAACUUGGACCUUUCUCUCUCUAGAAAACCCUAGACAUGCAAAAGCUUCAAGAAAAGGUCCAAACUCCCUUUCCCAAAUCUGAUUUCAGGCUUAAAUAGGUGGCUUUGUUCGUGCUUGCGCGCUUAGUGCAAUUCUGAACCGCUUAGCGCUCAUUAGUGGAUUUUGGCUUAGGGCGUGCUUUUCUCGCUCAGCGGAUGGACUGAAGCGGUGCGCUUCGCUGGAUGAUCCUUCGCUUAGCGCAAAUGCAUAGAUCAUCCUUCUUCCAAAUUCUUCCUUGCACUCAGCCGAGUAGUGUUGCGCUUAGCGGAUGGCUCGCUAAGCCAGAAGGUUGGCUUAGCGAGAUGGUGAAAAUCAGCACUUCACAAACUUGCCAAAUUAACAUGAAAUUUAGAGAAAAUGAUUAUUAAACACACCAAAUGGACAUACUAAGUAUUUAUUACCUAUCUUUAACAAAAAUUAAUUACAAUACUACAAGAUAACCAUAAAUUUGAGGAGUUUGAUACAAUUUACAUAAGUUUAAUACACAAAAGUUAGUCGUAUUCAUCGACUAACAACUCCCCCAAAUUUACAGUUUUGCUUGUCCUCAAGCAAAUAUAGAACAGCUCACUGGUCCCUAAGUGACAAUAACAUGCAGUGACUAUGUACAAAGGUGUAUGCACAAAAGUUAUUGAAUGCAUGAUAAGAGAAUGAAGUAAAAUGCUCCCAUCAUUUGUCUUUCACAAAGCAUGCAAUCAUUCAAAGAGAAGAAUAGAAUGUAACUUGUACAAUUAGAUGCAGUUAGGCAUAAGACAGAUAUCAAGGAAAGUAGCUUAAACCACAGUCUCACAUCUUCUGUUUCACUUAAGCAUAAAUGUUUAGGCUAUUCAUAAUUAACAACUAACAAGAGAUCCAAUCUUUGAAUUUCAUCUCAUGUUAUCAAGUUGGAAAUGCAUAAGUAGAAUCAGAAGGACUUUUAUUGGCUUGUAGUGAGGCUUGGCUACAAAAAAUCAUUGGUUUUUCUAGGAUUCAAAGGCUUAGAUUCUAAGAGAGCACAAAUCCUAGACUUAUCCAAAUAUUCUUUUCAAUACAAUUAACUUACUCACUAGCCUUUCACUUUAAUUUUGCUUUUGACCUUAUUACAACAACACACAUUUUCUUUGAUUGCUUUUUUUUAACACAACUUAUUUGUUAUGUGUGUUGAUGCUUUACCUUUUACUUUACAUCCCAAUCAACUCUACUCCCCCAAAUUUGGGGUCAAUUUGCCUUGAACCAUAUGCUCUCCUAGAAUCUAAACAAGGUAUCUGGAGAUAAUUAUUUAAGUUCAGGGUUCAAUUUUGAAAAUUUAAUUUAGCUCACAAAGAGUGCAAAGGAUACAAUUAUAAUUCAAGGUAAGCUUUUUGGUCAAUUGGCUUGUAUAUAGACAAUCAUGGCCUUCAUCAUGUCCUCAUUCAUACAUUUCAUUCUAGAUUUUAGAGAUUGAUGCAAAGACUAUUACUCAAAGCUAGUCGUUCACUCACAGUUUAAGAUCACACUCUCACCGAUGAUGGUUCUAGCUUUUCUUUCUCAAUCGAUCUGUCUAUUGACUAACCAUUCUAAUUGUAGACUUACAUACUUGUUCUUUCUUUGUCUAACAUACAUACUUGCUCAAACUCAUGAAAAGAAACACGAACUCCAUCAUAAUCAUGCAUUCAAUCCAAAAUCAAUUCAUACACCAAUUUUCACAAAAAGAGUUUCACUGCAUAAUCAUCAAAAUCAAGUCAAAUUGUUCCAUAUGCUUCAAGAUUUUCAAAUUUUUUUUUCACAACAAAAAGUGUGAUGCAAAACAUACUAAUUCAUAUGUACUAAAAACCAUAUAAUUACUAUACCACGCUAGCAUAAUCAUUAAAAGGUACUAAAAACAAAAUAAUUAUAAUAAUAAUAAGGUAGGUAGGAGAGUUGUUUCUGGUGCUGGAGAAGAUGGAUCCACCACUGGAGAUGGUGGAUCAACUAGUACUGGCACUGGCCAAGGAUAAGCAGCUUCAUUGAAUCUUGUCUCUAAUCUUCCUUCCGAAAAAUCAAUAACUCCAAGGUUAAGCUCUAGGCCAGGCCACCUUCUCAAUGAAUUGCUCUACACUCAUGAUUGGCCUUUGUUGGGCCAAUUCUUGCAAGCUACGUAUAAUGAGAAUCGGUCCUUCAAACAAGCUAUGCAACCUAGCAUUUGAAGUCUGGAAGCUUUGGGAAAAUGGGUCUGCUAAUGCUGGAGGUGGAGCUGGAGUAGAAGAUGAAGGGAUGCCAGCUAUUGGUGUAAAGGAAGAGGGAACAUCAACUGCUCUGAGUUUGGUCUUCCUUGCCCCUAGAAAAUUAAUUGUUUGGUCAUUCACAUUCCAACAGUUCCUUGUAAUAUAGACCAAGUUAAUGACUGGCCUCAGGCUCUCGUAAGAAGUAAGAGCAUCAGAUUAACUCCCCUCGACCUACACAAGGCUGUGAUUAAAGCUAGGAAGCCUAGGCGAGAAGAGUUGGGCUGAGCCACCAUGGUUAUCUGUCCAGAGAUCAAACAGCCAAUGUUCAUGUCCAUCCUUGUGAUUAAGCCAUAGACCAACCUAGCUCUGUCUGUGUUCAAAUCUGAGGUGUGGGAGGUAGGAGCUAGGUUAGAGUAAGAGAAGACACUCCAUGUCUGGGCAAGGGUUGUAAGAUCUUUUCUGAAGAGCUUCCAUGGUUGUCCCUUAGUGUUCAGAAUAAAACCCCUGCCUGGAAUGCAUAGGCUAGCCUCCAUCUCUCUAGGAUCAGACCUUAAUAUGCAAAAUCUAGAAUAAGCGGGUAAAGAUUCCCCCUCCUCUAAUAAAACUGGAGUCUGAAGAGACUCAUUCAGGCUGUCUGCAUCUAUCUUGAUUAAAUGGCCUCUUACUCUGGCAUAUUUGGGAGCUUGGUCUUCUAGAAUAUACAAAUUGGCAUAAAAUUCUUUAACCACCGCCACAUCUAUGCUCCCUUCUUGAAGGUUGGCGAGGAGUUUGUGAAAGUUACGCCUCUCCAACUCUGCUUUAAACUCGUCAAACUCAGUAUGAUAAAUCUCAACAUUCCUCUCUAGAAGGAUCCUCCGGUCCAAAAUGAUUGGAAUCUCCUGGUAUCAUACUGAGCCAGUGGCCUAGAAUCACUACUCUUGUGUUUCAUAGAAGCCAUCAGCAAUUAAAAGGACCAAACAGUUAGUCAGGACACAAGUUAUUCAAAUUUAAAAACUGAAAAAGGCACUGGCGGCUUAGCGAGACAUGGUCCGCUUAGCUGGCCUUCACAAAAUACACAUAACAGCUUAGCGACAUGUGGGGUCGCUUAGCGGAUGCUGCAGAAUUUCAACUUUUGCAUAAUUGGCUUAGCUGGCAACUGCCCGUUAAGCCUAAUUGUUGCUACAAGGAUUUGUGUUAAGCUCCUCAAGGUUUGCGCUUAGCGGCACCAUACACUUCAAAAAAUACACUAAGUAUGGGAUUUGCCGCAACGAAAUGCGCUUAGCUCAGGUAUGCUUGGCUUAGCGCGUGGCUUUCAACAAAAAUUUUGACUAAGUUACCUGGGCUUAGUGAUUCAGCCUCACUUAGCCACAGGCAUCUCAGUAAGAGGAUGAGUGUUCAUCCUCAAAAGAUGAACUCGCUUAGCGAGGUAGGCGCGCUUAGCGAGUUCUUCUGAAAACACAUAUAUUCAAUGAAUUUUUUAUGAACUCGCUUAGCGCAGCAUGCUCGCUUAGCGAGUUCAUCACGUUUUCCAGAAAAAAUGCAGAAAACGCAGUACGUUUUCUUCCAUUUUUCAAGCCUCUAAAAGGCAUAUCAAACAUGCAAACCAUCCUAAAUGAUCUAUAUAGUAUAAACAUAUAUAAAGUCCUAAUCUUUGAAUACUUCUAAAAAACAUUAAAACCCUAUAAAUCAAAAGCUACAUCUAAGGUUUUCUAACCUAAGGUUCAACGGAAUAAAAGAGAAAAAAGGAAAUGGGAAUCUUACUUGAAUCUUUGAUAGUAGACGAAGAUGCAGAAGAAAACACGAAUGCACAAAGUUGGGUGUGAGAGAAAAUGCAGGCAUGGUUCAUGAAAUUUGGGCAAUUGUGAGUGUAACUGACGUUACACUCACUUAAGCAGUUUCGACCCUCUCGGUUACCAAAACGCCUCGCUAAGCGAGCCAGAGAGACAUUUGGUUUCUCAAAGAGGCUCGCUUAGCGAUUUUGCACGCUUAGCCCACAUUUGAAAUUCAAAUUUUUUCUUUACACCCAAAAAUGGAUUGGCUUAGCACGAAGAUAUGGUUGCUUAGUGAGUUCUGCAAAACAAAAUAUCUGCAACUCUCGCUAAGUCGGGCUUUGGGCCGACUUAGCUAAAAUGAUGCAUCUUGAUUACAGAGGGGUAUGCACUUAGCGUAUGAUGGAUCACUUAGGGCUAUCAUGGCCGCAAAGAAUUGGGCUUAGCUGGCAGGAGUUUUGCUUAGCUCAAUGAAACCCAAUUUAAGCCGCAAAGAAUUGAGCUUAGCUGCCAUGAGUGGCGCUUAGUCGAAAUCAGAUCGAGUUGAAGUUGGCUUAGCUUAGCCUUGGCCAGCAUAGCAGAUCAAAUCAGCCUGAGAUGCAAGGGUUGAGCGCUAAGCACUAUAGACUCUCGGCUUAGCGCAUGACCAAAGAUGCUCUUAGCGCGGGGCUUGUGCUUAGCGAAAGGACUAUUUUUCAGAAAAAUAUUUCUAAAAGUUAUUUUUCAAUCCCUUCCUUAAGAAUUUAAAACCCUUAUAUCUAUCAUUCAAAAAGAAGUUGAUAUGCCCCAAUGUAAUGAUUAUGUAGCAAGUUUCACAUGAUGAAAUUAAUAAAAAACAAGGAUUAAAACUGGGUUGCCUCCCAGGAAGUGCUUCUUUAACGUCAUUAGCUUGAUGCUUUUACCUCAAUGGGCGAAAUCAUGUUUUGGUUCUUACUUCCAGAACCUCCUUACUCACUUCCAUUACCUGUAAGCAAGCAUUUUGUUCUGGAGCAGACUUGUCUUCAACAAAUAAAUCAAAAUCAAUUUUCUGAUCUUCAAAGCCCAACUCCAGCUUCUUUCUCCCCAUAUCAACUAUGCAGCUUGCAGUUAACAUGAAUGACCUUCCUAAUAUUACAGGAAUGUCAUUAUCUUCACAGAUAUCCAUUACCACAAAGUCUGUCGGGAAGAUAAAAUGUUUUACUCUGACCAGCACAUCUUCAAUUACUACAUUUGGUUUGGUAAUGGAGCGGUCAGCAAGUUGUAAAGUCAUCCUAGUGGGCAUGAUCUCCAACUCUCCCAACCUUCUGCACAUGGAGAGUGGCAUUAAGUUAAUACUGGCUCCCAGGUCAAUAAGAGCCUUUCCCACAAUGACUUAUCCAAUUGAACAAGGAAUGGUUACACUCCCAGGGUCUUUAUGCUUGGGUGGAAGGAUCUUUUGAAUCACAACACUACAAUUUCCUUCCACAACAAUGUUUUCCUGGUGAAUAUACUUGUGUUUCCUUGUCAACAUAUCCUUCAAAAACUUGGAGUAGAGUGACAUAUGCUAUAAAGCUUCUCCGAAGGGCAUGGUUAUUUCCAGUUUCCUGAAAAUAUCUAUAAAUCUUACCAAAUGGCGAUCCUUCUCCUUCUCAGAAGGUACCAUAGGAUAUGGUACUUCCGCCCCUUCAUUCACAACUUUUUCUCUCUUCUUUUCUCUAGCUUGUUCACUUCUACUUCUCUCUUCAUUCUUAUUUUUUUUGAUCUUUUUCAUUUUCUUUUUCUUUUUCAAAUUCUUUUUCUUUUUCUUGGUCAUUUAAUUUCUUUUUCUUUACCAUUAUUUGUUUUUCUUUCUCCUGAUUACUUUCACCUCUCACAUCAUCUUUCUUAUCAUCAGUACCUUUCUUUUCAGCAGCUUUCUUCUUAGGCAUGAUAACCCUGUCCUCAUCCUCUGCCUCCACAAACCUCUUACUCCUUGUCAUCACAGCUUUGCAUUCCUCCUUAGGAUUCUUUUCUAUAUUCACCACAAAACUGUUGAAUGACUUGUCAACUAUCUACUUGGCCAGUUUUCCCACUUGGACCUCAAGGUUUUUCAAUGUUGACUUAGUGCUUUUAUGAUUUGACAUUGUUACCUGCAUAAAUUGAGUCAAAGUCUCCUCUAGCUUAGUAGUCCUCUGAAAAAUAUUAGGCCCUUGUUGGAUUGGCCUGUUAGAAGGUCCACCCUAGUCUUUGAUGAACUGAUUGCCAGGGUGUGAUCUCCAUUGUCCUUGUUGGUUAUAAGGACCCUGCUGGAAGCUUGAAAAUCCUCCUUGAGUAUAUCCUUGCCUCUGUUGAUUUCCCAUAUAGUGAACUUCUUGAGUGUGUUCUUCACUAGGAAUACAUUGGCCUGUUUCAUGAGCCUCACCACAAAUGGUACAACAUGCAACCUGCAAAACAGAAGAAUGCGUAGGUUGACCAAUAGGCAAUUUAGAUGGCAACUUACCAAGUGUUUCUGUUAAAAUCUCAAGUUGCUUAGAAAGCAACUUAUUCUGUGCCAAUAAAGCAUUGUCGAAACCUACCCUUUGGCGGGAGGGCGACGCGGGGCUCGCGGGUGCGUCUUCCAAGAAAGGAAAAUGCGCGGAGUCGCCACCAACGUUUAUUCGAGGAAAACGUCGGAAAAACCGGAAAAGACGUGGUCUACGAACUUUAAGUGUGAAAGGUUCGGGAGUUGUAUUUACGCACAGGGAAGAUAUUAGCACCCCACGCGUCCAUCACAAAGGAUGGCAACCUUUAAUCGAGUGUGCAAAGAUGACUUCAAAUUGUUUUAUUUUCCCAUUUUUUAUGUUUAUGUCUUUUUACGCCCUUUUUUGUAUUUUUAUCUUUUUGUGGUCGACAAGGGUGUUUUCCUUGCUCCUACAUAUUCCUCAAUUGUGAUAAGGAAAUCAGACCUACGUAGUUCUUUGAGAACUGAACGUUGGUUAAGUUGUUUUUAUCUUUUUUCGAAAGAUAGAUUUUGACUGAACAAAACUCAUUUAAGGCGUUGGACCAUUCAACGAUCUUUUGAUUUUGAAAGGAGAGAAACGUUAAGGCGUUGGACCAUUAAUGAUCUCUCGGUUUUUGAAAGGAGAGGAAUGUUAAGACGUUGGACCAUUAACGAUCUCUUGGGGUGGUCGACAAAAGCGGGGCUCUUGCUCCUACAUAUCCUCAAUUUGUGAUGAGGAACUCAGGCCUACGUAGUUCUUGCAAAAAAAGCGGUAAAGUUACAUGUUGAUUUUAUGCUUUUGAACGGUCCAUGUUAACCGAUAAAAGCAAAGAGGACCGUUUAAGGCGUUGGACCUUAAAACGGUUUUUAGUGAUUUUUGCGGACAAAGCUUGAUUUGUGAGUUGAUUUUAGCCUUAGUUUCACUUUGGUUAUUAGUCAAUUGAUCUAAGGAAACUUCUAAAGAAAAACGUUCGAUUGAUUUUUUUUUAUUAUUUUAUUCAAAGAUAUUUUGAUUAUUUUAUUAUUAUUUUCCCUUUUUUGGUUUAACUGAGGUUACAACAUGAACGAUCAGUUAGAUUUUGUUUUAACAGUGAUUAAAAGAGAUUACAACACAAAUGAUCGGUUUAUUAGAUGAGAAAAUGGCUUAAACGAUCGGUUAAAGCUCGUUAAAAAUGGAAGAAAAGAAAACCUUCACAGAUUUGCUCACAGAAACGUCGAAAAACUUACCUGUUGAAGAACGAAGAACGGAUGAAGAACGGUGAAGAACGAUGGAAAACCUUCACGGAUUUGCUCACGGAAACGUCUCAGAAGCAUUAUGGAAGCACCUCGGCUUCAAUUUUCUUCACGGAAACAAUUUUUUUCACCCAAAACAGCUAAAAUGCAUAGCCAGGGAUCAUGGAUCCUUAGAACAACCCCCUUUUGCCUAUUUAUAGGAAAAAAGGGGAGGCGCUUGCCACCCAGCUCACCCAGGCGAGCUGAGUUGCUUCCUCGAGAAGCAAUCCUGCUUCGAAAAUACUCUGAAGGCUCAAAUUCAAAAUUUCAAAAAUUACUAUUUGCACCCCCCAUUAUGAUAAGUUCACCCCAUUCUUUCGUAAUUUACAGAAAAGUUACGGAAGCCUAUAGGACCUAAAUUUCUUCUUUUUUUCUCUUCCUUCUCACCCAUAUUAAGUGAAAUAUGCUUAUUUAGGGUUAUGAGAAUUUUAUGGAAGCAUUACGAGAGUCCUAGAAGCCCCGGAAGCAAUUUUUUAACAAAACGGGGGAGGUGGUUGCCGCCCAGCUCGCCCAGGCGAGCUAGGUUGCUUCCACAUUCAGCAAGGAAAUGCCCAGAAUCCUCUAGAAGGGCCCAGAUUUGAAAAUUGCUAUUUGCACCCCCCAUUUUACUAAAUACACCCAUUUGCCCUUUUUUGUUGAUUUUUUUUCCGUAACGUUACGGAACUUUACGAAUUACGUAACUUUUGUUUUCUUUCCGUAAUGUCAUGAAACCUUACAGAUUACGCAAUCGUCCUCUCUUUGGCUUUUGGAAUGUUACAAAACUUUACAGAUUGCGCAUUAACGCUUCCUUUCGAUUCCCGACAUGUCACGGAACUUCACGGAUUGCCUAACGAUGGGUGUCAAGUACCUCGAAGUGGUCAAGCGAAGGUUGCAUCCCACCAAACAGAUGGUCACCGGACGAAAUUAGAGUAUGACAAGCGUCAUGUGAUGAUAGUUCUAACAAGCUUUUCUUUGUGGGUUGAUGAACUCUGUCGCGUAGAAUGGCAUGAUCGCUAGCUAAAAUAUUCUCAAUUAUCUUAGUUGCCUCUUCAGGGGUCUUCCACUUUAUUUUUCCCCCUACUGAAGCAUCUAGCAGUUGCUUGGUUUGUGGUCUCAGCCCAUCUAUAAACAUAUUCAAUUGAAUGGGCUCUGAGAACCCAUGGGUGGGAGUCUUUCUCAAUAAAACCUCUAAACCUCUCCAACGCUUCACUCAAGGACUCGUCAGGGAAUUGAUGAAAUGAAGAGAUUGCAGCUUUCCCUUCUGUAGUCUUUGACUCCGGGAAAUAUUUCUUCAAAAACUUUUCAACAACUUCUUCCCAGGUUUUCAGACUGUUACCCUUAAAUGAGUGAAGCCACCUUUUGGCUUCUCCUGCCAUGGAAAAUGAAAAUAGACUGAGUCUAAUGGCUUCAUCUGGAACACCUCCAAUCUUUACAGUGUUACAAAUUUCAAUGAAUGUUGCCAAAUGUGCAUAGGGGUCCUCAUUUGGUAAUCCUUGGAAUAAGUUCCCUUGUAUUAAAUGAAUCAAAGAAUGAGGGUAGUUUAUAUUGUGAGCUUGCACUUCAGGACGUGCAAUGCUAGUAAAGAAUUGCGGCAGUAUACUGCUUGAAUAGUCCUCAAGGGUAACCCUUUGCUGGUGCUCAUCUGCCAUGGAAACGACUUCUGGCAAAUAGGUUGCAGAUUCCCUUGAUGAUGGUGAAUCAGGUGAUGAAGAAUUAGAAAAAUGAGUUUCUUCCUCAAGAAUGGACGCUACUGUCCUGUCUUGUAGUAAUUUUCUUCUCCUCUCGGCUCUGUUCCUUCUCAACGUACCUUCAAUCUCCAAGUCCAGAGGAACAAAAUUGUCUGUGGGAGAUCUAUGCAUAUAAAACACUAAUAGAAACAACGGUUAUCCAAUUCAAGAGGAAAACAAAUAUGAAUCGAAUGUAAAUAUACACAGUUUAUCAAAGAAUAAAUAAUAGACACCUAGGACUGAACUAACUUUCCAAAUAGAAAGAAGUUCCCCGGCAAUGGCGCCAAAAACUUUUUCGGUCGUGGCAAGUGCACCAGAUAGCGCAAGUAGUAUAAAACGUUAAGAAUCGAGUAUCGAACUCUCGGGGAACUUGUGUCACUUGGUAAUGCUACUUCCGUGAAUAGGUGUCUAAUAUAAAAAGAGAUGUGUUUACUAUAAAUAGGUGUGUAAACUAACUAUGAAAAAGGAAAAUCAUGUGAGUAAUGAUGCAUAAAGACAAGUAGGUAACACGCUGGUCUUCCUAAUAGGUGCCUAAUGUUAAAAGGAUAUUCUCUACUUAACAAUGCUUAUGUGUUCUAUGGUGCCUCCUGUAAUGCUAAACCCUGAUUCCUCAUGAUAGUCUAGCCUAAUCCUGAUCAGGCAUCGUCCGUAGAUUCCUCUUGUUGGACUAGACUCGACCAGAACCACAUUAAGGCAAACAUACAACAACUAGGUUACCGUACCCCGAUCCCUCGUGAUAAUAUGAUAAACUAGCCCCGUCCUAUCAAGUUCUAAGAAUCAGACCAGUUUCCACUAUUGAAUGAUUCUAAAAACACAUGCAUCUACGUGAUCAAGGCAAAAGCAUGGUAGAAUGAAGUUCUGAUAGCACAGUGAACACAUAAAACAUCACUAAAUAGAUAUACAGGUAUUUACAUCAAGUACCUACAAGGAAGAACCAACAGAGGAUUUAGCUCUCCAUAACUACGAAGCUUCCUUUACAACAAAGAGAAGAGAAGAUGAAGGAUUGAGGAAAUACAAGUGGUGGGGAUGUCUCCUCCACCUCUAGAACCUCACAAUCACUCACAAAAUCAUCUCAAGCUCUCAGGACGGCUUCCUCUUCAAGCUCGAUUCUCUGCAGGUCUUCACAGAGCAAAAUCUCUCAACUCUUUGGAACUUGGACCUUUCUCUCUCUAGAAAACCCUAGACAUGUAGAAGCUUCAAGAAAAGGUAUAGGUGGCUUUGUUUAUGCUUGUGCACUUAGCGCAAUUCUGAAUCGCUUAGCACUCAUUAGUGGAUUUCAGCUUAGCGCGUGCUUUUCUCGCUCAGCGGAUGGACUGAAGCGGUGCGCUUCACUGGAUGAGUCUUCGCUUAGCGCAAAUGCAUAGCUCAUCCUUCUUCCAGAUUCUUCCUUGUGCUCAGCCGAGGAGUUUUGCGCUCAGCGGAUGGCUCACUAAGCCAGAAGAUUGGCUUAGAAGGAGGGUGAAAAUCAACACUUCACAAACUUGCCUAAUUAACCUGAAAUUGAGAGAAAAUGAUUAUUAAACACACAAAAUUGACAUACUAAGUAUUUAUUACCUAUCUUUAACAAAAAGUAAUUACAAUACUACAAAAUAACCAUAAAUUGGAGGAGUUUGAUACAAUUUACAUAAGUUUAAUACACAAAAGUUAGUUGUAUUCAUCGACUAACAGUGAGCUUGUUCUUGACUAUCUUCUCCUUGAAGUAGCGUCUCCAAUCACCGUUCCUCCUUCUCCAUUCCGCUGCGAUUGAUCUUCAAGAAGAAAAGGACUACAAACUCUACAUGGAGGUACAUUAAGAGUCAAGCACAACAAAAAUAAAUUCCUUCGACAUUUUUCAAAACAAUAAUGCUAAAACUGAAAACUAUCAGCAACGUGAUCUCUCCUUUUAUUUUCUUGGCUAGUAUCAACACUCCUACUCACUUUUCUUACAAGUAUUUUUGACAUGAUGUCAAACAAUAAUCUUCAAUAUGAGCAAGUAUAUUUUUUCUAGUAAAACUAACAAAAAUCAUGCAAAAACAACCAUAACAGACCAACAGAAAAUCAGCCUCUAGGUCCUCUACUAUUGUUUUUACAAUCUAUAAGGAAUUUCAAAUUAAUUUAAGACGACUCAUUAAAUAUGCCACAAAUGUGAGAGAAAGGAUAUGAACUUCUCUCUGGCUGGCUGGAUGAAGUAUAUAACAUCCAUGGUGGGUAAUGGCUUCCUUUGCUUGUAUAUGUCUUCAACCACUAUAAAAAGAAAAAAAAAUCACAUACAUAUAAGAAUUAGAACUAGUUGUGCAAAAUAUGGGUGUCUAAGGAAUAAUUUUCUUCCGAAAGUGUAAUCAUAUUCCUUCACUGGCAUUAAGCUAGAAAGGAAGCAACUGCUCUUUUUCUUAACUCUUUUUGUUUAGGUAACUUUUUCUUUUAAUUGUUAGUAGAGGGAAAGUGAAGGAAAAGGGAUGGUAGUAUUAGACACAACAAUUAACAGAAAAUUAACCAUAUAUAACAGACAUAAAAUAUCUAGAAUAAUGUAUAUUCAGAUUGCAAUUUUUGGAGUGUAAAUAACUUAAUUCUACAUUUGAAUAUCAUAAAUCAGAAUUAAUCAAGCAUGGCAUUACAUCCAAAUCAUGAAAAGUCUUUCCCUGACAGUGGGCAUAAGAAAAAUGAUUACUUAUUACUUAAGAAUCAAUAUUGUGAUUCUUACAUGACACACCUUCAUCAGUGAUAUCGGCCAUCUUGCAAGAAUGAGACAUUAUCUUCACAGUAAGUUUUCCCAUUAUUAUUACUUGCAGGAAAGCAGAUCAUGAACCAAUACAAGAUGAUAAAGAAUUGAACUAUCAACCAUUUUACUAGAUUUCAAGCUCUAGCUGAUUUCUUGAAAAAGAAGCAAGUGUGUGUGUGUGUGUGUGUGUGUGUGUGUGGAUUUAAAGUCAUCCUCCAUGUGAAGAACAAAGAAUCCCAAAAGCAUAUAUUAUUAGAAGACUCAUGCAUGGUUCUUACAUCCAACACAAUCCCUCAUAGUCUUGUGUUAGAGUCUUUUGAGCUUGAAGCAUGAAUAAUGAAAAAGCCCAAUCGAACUAUAGAUCACUUGGUCAUUACAAACAAUAAUACCAUGUAAUGAACCAAGCCAACUAUUCCAAAGGGUUAUGAUGUCCAAUAAAGGUUUAUGAAUGAUUUUGAUAUCUUACACAUCUAUACCAUGGCACAACAUUGCAAAAUCUCUAAAAUCACUCUACAUACCUAACCAGGAGAGUACACUGUCAGGACAACAUUGAAGAGAAACCCCAAAAAAAGAAUUACUUAACAACAAUAAUAAAAAUAUCUUAUCCUGACAAACUGAUAAAUGUCAUAUUGACCUUCUUAAAUUGAAAGAUAAAAGAUUCACAAUAGUUUUAAUGCUCCAAGAAUCUCUUGAUCAGGCUACCACUUUGUCUCCAAACUCAAUCCCCCUCCUUUCUCUUUCUCUCUCACACACACAUACUAUUGUCUCAUUUUCAUUAGUUUCUUCAAGAUAUCAUCAUGCACCCCUCCUUCAAGAAUAUAUAUUUAUAGCAAGAAAGAGUAGUCAUCAAAAUCUACUGCUUACUUAAUAGUUGAUAGUAGUAUAGAAAAAUGACAAAUUUUCCAUAAUGAUCCUACUUGAAAGUAUAAGUUGCCAACUAGUAAUUGCUUAGCCAUCAAAAACAUAGAUAUAUAUCAAAUGGAUAAAGAAACCAUUCUAAACAUGAUAUAGCAAUUGACUGUACUUACAAGAAGGUGAAUAUUGAAAGAUUUUCUAAAUAUGUCCUUAGGGGUGAGGCGUCAAGUUGCGACUUACAUUAAGAAGCCACCUCGGUAACCCUGAUUGACUACAAUCAAUUUUUAGUUGAUAAGAGCCUACCAUUGUACCAUGAUAAAAGGUGUAUAUAACCAAAUCGUCAUGGUUGAUAGAUUAUAUGUGUAUCUUGUUUAAGUCUUUUUGUGUCUAGUUGACUAAGUGGGAAGAUUCACUCCUUAUGUGUUUAUUUAGUAUCAGAUGUCUAGCGAGGAGUCGACCCUCCAUCUUGAGGAUGAAUGCAAUUGGAAGUGGUGCAUACCCAAUGUGACCAAAGGCGUGGAUCACUUCCUAGGACAUCUUUGUUAUUCGUGGAUGCCUGCUGACUUAUGCUUUUGUGUAGUUUCCACACUAGGCGGGAAGUUAGAGAUGAUUACUCUGAGUUUAAGACCUUUUCUUUUGUAUGUAUUUGAUCUGGGUAGGCCUAGUGAUGUAAGCUUGCUUGAGAAGCUUCUAUGGAGGUUGGAUCUUUCAAUGGUGAUUUUCAGCCAUGGAGUUGCAGCGAAAGAUAAAGAAGAAGAGGUGAGAGGAGACGUCAUCCACUAGAGAAUAAGCCAUGGAAGGAGAAGCUUCACCACUAAGAAAGUGCCUUGGAUAAAAAUCUUAGAGAGGAAGCUUCAAUGAAGGAAGAGAAUGAGAGACAGAGAGACAAAGAGGCAUUGAAAUUGAAGGAGAAUAGGGAGAGAAGUUAAACUUUGAAGUGUGUCUGAUCGAGGCCGUACCUGAAUCAAAUAAACAUUAAAAAUGCAAUAUCUAGGAAGUGAUCCUAGGUCGUCUCCCAACGAGCAAUGGUCAACCAAACGUUCAUAACAGAUAGUGAUAAAACAGUAACAAAUUGGGGGGGGGGGGUUGUUUGUUUUUUUGUAAAUUAAAUAGCAAGAAAAUUUUAAUUAGAAAAUAACAGAAUUAAAACAUGUUGUUUCCCAUUGAUUCACAAGAAAGUCUUUUAUCCUAGGUUAUGAGGAUUUAUCCCUAACCAGUUCAACCACUUAAUCCAACCCUAAAUUAAAUUACUAAGCGAAAAUUAACAUAAGGCUGUCAUUAUGUGAUUAAGCAACACAUACACCAAUUAAUCAUGAACGAAACUGAUCAUUAAGCAUGAACGUAAAUUAAGCGUAGAGACAAUUAAUCAAGCACUAAGCAUGCAUGGAUUAAUAGCAACAAAUACAAAAUAAUUGGUGAAGACGAAAAGUUGAUCAGAAUUCAAUAGUAGUAACAAAACCUCAAAGAUAGUUGUGCUUGAUCCUCAAGAAAAAACAAUGCUGGAGACUUAGCCUUCCAUUAAUCAGUAGAAAACGAAAUUGCAGAUUGAAGCAUAAAUGAAAUUGCAGAAAACGAAUUUUAUUCUACAUGAACAGUGCGCAUGAACAGUAAAACUGGAAUUCUAAAACCCUAGAAUUAUUCUCCUCUCCAAAAAAAAACUCCCAAAACUAAAACCCUGGUGCUAUUAUAUAGGUGCUCCGCCCCAAAGCUUACAAAUCUCUUUCAAGUCCAAGCUCAUAAACGAAAUAAAAUAAAAUCUGGACAAGAUAAGAUAAGAUUGGAUGAAAUAAAAUAUGGACGAAAUAAAAUCUAGAUGGAAUAAAAUCUGAAGAAGAUAAGAUUUGAUAAAAUAAAAUUGUCUACUCUCUUCAAGUCCAAGCCCAAUUCCAUAUUCAAGCCAAAUUGCUUAUAAUUCUCCUGAAAUUAAAUUAAAAACACAAAAUUAGUCAAGUAGGCCUGACAUACCCUAAUUUCGUCCGGGGACCAUCUAUUUGUUGGGAUGCGACCCUCGCUUGACCACUUCAAGGUACUUAACACCCAUCGUUAGGCAAUCCGUGAAGUUCUGCGACAUGUCGGGAGUCGAAAGGAAGCGUUAAUGCGCAAUCCGUAAAGUUCUGUAACAUUCCAAAAGCCAAAGAGGGGACAAUUGCGUAAUCCGUAAGGUUUCGUGACAUUACGGAAAGAAAACAAGUAUCAUUACGUAAUUCGUAAAGUUCCAUAACGUUACGAAAAAAUAAUUAGUAAAAAAAAAAGCAAAAGGGGAGUGUAUUUUGUAAACAGGGGUGUGUAAAUAAAAAGCAGUGCAUUUAGCAAAGGGGAGGGGGUGAACUUAUCAAGAUCCUACACGUUUUGUUGGAAAAUGGUUUCUUGAGCAUCCGAGGCUUUCGUAAUACUUCCGUAAAAUUCCUAAAACUUUGAGUAAGCCUAUUUCACUCAAUAUUGGUGAAAGAGAAGAGGAAAAAGAGGGAAAUCAAGUCCUAUAUGCUUGCGUAAAAUUCCUAAAACCCUAAAUAAACAUAUUUCACUCAAUAUGGGUGAGCAGGAAAAGAAAAAUGAAGAAAUUCAAGUCCUAUAUGCUUCUGUAAAGCUUCCAUAACUUUUUCGUAAAAUUACGAAAGAAGGGGGUAAACUUAUCAAAAGGGGGGGGGGGUGCAAAUAACAAUUUUCAAAUAUUCGAAUCUGGGCCCUUCCAGAAUAUUUUUGAAGCAGGGUUGCUUCCCUGGGCGGCAACCUCCUCCCCCUUUUUGCUAUAAAUAGGCGAAUCGGGGUUGUUCCAAAUAUCCUUCAUCCCCCUGGCUAUGCAUUUAAGCUGUUUUGGGUGAAAAAAAUUAUUUUUGUGAAGAAAAUCCAAGCCAAGGUGCUUCCGUAACGCUUCCGAGAUGUUUUCUUGUGCAAAUCCGUGAAGGUUUGCCAUCGUUCUUCACCGUUCUUCAUCCAUUCUUCGUUCGUUCUUUGUUCUUCAACGGGUAAGUUUUCGAAUUCAAGACUUUCAAUUCAUUUCUUGUUUUGUUAGCUUUCAUCUUUAUUUCGUUCACUUUCAAUUUUCUUUUCUUUCGUUUUUAACGAGCUUUAACCGUUUAUUUAAGCCGUUUUCUAACCUAAUAAAUGAUAAAAUGAAUUUCAACCGAUCAUUUGUGUUGUAAUCUCGUUUAAUCACUGUUAAAAUAAAAUCUAACUGAUCGUUAACGUUGUAACCUCGAUUAAACCAAAAAAAGUAAAAUAAAUAAUAAAAUAAUCAAAAUAUCUUUAAAAAUAAUAAUCAAAAUAUCUUUGAAUAAAAUAAUAAAAAAAAUCAAUCGGACGUUUUUCUUUGGAAGUUUCCUUGGAUCAAUUGACUAAUAACCAAAGUGAAACUAAGGCUAAAAUCAACUCACAUUUUUCAUGCAUAACAUACGUAUUCCCGAGUCUUCCAUCUCUAUCAAAUGUUAUCGAAGUAUUGGCAAUCAAAAUUGUCAUUCCUUGGAUUAUGGGGUUGAACCAAGCUCAUGCUUUUGUGAAAAGGUUCAUCAAGUCAAGUUGAAGUAUGGAAGUAACCAUCUUGCAAAAAAUUUGGGCAAAAGAUGGAUCGAGUUACAUCGCUACUUCAUCUACUGCCAAACACAUUUAGGAUUGUUCAUGUCCUUGUUACUUGCAGUUUCACCUUAACAAAGAUGUCAUGGACCAUGUUGAAAAUCUAAAUUGAUUCAACCCCAUGUCUUGCAUAAAAAUUCGCAAUACUUCAACUGUGCAUCAUUCGCAUACAUCCAUGCUUUUCAUUGGUUGCAUUGCUCAUUGCAUUCUUUCCUUGAAAAAAAAAUGAACUUAAUCAUUGUUAUUAAAAAGAAAAGAACAUGCUUUACGGCGCCCUUACCAAACCCGUGCUAGAGCUAGAGUAAUGGGUGAAGUGGAGGAGGUGCAAGAGCAGAUGAAGGCCGACAUGGAGGCCAUGUAAGAGAAAAUGGCCACAAUGAUGGAGGCCAUGAUGAGCAUGAAGAAGAUAAUGAAAGCCAAUGCGGUUACAAUUGCUGCUACCAGCACUAUUGCUAAGGUGAACCCGAUGCCCCCAUCUGAUCUCAACCAAAUGAAUCACCCAACCUCAGAUAUGGUGGGCAAAGAUUUGGGAAGUACGGAUGGCCCCAUGAUGUGAAAAUUCAAAAUGAGCACGCCUUCCCGCCAUAUGGCUUGCCUCCCAACUAUACACCACCCAAUGUGGCGUACACUCCUAAUAAGGAUGUCAAUAACUCCGCUCCCAUACUCAUUGAGAGCCGACAACCUCAUCAUGUACAUGUCUCUCAACCCAUGGGGGAGACACAUGAAAUUCCCCACCACAAUCUAGCAGACUUUGAGCCUUACCUUAGAUAUGCCACUAAAGGGCAAGCAGUUGGUGGUAUACCCCUGCAAAACACUUUGGAGGGCCUUCAGUUUCGCCCCCAACCACAACCUUUGCAUUCCACAGCAGGUAAAAUCCCUCCUAUUAUGGAAGGAAAGGGAAAAGUUGGAUCAUCUAGAGGAAAGGCUCAGGGCCAUUGAAUGAGGCAAAGAUUAUGCCUUUGCUAAUCUAGAAGAGUUGUUCCUAGUACCCAAUAUCAUCACCCCUCCCAAGUUCAAGGUGUCGGACUUUGACAAAGUACAAGGGGACUACUUGCCCUAAGAACCAUCUAAAGAUGUGUUGUCGAAAGAUGGGGGCAUACGCAAAAGAUGAGGAACUGUUGAUACAUUUCUUCCAAGAAAGUCUUACUGGAGUAGCUGCUACUUGGUACACUAACUUGGAACCUUCCCGAGUCCAUUCUUGGAAGGACCUAAUGGUUGCCUUCGUUAGGCAGUAUCAGUACAAUUUUGAUAUGGUUCCGGAUAGGAUGCAACUACAAAAUAUGUGCAAAAAGGGGCACGAAUCUUUCAAAGAAUACGCCCAAAGAUGGAGAGACCUGGCAGCUCAAGUGACACCUCUAAUGACGGGGAAAGAGAUGAUCACAAUAAUAGUAGACACAUUACCAGUGUUAUACUAUGAAAAAUGGUGGGAUACACACCUUCAAUCUUUGCUGAUUUAGUUUUUGCCGAUGAAAGGAUCGAAGUGGGUCUGAAAAGAGGCAAAUUUAAUCAUCCUGCUUCGAUGAAUGAGAAAACUGGGGCAAAUGAAGAGGGUGAGAAUGAGGGAGAAACCCAUGCUGUGACUGCCAUUCCUAUACGGCCAAGUUUCCCACCAAUCCAACAAUGUCAUUACUCAGCCAAUAACAACCCUUUUCCUUACCUACCACCCAGUUAUCCACAAAGGCCAUCCCUAAAUCAACCACAAAACCCACCUUCCACACAACCAAUGCUAAACACCACCUUUAGCACGAACCAAAACACCAACCAAGGAAGGAAUUUUGCAGCAAAAAGCCUAUAGAAUUUACCCCAAUUCUGGUGUCCUUUGCUAACUUGCUCCAUUAUCUACUUGAUACUACAAUGGUAGCCAUAACCCCUGCUAGGUUUCCUCAACCUCCAUUUUUCCGAGGAUACGAGUCAAACGCAAUGUGUGCUUAUCAUGGAGGAGCCCCGGGGCAUUCCAUUGAGCAUUGUAUGACCCUGAAGUGUGAGGUGCAAAGUCUAAUUGAUGCGAGCUGGCUGAAAUUUGAGGAGAAUCGCUUGUGAUUCCUAACAUUGACAAAUGACACCACACAUGGGGCAAUUUUGAAAGUUGUUGUUAGAUGUCUCUAAUGACUCAUCAUGAUUUUCAAGUUUAUGCCAUUAUUAUAAACCACAGUUACAAUGCUAAAAUGGAUGAAUUUGACAUCCUUGUCUCUCUCAUCCUCUCACAAACACAUCUUUGCUUAUUCAACUUCCACCGGAAUGUGAGUGUAAGCCAUUGGUUUGUUUUCUCAAAGCGACCUGCGUUCCUGAGUGUUGACUUCCAAGACCGUUCAAUCAGAGAUUACUCGUCCAGCACGUUGGUGGGGUGCCGUAAACAACGAGUAAAGCAGAAAAGGUCAAAAAGAAAAAAAAGCAUUUGAUUGACUGUGUUUUCAAGUAAAAAUAUAGACAUUCAUGUGACCUCAUUUUAUCAUUCCAGAAAUUUUGCCUUUUUAGAGAGAAGUGAGUUAUCAAGAAUAAGAGUCAUUUGACUUAAUCCGUCGAUUUAAAAAAUCCUUCAACUAUUUCUCGUCCUUGGAAAAUUAUUUUUGCAAGAAUCAACCGCUUCUUUCAUUCUUCCUUGCUACCAGGUUGUGAAAACAAAAAUGGAUACCUCAGAGCCCUACACUGGGGCAAUGAGGGGCAUCGUGCAUGAACCUCAAGUGAACAUAGGGGCAGAUUAGAAGUUCUCACCCAAUAGGUUCCCUGCUACAAGGUCAUGACAAAAGACAACGAUUGGUACCUCAAAGCCUUACACUGGGGCAAUGAGGGGCACCGUGCAUGAGCCUCAAGUAAACCUAGGGGCAGAUUAGAAGUUCUCACCCAAUAGGUUCCAAGCUACAAGGUCAUGACGAAAGAUAACAAUUGGUACCUCAAAGCCUUACACUGGGGCAAUGAGGGGCAUCGUGUAUGAGCCUCAAGUGAACAUAGGGGCAGAUCAAAAGUUCUCACCCGUCGAUGUUUUUAAACAAAAAAAUAGGGGGACAAACCCUGAAAUUUCAAUGGAUUGAUUAAACGUCAAACGACUUCAUUGCUGUCACUCCAAAAUGGUCAAGCGACUAAAUCAAAUAGAACAUACACUCUGAGGGAGUUCCCGGAGAGAUUUGCAAAAGAUAGGAUAAGGUUGCAUGAAUUAUCACCUCUUUCAAAAGGACAGUAAAUUUGUGUUUUCCAAUAAAAAUUAAAUCAAAAUCAAAAUCACAAAAUAGGGAAAAAAAUGUCAUGAACAUUGUACAACUUUCCAUUACAUUGCAUUGUUUUGUAUGAAGUCCGCAUUUACCAAAUUGCAUGACAAAGGUUGCAUGCAUCUGCAUCCCUAAAAAUCAUGUUAACUGCAUACAUUACCUACAUCUAAUGUCCAAUCUUUUGAAUUUUGGAUGACCGGCCCUCUCGAUGAGUCGAUCUCUCGCUUUCUCAUAAGGGUGGACCCUUGGGUACUAGUACCUAUCUUCUUUAGAGGACUACAUGUCCUCACCUUCAGAGGACUUCAUGUCCUCAACUUCAGAGGGCUACACGCCCUCACCAUCAGAGGACUACACGUCCUCUCCUUCAGAGGGCUGCACGCCCUCACCGUCAGAGGACUACACAUCCUCGCCUUCAGAGGGCUGCAUGCCCUCACCGUCAGAGGACUACACGUCCUCACCAUCAGAGGGCUGCAUGCCUUCACCUUCAGAGGACUACACAUCCUUGCCAUUAGAGGACUACAUGUCCUCGCCAUCAAAGGGCUGCACGCCCUCACCAUCAGAGGACUACACGUCCUCACCUUUAGAGGACUACACGUCCUCACCUUUAGAGGACUACACGUCCUCGCCAUCAGAGGGCUGCAUGCCCUCACCUUCAGAGGACUACACGUCCUCGCCUUUAGAGAGCUACACGUCCUCGCUAUCAGAGGGCUACACGCCCUCACCUUCAGAGGACUAGACGUCCUCGCAAUCAAAGGGUUGCACGUCCUCACCUUCAAAGGACUACACAUCCUCCCCAUUAGAGGACUAGACGUCUUCGCCUUUAGAGGACUACACGUCCUCGCCAUCAGAGGGCUGCACGCCCUCACCUUCAGAGGACUACACAUCCUCCCCAUUAGAGGACUAGACGUCUUCGCCUUUAGAGGACUACACGUCCUCGCCAUCAGAGGGCUGCACGCCCUCACCUUCAGAGGACUACACGUCCUCGCCUUCAGAGGACUGCACGUCCUCGCCUUUAGAGGACUACACGUCCUCAGCAUCAGAGGGCUGCACGCCCUCACCUUUAGAGGACUACACGUCCUUGCCAUCAGAGGGUUGCACUUCCUCACUCUCAGAGGACUACAUGUCCUCGCCAUCAGGGGACUACACGUCGUCGCCAUCAUAGCGCUACACAUCCUCACCUUCAGAGGACUACACGUCCUUACUGUCAGAGGACUACAUGUCCUCGCCUUCAGAGGACUACACGUCCUCCACUUCAGAGGACUACACGUCCUCGCCUUCAGUGGGCUACACGCUCUCGCCUUCAGUGGGCUCCACAUCCGCACCUUAAGAGAAUUUAAGGUCCUCUGCCCUUAAUGCUUAACCAAGACUUGCGCUCCCGGUUAAGGGGCCAGUAGUUUUCUUUUAUCAGCUCCGGGGCCACCCCCUGAUCUGGAGGAGGGCCAACUAUGCAAGUACAACCAGAGGAGGAGGCUAUCGCGUAGCUACUAUGCAUACCGGGGCAAGAUUUCACCCAUGCCGCUGCAAAGAGACGAGUGCGGAUCAUGCGCACCAACUUGACCACUCUUACACAGAUAUGGAUGACGUGGCUACUUAGCAACAUUCUGCCAGUGACCGCAAUGCCGAUCUCCCCCUGCAGAAGUAUCAGUUGGUCUAUGUCGUCCCGACAUAGGUAGGUAUGCAUUAUGUCCAACUGAUUUCUGACACAUCUACUAUUUGCAGGGAUCACGCCCACAAGACACCCAGUGGACCCGGAGGAGCCCAAUAGGGCCCUGGGGUUUCGAACUCUAGUUACGGGCCUCUGUCAGUCCUACAGGGUGCCUGUCACCCCAACAAGGUCAUGCCAUCAUGACAUAGGUGAGUAUGCACUUCUCUGAAUUGAUUUCUGAUGCCAUCUAUUAUUUGCAGGGAUCGCGCUCGCAGGACACCCAGUAGACCCGAAGAAGUCCAACAGGGUCUUGGAGUUGCCAGCUCUGAUUACGGGCCUCUAUCAGUUCUACGGAGUGCCUAUCGUCCCCAGCAAGGUCAUCAGGCCCCCUACUAAUCAAGCUUUCAUCAAGAAGUAUUGCGCCUCCAGGUAGGCGCAGGGCAAGAUACCACAGCAGCCUGCGAAUGGCCGACAGCGGGCCAUAGACGCACCGCCGCCACCUCCAGUUCACCUCAGCUCAUCCACAAAAAGGUUAGAGCGUUUCCUAUGACACAUGGCCGACCAAUAGGCGACCAAGUCCAAAGCCAAAGGUAAGCAAAGUACUAGGUCCGUGAUCGACAAGUCGUCAAGCGUCCAGCUCAAGACGUUAAAGAAGCGCUACUAGGAGGCAACCUAGUAACUUUUAAAUUUCUGCUUGUUAUAUGAUCACUUUUUGUUUCUCAAGUCAUAGUAGGACACACCUAGUUGCUCAUGAUCCUAGGAAUUUAAAUGAAACAAGCACAAGCUCGGAAGGUAGUCAUGCCUCACAAAAUAUAUAUAUAUGUAUGUUUAGGUAGUAAGAUACCUUGGAUAUGCAUGUAUAUAGCAAAGAUACCUCACAAAAUAUAUAUAUGUAUGUUUAGGUAGCAAGAUACCUUGGAUAUGCAUGUAUAUAGAAAAAAUACCUCACAAAAUAUAUAUAUGUAUGUUUAGGUAGUGAAGAUACCUUGGAUAUGCAUGUAUAUAGCAAAAAGAUACCUCACAAAACAUACAUACAUACAUAUAUAUAUAUAUAUAUAUAUAUAUAUAUAUAUGUGUGUGUGUGUGUGUGUGUGUGUGUGUGUGUGUGUGUGUGUGUGUGUGUGUGUGUGUGUGUGUGUGUGUUUAGGUAGCAAAAUACCUCAUGAAAAAAAAGGAAAAAACAAAAAAAAAACAAGAAAAAGAAAUAAACAAAUGAUAAAAAGGAAAAAAGAAAAAAAUAAUAAUGAGUUGUCUAGCUAAAAAACCAACAUGCUUUUGAAAAGAGAUGACUUCCAGCUUUUCUUUGAAAAAAUUCACUGAUCAUAACCAGUUUUUUAAAAAAAUGUGAAUACACCUGAAGAGUGAAUGCUGUGAAAAUUUUCCCGAACACCCAAAAUGGACUCGGAUGAAUGCAUGAAUUGAUAAAAGAACAUAUUUUGGAAACACUGGGUUGACUAAAAUAGAGAAAAUGAAUCCUGAGCCCUAGUAUCACUUGACCAUAAAAACUUGAUCUUUAGUGUCCACAUAGGUGCAUGCAUGACCAGUUUUGCAUAAAAUUUCCUAAUCAUCAUUGUUGCAUGUGUAUCAUGGAAAUAAUGUGGGACAUCCCCUUUAUCCCCGAACCCCUGGCCAAACCCUGACAUAUAUCAUGACCAGCCGUUCUACAAGCCUUGAGCCAAAAUCCUAACUUACCAUAAACCUUGACCCAGGGUGAGAAUGUCAAUCCUUGCCCUCGAAAGAAAACAAAGAAAGGAAAAUUCCCAAUCAAAGAGUGGGAGAAAGCAAAAAAGAAAGAAAAUUUCCAAUCAAAAGAGUGGGAGAAAGAAAAAAAGGAAAGAAAAUUCCCGAUCAAGGAUCGGAAGAAAACAGAAGAAAUAUGUAGAAAAGUCUUUGGACCAGACAAUAUCUGAACAAUACAAAAUUGUCGCCAAGUAAACGAAAAAAAGAAAGGAAAUCACGACCUAAAGUGGUCCUCUCCCUUUGAUUGCCAACCAAAAUCCUGCGCGUCGGUGGUUUGUUCUCCUCACACUAAGCAAAAACAGAAAAGGAAAAGGCCCAAAAACACUCAAAGCCAAAUUUCCCACCAAGAAAACAAACUGUUCCCAAGGAAAGGUCCUAUUGAUCCAUGAUCACGCAUGUAAUCUUUGAUUUGAUAGGAAAUGAUUUGCAAAAUCAAGUCAUGACAUAUCUAUGGUUCGGAAUUAGGAUGAAACACUUACCCGUGUGAGAUUGAUACACUUUGAGUGAUUUUCUUCUGUUUUUGUUGAACCCAGUGUUUCCUUUAAAUGGUCAUUUAGAAGCGAAAUGCUAAACAUCCAAAAUCUCAUUUAUGGUUAUGAGAAAAUUUCAUCAGUAUACUCUCUUUUCCCGGUAGACACAUUGUUUUUCAUCCAAAAAGCAUAUGUUGCUCUGAUCAGUUGGAAGUUUUGUCUCUUUACUAAAGCAUGUUUGCAUUUUUAGUGAAGAAAACACCGAGACUAUUUUAGUCUCCCAGUUAUCCAGAACUACGUAGGUCUGAGUUCCUCAUUGAGGAUACGUAGGAGCAAGAGCCUCGCUUUUGUUGGGCGCUCCACAAUCUCUGUUAUACUGGCCCUGAGGUCAUGUGACAUGCGGAGACAAAUUAUGGUCAUUCCGCACAUCUUAUCGCCAUCCAGACACGAUCGUGUCCAAUGGCACGCAGAGACAAAUUAUGGUCAUUCAGCGCCUUUUGUCAUCCAGAGGCGGCGAGCUCGAUGACAUGUAGAGACAAAUUAUGGUCAUUCCGCACACCUUUUCGCCAUCCAGACACGACCAUGUCCGAUGGCAUGCAAAGACAAAUUAUGGUCAUUCUGCGCCUUUUGUCAUCCAGAGGUGGCAAGCCCGAUGACAUGCAGAGACAAAUUAUGGUCAUUCCGCACACCUUUUCGCCAUCAAGACACGACCGUGUCCGAUGGCACGCAAAGACAAAUUAUGGUCAUUCUGCGCAUUUUGUCAUCUAGAGGCGGCGAGCCCGAUGACAUGCGGAGAAAAAUUAUGGUCAUUUCACACACCCUUUCGCCAUCCAAACAUGAUCGUGUCCGAUGGCACGCAGAGACAAAUUAUGGUCAUUCUGCGCCUUUUGUCAUCCAGAGGCGACGAGCCCGAUGACAUGCGAAGACAAAUUAUGGUCAUUCCGCACACCUUUUCGCCAUCCAGACACGAUCGUGUCCGAUGGCACGCAGAGACAAAUUAUAGUCAUUCUGCGUCUUUUGUCAUCCAGAGGCGGCGAACCCGAUGACAUGCGGAGACAAAUUAUGGUCAUUCCGCACACCUUUUCGCCAUCCGGAGACGAUUGUGUCCGAUGGCACACAAUUAACUUGAGGUCAUUUUUCCUUUUGGUUGUUCGGUGCUGAUCAUUUUCAAAAUUUUUGCAGGUUCCAUUGGUGGGGAGAUUGACCGACCGAAUGGUGUUCCGCUCAAACGGAAUUAGUGUCUUAUCUUUACCUCCCCUUUAUCUCCAAUAAAAGACAAGUAAAGAGGGGCAACUGUCAUACCCUAAUUUCGUCCGGGGACCAUCUGUUUGUUGGGAUGCGACCCUCGCUUGACCACUUCGAGGUACUUAACACCCAUCGUUAGGCAAUCUGUGAAGUUCCGCGACAUGUCGGGAGUCGAAAGGAAGCGUUAAUGCGCAAUCAGUAAAGUUUCGUAACAUUCCAGAAGCCAAAGAGGGGACGAUUGCGUAAUCCGUAAGGUUUCGUGACAUUACGGAAAGAAAACAAGUAUUGUUACGUAAUUCGUAAAGUUCUGUAACGUUACAGAAAAAGAAUCAGCAAAAAAGGCAAAAGGGGAGUGUAUUUAGUAAACAAGGGUGUGUAAAUAAAAAGCAGUGCAUUUAGCAAAGGGGAGGGGGUGAACUUAUCAAGAUCCUCCACGUUUUGUUGGAAAAUGGUUUCCGACGCUUCUGAGGCUUUUGUAAUGCUUCCGUAAAAUUCCUAAAACUUUGAGUAAGCCUAUUUCACUUAAUAUUGGUGAAAGAGAAGAGAAAAAAGGGAAAUCAAGUCCUAUAUGCUUGCUUAAAGCUUCCGUAAUGCUUCCGUAAAAUUCCUAAAACCCUAAAUAAACAUAUUUCACUUAAUAUGGGUGAGAAGGAAGAGAAAAAAGAAUAAAUUCAAGUCCUAUAUGCUUCCGUAAAGCUUCCGUAACUUUUUCGUAAAAUAACGAAAGAAGGGGGUGAACUUAACAAAAGGGGGGGGGGGGGGUUCAAAUAACAAUUUUCAAAUUUUCGAAUCUGGGCCCUUCCAGAAUAUUUUUGAAGCAAGGUUGCUUCGGAACCAACCCAGCUCUCCUGGGCGAGCUUGGCGGCAACCUCCUCCCUCUUUUUGCUAUUAAUAGGCGAAAGGUGGCUGUUCCAAAUAUCCAUCAUCCCCCUAGCUAUGCAUUUCAGCUGUUUUGGGUGAAAAAAUUGUUUCCGUGAAAAAAAUCCAAGCCAAGGUGCUUCCGUAACGCUGCCGAGAUUUUUCCAUGAGCAAAUCCGUGAAGGUUUUCCGUCGUUCUUCACCAUUCUUCAUCUGUUCUUCGUUCGUUCUUCGUUCUUCAACGGGUAAGUUUUUGAAUCCGAGUCUUUCAAUUCAUUUCUUGUUUUGUUAGCUUUCAUCUUUAUUUCGUACACUUUUGAUUUUCUUUUCUUUCGUUUUUAACGAGCUUUAACCGUUUAUUUAAGUCGUUUUCUCACCUUAUAAUGAUAAAAUGAAUUUCAACCGAUCAUAUGUGUUGUAAUCUCUUUUAAUCACUGUUAAAAUAAAAUCUAACCGAUCGUUAAUGUUGUAACCUCGGUUAAACCAAAAAAAGCAAAAUAAAUAAUAAAAUAAUCAAAAUAUCUUGAAAAAUAAAAAUAAAAUAAUCAAAAUAUCUUUGAAUAAAAUAAUAAAAAAAAUCAAUCGGACGUUUUUCUUUAGAAGUUUCCUUGGAUAAUUUGACUAAUAACCAAAGUGAAACUAAGGCUAAAAUCAACUCACAAAUCAAGCUUUGUCCGCAAAAAUCACUAAAAACCGUUUUAAGGUCCAAUGCCUUAAACGAUUCUCUUUGCUUUUAUCGGUUAACAUGGACCGUUCAAAAGCAUGAAAUCAACAUGCAACUUUACCGCUUUUGCAAGAACUACGUAGGUCUGAUUUCCUCAUCGUAAUUGAGGAUACGUAGGAGCAAAAGCCCCGCUUUUGUCAACCACUCCAAGAGAUCGUUAAUGGUCCAACGCCUUAACGUUUCUCUCCUUUCAAAAACAAAAGAUCAUUUAAUGGUCCAAUGCCUUAAACGACAUUUGUUCAAUCAAAAUAUAUCUUGCAAAAAAGAUAAGAACAACUUAACCAACGUUCAGUUCUCGAAGAACUACGUAGGUUUGAUUUCCUUACCACAAUUGAGGAAUACGUAGGAGCGAGGGAAACACCCUUGUCGACCACAAAAAGAUAAAAAAAAUAUAAAAGGCACAAAAAGACAUAAAGACGUAAAAGGGAACAUAAAACAAAUUGAAGUCAUGUUUGCACAUUUGAUUAAAGGCUGCCGUCCCUUGUGACAGACGCGUGGGGUGCUAAUACCUUCCCCGUGUGUAAAUACAACUCCCAAACCUUUCACUUAAAGUUCGUAGACCACGCCUUUUUCGAUUUUUCCGACGUUUUCCUCAAACAAACGUUGGUGGCGACUCCGUGCAUUUUCCUCCCAUGGAAGACGCACCCGCGAGCCCUCGUGUCGCCCUCCCGCCGAAGGGUAGGUUGCGACAAGGCUCAAAUGAUAAAACUGCAUAGUUAAUUUGACAAUUAAGGCUAAUCAGUAAUUAAAAUGGUGACAAAAAGGGUUAGGAAAUAGGAGAAAAUAAUGACACAUCAGUGUCUCACAAGCUUCUCAUUCAUCAAAGUUAUGACAAGUGUUACACAUGUUUCCAUUUAUAGUCUAACACAUGGGAAACUUCCUUGAGAAGUAAGGAAGGUAGCUCCCUUGGGUAGCUAGAGGAAGAAAGCUUCAUUGGGAAGCUAGAGGGGGCUAAACACACCCUUCCAAUAGCUAAACUCACCUUCAUUCCAAAAUACAUGAAAAUACAAUAGGAAGCUUCUUUGAGAAGCAAGGAAUGUAGCUUCCUUGGGAAGCAAGGAAGAAAGUUUCCUCGAGAAGCUAUAGGGGAGCUACUCACACCCCUUCAAUAGCUAAGCUCACCCCCAUGCAAAGAUACAUGAAAAUACAAAAAAGUCACUAUGACAAAGACUACUCAAAAUGUCCUAAAAUACAAGGCUAAAAUCCUAUACUACUAGGGUACCCUUAACUUGUACCCUUAAUUUGUAGGGUCCCCUACAAACCUAAAAUGGCCAAAAUACAAGGUCCAAAAGAAGGAAAACAUAUUCUAAUAUUUACAAAGAUAAGUGGGCUCAUACUUAGCCCAUGGGCCCAAAAUCUACCCUAAGGCUUAUGAGAACCCUAGGGCCUUCUCCUGCAUCUGUGGCCCAAUCUUCUUGAAGUUUUCUAUCUAAUGCCCUUGGGGGGUAGGAUUGCAUCAUCCCCUCCCCCCUAAAAAGGAUUUGACCUCAAAUCCAGAGGUUCUUGAAACUCCUGGCUUCUUCCUUCAACACCUGUAAAAAGAAAUAAAACAUAUAUAUUAGUGGUGUUGAGUAUGUUAGAGUAGGGUGAGGUCUGAAAUACCCUUUCCUGGGCAUCUUCCCAUGAGAUAACUUGGUUCUUCACCAACUCAAAGAGUGGUACUACAAGUAUAGAAAAAUAUGCGACAAACCUUUUGUAAAAGUUUGUUAAGUCAUGGAAGCCCCAAAUUUUCCUUAUACUUGGUGGAGUGGGCCACUCAGGAAUGACCUUUAUUCUCUUAGAGUCCGUGGGAACCCCUUGAUCACUAUUUAAAAAAUUAAGAAAAUAAUGUAAUAAAACAUACCUUUUCUGUAUUUUCAUGUUGAUUACUCCUACCAAAAAGUAUGAAAAACCUAAGGUGUCCCAUAUGAGUACCUUGGUUUGUAUUGAAACCAAAAAUAACAACAAACCUACCUAAUGAGUCCCUAUGUAUGUGAAUCAUGAAGAUGUUGGAUGUGUGGGUGAUUUUACAAAAAGAGGGUUGCACACCACUCAACACAUUCAUCAUACCACCAAAAGCACAAGGAUUUAAGCUCUUACGACCCAAACCCUCAUCCAAAAACUCAUUUACUUAAGGAAUAACCUCAAGCUCAAUAGGUAUCGUAGUGCUAACAAGUGUUCUUUUAUAGAGGAGAAAAUAUGGAGGUUGUAUAAGAAGGGAAGUUUCUUUAAUAUUUGUCUUUAUUGCAAAAUGACUUUCCUUCUUAGCUAACCUUUUGGAGGAGACACUUACCUCCUUACACUCCUCCUUAACUAUUAAAGUUAGUUCUUCUUAUCUCUUUCUAUUAUUUUCCUUAUCCCUCUUAUCUUUCAUAGUUAGUUGAUCUUUGGCCACCAGUGAAGGUGUUUGAGGAUGCAACACAAGCCUUGUUCCAAGGUGGGUGAGGGUUAUCUCAUUAGUUAGGCCAUUAUAGAUGAUUUUCCUAUCAUAUUGACAUGGCCUACCUAAGAGAAGGUGUCCUGCCUCCAUAGGAACUACAUCACAAAUCACUUCAUCCUUAUAUGUCCCAAUGGAGAAGGGCACUUUCACUUGUUUCUUGACUAUUGUCUCCCCUUGCUCAUUGAGCCAUUGAAGUUCGUAAGGCUUUAGAUGGGGAGUGAUAGCAAGGCUCAACUUAGAGACUAAUCUUGUGUGGUAACAAUUGAAACAUGAACGACUAUCUACAAUGAGAGAGCAUGUGUUAUAAAAUUUUUUACUCCUUGUAUGAAAAAUAUUCCCUCUUUGAGAUUGGGUCAAGUCACAAGAUUGGCCUCCUAGAAGCCUUUUGACCAUUAAAAGGUCCCCUUCUUCUUGGGGGUAGAUUUCUUUAGUAGAUUCUUCCCCUUUUGCUUCUUCACUUUCACUAUAGGAAAGUGAGGUAGUAGCCUUAUCUUGGCUACUAUAAAUGUCUUUGCUGUAACGACCCGCCUCGUCGCUAUGAUAUCACCACUCUAAACCGCGAAAGUUACAAUUUUUAAAUGAAAACUCCGUUAAUUUGCUUGUGAAAAAUGAAAGUAAUUUUUUUUCUUGAUAUACAUUCACCAAACAACAUACCAUUACUUAAGUGAAUAUAUAUAUAUAUAUAUAUAUAUAUAUAUAUAUAGUAACUCAGUACACAUCAUUCACAUAAUGGAAAGUAAAUUUGUUCAUACAUAUAAUUAAAUUUGUGAUUUACAUCCUCAAUUCAGCAAAAAGAAUUAUGGAACCAGCUAUGGAGGAGUUGAUUAAAAAACAUAACUCUCUUCCAAAAUAAUCCCGACGUCAUCAUGUCAGCUCGGUGGCUCCACAAAAGAAUCUCAAUUCUCGUACUCUACUGCUAUCAUUAUGCUCCCACAAACAAAGGUUCACGAUCAUCACAAGUACCAACCACACGGUACAAAAAUUGUGAGGGGUGAGUUUAUUAUAAAAGAAAUUAAUACAAAAUCAAAUAACCACAAUUAUUAAGAAAACAUUAACAAAUAUCAUAAGCUUACACAAACAUUCAUUAGUCCAACACACACUCAACAAAUAGUCAUCAUCCGUUCAUAACUCCAAUCAAUCAUGCUCAGUAUGAUGCAUGCACCUGACCUCAAAUGCAAUAUGGUACCAUCCCCAAGGAAAUAGCCUAAGCAUGUCCGCACGAUACUCUCACUUAGGAAAACUCGGCAGCAAGUGUCAAGGUCACCCUGUGCUGCACAGGCAACUCCCCCUCAGGGUGAUCAGCCUGAGUCUCAAGGGAGUUCCAAACUGAGUGACAAGGCCCCAAGUACAAGCAUUCCUCCUCAUGAGAAACUACAAGUACUUACUGACAAAGUUUAUACUAUUUCCAUAUCAUAUGAAGUAUGAAACAUGGGCACCAUCAAUGCACUGAUUGUGGAUAAUUAAAGAUUCUAAGCCAUCCCUUUCCAGAGAUGCUUAAAACUCUUUAACCACUCUAUUUCCCGCACCAGGGAUAUCCAACAAGGUCACUGCACCCCCCAUGUACAUACACAACAUACAACGUGUGAAACAUGGGCACCAUCAAUGCAUUGAUCGUGGAUAAUUAAAAAUUCUAAGCCAUCCCCCUCUAGAGAUGCUUAAAACUCUUUAACCACUAUAUUUCCCCCACUAGGGAUAUCCAACAAGGUCACUGCACCCCCAUGUACAUACACAACAUACAUUAUCAUAAUGACAUUUUCAACAUCAUCAAUAUCUCAUCUCAAUAUCAUUAUCUACAUCAACAUUGCCUCAUCUCAUUUCAAUGACAUUAUCAACAACAACACAUCAUAUCAUAUUAACAUAAUCAUCAAUAACAACAUCAACUCAUAUCAACAUAAUCAUCAAUGACAACAUCAUCUCACAUCAAUUAAUAUCCUCAAUGAUAGUAUCAUUAGUAAGUCGCAUUCCGCAUAUACAUACAUGUAUAGUUCAUGCAUGAGAUUCACACUCCCCAGGUCUUAAGACCAUACAAGUCUAAUAGAAACAAUAAUCUUAUUCAUCAAUGAUAGAUAUAUCGCAUUCCAUUAGUCAAAAACAUUGUUUUCUUGAAAACCAACAUGCAACAGGGACAGACAUACAUCCCCAUAGUUAGGUUCCCUGAACCCAACUAUGGUAUUAAAAAUGGUAAAGGAUAAUAAACUCCCCUCACCUAUCUUGAGCUCUCCGUUAGUUCCUCUUUGCGUCACUCAGAGGUUUCUCUCAUUCAUGCUCGUUAGUCCAAACGCAAGGUUCUAUAUACCAAAUUGAAGGAAAUUUAGUAUAGAUUUCAAAAACAAGGUUAAUAAUAAUAUUCGAAGUCAAAUACCCCUGUCAAAACAUAAACGGCUGAGGGGUGUUUCAGAUUCUACUAAAAGGAGACGUCAUUUUAAAAUUCCGAUCAUGCCAAUGUGACUGGGGUUCAGUGAAAGUCACGAAAAUAACAUCAAUGUUAUAAAAGAUAACUUUUACAAUGUCUCAUUCUUAAGGGUUUUUCAAAGGAAGUGUAAAAACACCCUAUUACAAUACCCAAAACACAAGAGGCACUAAAAGAAACUUAAACUAGCUAGGAGAAAGGCUUAGAAGUCAAGAUUAGCUCAGAGACACUACAAAAUGAAGGAUUGGGGGAAUUUUCUCCAUUGAAUCCUUGAGGAGGAUUCUGAGGAUUCUUCUCCGAUUACAACGUUCUUCUUGGUGUGGAGGUUCGGCGGAAAGCAACAGCGACUAGUGGUGGCCAUCGGUAGUCAUGGGUGGUGGACAGGGAGGUGUUAGGGUUUGGGUGGUGUUUGGAGAGGAGGAGAGGGGGAAAUUGUGUUUUUACACUGAAGAACAUAUUUAUAAUCUAUAGAUCUUGCUUAGCGAGCUUGUCUCGCUAAGCAGGAGUCCACUUUUUGCGCUUAGUGAGAAAAUUCACACUUAGCGCAACUCCCUCUGUACUAAGUCUCACUCAGCAUGCUAAUUCUCGCUCAGUGCAAUUCCCUCUCGAGUUGGAAUUGCACUAAGUGCGCCCUUCACGCUUAGUGAGACAUUGAAAGUUGUUAUUUUAAAAAUCCCAACGGUCAGACCGUGGAGACUUGUCUUAGGAACCUCCAGACAAAAGUUGAAGACAAUCUAAUGGUUAAGGAAUCCUGGAUCACUAUUUUACUAAAAUUUGAAAUAUCAUAAUUUCAACUUAGUUCAACAAAACUCCACAUAACUCAACAUCCACACCAAGAAAUUCACACAUGACUAAUUCCAGCCAUACCUCAACUCAUUCAAGUCAACCAUAUAGUAAAAUAAUAUGAUAAAUACAAUUAAACAUCGAUUUAUAAUUAGUAAUAUUUUAGGGUGUUACAACUCUCCCACCCUUUUAGAAAUUUCAUCCCCGAAAUUUACCUGACUCAAAAAAGGAUGGAUAGGCUGCUCGCAUCUGACUUUCUAAUUCCCAUGUGGCAUAUUCUCUUGAUGCACCUCCCCUGAUCACCUUAACCAACAAAAUUUCCUUCCCUCUAAGGUGCUUUCUUCGUCUAUCCUCGAUCCUCAAAGGCAAUGUUUCAUAUGUGAAGUUCUCUUUCACUUGUACGUCAUCCAAUUUGAUCACAUGAGAUGGAUCAUGGAUAUACUUACGGAGUUGAGACACAUUAAAGACAUUGUGAAGAUUAGAAAGAAAUGGGGGUAAUGCAAUUUGGUAUGCGACAGGACUGACUCUUUUAAGAAUUUGAAAAGGACUAAUAAAGUGAGGUGUUAGUUUUCGGGAUUUCAAUGCUCGACGAACCCCAGUCAACAGAGUGACUCUCAAGAAUACAUGAUCACCAACCUCGAAUUCCAGGUCUUUCCUCCUCUUGUCCUGAUAACUUUUCUGCCUACUCUGAGAAAUUCUCAUCCUCUCUUGGAUCAACUUGAUCUUCUUAGUGGUUUGUCGUACCACUUUAGGUCCUAAGGUGAGGUCUUCUUUGGGAUCUAGCCAACAUAGGGGUGUCCUACACCUUCUACCAUAUAGAGCUUCAUAGGGAGCCAUGCCAAUGGUAGAGUGAAAACUAUUGUUAUAGGUAAACUCUAUCAACGACAGAAAACUCUCCCAACUACCCUUUUGCUCUAAGACACACGCCCUCAAAAGGUCCUCCAACGAUUGAAUGGCCCGUUCAAUUUGGCCUUCAGUUUGAGGGUGGUAGGCUGAACUUAUUCUAAGCUUGGUUCCCAAUGCUCAGUUUAGGCUCUCCCAAAAUCUAGAGGUAAACCUAGGAUCUCUAUCAAACACUAUGCUAGAUGGCACACCAUGUAAUCUGACAAUCUCACUAAUAUACAGGGAGGUCAACUUCUCCAAGGAAAAUAUGAUAUUAAUGGGAAAAAAGUGAGCAGACUUGGUCAAUCUGUCAACAAUAACCAAGAUAGAAUCUAAACCUAUGGGGGUCCUAGGUAGUCCUACAACAAAAUCCAUGGAAAUACUGUCCCACUUCCACUAGGGUAUCUCCAAGGGUUGUAUCUUCCCUGAAGGUCUCUGAUGUUCUAUCUUAGCCUUCUGAUAGACUAAGCAUGCAUACACAAACUCACUAACUUCUCUCUUCAUCUUGGGCCACCAAAACAACAUCUUCAAAUCCUGAUACAUCUUGGUAACACCAGGAUGGAUGCUCAGGUUACUCCUAUGUCCUUCCUCCAAGAUCAUCUUCCUAAGUUUAGGCACAUUGGGAACACAAAUCCUUUCUUGAAGUCGCAAGGCUCCAUCUGAUCCAACAUUGAAACUACUAUCUCUUCCUGACUCUAUAGCUUCAAACUGAGUCCUUAGAAAAUGAUAUGUCUUUUGGCCCUCCCUGAUAUCUCCUAGUAACUCACUGUAGAUCCUCAAAGUUCCUAAUCUCACACUAUUAGGGGUGUCGCAACCUACCCUUCGGUGGGAGGGCGAGGCGAGAUAAAAAUUGCGUCUUCUCAUGAAGAAAACACGUGGAGUUGCCACCAACGUUUACUCGAGGGAAAAAGUUAGAAAAACCAAAAAGACAAAGGUCUGUGAAUUUUGAAAAUAAGGGUUCAGGAUUUGUUUACGCACAGGGCUGCAGAACUCGCUAAGCGCGCAUCUGUGCGCUAAGCCCAAAACCUUCUUGGGUUUUCUAAUUUUUGAACUGGGCUAAGCGAGUCUAUCCCGCUAAGCGCGUGAAUUUAAAAUCUAAAAAUUCAGACGUCACUGAGUGCUCACUUAGCAAAUCACUCGCGCUAAGCGAGACAGUUGAAAUUGCCAAAAAUAAGACAUAACUGCCUUAGGCAGUUACUUUUGUGCAAAUUAUAACUUCCCUAUCUCAUCAUUGGCAUUCAUCUGCACUAUGCUCACAAUUCCUUGUGUUCUCUGCUUCUUUGCUUCCAUCUUGCUUACACUUCCUCUGCAAUCCAAGUAAGUGCCCAUUUCUUUCUUUUUAAUUUUGUUUUUGAACCCUAGGGUAGAUGACAUUCUAAGUUUUCUGUGAUUCUACUGUUAUGAGUGUUGUUUAGAUUUUGUAGUUAGUUGUUUGAUUGUAGGUUGUUAAAGCCUUAGUUUUGUAGGUAAUGUAGGUUCAUUUCACAUGUUUUGCUUAGAGUUCUUAGGCCUAAAAGUUGCUCGAAAGUGGGGGCUUUGAAGCCUUACUUUUUUUGGAAAUUUCGAUGUACUCGCUAAGCGACUUCAUCAAUUUUGGAUGAAUUUCUGGGUUUUCCGAUGAACUCGCUAAGCCAGCCCUGUCCCGCUAAGUGUGUUCAUCAUUUCUGUUUGAAUUUAUGCUUUCAUGUAUGAACUCACUAAGCCACUGCACUUCGGCUUAGCGAGUGUUUAAAUUCCCAGUUUUUAAUUUCUGAAUUCAUAUGAACUCGCUAAGUUGGCAUGUCGCGCUAAGUGAGUUAGUUAGUUAGGUCUGAGUCUAUAAGGCUUUUGGUAUUCUGGUUUCGGAUAAGCGAGCCACACUCACUAAGCCACCAGGCCUCUAUUGUUUGAAUAAUCAUGGGCUAAGCGAGUCAGUCUCGCUAAGCCUAAGGAAAUUUAGUUGUUCUGAAAUUUUGUUCAUGCGCUAAGCGAGUCGCACUCGCUAAGUGCAAUUUCUUCUCUAUUUUUGAAUAAGGCUUAGCGAGCCUGCUCACUAAGCCAAUUAAGUUCCAGUGGUCAAGUUAGACUAAGCGCCCACUGGCGCUAAGCCUGUAUAGUGUGUUGCGCUAAGUGAGCCUGUCUCGCUAAGUGCAAUUAGCUUUCUGUUAGAGAAUAAGGCUUAGCAAGCCAUACUCGCUUAGCCAUUGUGCUGUGUCAGCUAAGAGAGUGUGUCUCGCUUAGCCAGAGUCUUUACUUUUUAGUAGUCGUGCUAAGCACGCCCUGCAUGCUAAGUGUAUCAGGUUAUUUUCUGAAGGCGCACUAAGCAAGUCUGUCUCGCUAAACCAUUUUUCUGUUUUAAUUUUUUUGCUUUUAGUUUUGCAUAAAACCUGUAUAAUUUUCUUUCCUGUGAUUCUUUUGAUGCAAAUGGCCUCUAGGAAAAGGAAAUCAACCGCAUCCUGACCUCAGGAACCAUACGACACUACUAGAUUCGUCUUAGAGGUCGCCUGGGAAAGAUAUGAGCAGAAUGUUCACUCUCGGAACAUACUUCUGGAGAUGAAUGUUAAUUUAUUUGUGACAGAGUAUGAUGAGUUCCGUUGGGAGCUCAAGAGGAGGCGGUGACAUAAAGCCUUGAUCAGGCAGCCUAACGGUCACAUUGAUGUGGCCCUAGUCAAGGAGUUUUAUGCUAAUUUGUUUGAUCCAGAGGACAAGUCCCCGAGGCAAGUUCGAGUACGGGGCAAGCUGGUUAAGUUUGAUGGGGAGACGCUUAACGCAUUUUUGGAGACCCCUGUAGUUUUGGAGCCAAGGGUGUGCUACACAGCUUACUCCAGGUUCUGCCACACACACCCAAACCCUCAGGAGCUUGCUUCCAAGCUCUUCAUUCCAGGGCAUAAUUUUGUUUUAAAUGCUGAAGGAGCGCUCUGGAAGCUCCUGAGGAAGGAUUUGACCACUCUGGUGCAAACCUAGAGCAUCCUCUCUUAUUCUAACCUCGCCCCCACUUAUCACACGUCCGAUUUGAAUAUGGACAAAGCGAGGUUCGUUUAUGGACUCGUCACGAGGAUGGAAAUGGAUGUGGGCUCGUUCAUCUCUAGACAGAUAUCACAGAUGGCCCAGUCCAACUCCUCCCAGCUCGGCUUCCCUACCCUUAUCACUGCUAGAGGAUUUGUGCCUGACUCGUUGACCUUCAAGUCCCUUAGCCCUGCCAUUAAUAUGGCUUAUAUCAGAAAGAACUGCUGCAACCCGGAUGAUCCCACGAUCACAUAUCUGGGGACCCGACACUUCUGCUCCUUCCUCCUUUGCUCUCCCUGCUCCAGCUCCACCAGCACCACCAGCUCCCGUACCAGCACCCUCCGACACCUCCGCUCAGAGCACAUAGAUCUUACGGCCGAUACUGCAGAGCCAUCACCAUGGCUUAUGCCUGGUGAUGCAGAGCAUUCACGAUUUGGCUCAGCAUCAAACCAUUGUGAACAUGGAGGAUUUCAUGGCACAUGUGGCCUGGCCAGGAGUCCAGCCUUCUCCUGUGGGGGAAGGUGAGGCUCCUACAGCCCAGGAGCCGUAGCUAGAGCCAGAGGCGACACUUGAGGCUACACCGGAGGAGACUCCAGAGGUCAUUCCUGCUUCCACACCCGCUAAAGACAUAGAUUAUGUAGCAGAUAUGGCUGCGCCUCAGAGCACCUGGGAUCCCUGGCCCACUCUAGCAUAGGAUAUACCUUAGCUAGCCCAGGAUGCUCCCUCCACACCUCAGGAUGACCCCACUCCAGCACAGGAUGAUUGAAGACAGGACUUUAUUUAUAUUUCUGCUUUUUAGAUUCAAUUUUUAAAUUUCAACUUUAGUUUUAGUUUAUUUACUUAUUUAGAAAAUUUUACAGUUUUUUUAAAAAAUAGUUCACAUUUAUAUGCAUAGUGGAUUGGUUUGGUUUUAAAUUUUUGGUGUUUGUGAUUGGUUUUGAAAUUGGUUGAUUGCAUGACUGGAGUGAAUUGCGAUGUUAGAUCACGUGCUUUGAAUAAGUAUGCAGUAAUUAGAAGAGAAAGAACAUGAAUUAGGGGCGCGAGUGAAAAUGUUAGUUUGUUUGACAAGUAAAUAGUGAAGGUAAUCAUUAGCCAUAACCCGGUGAGUUGUGUGAACCUUAAUUGUGAGAGAACGACUAGCAUUGAGUACCGAUUUUUGCAUGAAUCUCUGAAUACUGAAUGAAUGCAUGAUUUUGGAAAUGAUGAAGGUCGUGAUUGAUUGAAUUAGCCACUUAGCCAAAUAGCUUACCCUGUUCUUGAAUGAUGAAUCCUUUGCACCCGUAUUGAUCCUAAAUCUGAUUGAUUGAGUUGAACCCUAAGCCUAUUAAAUUAUAAUCUCCAUCUACCUUUCUUUAGGUUGUAGGAGAGCAUUGUGGUUCAAGGCAAAUUUGUUCCAAAUUUGGGGGAAGGUAUUGGGUAAUGAUGAUUGUGGUAAGACAAGCAACAACCACAGAGAACUUGUACAAAGAAGCAGUAAGUAAAAAAACAGCUAAAAUAAAAAAAAGAGAGAAAAUGAAAGUUUUAAGAAUAAGCACAGUUUAUGUGUGUUGUUGCUUAAGUUAAGUGUCUUAUAUGAUUGUGGCAUUUCAAUAGAAGCAUGGAAUAAAAAGAAAAAGGUGAUCUAAGGAUGAAUGCUCUGCUAGAACCUAAGUUUUUGCAUCCUAGAAAAACCAUGAAUUGUUGCAGCCUAGCCUCAUUACAAGCCAAGAAAGUCCUUCAAAUUCAAUUUGUGUGUUUGUGAUUGAAUGUCAUGAGAUGAAAUGCAAAAGUUAAGACUUGUGUUGGUUGUUGAUUUGAAGAAUUACCUUAAACACUUGUGCUUAUGAGAGAAAUAGUGACCGUGAGGAUUAGGCUUGAUGAACCUUCCUUGAUACCUGUCUUGCUUGCUAGCUUAUUUCACUUGUGCUGCUUAAAAAUCAUGUUCAUAUCUUUUGAAACUCUGCAUAUCUUUAUGAAGAGUUGUUGGUUGAAGUAUUGCUCACCACUUAUGUCAUGUGAUUGAAUGCUUUAAAACAAACACAUUAGAUUGGUUAACCACAGUGAAUUCCGUCACUUGAGGACAAGUAAACUGUUAUUUCUUUGCUUGAGGACAAGCAAAACUGUAAAUUUAGGGGAGUCUAUUAGUCGCUUUUUAUGACUAACUUUUGUAUUCAAUAGUUACAUAAAAUUAGCAUCUUUCCUCCAAUUUAUGGUUCUUUUUGUAGGAAUUAUACAUAUUUUCAUGUUUGUUAUUAUUUUAUAUAGUAAAUACUCCCAUUUUGUGAAUUAAUGUUGAAACCACUUCAGUUUCAGACCAAAAGAAGAUAAGGUUCAAGUAGCUGAUGUCUCGCUAAGCGAGGCAUAUGCGCUUAGCGAGUGACAUCCGCUAAGCGAGGCAUGCAGCUUGCUUAGCAUGCUAGUAAACCCCAGAAGAGGAUCAGUCAGAGAUGUGCUCGCCCAACGCGCUGCAAGCUCGCCCAGCGAGUCAUUUGUCUCUUCUCAUGCUCAGCGUGCCCAGCUCGCUAAGCCAAAUUUCACAUACUCUCGCUAAGCGAGCCUUCAGAAGUUGAAAUGUCAAGGAGCCUUUAAAACACUGAAGUUGGCAGAAACCAAAAAAAGAAGUUGGAGGAGUAAAAAAACAGAGCCAAGGGAGAAGCUGAAGCAACAGAAUUCAAGUCACCAAGAGAACUUUGAUUAGAGGAGUGAAAUUAGGGUUUUAGAGGUUGAAGGAGACAUCCUCAACCCUUCUUUGCCAUUUUCUUUCACUCAAACUUUGUUCUUCCUUGUAUUGUAAGCUUAUUUCUUGUAAUGGAAGGCUAAACCUCUUUGUUGGGAAGUUCUGCUGAGCCUUUGAUGUAAUAUUCUUUCACUAUCUAUUUUAUUUUGUUUUUCUGUAUUCAUUGCUUCUAUCUAUGCUUAUUUUUACAUGCUUGUGGCUUGAUCACCCAUUUCUAUGUAUAGUUAGGAUUUUUAGCAUUGGAAAGUGCUUUAAAGCCUGAGAACUUGGUAGAGCAAGCUACAAAACUGUAUGUCUAGGAAUGGAGUGUAGCGAUCUAGUCCAUUUUAUGUUGUAGACUUAAUGCAACUCUUUUAGGCUGAGUUUGUUGAGGGAUCAAGGACAAGGUUUAAAGAGAGUUAGGCUCAUUCACUAGAGGGAUCUUGGUUUGACUAGUUUCUCAGCAUAAGAACACUAGAAUAGCAUUAGAUAGAGAAAAAUCCAAAACAACAUCAAGGAAAAUUCAGUAGAACGACCCAACGCUUUUUACUUGACUAUUUUUACUUCUCAAACUUUUGAUAUUUAGUUUAUAGUUAACUAGAUUUUAACACAAAAACCCAACUUGAUAUUUACUUGCUUUCAAUUUAUACAAAUGUUUGCUCAUUGAAUGUAUAGUUCUGAGUGAAACAAAUUCCCUAUAGAUACGAUACUCAAUCUUAUCAUUUUAUACUACUUGUGCAAAUCGGUGCACUUGCCGAAGAGCGUAUCACUUGCCCCUCAAUGGCAUAUCUGAGGUGAGGUUCAAAGUUGGCUAGAUCGUGGUCUCGAGGUGCUUCAUGUGUCUCCCCCAUGGGUGGAGAGACACGUGCAUGAUUAGAUUUGGGUUAUUGGCUGUCAAUGGGUAUGGGUGCGGAGUUGUCGACAUUCUCAUUGGGAGUGUGUGCAACAUUGGGCGGUGUAUAGUUAGGAGGCAAGCCAUAUGGUGGGAAGGAAUGCUUGUUCUGAACCUGCACAAAAUGGGGGCCACUUGUACUUAAUAACGCUUCGCCUCCUUGUCCUACUAUAUCCGUGAUUGGAGGAUUUGCUUGAUUGAGGCCAUAUAAGUGAUUUGGGUCCACUUAUGUGGCGGUACUUGCGGAAACAAUUGUAGCCGCAUUGACCUCCAUAAUUUUUUUCAUACUCACCAUGGCUUCCUGUUGGAACAAGUGGUCUCAGAAUAAUUAAGAAGGGGGGCGGGGGGGUUGAAUUAAUUAUGAACGUGUCUUGACUAAUUAAAAUUUAUCCAUCUUAAUUUUACUAGAUUCAAUUAGGCUUUACUACUAAGUUAUGAGAAAGUAAAGAACAAAACCAAUAACUUAGAAUGAAUUUGGCAAAGGUUUUGCAUGAGAAAAGCAGUGGAAAGUUCUAUGUAAUCAGAUGUGUUUUUCUAUGUUAUUGUAUUUUUAAAAUGCGUGCCAAGGUCUUAUAUUUUAGAACCUUGAUACCUUUUGAGAAAACCAUGUUAAAAGUUAUAACUCUUAACAUUUUCUUCAAAAACAUUAACUGGUAAUCGAUUACCAUAAUGGUGUAAUCAAUUACACAAUGUAUUUUAUAAAAAGUUAUGACUCUUCACAGUUGGAUUUGAAUUCCAACGUUCAGAUUCACUUGUAAUCGAUUACUAAUAUAGUGUAAUCAAUUACACUAUUUGAAAAUCAUUUUGGAACAUUGCAAAGCAUUGAAACCAGUUUGAAAACCAUUCUGGUCAUUGGUAAUCGAUUACUACCAAAUGGUAAUCGAUUACCAAAGAGUAAAAACUUUGGUAACUUAGAAGAUUUCAGAAAAUCCUUUUCAAACAAAAAGUGUGCUAUUUGAUGUUUUUUGAAAAAAAAAAAUUUACUACCUAUUUUGAAUUGGCUUGAUGCUUCUUGAUUUCUUCAUUUGAUUCUUGAAUCUUUGAGUGGAAUCUUGAAUGCUUGAUUCUUUAAUCUUGAAACAACUCCUUGAGCUUUGGCAUCAUCAAAACAUCUUGGUGAAUCAUCAUGGUAGCUUGGUGAAUCAUCAAAACAUGCUUGGUGAAUCAUCAAUUUAGAUUUUCAUUAAAACAACAUGGUCCAUCACAUCUUGUCAAAGUGAAACUGGAAAUAAAACAUGGACGUCAAUAGUCCAUAAUUUUUUGUAAAUUAUUUAGCUCAAUCAUGCAUUGGAAGUAAACAAAGAAACAAUGUAACUUGAUCCAUCUUCUGCCCCAACUUUUGAAGCUGGUUGCUUCCAUACUUGACCUUGACUUGAUGAACCUUUCCUUAAUAGCAUGUGCUUGGUUCAACCCCAUAAUCCCAGGAAUAGAAAUUUUGAUCGUCAAUACUUUGACAACAUAUCAAGAAGAUGAAUCACUAGGGCAUACUUAUGCUAUGCAUGCCAAAUGUAAUUAUGAGAUUGACAUGAGAUGCCUGAAGAACCAUCAUUUCCUAGUUAACAAUGCAUUAGGUACCAUGUUCACGUGAUUUUCAAUCAUUUUCCCAAGAGAAAUGAGUGUAUAAUCCCAACAUGGUUGGUUUAUAGCCAUCAUCAUGGUACCCAACACAUGUAACUAAAAAUGCGGUGUAAACUUUCAUGCUUUAUGGUGACUUUCUUUUGUUCUUUUUUUGUUCUUUUUUUUGUUUUUUUUGUUUCCUCUUUUUUUGUAGAGGAAAAUGCAAGGAUCAUGCAUGAGUGAACAUAAUAUGCGAACAAUGAAAAUAAAAUGUAUGCAGUUGGCAUGCUAAAUGAAGAUGUAUGAUAAUGCAAGGAUUUAUGCAAAUGCAAUGCAUGAAUAUGAUAAAUGACAAAUGUAGGAAUGAUAUGUCCAUCAUGAUGCCAUGAAGAAAUGCAUGAUGUAAUCAAGGAACAAGCCAAAGUAAGUUUGCUAUGUGCCCCCCUAAUUUAGGAACCAUAUGGACAGGAUCCAAAAGUCCUCUUCUAGUGAUAACUCCCACGGGUGCUUUCAUGUAACUUUAUUGGCUUCUAGAGAUAUCAUCCUCUUAGGUAAUACAUUGUGGUGAUAGGGACUAUCAGCGACAAUGCAUCACUUAAAGAGGAAAACUCUAGAUAAGGCUUCACUGUCAUCAAGCGAGUCGAAGACCCAACAUGACCACAGAUCUACCUCCACUCCUUAUGGCUCACAUAGACUCGCGUAUAGGGCUUAAUAUCUCAAUGUGUGUGCGAGGUGUAGGUGCCAUGUGUGCAAAGAAAAAUAUUUCUAACUAUGAGUUUAAUAGUCACCAACUAUCGCAACCUACCCUUCGGCGGGAGGGCGAGGCGAGAUAAAAAGUAUGUCUUCUCAUGAAGAAAACGCUUGGAGUCGCCACCAACGUUUAUUCGAGGGAAAACGUUACAAAAACCAAAAAGACAAAGUUCUGUGAAUUUUGAAAAUAAGGGUUCAAGAGUUGUUUAUGCAAGGGGAAGGUAUUAGCACCCCACACACUCGUCACAUGGGACAACAACUUUUAAUCGAGUGUGUAAAACAUGACUUCAAAAUUAUGUAUUUUCUUUUUUAAUAUUUUUUAUAUAUUUUCCCUUUUCAUAUUUUAUGUUUUUGGGGUUGGCAAGGGUGUUGCCCUUGCUCCUAUGUAUCCUCAAGUGCAAUGAGGAAUUUAGACCUACGUAGUUCUUUAAGUUUGAAAGUUUGUGUGUUACAUUGAUUUUAUGUUUUUUGAAAGAUUGAUUUUAAUUUUGAACAAAAGUCAUUAAGGCGUUGGACCUUGAAAUGAUCUCAAGUGAUGUUUGAUGAAAAACGGAGAUAAUCGUUAAGGCAUUGGACCUUGAAACAAUCUCAAGUGAUAUUUGAUGAAAUGAAGAAGUUUAUAAGUUGGUUUUAUUUUGGUUUUUCUUAUUAACCUUCAAUCUUUUUUAAGAUAACUUGCGGCACUGAUGAUCGGUUGAAACUUACUUUACAAAAGAAAAGCGAUUACCGAUGAUAGGAGAAGGAGAUGAAGAUGCACAAAACAAGAAAGAGGACCCCUAAGGGAGGAUAGAUCGCAUUCAAAUCCUUAAAACAAAAACUAAUAGGAUGAUGAACGAAGAACGAUGUAGAAGUCGAUUACGGUCGCAAUUUGAUAGCGCCUCGGCCUCGUUUCCUCUUCUUUCUUCAUCUUGUUUCUCUCCUCUCUCAAUUCCCUCCAUUUCUGAGCUUGGAACCCAUAAAACAACCCCUAGAAUGCCUAUUUAUAAGCAAAGGGUCACUUUGGGGCAGUUGCAGCUCGCCAAGGUGAGCUAAAACUUAGUGUUGAAGGAAUGACCUCGCCUAGGAGAGUUGGUUUCUUCACCAGAGGCUAGCCUGGGCGAGCUAGGGUCUAGGAAACCAAGGAAAAGACCCUUUUGCCCCCUUUUUUUUGGUAUUUUUCGCAUUUUUGAUCAAAACACUAUGUCAUACCCUAAUUUCGUCCGGGGACCUUUGCUUGAUGACAUGCGACCUUUCUUUGGUCCUUGUGAGGUGCUUGGCAUCCAUCAUUAGGAAAUUUGUGAAAUUUCAGGACAUGCCGAAAAACCGAAAAAUAUUGAUGCACAAUCCGUAAGUUUCCGUGACACACCGGAAAUCAAAUGGAAGCAUCGUUGCAUAAUUAAGUGAGAUUCCGUAACAUUCCGUAAGUCAAAAAGGGGAUGAUUAUGUAAUCCGCAAGGUUCCGUAACAUUACGGAAAGAAAACAAGUAUCGUUACGAAAUUCGUAAGUUUCCGUAACUUUACGAAAAAAGAAUCACCAAAAAACAGCAGAGGGGGUGUACUUAGUAAAAAUGGGGGUGCAAAUAGCACCCAGGCCCACUUGGGCCCUCCAGAAUAUUCCUCCAGAAGGCUGUUGCUUCUGGAGGAAGCAACCUGGCUCGCCUGGGCGAGCUGGGCGGCAACCACCUCCCCUAUUUUGCUAUAAAUAGGGGAGGAAAUGAAGAAGGAAGGGGUUCAGCCCCUUAGGCACUUCUCUCUCUUUCGAAUUUGCUUGGAAAAAUUGUUUCCGUGAAGAAAAUCUAAGCCGAGGCGCUUCCGAAACGUUUCCGUAACGUUUUCCGUGAGGAAUCUCGCAAAGGUUUCAACCGUUCUUCGACGUUCUUCAUUCGUUCUUCAUCGUUCUUCGAUCUUCAACGGGUAAGUACCUCGAACCAAGCUUUUCGAUUCAUUCUAUGUACCCGUAGUGGUCCACAUUGUGUUUCGUGCAUUUUUAUUCUCGUUUUGUUUACUUUUUAUACCCCCUGUUGACGUGCUUAAGUCAUUUUACUUAAGCCAUUUCUCGCUUAACUUAAAAAUAAAAUCAAUUUCCACCGAACGUUUGAAUUGUAUUAUCCGUUAACUUCGGUUAAAAUAAAUUCCGACCGUUCGGUCGUGCCAUAAUCACGUUGGAAAUCAAAAAGAGGUAAAAAAUAAUAUAAUAAUCAAAAAAACAUCUUUUAGUAAAAUAAAGCGGAAAAUCAAUCGGACGUUUUCUCUUUGGGAUUUCUCAUUCUUAAUCGAAUUGAUUAAUAACUAAAGUGAAACUUAAGGCUAAAAUCAACUCGCCUAGUCGAGCUCGUCCACAAAAAUAGGCUUUUGAAGUUUGUCAUUUCAAUUUCUCACUAAGUAAAAUGGAUCAUUUUUAAGGUCCAACGCCUUAAAAUGAUCACCUCUUAAAAUAAAAAGAAUCACUUGAUAAGAAAGAACUACGUAGGUCUGAUUUUCUCAUCCCAAAUUGAGGAAUACGUAGGAGCAAAGGGAAACACCCUUGUCGACCACAAAAAAGAGAAAAAUAUAAAAAGGGUAUAAAGGAUAUAAGGACAUAAAAGGGAACGUAAAAAUCAAAGUCAUGUUUGCACAUUCGAUUAAAGGCUGCCGUCCCUUGGGACGGACGUAUGGGGUGCUAAUACCUUCCCCGUGCGUAAAUACAACUCCCGAACCUUUCACUUAAAAGUUCGUAGAUCGCGUCUUUUCCGGUUUUUCCGACGUUUUCCUCAAAUAAACGUUGGUGGCGACUCCGCGCGUAUUCCUUUCGUGGAUUCCGCAUCCCGCGAGUCUCGCGUCGCCCUCUCGCUGAAGGGUAGGUUGCGACAGUUGGCGACUCCACUAGGGACCUUUUUUAGAGAGUUAGGCCAUUUAAUCUUGUGCAAAUGCUUUACCAUGACUUACUCCUUUGUUGUUUUCCUUCAUUAUGUACUUGUGUAUAUAAACUCUUUGUUGCUUUUAGUGCGUUUUAAAAUGUAUGCAUGAGGUAAAUAUUUAUUCAUUUGAUGCACACAAACACCAACACUAUUUGCACACACUGUGAGUGAAAAAGGGCCCUAUACCCGGGUUCAUGGGAACAUAAGGAGUGGAGGUGAAUCUGUGAUCAUGCUAGGUCUCCGACUUGCUUGAUUACAGUGAACCCUCAUCUAGAGCUUUUCUCUUUGAAAACUUAUUGUUGCUAGUAGUCCCUACUGCUGCAAUAUGUUCUUCGAAGGGGAUGAUACCUCUAGAAACCAUCAAGAGAGAUAUGACUACCUUGGGGAUUAUUACUAAAAGCCUAGUUAGCUCUUUCCCUUAUAGGUCCCUUAAAUAGAGGCACGGAGCAAACACGUUGCGUGCCAUUUUUCACACUGCCAUGCAUAAGUAUCAUAUACCCUUUUGCUUAUAUUUGUUUGUGAAUAUUGUCGUACUAUGUACAUCCCCGUGUUGUGCCUUUCGCAUAUGCAUCAUGCGUAGGUUUCGUCUUCGAUCCCCUCGCUUUAGCAAACCAACGAAGGGUCCGUGUCACCAUUUUAAAUACAUACGUUGGGGCACUUUGCUACCCCUAGACAUUGUAUCUAAGAAGGAGACAGUUUCUCGGGCUCCCGUAUUCGUAAAUUACACCUGUGUCAUAUGCAUUUCUUCAUGCAUUCAUCCAUUCCACCCAUGAUAGAUGUCGGAGUUUUGAUUCGAACUAGAUUUUAUUUCACUUUAGUAAAACAUGGGAUCAAGUCAAAAGCCUUCGCUUAAAAAGAGGUUCUAUCAAGUCAAAAUCAAGAGCUUAGAGGUCACUAGUUUACGAGAGUUGGGGCAAUUAAUGGGUCAACUUCAACAGCAAGCCUUCCGCAAAGCCUAUGGUAAGAUUUGGGACCUAGCUAGGGUAGAAGUCUCCAUGGAACCGAUUGCAUCCCUUUCCCAGUAUUAUGACCAGCCCCUAAGGUGCUUCACAUUUGAGGACUUCCAGCUAGUGCCGACUUGAAAGAGUUUGAAGAAAUCCUGGGAUGCCCACUGGGAGGAAGGAAGCCAUAUCUUUUCUUUGGGUUCUAUCCCUCCAUGACAAGAGUUGCCAAGGUAGUGAAAACCUCAGCACAAGAGUUGGACCGUGUAAAGCAAAACAGAAAUGGAGUAGUCGGAGUACCAAGGAAGUGUUUGGAGGAAAAGGGCAAAGGCCUUGGCAAAAUCAAGGCGAAUGGGCUUCUUUUAUUGACAUCUUGGCGCUUUUGAUCUUUGGAGUUGUCCUCUUUCCGAAUAUGGAAGGGUUGGUGGACCUAGCAGUGAUCGACGCUUUUCUCGCCUAUCAUAACCACAAAGAAAGCCCGGUCGUCGCCAUUUUGGCCAUGUAUGACACGUUCAACCGGGGAUGUAAAAAGAGUAACGCAAGAAUUGUUUGUUGUGCACUGGCUCUCUAAGUGUGGCUGGUUUCACACCUUUUUCUCCAAGAAGGUAGGCCCGUCUAUCCGCUACAAGGUCACCGCUCGUGCGUCGAAAAAGGAAAGGCGAAUUGGGACCAACUCUUGGCUAGCAUGGAGAGGCGUCUGUUAAUUGGUUCCCUCGCUGGAAGGAAGGAAGAAUCAGGAUUCUAUCUUCAUGCGAAGGAUGUCCAAAUGUCCCUUGAUGGAACAAGGGGUUGUAUUAAUUAUAAUCCCGUCCUCGCCAUAAGACAGCUUGGCUACCCCAUGAGAGGAGUGCCAUCAGACGAAAGCAUCACGCCUUUCAUCGCACGGGGUUUCAGUGACCACAACGCGAGAGUACUCCAAGGAGUUCGCAAGGCAUGGGAUGCGGCGUGAAGAAAGGACAGAGAGCUUAGGGGAAGCAGUAAUGGGAUCAUCGGCGGCUAUCAUAUGUGGCUGAGAGUCCGAACACAAGGAUUGGAUUGGCUCCCAAAUCUAAAGACUGUGAGAGACGAUGAGGUUAAAGCUUCGGAAGAAAGUGAUGAGGUACAAGCCCUAAAGGCAAAGCUUGAAAGAGCCCGGGUAGUCGAAGAGAAGUUCAAGUCCAUAGCCAUCAAAGUCUGAAAAGAGUAUGAUGAACUAAGGGACGUCAAUAUGGCCACCGCUGAAGCCUUGGAACGAGAAACCAAGAAGGCCCGAAAGGAAGAACACAACCAAAGCAAAGUUUUGAGGGGCUUUAUAGGGCAGAAAUAGUGAGCUCAAGCUCCGAAGAGGUGAAAGGAAUCAUCAUGGGUCAAAGGCAUGAUCUUGAAGGACGAGCUAAAGGCUUGCCUUAGGUCGAAAAGAAAUUUGUCCCAACAGUUAAAGCGAGACUGAAGGGAAUAUGUGGGCCAUCAUCGAUGAGUGCAAAGAGAAGCUAAAUCUAGCGGCGACUAACGAGCAAAGGCUAGAGGAUGAGUACGCCAAGAUAUCAGCAGAAAGGGAAGCAAGGGAAAGGGUAAUUGAUUCGUUGCACCAAGAGGCGACAAUGAGGAUGGACCGAUUUGCUCUUACUUUGAACAGGAGUCAAGAACUUCCUCGAUUGCUAGCCAAGGCCAAAGCAAUGGCGGACACCUACUCCGCCCCCAAGGAGAUCCACGGACUUCUCAGCUAUUGUCAGCAUAUGAUAGACUUAAUGGACCAUAUGAUUAGAAACCGCUAGGAAGUUUGUAUUGUCGCUCAGAUCUUGACUAGUUAUAACUUUUUGAAAAAAAUGAGUUUAUCCCACGUUCUUACUACAAAAAUCAGUGCGAAUCAAGUCACUCCCACAUUUUAUCUCUAGCAUGCAUUGUAUGUUGGUCUCGUCCUUUGUCACGGGAAGCCGGAAGGUCCAUAUCACCUUCUUAAUUGUACACAUGGGGCACUGCGCCCCCAAAUGCGCAAGUAAGAAGAGAUAAUUUUCCGGGCUCUCGUGUCCAUAAAAUGUGAAAUUCUGAUACCAGGGGACAGAUGUCGUACGGGAUGUCACGACAUCACGCUUCAGAACAUGCAGAUUAUAUGUGUCCGUAUGAACAGAUUAAACAAGUAAAUAACACAAGAGAAUUGUUAACCCAGUUCGGUGCAACCUCACCUACAUCUGGGGGCUACCAAGCCAGGGAGGAAAUCCACUCUCAAUAGUGUUAGUUCAAGGUCUAACAGCCCCUGUUUACAACCUUCUCACCUAACCACUACCCGUGCGAUCUCUACCUAAGAGCCACUCUUAGAUAUGAGAACCUCCGCUCACUCCCUCUCACUCACACUCCCGUGUUUACAAUUAAGUCAAAGACACACCAGAGAUCAACUCUGAACAAAAGAGAUCAACUCUACACACUAGAGAUCAACUCUACACACUAGAGAUCAACUCUACACACAUAGGUCCAACACUUGAUGUUAGGGUACCAUCAAGGUGGCUCACAAAUUACUCAAGUCCCAAAACUCACAAAAUAACUCUUCGAUCCCGGACUUGGUACAGAACUCGUGCAGCCUCCAUGAUUAUAUAGCCGUGUACGAUUCUGGGCUGCAACUCCUUGAUGCUGGAGGAGAUCUAUCUUCUUCUGAAAAAUCUGCAGUUAAAGAACUAAAAGAUAACUUUUGAUCUUUUAGUUUGAAUCUUUAAUCUUUAAUCUUUAAUCCCUGAACGAACUCUUCUACUUUGAAAUUCAAACUUUAAUGAUCUUUUAAUUCGUUCCUAAAGAUAGAUCUUCUUAUCUCUUGCUAACUGCACAAUAAUCUGUUAAAGAUAUAACAGAAUUAUAUGUCCAGUAUUAUCGGGCCGGAUGUCAGGACAUCGUAUCCGACAUCGUGGAUCCUGCAGCUUCACUUCUGCACUUGACUUUUAUCUUGCAUUGCACAGCAACUCCAGUAUUCUCGAGCAGGAUGUCAGGACAUUGUAUCCGACAUCGUGGAUCCUGCAACUUCAAUUCUUCAUUUGACAUUUUAUCUUGCCUUGUGCAUUGUGCAGCCCGAUCUCAUUCCUUGACAUAACGUUGGACAUCAUGUGCAGCAACUCCAGCUUUCCUUCAUUGUCUAAGUGCUUAUGUUUUAACAAAAUCUUAGCCAAUCUUUUAAAGCUCAGUAGAGCUAAGCACUAACAAUCUCCCCCUUUGGCAAAUUUUGUCUAAAACAUACUUAGACACUUCCUGAGCAGGUACGAGCAGUUAUGCAAGUGGGAUCAGCAACUUCCAUUAUCAGAGUAAUCAAGCACAGCGGAAAUUCUUCAAGUUGCAAAUCUACAAGUCUUCUCCAGGAUGUCAAGACAUCUCUCGUGACAUCAGCUUUCUGCUACUGCUCCCCCUGUCUCCAUGCUUACUGCAGCAUCUUCUAUCAGCUACUAGUCUUUUCCAGGAUGUCGAGACAUCUCAUGUGACAUCCGCUAUCUGCUCCCCCUGUCUUCAUGCUCUUACUGCAGCAUCUUCUAGUAGCUUACAACAGUCAUCCUCAGCAGCAGUCUCCCCCUCAAAAUCAUAUUCAUACAACUCCAUAUUCAUACAACUCCCCCUCAAGAUCAUGAAUCAUGCAUACACCGUAUCCUCAAGAUCAUGAAUCAUGCAUACAUCGUAUCCUACUAUCCUACUGCCAUACAUCAUACAUUCAACAUAAUCAUGCAUAAUAGCAAGCAUAAUACUAUUACUCCCCCUUUUUAGACAUAAAUUUGGCAAAAGUAGGAUGCAUGAAAUUAAUGUGCAAAUAUUACAGACCCAUAGUAAACAAUUGUUCAAAGGGACAUGCCCCUUUAACUAAUAACAGUAAAAGCAAACAUAAAGGUCUGAUGAUCAUGGGGUGGCUUCAGAAUCAUCAUCUGAUUCUGUCUCUUCUGCUGCAUCUUCCUCUUCCUCAGCAGCUUCUUCUUCUUCCUCGGCUGCUUCUUCCUCUUCUUCAGCAGCUUCUUCUUCUACUUCAGCUGCUUCACCAUCUUCCUCAGCUGCUUCACCAUCAAUGCCACUUUCUGAGAGCCUUUUGAUCAGCCGUUCCAGCUCCAUCUUCUUCUCUGUGUUGGCUUUGAUGGUUGCUUCCAGCACCUUGCAUGUGUCCUUGAGUUCUGCAAUCAAGGCAUCCUUGGACACAGCACCUGAAGCAGCAGCUUUCCCUGAUGUCGAGACAAUGUCUGGGACAUGUGUCCCCUCAAACAGUUUAUAGUGCAGGGAUAGAGGAGAUUCUCUUUUCAUCACAGAGUCAGUGUAGUUUAACAUAUUGGGAUGCUGACUCAACAUAAUGCCACACAAUACAGUAGGGAAGGCAAUGGGUAAUUUGACAGCAAAAGAUUCUGAAUGCUUAACAGUUUGAUCAAAAAUAUAGUUUCCAAAAUUAAAUUUGGACUUGGUUCCAACAGCAUACAGAAAUUUACCCAAACCUGUGGCAACAGUGGAAGUAUGAUUGGUGGGUACCCAGUUUGCAGCACCAAUCCUGUGUAGAAUUGCAUACUUCACACUUAGCUUCCCUGCUGAAAGCUUCCCUUUCUUUGGCCAAUGCUGGACUCGUUUGGCAGUGAUUUCCUUGGCAAUUUGAUGCUCAGAAACAUCAAUAUCUAUCACUCCAUCAGUAGGUCUGCCCAAAUAUUUGUUGAUCACAGCAGGGGAGAAUCUAACACACUUUCCUCUGACAAACACUCUUUGAUAAUCAUCACUUUUUCUGUUUGAUAUGUCAGAGGGAAUGUUGACAAUGAAUUCCCUGACUAGGCCUUCAUAACAGUCUCCCAACUUGGUGACUGUCUUCAGCAGUCCAGCAGCCUUGAUGAGGUCCAUGGUCUCCUUGCAAUCCAAGGCAUCUCUUCCCAGUUCUCUUUCAACCGCAAGUCUGCGUUGAUACACAUAUUUCCACUUUUCAACAUUGCCAAUGGAGUGGAAAGAGAUGUUGUCCAAUGGUGCAUCAGGAACAUUUCCAGGCACCUUUCUUCCAGAUUUCUUGGCCCUCUUAGAUGUCGAGACAUCUAGUUCGACAUCCUCAUCAGAAUCGGAUGAGGAAAUUUCUUUCCUUUUCUUGGAGGGGAUAACAACCUUGCUUCUUCUGGAUGUGGCAGGAGUGAUUGGAGUACUCUUCUUCUGUGCCAUUGUCUUGAUUCGUCCAGACCUCUUAAGGGGGGUUUUUCCCUUUCUGUUUUGAAGUCUUUCCGCAAUGCCAGGUGCCAACCUGUUGGCAAUGGGUUCUUCAUCAGAUUCGACUUCUUCCAGGUCAAUGAGGUCACCUGGAGCAGGUUCUGGUGCCCUUGGUGCAGGGGUCUCCUCUGCGGCUUGAUCAUCUUCUUCCAUUGAUUCCUCUUCACUGGGUGAAGGGACGGCUUCAGCAUUUGGAGCGGAAGAUGUUGGAACAUCUUUCUCAACAUCAGGCACAGACACAUUCGGGGUGGAAGAUGUUGGAACAUCUUUCUCAGCAUCAGGCACAGAGGCUUCUUUCAAAAUGCUACUCACAAUACUGCGGAUUUUCUUGUCCAUCUCCGUGUCUACUUCCCUAGGACUUGUUGCAAGGCUAGGGUUUUCAGCAAUCUUCACUCCCUGUUGUCUUCUGGGAACCAGUUUCUCAGGGACAGAAGCUUGACCAGGAAUUAUUUGGAUGGGUUGGAUGUUGAAUUCAGGUUGUUCCUGGUGCGGAGAUGAUGGUACUGCGGGUGAACCAGAAGCGGAAGUUUCUUUUGGUGAGGUAGCCAUGGAAAAGCAGAGCGUUUGGAAUGAUUUCGUAAAUCUCAGAAGGCUGCUGGUAAAAACACGAAUGCCAAGCAGAUAUAAAUUUGAAUGAAGAAUGUAGAGGGGCGUGUGAGGCAACGGUCGAAUUUGCUUUGUGGUGAACGUGCUAUUAAUGUUAAGUGAUUCGUUUGGGCACGUUCAGAUUGCAGUAGCUGCUAUAAUUCCUCUAGCAGACAAAUGCCCAGCUUGCCCCUCAGUUUUUCAAACUGAUUUGCAUCCAAAGCCUUUGUGAAAAUAUCUGCUAUUUGUUCCUCAGUGUCAACAUGCUUCAGUGUGAUCACUUUAUCAUCAACAAGAUCUCUGAUAUAGUGAUGUCUAAUGUCAAUGUGCUUGGUUCUGCUGUGUUGAACAGGAUUUUUAGAAAUAUUAAUAGCACUCAUGUUGUCACAGUACAAUGUCAUGACAUCUUGUUCGACAUUGUACUCCUUCAGCAUCUGCUUCAUCCAAACUAGCUGUGAACAGCUGCUUCCUGCUGCAAUAUACUCGGCUUCUGCUGUAGAUAGGGACACACAGUUCUGCUUCUUGCUGAACCAUGAAAUAAGGUUGUUCCCCAAAUAGAAGCAUCCACCAGAAGUGCUUUUUCUGUCAUCUGCACUUCCAGCCCAAUCAGCAUCACAAUACCCAACCAGCAUUGAAUCUGAACAAUGACAGUACAUAAUCCCGUAGUCACUGGUGCCAUUUACAUAUUUCAGAAUUCUCUUUACUUGAGUCAAGUGACUUAUCUUAGGAUUGGCUUGAUAUCUUGCACAAACACCUACUGCAUAGGUGAUGUCGGGUCUGCUAGCUGUUAAAUAUAGUAAGCUCCCAAUCAUGCUUCUGUACAGACUUUGAUCAACACUGGUGCCUGCUUCAUCCUUUGACAGCUUCAAGUGAGUAGGUGCAGGUGUUCUUUUAUGGCUGGCAUUCUCCAUUCCAAACUUCUUGACAAUGUUCUUUGCAUACUUGCUCUGUGAGAGGAAUAUGGAGUCUUCCAUCUGCUUCACUUGGAGUCCCAGAAAAUAAGUCAGCUCUCCAACAAGACUCAUCUCAAAUUCAGAUUGCAUCUGUUGGACAAAAUGUCGAAGCAUCUCAUUCGACAUCCCUCCAAACACAAUGUCAUCAACAUAUAUCUGUGCAAUCAUCAAGUUUUCACCAUCUUGUUUGACAAAGAGAGUCUUGUCAAUUCCUCCCUUCCUAUACCCUUGCUGAGUAAGGAACUCUGUCAGCCUUUCAUACCAAGCUCUUGGAGCUUGCUUCAAUCCAUAGAGAGCCUUCUUGAGCCUGUAUACAUGAUCUGGAUGAGUUGGGUCUACAAAUCCCCUUGGCUGCUCCACAUAGACUUCUUCAUUCAGGUAUCCAUUCAGAAAUGCGCUCUUCACAUCCAUCUGGUACAGCUUGAAUUUGAGGAUGCAAGCUACACCAAGUAAUAAUCUGAUGGACUCAAGUCUAGCAACUGGGGCAAAAGUCUCAUCAAAGUCUACACCUUCAAUCUGAGUGUAGCCUUGAGCAACCAGUCUGGCCUUGUUUCUGGUUAUGACACCUUCUUCAUUGGUUUUGUUCUUGAAGAUCCACUUGGUGCCAAUCACAUUAGUUCCCUCGGGCCUAGGAACUAGCUCCCAUACUUCAUUCCUUUUGAAUUGCUCCAAUUCUUCUUGCAUAGCAUUGAUCCAGAACUCAUCUGUCAGUGCCUCUUUCACAUUCUUGGGCUCAAUUUUGGAGACAAAACAUGAGUUUGAGACGAUCUCAACCUCCCUUGAUCUUGUAGUGACCCCUCUGUUUGGAUCUCCUAUAAUCAGCUCCUUGGGGUGCAUCUUCUGGAUUCUAAUGGAGGGUCUCUUGUCAGGUUGGUUGAUGUUUGAAUCAUCUGUAGCAGGAUCAGAGUUUUCUGCAUUUUCUCCACUUUUAGCUGCAUCUGCUACAUUGUCUCCCGAUGUUCUGACAUCUUCUUCGACAUCCUUCUUUCUUGCUGGAGACAGAUCAUCAACAACCACAUUGAUGGAUUCCAUCACUGUUCUGGUUCUGGAAUUGAAUACUCUAUAUGCUCUGCUGUUUGUAGAGUAUCCCAGGAAUAUUCCUGCAUCACUCUUGGGAUCCAUCUUUCUCCUUUGCUCUCUAUCUGCCAAGAUGUAACAUGGACUUCCAAAGAUGUGGAAGUGCUUGACAGUUGGCUUCCUCCCUUUCCAGAUUUCAUACAGUGUGGUUGGAGUGCCUCUUCUAAGUGUGACUCUGUUGUGGAUGUAGCAUGCUGUGUUCAUGGCUUCAGCCCAGAGAUUAUAGGGAAGUUCUUUGGCAUGAAGCAUGACCCUAGCAGCCUCUUGCAAAGUCCUGUUUUUCCUCUCAACUAUCCCAUUCUGUUGUGGUGUAAUGGCUGCAGAGAACUCAUGAGUGAUGCCUUCAGAUGUGCAGAAUUCAGUGAACCUGCUGUUUUCAAAUUCUCUGCCAUGGUCACUCCUGAUUCUCUUGAUGACACAGUCUUUUUCUCUUUGAAGUCUUAGACUCAACUCUUUGAAUACUUCAAAGGUUUCUGAUUUCUCUCUGAUAAAGGUGACCCAGGUAAAUCUGGAGAAAUCAUCCACAACAACAUAGGCAUACCUCUUUCCUCCAAGGCUUUCAACUUGCAUAGGCCCCAUCAAGUCCAUGUGAAGUAGUUCCAGCACCCUGGAAGUGGUCUGAUGUUGAAGCUUCUGGUGGGACAUCUUGACUUGCUUUCCAAUCUGACAUUCACCACAGAUUCUGCCUUCUUCUAUUUUCAGAUUGGGAAUGCCUCUAACAGCACCUUUGUCAAUGAUUUUCUUCAUGCCUCUUAAGUGCAGAUGUCCAAAUCUUUGAUGCCAUAUUCUGACUUCAUCUUCUUUGGAGGAUAGACAUGUGGAGGAGUAGCUGGUUUCUUGGGGUGUCCAUAGGUAACAAUUGUCCUUCGAUCUGCUGCCCUUCAUUAGAACUUCACUCUUCUCAUUUGUCACCAAGCAUUCUGACUUUGUGAAGUUUACAUUGAACCCUUCAUCACACAGUUGACUGAUGCUGAUCAAGUUUGCAGUCAGUCCCUUCACCAGCAGUACUUUGUUCAGACUAGGAAGUCCAUCAUGAGCUAGCUUUCCCAUUCCAAUGAUCUUUCCUUUAGAGCCAUCUCCAAAUGUCACAUAGCUAGUGGAGCAGGGCUCAAUAUUCAGCAGGAAUUCUUUGACUCCUGUCAUGUGUCUGGAACAGCCGCUAUCUAGGUACCAAUCUUCCUUAGCUGAUGCUCUAAGUGAAGUAUGAACAACAAGACUGACAGCCUUGUGUUUUGGAACCCACAUCAUCUUCUUUCUGCUGUUGCUACUUUGAGUUCCAUGAUGUGGAUGGCCAUGUAGAUGAUAGCAAAAGGGCUUUAUGUGACCAUACUUGCCACAGUAGUGACACCUCCACUUCUUUCUUUUGCUCUUUUUCUGCUGCAUUCCAUGAUGUCGAGACCGAUGUUGUGACAUCGUGGCUCCAGUCCUGUUUUUGGCAGGAACAAAUUCUGUCAUGGUUGUUCUGCCAGCAGACUUAGGAUUAAAUCCAAGUCCUCUCUGGUUUCCAGCAUUCUUUCCAAGCAGCAGCACCUCAUUAAGCGUAUCUGAGCCUUUAUUCAGCAUCUUUAUUGAUUUGGUCAUGUUUUCCAAUUUAGAGUUCAGAAAACCGACUUCUCCUUUAAGCUCAGAGAUCUCCUCUUUAUGUGCCUCCUUUUCAGCCUCCAGAUCUGCAAUGACCUUCUUCAGUUGUGCUUCUUGCUGAAGAAUCUUCUCACUUUUGAUGCAUAGUUCUCUAUAGGAUGUAGCAAGCUCGUCAAAAGUGAUUUCACUGUCUGUAUCACUUGAAUCUUCAGCAGAUUCAAAUCUCCCAGUGAGUGCAUUCACAUCUCUGUCAGAGUCACUUUCUUGUUCACUCUCUGUAUCAGAUCGACAUACAGAAAGUCCUUUCCUCUGCUUCUUGAGAUGAGUGGGGCAUUCAGCUAUGAUGUGUCCAUAGCCUUCACACCCAUGGCAUUGAAUUCCUUUGCUGUGACUGGGCUUUACAUCUGAUCUUUUCUGGUAUUUACUGUCUUUCCUGAUGUCGAAAGGGAUGUUCUGGACAUGUGGUUUCUGCCUCUUGUCCAUUCUGUUCAGCACUUUGUUGAAAUGCUUUCCAAGGAGCACAACUGCCUUAGUCAGACCUUCAUCAGUAUCCAGGUCAUACUCAUCAUCUUCUCCUUCAUCAUUGGACACGAACGCCAAGUUCUUGCUCUUCUUUUCAGCCCCAUCCGAGAGUCCUAGCUCAAAGGUUUGAAGGGAACCAAUGAGUUCAUCCACUCUCAUGUUGCAAAUGUCUUGGGCCUCCUCUAUUGCAGUGACUUUCAUGUCAAAUCUCUUAGGCAAGGAUCUGAGGAUCUUUCUCACCAGCUUUUCAUCUGUUAUCCUCUCUCCCAAGGCAGUGCAAGCAUUGGCAAUUUCAAGAAUGUUCAUGUGGAAGUCAUGAAUACACUCUUCCUCCUUCAUCUUCAGAUUUUCGAAUUUUGUAGCCAAGAGUUGCAAUCUGGACAUCUUAACUUUGGAGGUUCCUUCAUGAGUGGUUUUCAGGAUCUCCCAUGCAUCUUUGGCCACUGUGCAAGUGUUGAUUAGUCUGAAGAUAUUCUUGUCAACUCCAUUGAAUAGAGCAUUCAAAGCUUUGGAGUUUCCAAGUGCCAAUUCGUCUUCUUCUUUAGUCCAGUCUUCUUCUGGCUUCAAUUCAUCAGUGGGCUUUCCUUCUGUGUCCAGCAUCUUGGGAUGUUCCCAGCCUUUGAUGACAGCUUUCCAGGUUCUGCUAUCCAGUGAUUUGAGAAAGGCCACCAUUCUUGCUUUCCAGUAUUCAUAGUUGGUUCCAUCAAGAAUUGGUGGUCUGUUCACUGGUCCUCCUUCUUUCUCCAUGUUCAUCAGAAUUUAUCUCCCCAGAUCUCACUCUGUGAUUUCGAGUGUUGGCUCUGAUACCAAUUGAAAUUCUGAUACCAGGGGACAGAUGUCGUACGGGAUGUCACGACAUCACGCUUCAGAACAUGCAGAUUAUAUGUGUCCGUAUGAACAGAUUAAACAAGUAAAUAACACAAGAGAAUUGUUAACCCAGUUCGGUGCAACCUCACCUACAUCUGGGGGCUACCAAGCCAGGGAGGAAAUCCACUCUCAAUAGUGUUAGUUCAAGGUCUAACAGCCCCUGUUUACAACCUUCUCACCUAACCACUACCCGUGCGAUCUCUACCUAAGAGCCACUCUUAGAUAUGAGAACCUCCGCUCACUCCCUCUCACUCACACUCCCGUGUUUACAAUUAAGUCAAAGACACACCAGAGAUCAACUCUGAACAAAAGAGAUCAACUCUACACACUAGAGAUCAACUCUACACACAUAGGUCCAACACUUGAUGUUAGGGUACCAUCAAGGUGGCUCACAAAUUACUCAAGUCCCAAAACUCACAAAAUAACUCUUCGAUCCCGGACUUGGUACAGAACUCGUGCAGCCUCCAUGAUUAUAUAGCCGUGUACGAUUCUGGGCUGCAACUCCUUGAUGCUGGAGGAGAUCUAUCUUCUUCUGAAAAAUCUGCAGUUAAAGAACUAAAAGAUAACUUUUGAUCUUUUAGUUUGAAUCUUUAAUCUUUAAUCUUUAAUCCCUGAACGAACUCUUCUACUUUGAAAUUCAAACUUUAAUGAUCUUUUAAUUCGUUCCUAAAGAUAGAUCUUCUUAUCUCUUGCUAACUGCACAAUAAUCUGUUAAAGAUAUAACAGAAUUAUAUGUCCAGUAUUAUCGGGCCGGAUGUCAAGACAUCGUAUCCGACAUCGUGGAUCCUGCAGCUUCACUUCUGCACUUGACUUUUAUCUUGCAUUGCACAGCAACUCCAGUAUUCUCGAGCAGGAUGUCAGGACAUUGUAUCCGACAUCGUGGAUCCUGCAACUUCAAUUCUUCAUUUGACAUUUUAUCUUGCCUUGUGCAUUGUGCAGCCCGAUCUCAUUCCUUGACAUAACGUUGGACAUCAUGUGCAGCAACUCCAGCUUUCCUUCAUUGUCUAAGUGCUUAUGUUUUAACAAAAUCUUAGCCAAUCUUUUAAAGCUCAGUAGAGCUAAGCACUAACAAAAUGCAUUCAUAUCAUGCAUUGCAUAAGCAUCUCUUCAUAACAUCAUAAUGGACAUAUCCUGCAUUUGUCCGUUAUCAUAUUCCAGCCUCACAUUUUGCAUGAGUCAUGGCAUCAUCAUGCAUAUGCGUUCAACAAACUUUUUGAUCUGCAAAAUUGCAUACCAUUUGUUUUCAUGUUUGCUCAUCCUUGCAUUUUCCUCUACAAAACAAAAACCAAAAAGGGGGAAGCGUGAAACUUCACACUACAUUCUUAGUUUCAUGUGUUAGGCACCAUGAGCCAACCAUGUUGGGAUCAUAAACCCGUUUCACUUAAAAACAAAAUAAUUGAACAUGGUACCUAAUGCAUGGUUAACUAGGAAAUGGUGUUUCUUCGGGCAUCUCAAUUUCAUAAUUACAUUUUCCGUGCAUAAGCUUAAAGUAUGCCCGAGUCAUUCAUCCCUAUGAGACGUUGUUGAAGUAUUGGCGAUCAGAAUUGCCAUUCCUUGGAUUAUAGGGUUGAACCAAGCUCAUGCUUUUACAAAAAGGUUCAUCAAGUCAAGUUGAAAUAUGGAAGUAACCGUCUUGCAAAAUUGGGGCAAAAGAUGAAUCGAGUCACAUCACUGCUUCGUCUACUGCCAAACAUAUUUAGGAUUAUUGAUGUCCUUGUUACUUCCAGUUUCACCUUGACAAAGAUUUCAUGGACCAUGUUGAAAAUCUAAAUUGAUUCAACCCCAUAUCUUGCGUAAAAAUUCGCAAUACUUCAACUGUACAUCAUUCGCAUGCAUCCAUGCUUUUCAUUGGUUCCAUUGCUCGUUGCAUUCUUUCCUUGAAAAAUAACAUAAAAUGAACUUAAUCAUUGUUAUAAAAAAGAAAGGGACACGCUUUACGACGCCCUUACCGAACUCGUGCUAGAGCUAGAGUAAUGGGUGAAGUAGAGGAGAUACAAGAGAAGAUGAAGGCCGACAUGGAGGCCAUUAAAGAGAAAAUGGCCACAAUGAUGGGGGCCAUGAUGAGCGUGAAGAAGAUAAUGGAAGCCAAUGCGGUUGCAAUUGUCGCUAUUAGCGCUGUCGCUAAGGUGAACCCGAUGCUCCCAUCUGGCCUCAAGCAAAUGAAUCAUCCAACCUCAAAUAUGGUAGGCAAAGAUUUGGGAAGUACGGAUGACCCCAUGAUGUGCAAAUUCAAAACGAGUACGCCUUCCCAUCAUAUGGCUUGCCUCCCAACUAUACACCACCCAAUGUGGCAUACACUCUCAAUGAAAAUCUCAAUAACUCCACUCCGAUACUCAUUGAGAACCAAUAACCUCAUCAGGCACAUAUCUCUCAAACCAUGGGGGAGACACAUGAAAUUCCCCACCACAAUCUAGCUGACUUCGAGCCUUGGCUCGGAUAUGCCACUGAAGGGAAAGCAGUUGGUGGUAUACCCUUUGAAAACACUUUGGAGGGCCCUCAGUUUCGCCCACAACGACAACCAUUGCAUUUUGCGGUGGGAAGAGCCCCUCCUGCUAUGGCCGAAAAGGGAAAGGCGGAUCAUCUAAAGGAAAGGCUCAGGGCCAUUGAAGGAGGUGAAGAUUAUGCCUUUGCUAACCUAGAAAAGUUGUUCCUAAUACCCAAACAUGGUCAUUCCCAAGUUCAAGGUGCUGGACUUUGACAAGUACAAGGGGACUACUUGUCUCAAGAACCAUCUAAAGAUGUAUUGUCAGAAGAUGGGGGAAUACGCAAAAGAUGAGGAAUUGCUGAUACAUUCCUUCCAAGAAAGUCUUACUGGGGUAGCUGUUACCUGGUACACUAACUUGGAACCUUCCCGAGUCCAUUCUUGGAAGGACCUAAUGGUUGCCUUUGUUAGGCAGUAUCAGUACAAUUUUGAUAUGGUUCCGGAUAGGAUGCAACUACAGAACAUGUGCAAAAAGGGGGACGAAUCAUUCAAAGAACACACCCAAAAGGUGGAGGGAUCUGGCGGCCCAGGUGGUACCCCCAAUAAUGGAAAGGGAGACGAUAAUCGUGAUGGUAGACACAUUAUCGGUACUCUACUAUGAAAAGAUGGUGGGCUGUGCACCCUCAAAGCUUUGCAGAUUUGGUCUUCGCCAGUGAAAGGAUCAAUGUGGGUCCGAAAAGAGGCAAAUUUGAUCAUCCUACUAGGACGACUGAGAAAACUGGGGCAAAUAAAGAGGGUGAGGAUGAGGGAGAAGCCCAUGCUGUGACUGCCAUUCCUGUACGGCCAAGUUUCCCACCAACCCAACAAUAUCUUUACUCAGCCAAUAACAAACUUCCUCCUUACCCACCACCCAGUUAUCCACAAAGGCCAUCCCUAAAUCAACCACAAAGUCUGUCUACCGCACUUCCAAUGACGAAGACCACCUUUAGCACAAACCAAAAAACACCAACAAAAAGGAAUUUUGCAGUAAAAAGCCUGUAGGGUUCACCCCAAAUUCUGUUGUCAUAUGCUAAACUUGAUCCCAUAUCCACUCGAUAAUUCAAUGGUAGCCAUAACCCCAACCAAGGUUCCUCAACCUCCAUUUUUCUAAGGAUACGACUCGAACGCAACGUGUGCUUAUCAUGGAGGAGCCCCUGGGCAUUCCAUUGAGCAUUGUAUGACCCCGAAGCAUAAAGUGUGAAGUCUAAUUGAUACGGGCUGGCUGAAAUUUGAGGAGAAUCGCGUGUAAAUCCUGACAUUGACAAGAGAUGCCACACAUGGGGCAAUUUUGAAAGCCGUUGUUAGAUGUCUCUAAUGACUCAUCAGGAUUUUCAUGUGCAAGCCAUUGGUCAGUUUGCUCAAGCGACCUGUGCUCCUGAGUUUGGACUUCCAAGACCGUUCAAUCAGAGAUUACUCGUCUUGCACGUUGGUGGGGUUGCCAUAAAACAACGAGUAAAGUUCAAAACAAAUUCCAAAACAAAUAAGUUUCAAAAAGAAAAAAAAGGAGCAUUUGAUUGACUGUGUUUUCAAGACGUUCAUGUGACCUCAUUCCGGAAAGUUUGUCUUUUUAGAGAGAAGUGAGUUAUCAAGAAUAGGAUGUUGGACAAAUGGCCUCAGUUACCUUAAGAAAAAGAGGGGUUGAAUUAAGAUGCAAAGACUAUUCCCCAAUUGAACUAUCACUCUCUCUUUUCGGAUUAACAAUGCACACAGGGAUAACCCUUCCCUUGUGUUCAGGAAUCCUCUACAACAAGAGACCCACGGUCUCUUAAAUUCUUUUUCAAAAAUAAGAAGAAGAUGAAAUCUCUCUUAAAAGAGGUAGAUUGUAAAAUGAAGAUCAAUCAAAUUCAUUAUUGAAUAUGCAAGUGGUUGACCAAGGAAUCUUUUUAAGAGGAUAAGACAUUUCAGUUCAGAAAAACUCUUGAUCUUUCGAGAGGAUAAAACUGUUUGGGCAAUGAAAACUCUCUUUAAAACAUUUGAAUGGCCGUUCAUAAAACAUUUGAAUAGAUAUGUCUCUUGGAAAUUAUUUUCUGAAAUUCCCCUCUGGUAAUCAAUUACAAGACUUACGUAAUCGAUUACAGGUUUUAAAAAUUUGAAUAAAAACAUUUUUAACUACUGGUAAUCGAUUACCAGAGAGCAAAUCUCAAAUUGAAAUGAUAGAAUUCUUUGGUCAAACCUUUGCUUCUUCAAUUUGGAAACUUCUUCCUAAGAUUCUAGAGAUCAACUUGAUCAUAUAUCUUGAUUUUCUUGGAUUCUUGUCUUGAAUAAAACUUAGAAGCACUUGAUCCUUUAGCAUCAUCAAGACAUCAAAACAUCUUGCUUCUACAUAGGAGUCAUUUGACUUAAUCCAUCAACUGAAAGAUCCUUCAACUAUUUCUCGUCCUUGGAAAAUUCUUUUUGCAAGAAUCAAUUGCUUCUUUCAUUCUUCCUCACUACGAGGUCGUGAAAACAAGACAACACUUGGUACCUCUAAGCCCUACACUGGGGCAACGAAAGGCACCAUGCAAAAACCUCAAGCGAACCUAGGGGCAGAUUAGAAGUUCUCACCCAAUAGGUUCCCUCCUACAAGGUCAUGACGAAAGACAACGAUUGGUACCUCAAAGCCUUACACUGGGGCAAUGAGGGGCACCGUUCAUGAGCCUCAAGUGAACAUAGGGGCCGAUCAAAAGUUCUCACCCAUCGAGGUUUUUAACAAAAAAAAGGGGGACAAACCUUAGGAUUUCAAUGGAUUGAUCAAACAUCAAACGACUCCAUUGCCGUCACUCCAAAAUGGUCAAGUGACUAAAUCAAACAGAACACACACUCUGAGGGAGUUACCAGAGAGAUUUGCAAAAAAGAUAGGAUGAGGUUGCAUGAAUUAUCACCUCUUUCAAAAGGACAGUCAAUCUGUGUUUUCCAAAAAAAUUAAAUCAAAAUCAAAAUCACAAAAUAGGGAAAGAAUGUCAUGAACAUUGUACAACUUUCCAUUACAUUGCAUUGUUUCAUAUGAAGUCCGCAUUUACCAAAUUUCACGACAAAGGUUGCAUGCAUCUGCAUCCCUAAAAAUCAUGUUAACUGCAUAGAUUUCCUACAUCUAAUGUCCAAAUCUUGUGGAUUUAGGAUGACCGGCCCUCUCGAUGAGUCGAUCUCUUGCUUUCUCAUAAGGGUGGACCCUUGGGUACUUGUACCUAUCACCUUGAGAGGACUACAUGUCCUCGCCAUCAGAGGACUGCAUGUCCUCAACUUGAGAGGACUACAUGUCCUCGCCAUCAGAGGACCUCAUGUCCUCGCCUUGAGAGGGCUGCACGCCUUCACCUCCAAAGGACUACAUGUCCUCGCCUUGAGAGGGCUACACGCCCUCACCUUGGGUACUAGUUACCCUCACCGUUGAGAGGACUACACGUCCUCGCCUUGAGAGGACUACACGUCCUCACCAUCAGAGGGCUGCACGCCCUCACCUCUAGAGGACUACAUGUCCUCGCCUUGAGAGGGCUACACGCCCUCACCUUGGGUACUAGUUACCCUCACCGUUGAAAGGACUACACGUCCUCGCCUUGAGAGGAUUACACGUCCUCACCAUCAGCGGGUUGCACGCCCUCACCUCCAGAGGACUACAUGUCCUCGCCUUGAGAGGGCUACACGUCCUCACCUUGGGUACUAGUUACCCUCACCGUCAGAGGGCUACACGCCCUCACCUUGAGAGGACUACACGUCCUCACCAUCAGAGGGUUGCACGCCCUCACCUCCAGAGGACUACAUGUCCUCGCCUUGAGAGGGCUACACGUCCUCACCUUGGGUGCUAGUUACCCUCACCAUCAGAGGGCUGCACGCCCUCACCUCUAGAGGACUACAUGUCCUCGCCUUGAGAGGGCUACACGCCCUCACCUUGGGUACUAGUUACCCUCACCGUUGAGAGGACUACAUGUCCUCGCCAUGAGAGGGCUACACGCCCUCACCUUGGGUACUAGUUACCCUCACCGUUGAGAGGACUACAUGUCCUCGCCUUGAGAGGGCUACACAUCCUCACCUUGGGUACUAGUUACCCUCACCGUCAGAGGGCUACACGCCCUCACCUUGAGAGGACUACACGUCCUCACCAUCAGAGGGUUGCACGCCCUCACCUCCAGAGGACUACAUGUCCUCGCCUUGAGAGGGCUACAUGUCCUCACCUUGGGUGCUAGUUACCCUCACCAUCAGAGGGCUGCACGCCCUCACCUCUAGAGGACUACAUGUCCUCGCCUUGAGAGGGCUACACGCCCUCACCUUGGGUACUAGUUACCCUCACCGUUGAGAGGACUACAUGUCCUCGCCUUGAGAGGGCUACACGCAAUCACCUUGGGUACUAGUUACCCUCACCGUUGAGAGGACUACACGUCCUCGCCUUGAGAGGGCUACACGCCCUCACCUUGGGUACUAGUUACCCUCACCGUUGAGAGGACUACACGCCCUCGCCUUGAGAGGACUACACGUCCUCACCAUCAGGGGGUUGCACGCCCUCACCUCCAGAGGACUACAUGUCCUCGCCUUGAGAGGGCUACACGUCCUCACCUUGGGUACUAGUUACCCUCACCGUCAGAGGGCUACACGCCCUCACCUUGAGAGGACUACACGUCCUCACCAUCAGAGGGUUGCACGCCCUCACCUCCAGAGGACUACAUGUCCUCGCCUUGAGAGGGCUACACGUCCUCACCUUGGGUACUAGUUACCCUCACCGUCAGAGGGCUACAUGCCCUCACCUUGAAAGGACUACACGUCCUCGCCAGCAGAGGGCUGCACGCCCUCACCUCCAGAGGACUACACCUCCUCGCCUUGAGAGGGCUGCACGCCCUCACCUUUAGAGGGCUACGUGUCUUCAUUUUCAGUGUGCUCGACAUCCACACCUUAAAAGAAUUUAAGGUCCUCUGCCCUUAAAUGCUUAACCGAGACUUGCACUUCCGGUUAAGGGGCCAGUAGUUUCCUUUUAACGGUUCCUGGGCCUCCCCCUGAUAUUGGAGGAGGGCCAACUGUGCGAGCACAACCAGAGAGGGAGGCUAUCAUACAGCUACUAUGCAUACCGGGGCAAGAUUUCACCUGUGCCGCUGCAAAGAGACGAGUGCGGAUCAUGCGCACCAACAUGACCACUCUUACAUAGAUAUAGAUGACAUUGCUACUUAGCAACAUUCUGCCCAGCGACCGCAAUGCCAAUCUCCCCCUACGGAAGUAUCAGUUGGUCUGUGCCGUCCCGACAUGGGUAAGUAUGCAUAUGGUUCAACUGAUUUCUGAUACCAUUUAUUUGUUUGCAGGGAUCGCACCCACAAAGACACCCAGUGAACCUGAAGAAGUCCAACAGGGCCCUGGGGUUUCCAGCUCUGGUUACGGGCCUCUAUCAGUCCUACAGGGUGCCCGUACCCCCCCGGCAAGGUCACGUCAUCAUAGGUAAGUAUGCACAUCGCUCAACUGAUUUCUGAUUUCAUCUAUUGUUUGCAGGGAUUGCGCCUGCAAGACACCCAGUGGACCCGAAGAAGUCCAACAGGGUCUUGGAGUUGUCAAGCUCUAAUUACGGGUCUCUGUCAGUUCUACGAAGUACCUGUCACCUCUAGCAAGGGCAUCAGGCCCCCUACUAAUCGAGCUUUCAUCAAGAAGUACUGCGCCCCCAGGCAGACGCAGGGCGAGACACCACAGUAGCAUUAGGAUGGCCGGUAGCGGGCAAUAGACGCACCGCCACCACCUUUAGAGUUCACCUCUGCUCAUCCACAAAAAAGUUAGAGUGUUGCCUACGACACAUGGCCGACCAGUAGGCGACCAAGUCCAAAGCCAAAGGUAAGCGAAGUACUAGGUCCGUGACCAACAAGUCAUAAGGCGUCCAGCUAAAGACGUUAAAGAAGCGCUACUAGGAGGCAACCUAGUACCUUUUGAAUCUAUGCUUGUUAUUUGAUCACUUUUUAUAGUAGGACGCACCUAGUUGCUCAUGAUCCUGGGGAUUUAAAUAAAACAAGCGCAAGCUCGGAAGGUAGUCAUACCUCACAAAAUAUAUAUAUGUAUGUUUAGGUAGUGAAAAUACCUUAGAUAUGCAUGUAUGUAAACAAAAAAACACUUCACAAAAUAUAUAUAUGUAUGUUUAGGUAGAAAGAUACCUUAGAUAUGCAUGUAUGUAAACAAAAAAAUACUUCACAAAAUAUAUAUAUGUAUGUUUAGGUAGAGAGAUGCCUUAGAUGUGCGUGUAUGUAGCAAAAAGAUACCUCACAAAAUACAUAUAUGUAUGUUUAGGUAGCAAGAUACCUUGGAUAUGCAUGUAUAUAGCAAAAAUACCUCACAAAAAUAUACACAUGUUUAGGUAGCAAAAUACCUCAUGAAAAAAAAAGGAAAAAAAAAAAACAAAAAACAAACAAGAAAAAGAAAAAAAUGAAAUGAAUGAAAAGGAAAAGAAGAAAGCAAGUAAGGAAAAAGGUGGAAAAAGAGAAAAUAAGUUGUCUAGCUAAAAACCGACAUGCUUUUGAAAAGAGACGAUUUGCAACUUUUCUUUGAAAAAAAUUCAUUCAUUGAUCAUAACCGAUUUUUGAAGAAAAAACGUGUCUACACCUGAAGGGUGAAUGCUGUGGAAAUUUCCCCGGACGCCCAAAAUGGACUCGGAUGAAUGCACAAAUUGAUAAAAGAAUAUAUUUUGGAAACAUUGGGUUGAUUUAAAAUAGAGGAAAUGAAUCCUGAGCCCUAGCAUCACAUGACCAUAAAAAUUUGACACUUGAGUGUCCGCAUAGGUGCAUGCAUGACCAGUUUUGCAUAAAAUUUCCAAAUCAUCAUUUUUGCAUUUGUGUCAUGGAAAUAAUGUGGGGCAUCCCUUUUAUCCUUGAGCCAAACCAAACCCCGACAUGUAUCAUGUCUAGCCAUUCUACAAACCUUGAGCCAAAAUCCUGACUCACCAUAAUCCUUACCCUCGGAAGCAAAAAAGAAAAGAAGGAAAAUUUCCAAUCAAAGAGAAAGCAAAAAAAGAAAAGAAAGGAAAUUCCCAAUCAAAGAGUGGGAGAAAGCAAAAAGAAAAGAAAGAAAAUUCCCAAUCAAAGAAUGGGAGAAAGAAAAAAGAGAAAAGAAGGAAAGAAAGCUCCUGAUCAAGGAUCGAAAGAAAACAGAAGAAAUGUGCAGAGAGGUCUUUGGACCGGACAAUAUCUGAACAAUACAGAAUUGUCACCAAAUGAACAAAAAAGGAAGGAAAGGAAACCACGACCUAAAAUGGUCUUCUCCCUUUGACUACCAACCAAAAUCCCGUGCGCUAGCGACUUUUUUUCUCGCCCCGCACUAAACAAAAAAAAAACAGAAAAAGAAAAAGCCAGAAAAAUCAAAAGCCAAAAACACAAAAAAAAAAAAAAAACCACCAAAAGAACCCAUUCCCAAGGGAAGCCCUAUUGAUCCAUGAUCACACAUGUAAUUUUUGAUUUGAUAGGAAAUAAUUUGCAAAGUCAAGUCAUGACAUAUCUAUGGUCCGGAAGUAGGAUGAGACACUUACCUGUGCGAGAUUGAUACACUUUGAGUGAUUUUCUUCUAUUUUUGUCGAACCCAGUGUUUCCUCUAAAUGGUCAUUUAGAAACGAAAUGCUAACAUCCAAGAUCUCAUUUAUGGUUAUAGGGGAUCCCAUCAGCAGACUCUCCUUCCCUGGUAGACGCAUUGUUUGUCACUCAAAAAAGCAUAUGCUGCUCUAAACAGUUGGAAUAUUUGUCUCUUUGCUAAAGCAUGUUUGCAUUUUAGUGGAGAAAACACCGAGACUUUUUCAAGUCUCACAAGUUAUCCAGAACUACGUAGGUCUGAGUUCCUCAUUGGAGGAUACGUAGGAGCAAGAGCCUCGCUUUUGUCGACCACACCGCCUUUUGUUGCCAUGACUCAAGAGCUGGUAGCCCGCGGAGACACCUUACGGUUAUCCGCACCUCGUCAUUCAGUGACCCCAAGUGUGAUUGACGAGCAGAGACCAAUAUGGUCAUCUGCGCCCUUUCCGGAGAUGUCAGCAUUUUCCGAUGGAGACUUUUCAAGUCUCACAAGUUAUCAAGAACUACGUAGGUCUGAAUUCCUCAUUGGAGGAUACGUAGGAGCAAGAGCCUUGCUUUUGUCGGCCGCCCCAUAAUCUUUGUCAUACUGACCCUGAGGUCAUGUGACAUGCACCCUUGUAUCAUCCAGAGGCGGCGGGCCCGAUGAUACGCGGAGAUACCUUACGGUUAUCCGCACCCUUUUGUCAUCCAGAGGCGGCGGGCCCGAUGACAAGCAGAGACCAAGUUUGGUCAUUCUGCACCCUUGUAUCAUCCAGAGGCGGCGGGCCCGAUGAUACGCGGAGAUACCUUACGGUUAUCCGCACCCUUUUGUCAUCCAGAGGCGGCGGGCCCGAUGACAAGCAGAGACCAAGUUUGGUCAUUCUGCACCCUUGUAUCAUCCAGAGGCGGCGGGCCCGAUGACAAGCAGAGACCAAGUUUGGUCAUUCUGCACCCUUGUAUCAUCCAGAGGCGGCGGGCCCGAUGAUACGCGGAAAUACCCGAGUGGUUAUCCGUAUAAACAUUCUUUUGCUAUCAGACAGAACGCUUGAUAGCAUUGCGAAGGUUGACACAGUCUUCCUUUUGUCAUCCAGAGGCGGCGGGCCCGAUGACAAGCAGAGACCAAGUUUGGUCAUUCUGCACCCUUGUAUCAUCCAGAGGCGGCGGGCCCGAUGAUACGCGGAGAUACCUUACGGUUACAUGCACCCUUGUAUCAUCCAGAGGCGGCGGGCCCGAUGAUACGCGGAGAUACCUUACGGUUAUCCGCACCCUUUUGUCAUCCAGAGGCGGCGGGCCCGAUGACAAGCAGAGACCAAGUUUGGUCAUUCUGCACCCUUGUAUCAUCCAGAGGCGGCGGGCCCGAUGAUACGCGGAGAUACCUUACGGUUAUCCGCACCCUUUUGUCAUCCAGAGGCGGCGGGCCCGAUGACAAGCAGAGACCAAGUUUGGUCAUUCUGCACCCUUGUAUCAUCCAGAGGCGGCGGGCCCGAUGACAAGCAGAGACCAAGUUUGGUCAUUCUGCACCCUUGUAUCAUCCAGAGGCGGCGGGCCCGAUGAUACGCGGAAAUACCCGAGUGGUUAUCCGUAUAAACAUUCUUUUGCUAUCUGUAAGACAGAACGCUUGAUAGCAUGCAGAGGCUGACACAGUCUUCUGCACCUUUUGUUCCUCCGGGAACAACAAGUCAUUUACAUGCGGAAAUUUCAUGGUCACCCGCGACUCUCGUCAACCGAGAGGAGCGAAAUUAGUGUCAUACACUGAUUUUCGUCCGGGGACCUUUGCUUGAUGACAUGCGACCAUUCUUUGGUCCUUGUGAGGUGCUUGGCAUCCAUCAUUAGGCAAUUUGUGAAAUUCUGGGAACAACAAGUCAUUUGCAUGUGGAGAUUUUAUAGUCACUCGCGACUCUCGUCAAAUCGAGAGGAACGAAAUUAGUGUCUUAUCUUUACUUUCCUUUUAUCUCCAAUAAAAGACAAGUAAAGAGGGGCAACUGUCAUACCCUAAUUUCGUUCGGGGACCUUUGCUUGAUGACAUGCGACCUUUCUUUGGUCCUUGUGAGGUGCUUGGCAUCCAUCAUUAGGCAAUUUGUGAAAUUUUAGGACAUGCCGAAAAACCGAAAAAUAUUGAUGCACAAUCCGUAAGUUUCCGUGACACACCGGAAAUCAAAUGGAAGCAUCGUUGCAUAAUUAAGUGAGAUUCCGUAACAUUCCGUAAGUAAAAAAGGGGAUGAUUAUGUAAUCCGCAAGGUUCCGUAACAUUACGGAAAGAAAACAAGUAUCGUUACGAAAUUCAUAAGUUUCCGUAACUUUACGAAAAAAGAAUCACCAAAAAAUAGCAGAGGGGUGUACUUAGUAAAAAUGGGGGCGCAAAUAGCACCCAGGCCCACUUGGGCCCUCCAGAAUAUUCCUCCAGAAUGUUGUUGCUUCUGGAGGAAGCAACCUGGCUCGCCUGGGCGAGCUGGGCGGCAACCACCUCCCCUAUUUUGCUAUAAAUAGGGGAGGAAAUGAUGAAGGAAGGGGUUCAGCCCCUUAGGCACUUCUCUCUCUUUCGAAUUUGCUUGGAAAAAUUGUUUCCGUGAAGAAAAUCUAAGCCGAGGCGCUUCCGAAACGUUUCCGUAACGUUUUCCGUGAGGAAUCUCGCAAAGGUUUCAACCGUUCUUCGACGUUCUUCAUUCGUUUUUCAUCGUUCUUCGAUCUUCAACGGGUAAGUACCUCGAACCAAGCUUUUCGAUUCAUUCUAUGUACCCGUAGUGGUCCACAUUGUGUUUCGUGCAUUUUUAUUCUCGUUUUGUUUACUUUUUAUACCCCCUGUUGACGUGCUUAAGUCAUUUUACUUAAGCCAUUUCUCGCUUAACUUAAAAAUAAAAUCAAUUUCCACCGAACGUUUGAAUUGUAUUAUCCGUUAACUUCGGUUAAAAUAAAUUCCGACCGUUCGGUCGUGCCGUAAUCACGUUGGAAAUCAAAAAGAGGUAAAAAAUAAUAUAAUAAUCAAAAAAACAUCUUUUAGUAAAAUAAAGCGGAAAAUCAAUCGGACGUUUUCUCUUUGGGAUUUCUCAUUCUUAAUCGAAUUGAUUAAUAACUAAAGUGAAACUUAAGGCUAAAAUCAACUCGCCUAGUCGAGCUCGUCCACAAAAAUAGGCUUUUGAAGUUUGUCAUUUCAAUUUCUCACUAAGUAAAAUGGAUCAUUUUUAAGGUCCAACGCCUUAAAAUGAUCACCUCUUAAAAUAAAAAGAAUCACUUGAUAAGAAAGAACUACGUAGGUCUGAUUUUCUCAUCCCAAAUUGAGGAAUACGUAGGAGCAAAGGGAAACACCCUUGUCGACCACAAAAAAGAGAAAAAUAUAAAAAGGGUAUAAAGGAACUUUUAAGUGAAGGGAACGUAAAAAUCAAAGUCAUGUUUGCACAUUCGAUUAAAGGUUGUCGUCCCUUGGGACAGACGUAUGGGGUGCUAAUACCUUCCCCGUGCGUAAAUACAACUCCCGAACCUUUCACUUAAAAGUUCGUAGAUCGCGUCUUUUCCGGUUUUUCUGACGUUUUCCUCAAAUAAACGUUGGUGGCGACUCCGCGCGUAUUCCUUUCGUGGAUUCCGCAUCCCGCGAGUCUCGCGUCGCCUUCCCGCCGAAGGGUAGGUUGCGACACACUAAAUGAUCAUUUGUUUUGCACUGUAACUGGCGUUCAACACCAUAAGUUGACUAACAAGAAUCAGAAGAUCAACAAACGAUAGUCCUCGAACGAAAUUUGGGUAUGAAAAGGGGUAACCUCACAUGCAAGGCUAAGGUUUCUAAAUUGUUCUUGGAGAUCCAUCUCUCUAACCAUCAAGGUAGAUAUUUGUAGGGAUUUCCUACUCAAGGCGUUAGCCACUACAUUGGCUUUGCCGGGAUGGUAGCUAAGCUCAAAAUCAUAAUCUUUAAGAAACUCUAAUCAUCUCCUUUGACGCAUGUUCAACUCUUUUUGACUAAACAAGUACUUAAGGUUCUUAUGAUCACUAAACACCUCAAACAUGGAGCCAAACAGGUAAUGCCUCCACAUCUUAAGGGCGAAAACUAUAGCAACCAACUCCAACUCAUGGGUGGGAUAAUUCCUCUCAUGAGUCUUGAGUUUUCUAGAAGCAUAGGCCAAUACUUUUCCAUUUUGCAUCAACACUCCUCCUAAACCCAUCUUUGAUGCAUCACAAUACACCUCAAAGGGUUCUCUCGGGUUAGGCAAAACUAGCACUAGAGUCGUCGUCAAUUUUUCCUUAAGGGUUUGGAAACUAUGCUCACAUUGGGUAUCCCACACAAAAUCUUGACCCUUACGAAUUAGUCAAAGGUAAAGCUAACUUGGAGAAACCUUCUAAGAAUCUUCUGUAGUAUCCUAUUAAGACCAAAAAACUCCUAAUCAUAAAAAUUGAUUUAGGACUCUCCCACUCAAGAACGACUUCUAUCUUAGAGGGAUCUACAACUAUAGCCCCUUGAGAUAUCACAUGCCCUAGGAAACUAACUUUCUCUAACCAAAACUCACACUUGGACAACUUAUCAUAAAGUUGUCGGUCCCUAAGGGUAUGCAACACAAUCCUCAAGUGUUUUUCAUGUUCCUCUCUAGUCUUGGAGUAUACCAAAAUAUCAUCUAUGAAUACUACCACAAAACUAUCAAGGUAAGGGUAAAAGCCUCUAUUCAUGUAGUCCAUAAACACACCUGGAGCAUUAGUCACACCAAAGGGCAUGACUAGAUACUCAUAGUGACUAUAACGGGUCUAUCUUGCUAAACACACAAAAGCAGUUUUCGGUAUAUCCUUAGACUUCACUCGGAUCUGAUGGUAACCUGAUCUAAGGUCUAUCUUGCUAAACACAAGCUCCUACCAGUUGGUCCAUAAGGUCAUCUAUUCUUAGUGUGAAAAUUCACACUUAGCGCAACUCCCUCUGCACUAAGUCUCACUCAAUGCGCUAAUUCCCACUCAGCGUAAUUCCCUCUCAGGUUAGAAUUGCGCUUAGUGCGCCCCUUAAUUCCCUCUUGGGUUGGAAUUGCGCUUGGCGAGACAUCCAAAUUUGUACUUUCCAAAAUCCUAACGGUCAGAAUGUGGACAAUUGUCUUGGGAACCUCCAUUCAAAAUUUGAAGACGAUCCAACGGUUAACGAAUCCGGGAUAGCGAUUUUACUGAAAUAGGUUUAGGUAAAAUUUGAAAUCUCAUAAUUUCAACUUAGUUCAACAAAACUCUACAUAAAUCAACAUCCACACCAAGAAAUUCACACAUGACUAAGUCCAGCCAUACCUUAACUCAUUCAAGUCAACCAUAUAGUCAAAUAACACAAUAAAUACAAUUAAACAUCGAUUUAUAAUUAGUAAUAUUUCAAGGUGUUACAUUGGCUGCUCAUAAUCAUGGUUUUUUUGGUGAGGCAUUAAGAAGUAAUGUGUCCUCUUCCAAGACAUUUAAAGCACUUUAGCCUUAAGGGUUUUCUUUUCUAUUGUCUUCCCCUUAUAUCCUUUUGGCUUAGAAGGUGCCGCCCCUAAGAUGCCUUGACCUUGGUCUUUCUUUGGAUAAGAGCGAAAGCCAUAAGAUUUUGAAGUAGGCUUCCUCUUAAGUUGUUGCUCUACCCUUAUGCAAAGUUGGACUAGGUUAUCUAGGUCCCUAUAUGGAAGGAGAUCUACCUUGUCCCUCACUUCCAUAUUUAGUCCACUAAAGAACCUAGCAAUACUUGUUCUUUCUUCCUCCAUAAGCCCAACUCUCAAAAGGAGUAGUUCCAUUUGUUGCCUAUACUCUUCAACACUCAUACUCCAUUGUCUAAGCCUUUGGAGCUUGUCCAUAAGCUCCCUUUCAUAUUAGGAGGGGAUGUGCCUCUUCCUAAGGGCAUUUUUCAAGUCAUUCUAAUACUCUACUAGAGGAUCCCUAUGAAUCCUUUUUUCCCUAACAAGGGAAGUCCACCAAUAGGGGGUAUACCCUUAGAAGCUAAGGGUAGCCAAAGGAACCUUCCUUUCCUCACUUGUAUGAUGGCAAGAAAAGAGUUGCUAAACCUUCAUUUCCCAAUCUAAAUAUGCCUCUACAUUGUCCUUCCCAUGGAAGUAUGGAAGGUUAAUGUUAGCCUCUUGAGGCUUUCUUUCCUUUUCUCUCCUAUGGGAGUGAGAUCUAGGAUGUGACCUAUGCCUUCCUCCAUAAUAGUCACUAAGUUCUUCACUUAGGCUCUUGCAAGAGUCAUGACUACUAUCGGAGGCAUGUUUUUAUUUUCUUAACUCUUUUAGUAUUUUCUUUCUUUCUUCUUCCCUUAUUUGUUCCCUCUCAUCUUGACUUAUUUCUACCCUCUCUUUUCCUUUUUCUUUUCUUUCUAGUUUUUCUUUUCAUAACUUGAGGGAACUCAACUCAUCUAAUAUUCUAGAUAGAGGUUCCUUAUGACUAGUACCCUCACCAUUAAUACUAGAUGAACGAUGACUCAUAUUGGUUCCUAAGUUGUGUUUCUUUCUUGUUGGGGGUUUGCAAAAAGGUAAAAGCUAGGGUUCAAAUGAUCUUAAGAUAAGCGUGAUAAGAAAGAAGAAAUUAUUAUGCAAUAACAAGAUAAACUAAGCGUGACUAUUAAAGAAAAUAUGCUAUGAAAGUAAGCAAGAAAUUAAAGUACAAAAUAUGUAAACUAGAUGGAUUCUAAGAGUGCUCGGAUAACCACAUUUGAGGUUCCCAAUAAAACACUCACUAUCCUGAGGGGAAAUUGCCUAAAAUUAUUACACACAAAUGAAAGUAUGGUAACCUAUUGGAGGCUCCCAACACACUUCCAAUGAAUGGCCUUUUGUUACAAAAUUUUAAAGCAAUGAAGGUAAACAUACAAGUGUCCAAUUACAAGUAAAUUGCCCAAUUACAAAAUUACAAAAAAAAAAAUCCUCAAUUUUGGUGGCUGUUCUCUAUUUGGUGUUUCACUCAAUUUGGAGUGCUUCUUAGUCUAAAAGCUCUUAAGGUGGUUGGCCCCUUGCUUCUAGACUCAAAUUCUUCAAUUGAUGGCACCAAUCCUCCUUUCCAAUUCCCUGUAGGGUAACUCUCAAACAAGGAAACAAAGAGACAAGCAAUAAACAAAGACAAAAAAAUGAAAUGAAAGUUAAACCAAUAGAGUUUUAAGAAGACAAAUUUUCAAGGAUUUUCAACAAUUAAAGCAAUGAAUAGCACAUAAAAGCAAUCUAUGACUCAAAGAGAAACCUAGAAUGACUCUAGAAUAGAGUAAAAAAAACUAAAAAACUCAAGAAACCUCUAGUUUUGGCACAUGUUUUCACACUACUUUUCAAUUGAAAUUUUAGAACUAAGAUUGGUCUAAAGCAAGAACUAAUUAUAGAAUAAAUUUUGAGCCAAAACAACAAGCACACUUCCCUUUCACUUUUUUUUUAUUUUUUUUCCUGGACACUAAUUUUCCUGCCAACUUGUAUUAUUUUUAUUAUCUUUUCCUUUUAUCUAAAUCACUUGGUUCUUUUUUUCUAAUUCUUUUCCAAAUCUCUAGAAAAUUUAGAUAAAUUUCAGCUCAAAAUUUAAAGUGACCAAUUCCCAAUAAUUUUUACACAUUUGUAUGUGCAAGCUGCCAACACUAGCAAUUUCAGACUUCGAAUUUCUUUUAAGCAUGGCAUAUUGAUUGCCUUAGGUUUACUUUCAACUUUCCUAUGUAUAUUAAACUCACUAGGCCUAUUUACCACAGUUUUAGGAGUUCAAUAUUCACUUAGUAUCAAAAUUUCAGCCAACAAUUCUAUCACCAAAGCUCAAAUUCACAAUAGAUACAAUCACAAGGAAACCUAAAAGUUUAAGAAAAGGUUCACAAUAAAAGACUCUCUAAGAAUUAUGCAUGAACAUGUUAAGGACUAAUUAACAUGCAAGAUUUGACUAAAAUCAAAUAAUAGGCUAAAAAUUUUCAUACACUCAUGAACAAAUGAAUUAGACAAAGAAACAAGAAAAAAAAAAUUCAGCACAACAUAAGGAAUCUUAUGUGACAAGUUUCAUGACUAGACAUGACUUCUAUGACAAAACUACAAUAGGUGAACAUGUUACUCUAGAUUUUUGAGGUUUUCUUCUACUUUAAUCUUUUUGUAAGAAUUUUAUGGUUCAUGUUUUAGCCACAAAAAAUAGCAAUACAAAACUCAAAGGAACCUAAACUCAACACAAUUCAUGGUUCACGAACAAGAACAAGAAAUUUGAACCAUAAAAGAAACAACAAUGAAGGAGAACCUACCUGAAGGUUUAAGGAACACCUACAUGAAGCUCUUGUGCUCUGACCACUUGACGGAAUCUUGCUUCAGAAGCUUCUAUGGAGGCUGGAUCUUUGAGCUUCACUAAGGUCCUUCAAUGGUGAUUUUCAGCCAUGGAGUUGCACCGAAAGAUAAAGAAGAAGAGGUGAGAGGAGGCGCCAUCCACUAGAGAAUAAACCAUGGAAGGAAAAGCUUUACCUCCAAGAGAGUGCCUUGGAUAAGAACCUUAGAGAGGAAGCUUUAAUGGAGGAAGAGAAUGAGAGAGAGAGAGAGAGACAGAGAGAGUGGCAUGGAAAUUGAAGGAUAAUAGGGAGAAAAGUUGAACUUUGAAGUGUGCCUCACAAGUUUCUCAUUCAUCAAAGUUAUGACAAGUGUUACACAUGUUUCUAUUUAUAGCCUAGCACAUAGGAAGCUUCCUUGAGAAGCAAGGAAGGUAGCUUCCUUGGGAAGCUAGAGGAAGAAAGUUUCCUUGAGAAGCUAAAGGGGGCAACUCACACCCCUCCAUUAGCUAAGCUCACCCCAUGCCAAAAUACAUGAAAAUACAAUGGGAAGCUUCUUUGAGAAGAAAGGAAGGUAGCUUCCUUGGGAAGCAAGGAAGAAAGCUUCCUUGAGAAGCUAGAGGGGGGCUACUCACACCCUUCCAAUAGCUAAGCUCACGCCUAUGCCAAAAUACAUGAAAAUACAAAAUAAUCGCUACUACAAAGACUACUCAAAAUGCCCUAAAAUACAAGGCUAAAACCAUAUACUACUAGGGUACCCUUAAUUUGUAGGGUCCCCUACAAACCUAAAAUGGCCAAAAUACAAGGCCUAAAAGAAGGAAAAUUUAUUCUAAUAUUCACAAAGGUAAGUGGGCUCAUACUUAGCCCAUGGGCCCAAAAGAAGGAUGUUGCACUUAAAUUGGGCAAGAUCUUCAUUCGCAAAAUUAAACUUAUGGUUAAUUCUCCAAAUUUUAAAAAGGGUGUAUGCAACAAAAAGAAUAUGAGAUGUUAGGUUAAUUUGGGGAAGGAAUGGUGAUCUGGAACUACACAGGUCAGACUUUGGAGAGGUUAGGUUUCAUAACAUUUGCGGGUCAAGAUUUAGUUGGCCUAACAAGUUGGUCAAGAGAGAGUAAGGAUUGGGGACAACCUAGUUUCUCUCAUUUGAGACGUAGAUUAGAAAUCCCAUUGAAGCAUGAGAUGCACAGGGUAGCCAAAGGAUUUAAUCAAAGGAGGGCAAGUCUAGAAGGUAGGGUGAGCGACCUUAGAAAAGGAGACAAAGAUACUAAGUGCGACAACAUCGACAAGGUUGUUAAGGAGGCAUAGUCUGGAUGGGAUGGCAAUGGGCUUGUGAGGUGUAGUUCAAAGGAGAUCUAAUCACGAGGAGAGGAUAAUUCUUGCAAAUGGGUAUAUCCAAUACAUAGGGUGUUUUCUUCGAAAAGUUUGCUAGAUCCAAAUGCAAGCAUUUUCCCAAAAAUAUUAAAUAUGGCAGGGGAUGGAGCAAGGAAGAUAUAAGUUUUGCUUCAAUAGUUGUGGUUGAAUAGGGAUUUAUGGGAAGAGGUUUAAGUUGAACAAAGUGGAGUGAUGGAGAACCGAGACGAAGAAGCAAAUCGAGAGAUGAGGGAUCUAUCGGGUGACUUAUGAAGACUUUAUCAUUGAACGUGUGGGGGAUAAGAGAUAGAAUCAAAAGAAGAAGGUUACAGUCAAUCAUUACUAAUAAGAUAGAUUGUUGUCUCUAACAAGAAACCAAAUGUGAACACUUGGCUGAUGUGGGGUUAAGGAGAUUUGGGGGCUCUGAAUAGAAGUGGUUAGCAAAACCAUUUGAGGGUCUAGUGGGAGGCUUGCUAAGUAUUUGGAGGUUUGAAACAUUGUCACUAAAAUUCCAUUUUCAGGGUGAGGGGUUCUUAGGGGUGGGAGUGGAAUAAGCAGACUCUGGGGAACUUUGUAUCUUGGUUAAUAUCAAUUCAUCUUGUUCUUAAGAAGGGAAGAAGAUGUAGUGGGAUAAUAUUAUCAUAAUAGAAAGCAGAUUCAACUAUUCAAAGUAGUGUAUUGCAAGUGAUUUCAAUGCGGUAGAGGAUUCAUUAGAAGUUUUGGGUAGGUCAAGCAACUAUAGCAGAGUAAAAAUGGCUCUCUUUGAAGCCUCCAUUCAUGAUGGAGUUUUGUUAGGGAGAAGACUCUAGAUGGAUUAGCAUCUAGUAAAUUGGACAGAUUCCUUUUGUCAAAAGAUUUAAUACAAUUAUGGAAUAUCACACCACAAUGGAUUGGGCCUAAAUAAAUCUUAGAUCAUUGUGUUAUGAUUUUGAAAAAGGAUAAGCAAAAUUAGGGCAGUCAACCAUUUUGCUUUUUUGAUCGUUGGAUGCAACAUUGAGUCUUUAGAGGAAGUGGUGGAAGAGUAAUGGAAUUAGGAGAUGAAUGAAAGGUGGAAGAUGUUCAUAGUGAAAGAAAAGUUAUAAAGAUUGAAGGUGAAGCUCUAGGUGUGGUAGAAAAAAGUCUUUAGGGUUCUUAACGUUCAAAUAGAAGAAAAAUUAGGGGACUUGAAUAAAUUGGAUGAAAACAUUUUGGAAGGAAACCUAGAAGUGAUACAAAUUAGGAAGACUUUGUCAUUAGAUUGUUUUGAAAUUGGUGACAGUCAAAUAAAGUACAUUAAUUCAAAAGGCAAAAGUAAAAAUGGAGACUUCAAUUUGAGUUUCUUCCAUUUUUGUUUCAAAUCCAGGAUGCAAUAGAAUCAUUUGGUGGUAGUAAAUUCUUAGAGUGGAUGGAUAGAAGGGGUAAUAAAGGUGAAAUUUUCUGUGAAAAACCAUUUUAAGACGUUGUUUCAAGAAUCAUUUUAAACUUGUCCAAAGUUGGAUGGAAAUUAUUUUUAAAAAAAUAUCGACAGAGGAAUACAGGGAAUUUUCAUUUCCUUUAUCUUAUGAAGAAAUAAAAUAGGUGGUGUGGAGUUAUGAGGGGGGCAAAAGUCUAGGGCCUGACGAAUUUGGAUUCUCUUUUUACAAAUCAUGUUGGGAAAUAGUUUUAAGCAGUAUAUGUGAAGGCAUACAGGAGUUUUAUCAAAAUGCAACUCUUCUGAAAGUAGUUACAUUCUCUUUAUUGGCCUUGAUACAAAAGAUUAAGCAUCCAUAAAGGAUAGAAGAGUACAAACUGAUUUCAUUAACUCCUAGUCUACAAAAGAUUAUUCCGAAGUUGUUGGCAUCUAUAUUAAAGAGGGUAUUGGCAAAGGUAAUCCCAAAAGUGCAGAAAGCAUUCCUCCAAGAGACAAGUUCUGGACAGGGUUUUGGUAACUGAUGAGAUAGUUGAUUGGGCUCAGAGGUUCAACCAAAGUUGUUUUAUUUUUAAAGUAGACUUUGAAAAAGCCUAUGACUCAAUCAGUUGGAACUUUCUUGAGUGCAUGCUCAUUAGAUUAGCUUUGGGGAGAAAGAUUGAGGGCCUAGAUCGGAACUAUUGCCUUCUUUAGUUAGGUAUUAAUAAUAGUAAACUUCUAAAUUUGUUGCACAAAGUGGGUUAAACUUGAGGGAUCCUUUAUCCCCCUUUUUGUUCUUAAUAGAGGCAGAAGGUUUGGGGUUGUUUAGAGAAGCAGUGAGAGGUCUCCUUGUAGAAGCAAGCUUCAUGAUGAUGAAUCAAGUUGAUUCAAGAAGUUUUGAUGAUGACAAAGAUGAUGACAAAAAUCCCAAAGAAUGAUUUCAAGAUUGAGUCAACAAGUUCAAGAUCAAGAUUAAUUUCAAGUUUCAUGAGAAGAAAUCAAGAAGAUUCAAGAAUCAAGAGAAGUUUGAUUUCAUGAUUCAAGAGAAGUUGAAUUCAAGUUUCAAGAGAAGAAAUCAAGAAGACUUCAAUGGGAAGUAUUGAAAAGAUUUUUCAAAAAACAAACAUAGCACAGUUUUGUUUUUCAAAAGAGUUUCUUACAAAAUUUUCUAAGUUACCAGAGUUUUUACUCUCUGGUAAUUGAUUACCAAUUUCCUGUAAUCGAUUACCAGUGGCAAAGUUUGAUUUCAAAAGCUUUUAACUGAAUUUGCAACGUUCCAAUUGUUUUCUAAAUAGUGUAAUCAAUUACAAUAUAUUGGUAAUCGAUUACCAAUGUAUCUAAACGUUGAAAUUCAAAAUCAAUUGUGAAGAGUCAUAUCCUUUCAUAAAAAGCUUUGUGUAAUCGAUUACAUGGUUUUGGUAAUCGAUUACCAGUGACAAGUUUUGAAUAAAAAUCAAAAGAUGUAACUCUUCCAAUGGUUUUCAGGUUUUUCUAAAGGUUAUAACUCUUCCAAUGGUUUUCUUGACCAGACAUGAAGAGUCUAUAAAAGCAAGACCUUGACUUGCAUUUCAAUAACUUUGACAACUUUUACACAUAACUUUUUGAUAACCUUUUGAUAACUUUCUUCUUCUUCCUUUGCCAAAAGCUUUCUGAGUUUUCUGGUUUCCAAACUUUGUUCUUUCACAGAAAACAAAAGUGUGCUAUUCAUCUUUUUCAUUCUCUUCUCCCUUUGCCAAAAAUAAUUCACCAAGGACUAACCACCUGAAUUCUUUUUGUGUCUCUCUUCUCCCUUUUCCAAAAGAACAAAGGACAAAUCGCCUGAAUUAUUUUGUGUCUCCCUUCUCCCUUGUCAAAGAAUUCAAAACGACACAGUCUAAGAAUUCUUUUGAUUCUUCCCUUUCCCAUAAACAAAAGAUUUCAAAGGACUAACCGCCUGAGAUAUUUUUUGUUUCCCCUUCACAAAGUUUCAAAGGACUAACCGCCUGAGAACUUUGUCUUAACACAAUGGAGGGUACAUCCUUUGUGGUACAAGUAGAGGGUACAUCUACUUGGGUUGUUGUGACUGAGAAUAAGAGAGGGUACAUCUCUUGUGGAUCAGUUCAAGUGGAGGGUACAUCCACUUGGUUGUUCAAAGAGAACAAGGGAGGGUACAUCCCUUGUGGAUCUUUGCUUGUAAAGGGUUUUACAAGGUUGAAAAGAAAUCUCAAGGACUGCAGGUCGCUUGGGGACUGGAUGUAGGCAUGGGUUGUUGCCGAACCAGUAUAAAACUCUUGUGUUUGUCUUCUUCUUCCCUUCACUUUUAAUUUCCGUUGUGCACUUUAAUUAUCGCUUUUACUUUUGGUUAAGUUUCUAUUUAUGUUCUUUACUUUCUUAACAUUAUAGUAAAAAGGAUAGAUUUCUAAUUAGUAAAGGUUCGUUAAUAAUUAAUUCAACCCCCCCUUCUUAAUUAUUUCGAGGCCAUUUGAUCCAACACUCCAAUAUAGUAGUGUCAAGGUGGGUAAAGAAGCCCAGUUCUCCUUUCUACAGCAUGCGAACAAUGCUAUAAAUGUAGGGGAGGUGUCAUAUCAGAACCAUUGGUCCCUAAAGACAAUAAUGAGAGCUUUCGAGAUGGUGUCAAUAUUAAGAAUUAAUUUCUGGAAAAGUAAUAUGUAUGGGGUAAACAUGGAUCAACACUUCUUUCAAGAGGCUGAGGUUUUCCUGCAUUGGAAGGUUGCUUCAUUACCUUUUAAUUUCCUGGGUUUGUUAGAUAGAGUCAACCUGAGAAGGAGCUGUUCAUGGGAUAAGUUGGUGCACAUUUUUUAGAAGCGACUAGCAAUGCGGAAAAGCUAGAUAGAUAUCAAUUAUAGGUAGAAUUAUCAUGAUAAACUUUGUUUUAUGUAGCCUCCCUCUAUAUUCCUUUUCCUUCUUUAAGGCACCAAAGUAGGUCAUUCAAAAGCUAGUCAGUUUGUAAUGGAGAUUUUUAUGGUUCAGGGGUUUAGAUACUAUAAAAAUUUCUUGGAUUAGAUGCGAGAGGAUCUGUUUGCCAAAGAAUGAUGAUAGGUUAUGGGUAAAAAAUAUGGAAUGGUUCAAUAUUAGCUUGCUAAAUGGAGGUGGAUUGUUGAAGACAAGAUAUAGGAAAUUCCAAGAUCAUGCAUAUGAGAAAACCCCUCCUACAAGAUGAUUGAUUUGGUGAUGGGAUAUUAUUGGUUUGGAUUCAAAAGGUUUGAUAGUACGGGGAUGGUUCACGAAAUGUACUAGACGUUGUUGGAUCAAGUAGCCUCGGAAUAAUUAAGAAGGGGGGGGGGGGUUGAAUUAAUUAUUAAUGUGUCUUGACUAAUUAAAAAUUUAUCCUUCUUAAUGUUACUAGAUUCAACUAGGCUUUUAUUACUAAGUUAAGAAAGUAAAGAACAGAAACAGAAACUUAACCAAAAGUAAAAGUGGCAAUUAAAAGUACACAGCGGUUAGUCCUUUGAAAUCUUUUGUUUAAGGGGAAGGGAAGAAUCAAAAGAAUUCUCAUGUGGUUAGUCUUUUGAAUUCUCUUGGAAGAGGGAGAAGGGAGACACAAAAGAACUCAGGCGGUUAGUCCUUCGAUUCUUUUGGCAAGAGGGAGAAGUGAAUUAAGAAAAAGAAUAGCACAAGUUUUUGGUCAAUGAACUUUUCUUGAAAGAGAAAGUAUUGAACAAAAACUUUUAGAAAGAUGAAGAGAAAUGAAUGAAAGUUCUGUAAAAGAAAACGUUAUUGAAAUUCAUGCCAUGGUCACAUAUUUAUAAUAAUUUGAUGACUCAAGUUAAAGUUUGUGACUCUUGGCAAUUUCUUUAAAACUAGUCACCUUUUAAAAAUUGUGACUCUUUUUUGAAAACUAGUCACUUAAAAGGUUGUGACUUUUGGAAAAAUCUUCAGAAACAAGUCACUUUAAGAAUUGUGACUUUUGGAAAUUUAUUUUUCGAAAUCAGUCACUGGUAAUCGAUUACCAUCAUUGUGUAAUCGAUUACACAUAAACAAAUAUGACUCUUUAUGUUUAAAUUUGAAAAUCAAAACAUUUAGAAACUCUGGUAAUCGAUUACGAGUAUUGUGUAAUCGAUUACACAAGUUUAAAAUGAUUUGAAAAUGUUUUUAUCACUAGUUGUGACUCUUGAAAUUUGAAAUCUAACAUUUUAAAAUAUUGGUAAUCGAUUACAUGAUUAUGGUAAUCGAUUACAGCUUUGUAAAUCUGUUUUGAAAACAAUGUUGGCUACUGGUAAUCGAUUACUACCUUUUGGUAAUCGAUUACCAGAGAAUUUUACUCUCUGGUAAAAGAUUUUGUGAAAAAAUUCUUGUGCUACUCAAUGUUCUGAAAAACUUUUCUUAGUACUUAUCUUGAUUGAGUCUUAUCUUGAUUCUUGAUUCUUGAGUCUUUAAUCUUGACCUUGAUUGUUCUUAAAUCUUGAUUCUUGAAACUUGAUUGUUCUUGAAUCUUGAAUCUUGAAACUUGAUUGUUGAAGCUUUUUGACUCCUGAUUCUUUGGAACUUUCUUAACUAUUGAUUCUUUGGCAUCAUCAAAAUAAUCUUGGAAGGCAUUGCUUCCACAAUCUCCCCUUUUUGAUGAUGACAAUCUUGAAAUCAAGAGAAUACAUACAAGUUUUGUUCUAUCGUUCACUCAUUUCUUUCUCCCCCUUUCCUUUUGAAUUUAUGCUUAAUUUUAAAGUUUUGAAAAUAUAAUAUCUUGAUUUCUAAAAUACCCGAUUUCUCUUCGCCUUUGGCAACAUCAAAAAGGCCAAAGUGCGUAAAAUAAAACAUACAUGAAUAAUUCGAAUACAUACAACACAAUACCAAAUGUAAGUACAUACCACUAGACAUAUAUAUCAUAAAAAAUAUUUAAGUUUAACACACAUGACCUAUUUUUCAGAGAAUAAAUAACAUAAUGUCAUAAAUCAUUCACAAAAAAUAAUAAAAGCAUGUGUAUUAAACAAGUCAUAAGUCAUCAUAACAUAAAACAAAUCAUUUGUCUAAGUCACUGGCAUCUAGAAGUCCUAAUUCUCUUCUAAUGGUGUAGAAGGAAUCUUUGGGUAGUGGUUUUGUGAAGAUAUUUGCGAGUUGAUUUUUGGUAUCUACAAAUUCUAGAACACAAUCACCUUUUAGGACAUGAUCUCUAAGGAAAUGAUGCCUAAUUUCUAUGUGCUUAGUUCUAGAGUGGAGAACUGGGUUCUUAGAUAUAUUUAUGGCGCUUGUGUUGUCACAUUUUAAGGGGAUAUGGUCUAAUACAAUCCCAUAAUCAGAUAGUUGUUGUUUCAUCCAUAGAAUCUGUGCACAACAACUACCAGUAGAGAUGUAUUCUACUUCGGCUGUGGAUAAUGCUAAACUAUUUUGCUUCUUGUUGUGCCAAGAGACAAGAGCAGAUCCUAUGAAUUGACAUGUGCCACUAGUACUCUUCCUAUCUGUUUUGGAUCCAACAAAAUCUGAAUCUGAGUAUCCUACUAAAUUGCAUAAAGAAUUUUUUGGGUACCAUAAUCCUAAGUUAAUUGUUCCUAAGAGAUAUCUUAUGAUCCUUUUUACUGCAGUUAAAUGUGAAAACUUUGGAUUUGAUUGAAAUCUUGCACACAUGCACACACCAAACAUAAUAUCUAGCCUACUUGCAGAUAAGUAAAGUAGAGAUCCAAUCGUACCUCUAUAUUGCUUUUCAUCAACAGGUUGACUGGACUCAUCUUUGUCAAGGUAGCAACUAGUGCUCAUAAGAGUAGCCAAAUGUUUUGAGUUCUCCAUUCCGAAUCUCUUGAUGAUUUCUUUACAGUAUUUUGCUUGGUUGACAAAGAUCCCAUCAUUUGUUUGUUUGAUUUGUAAUCCAAGAAAGUAAUUUAAUUCACCCAUCAUGGACAUCUCAAACUCACUUUGCAUGUCAAUAGAAAACUCCUUACAUAAAGAUUCAUUAGUAGAUCCAAAGAUUAUAUCAUCAACAUAAAUUUGUACCAAUUAGAUAUCAUUAUCCUUCUUUUUAAUGAAUAAGGUGGUAUCUACCUUUCCUUGAAUGAAAUUCUUUUCUAAUAUGAAUUUACUUAAUCUUUCAUACCAAGCCCUAGGUGCCUGUUUCAACCCAUAAAGUGCUUUCUUUAACCUAUAAACAUGAUCUAAUUUUUGUGAGUCUUCAAACCCGGGAGGUUGUUCUACAUAUACUUCCUCUUGGAUUAGACCAUUUAGGAAGGUACUCUUGACAUCCAUUUGAUAUAUUUUAAAGUUCAUAAUAGAUGCAUAAGCUAAAAGCAUCCUAAUGGCUUCUAAUCUAGCUACAGGUGCAAAUGUUUCUUCAUAGUCUAUACCUUCUUCUUGGUUGUACCCUUUUGCAACUAUUCAAACUUCAUUUCUAAUUACUAUACCAUUUUCAUCUAGUUUAUUUCUAAAUACCCACUUAGUUCCUAUAAUGAGGUAGUUAUCUGGUUUCUCAACUAGUUCCCAAACAUUAUUUCUCUCAAAUUGAAUUAACUCUUCUUGCAUAGCAACUAUCCAUUGAUCAUCUAUUAUGGCUUCUUUAAAGAUUUUAGAUUCUAUCAUAGAAACAAAUGCCAUGUUAUUGCAUAAAUCUUUGAGAGAGUGUCUAGUUGUUACCUCUUUUGAGAUAUCUCCGAUGAUGUUGUCAUGAGGAUGAUUUCUUGAAGUUUCCCAUUCUUUGGGAAGAUCAUCAUUUUCAUGGGCUAUGUCAUCUUGAACAUCCUUGUUUUCUUCAUUUCUCUUCCUUUUCAGAUUCCUUUCUUGAUUGAGCAUAUCUUCCAAAGAAUCUGCAAUAUCAUCAAGAAACUCCUUUCUCGGAGAAGUAAUAUUAGUUUCAUCAAAAGAAACAUGUAUUGAUUCCUCAAUUGUCAUGGUUCUUUUGUUGUAUAUCCUAAAGGCUUUGCUAUGUAGGGAAUAACCAAGGAAGAUGCCCUCAUCUACCUUAGCAUCAAAUUUACCUAGGCUUUCUUUACCAUUGUUUAGGACAAAACAUUUACAUCCAAAAACAUGUAAAUGAGCAAUGUUUGGUUUCUAUUGUUAAAUAGUUCAUAUAGGGUUUUUUUAAGAAUGGGUCUUAUUAAGGCUCUAUUCAUAAUAUAACAUGCGGUGUUGACUGCUUCUGCCCAAAAAUAUUUUGGAAGUGGCGUGCCAUUUAAAAGGGUUCUAGCGAUUUCUUCUAAAGAUCUAUUUUUCCUUUCUACUACACCAUUUUGUUGGGGUGUCCUAGGUGCAGAAAAGUUGUGUUCUAUGCCAUGUUCAUCACAAAACAUUUCAAAAUCAUUGUUUUCAAAUUCACCUCCAUGAUCAUUUCUAAUGGAGAUAAUUUUGAGAUUUUUCUUGUUUUGGAUGACUUUGGAAAGUCUUCUAAAUGCAUGAAAUGCAUCAUUUUUGUGAGUAAGAAAUAAAGUCCAAGUAUACCUAGAAUAGUCAUCGACAAUUACUAAGGCAUAGUAACUACCACCAAAACUCAUGACCCUAUAGGGUCCAAACAAAUCCAUAUGUAAUAAUUGUAAUGGUUGAGUGGUAGAGACAAUAUUUUUAGAUUUAAAAGAUAUUUUUGUUCGUUUACCUUUUAGGCAUGCAUCACAUAACUUAUCUUUUUCAAACUUUAAUUUUGGUAAACCAACAACUAGGUCUUUUGAAAUUAAUCUAUUUAAAUGAUCCAUGUUAAUGUGAGCAAUUCUCUUAUGCCAUAACCAAGGAUCACUAUCUUUGCUUAGAAAGCAUUUAUCAUUUUUAGAUUUUUGUUUCAAAUCAAUCAUGUAAACAUUAUUUUCUCUUAAACCUAUAUGCUCAAUAUCCUUGUCUUGCUCAUGCUUGAUAACACAUUUUUCAGAAUCAAAAGAUACUUUAUAUCCUUUAUCACAUAAUUGACUAACACUUAAUAGACUAUGCUUUAAAUCUUCUACAAGUAACACAUUUUCAAUGGGAGUAGAGGAACUCGUACUUAUUUUUCCGACUCCAAUGAUUUUGCCUUUGUUGUUGUCGUUGUAUGUAGCAUGUCCACUUUUCUUGGGGGAAAUGGUUGUAAAUUUGGAUACAUCUUCUGUCAUAUGCUUGGAGCAUCCACUGUCGAUGUACCACUUUUUCCUAACAGAUUCUUCCUCGUUGGUCUCAUGAGAUUUUGUCAUGAAACAUAAGUUGGCUUAAUCUUCAUCAUGAUCUUGAAAUGAUUUCAGAUUUGACCUAUACCUGAAAUUUCUUUUGACAAACAGAGAAUUUAAAGAGGCCAUUUAUCUUGAAGUUGUGAACCUUUUCUCAAGAAACCUGCUCUGAUACCACUUGUUGGAUCAAGUGGCCUCGAAAUAAUUAAGAAGGGGGGGGGGGGUUGAAUUAAUUAUCAAUGUGUCUUGAUUGAUUAAAAAUUUAUCCUUCUUAAUGUUACUAGAUUCAACUAGGCUUUUAUUACUAAGUUAAGAAAGUAAAGAACAGAAACAGAAACAUAACCAAAAGCAAAAGCGGCAAUUAAAACUACAUAGCGGAAAUUAAAGAGUGUGGGGAAGAAGAAGACAAACACAAGAUUUAUACUAGUUCGGCAACAACCCGUGCCUACAUCCAGUCCCUAAGAAACCAACGGUUCUUGAGAUUUCUUUCAACCUAGUAAAAUCCUUUACAAGCCAAAGAUCCACAAGGGAUGUACCCUCCCUUGUUCUCUUUGAACAACCAAGUGGAUGUACCCUCCACUUGAACUGAUCCACAAGAGAUGUACCCUUUUUGUUCUCAGUAUAACAACCAAAGUAGAUGUACCCUCUACUUGUGCCACAAAGGAUGUACCCUCCAAUAUGUUAGGACAAAGAAUUCUUAGGCAGUUAGUCCCUUGAAUCUUUGUAUGGGGAAACAAAAGAUAUUUUAGGCGGUUAGUCCUUCGAAAUCUUUUGUUUAAGGGGAAGGGAAGAAUCAAAAGAAUUCUCAGGCGGUUAGUCCUUUGAAUUCUCUUGGAAGAGGGAGAAGGGAGACACAAAAAAACUCAGGCGGUUAGUCCUUCGAUUCUUUUGGCAAGAGGGAGAAGUGAAUGAAGAAAAAGAAUAGCACAAGUUUUUGGUCAAUGAACUUUUCUUGAAAGAGAAAGUAUUGAACAAAAACAUCUAGAAAGAUGAAAAGAAAUGAAUGAAAGUUCUGUAAAAGAAAACAUUAUUGAAAUUCAUGCCAUGGUCACAUAUUUGUAAUCAUUUGAUGACUCAAGUUAAAGUUUGUGACUCUUGGAAAUUUCUUUAAAACUAGCCACCUUUUAAAAAUUGUGACUCUUUUGAUAACUAGUCACUUAAAAGGUUGUGACUUUUGAAAAAAUCUUCAGAAACAAGUCACUUUAAGAAUUGUGACUUUUGGAAAUUUAUUUUUCGAAAUCAGUUAUUGGUAAUCGAUUACCAUCAAGGUGUAAUCGAUUACACAUCAGCAGAUAUGACUCUUCAUGUUUAAAUUUGAAAAUUAAAAUGUUUAGACACUCUGGUAAUCGAUUACGAGUAUUGUGUAAUCGAUUACACAAGUUUAAAAUGAUUUGAAAAUGUUUUUAUCACUAGUUGUGACUCUUGAAAUUUGAAAUCUAACAUUUUAAAACAUUGGUAAUCGAUUACAUGAUUAUGGUAAUCGAUUACCGCUUUGUAAAUCUAUUUUGAAAACAAUGUUGGCUACUGGUAAUCGAUUACCAGAGAGUAAAACUCUUUGGUAAAAGAUUUUGUGAAAAAAUUCUUGUGCUACUCAAUGUUUUGAAAAACUUUUAUUAGUACUUAUCUUGAUUGAGUCUUCUCUUGAUUCUUGAAUCUUGAUCUUGAUUGUUCUUGAAUCUUGAUUCUUGAAACUUUAUUGUUCUUGAAUCUUGAAUCUUGAAACUUGAUUGUUGAAGCUUUCUGACUCCUGAUUCUUUGGAACUUGCUUAACUCUUGAUUCUUUGGCAUCAUCAAAAUAAUCUUGGAAGGCAUUGCUUCCACAGAUGUAGGGUUAGUGAUGGAUCAUUUACUAAGUUCUAGGGGUGUACAUGAGUUAGGUUGGAUCGAGUUUAGGGAAACUCAUCACUGUUGGAUCGAGUGGCCUCAGAAUAAUUAAGAAGGGGGGUUGAAUUAAUUAUUCCUAAACCUUUACUAAUUAAAAAAUUACUCUUUUAAGGCUUUUACUUUUGUUGUUAAGAGAAUAUGGAGCAGAAGAGAAACUUAACAGAAAGUAAAAGCGGAAAUUAAAUGCACAGCGGAAAGUAAAAGAGUAGGGAAGAAGGAAACAAACACACAAGAGUUUUUAUACUGGUUCGGCAACAACCCGUGCCUACAUCCAGUCCCCAAGCGAUUUGCGGUCCUUGAGAUUUCUUUCAACCUUGUAAAAAUCCUUUUACAAGCAAAGAUCCACAAGGGAUGUACCCUCCCUUGUUCUCUUUGAACCUAGUGGAUGUACCCUCCACUAGAGCUGAUCCACAAGAGAUGUACCCUCUCUUGUUCUUAGUCAAACCCAAGUAGAUGUACCCUCUACUUGUACCACAAAGGAUGUACCCUCCAAUGUGUUGAGACAAAGAUCUCAGGCUGUUAAACCUUUGAUACUUUGUGAAUGGGGAUACAAAAUAAUUCUCAGGCGGUUAGUCCUUUGAACACUUUUGUAUUAGGGAAUGGGAAGAAUCAAAAGAAUUCUCAGACUGUGUCGUUUUGAAUUCUUUGACAAGGGAGAAGGGAGACACAAAAGAAUUCAGGCGGUUAGUCCUUCGUUCUUUUAGAAAAGGGAGAAGAGAGACACAAAAAGAAUUCAGGCGGUUAGUCCUUGGCGAAUUCUUUUUGGCAAAGGGAGAAGAGAAUGAAAAGAUGAAUAGCACAAGUUUUCAAGGUUUAGAAAACCAGAAAACUUCAGAAAGCUUUUGGUACAAAGAAGAAGAAGAAGUUCAAAGAGAUUCAAGGCUUGUAAAGGAUUGUAUGAAUAAGUGUUCAAGAUUCUUGAAAUGCAAAACAAAGCCUUGCUUUUAUAGACUCUUCGUGUCUGGUCAAGAAGACCAUUUAGAAGAGUUAUAACUUUUAGAAAAACUUAAAACCAAUUUGAAAAAGUCAAAACCUUUUUGAAGAGUUACAUCUUUUGAUUUAUUCAGAAACAGUCACUGGUAAUCGAUUACCAAAUAAGUGUAAUCGAUUACACAAGGCUUUUAAGUGAAAGGAUGUGACUCUUCACAUUUGAAUUUGAAUUUCAACGUUCAAGGGCACUGGUAAUCGAUUACCAAAACAUUGUAAUCGAUUACAGCCUUUUGAAAAUAAUUGGAACGUCGUAAAUUCAGUUUGAAAACUUUUUCAAACUCAUUUUGCUACUGGUAAUCGAUUACCAGAGAGUAAAAACUCUUUGGUAAAAGGUUUUGUCAAAAACUUAUGUGCUAUUCAAAGUUUUGAAAAAACUUUUUAAUACUUAUCUUGAUUGAGUCUUCUCUUCAUUCUUGAAUCUUGAGCCUUGAAUCUUGAUCUUGAUUCUUGAGAUCUUGAACCUUGAAUCUUGAUUCUUGUCUCUAGACUUUCUUCUUGAGUCUUGAAUUCUUCUUGAUUCUUAUCUUGAACUCUUGAAUUGUUCUUGAUUGAUCUUUGAGCUUUUUGUCAUCAUCUUUUGUUAUCAUCAUUGUUAUCAUCAAAACACCUUUGAAUCACCUUUGAUUCACCAUGAAGAUUUGCUUCUACAAUCACCUAGCCCAAUUAAAAAUUCUCGAGUUGGGAUAGAUCGGGUUCUAGCGAUUUUGUUGUCAAAUCUAACCCAACCCAACUCGUUCAUAAACAAGUUGAGUUGGGUUGGGUCAAUCUGGUCAUAAUUUUAAAAUUAAAAAUUUCAUAACAUAUUUUUUGCAUAAAGAAAUUUAUCAUCAAAAUUCAAACCACCACUGCAUAAAACAAAAUACAAAUUUGUUCAUUUUGUUGUCUAACUGCAAUUAAAACACCAACUCAAAUUGAAAAGAACAAAGUGUUAAGCGUUGAUAUAAAAUAAAGUUGUUGUCUAAUAGUGUCUUGCAGGCUUGCACCCAUAAAGCAAACACUUGAACAAAAUAAAUUUGAUAAAUGAUAAUGAUAUCAGUCCAAAAGUCUAAAACUAAAAACAACAGUGUAGUUUGUUGAUCAACCAUAAGAUCAAAAUCAAUUACUGUAUUAGUAAUAAGUUGAAAAUGUGCAAAAAAAAUUAAAUAACAUUAUAAACUAAGUUGAAAAUAUUAUCAUAAGAACUAGUGGUCUUAACUUCUACUAGCAAUCCACUAGUAGUCCAACAAUCAUAGUAUUUAAAGCAAAACCAUACAAUUUUAAAAAUUUAAUCAAAAUCUCUUUAGAACAGGAUAUUAAUUCAUAUUGAUAUUAUAAACAAUUGAAAAAAAAUCAAGAUUUUUCAUACCUGAUUCACUAUUUUUUGUUUCAUCUAAUUCAACUUGCAAAUCAUUGACAUUUUGCUUAUCAAAUUUAAGCCAAUUUUGGGCACAAAUCAAAGCUUCAACCGUAGUGGGACACAAUGAGCUUUGGAAUGGAUCAAGUUCUUGAGCUCCUAUGUUGAAUAUGAACUUAGAUGACACAAUAGACACAUGAAUGACUAAUAUAUCUCUAGGCAUAUAAAAAGAACAUGACAUUUGGUUGCUUUUGUAGAUGCAUAUGCUAUAUGAAGCUUUUGAUGAUGCCAAAAAGAUGAAAGUCAUUCAACAUUGAUCUAAGACAAGAUCAAGAAAUCAAGAGAAAUGAUUAACAAUUAGUCCAUUAUAUGAUAAAAGAAUCCCUUAAAAGAGAUUGCAAAGGUUUGCCUUAAGUUAAUCUUUCAAAACACCUUGCAAAGUUUUGAAGUUAAAUUCUGUUUUGAAAAAUAUGUUUUUCUCUAUGGUAAUCGAUUACCAGAGGCUGUAAUCGAUUUCCAGAAGCAAAAAUAGUUUUAAACAGUUUUAGAAAAGAUUUAAAUUUGAAUUUUAAAUGUGUAAUUGAUUACCAAGAGAUUGUAAUCGAUUAACAGAGGAAAAACUGUUUUAAAACAACUUUUAGAAAGUUUUGAAUUUAAAUUUUAAAUCUAUAAUCGAUUACAACAAUUGUGUAAUCGAUUACCAGUCACAAAAUUUUGAAAUUCAAAUCUAAAGAGUCAUAACUACUCAAAAUUAACUGUGUAAUCGAUUACCACAUAUUUGUAAUCGAUUACCAGUGAGGAAAUUUUAAAAAUAACUUUGAAAAGUCACAACUCUUCACAAGUUUUUGAAAGGCCACCAAAGGCCUAUAAAUAUGUGACUGGUGUUCGAAAUUCUUCAGAGUUUUUCAGAAUAAUAAUUGUCCUAUCCUCUCAAAAGAAAACCUUUGACCAAACACUUGCAAAAUCAUUAAGGAUUCUUAUAAGAUCUUCAUCUUGUAACAUUCUUCUCUAUAAGAGAGAAACAUUCUUCUUUAUUUCAAAGAAAACAACUGUUAUUCAAGAGAUAGUGAGUCUCUUGAUUUGUAAAAGAUCUCUGAACACAAGGGAAAAGUAUCCCUUUAUGGUUCAUAAAUUGUAAAAGGAAUUUACAUGUUUGUGGAAAUCUCAAGUGGGUUACUUGAGGACUGGACGUUGACACAGGGUGUGGCCGAACCAGUAUAAAACUGAGUUUGCAUUUCUCUCUUCCCUAAACUUCUUUAAUUUAUUGCAUUUUAAUUUUACUUUGCUUAUUUUAAAGAAGUAUCGAUUGAAUUGUUCUUUACUUCAUUUAUAUUAAGUCUUCAUAUUUCAUUUCAAGAGAGAAUUAAAAUUUGUUAGGGGAAAAUUUUUAAACUUAAUUCAUCCCUCCCCCCUCUUAAGUUAUUGAGGCCAAGUAUUUAACAAGUGCCAUCAGAGCUUAAUUCUUGUACAAGGUUUAUAAACUUCAAGAAUAUGGUCUCAUCAAACUUUUUAUUUCCCGAAGGAAACUCUAUAAAUAGGCCUCCUAUUUUCAAUGGCGUGGGUUAUCAUUAUUGGAAAACCCGCAUGCAAAUUUUUAUAGAGGCUAUAGAUUUAAAUAUCUAGGAAGCCAUAGAAAUUAAACCUUACAUCCCUACUAUGGUAGUAGGAAAUACAACCAUAGAAAAACCUAGGGAACAAUGGGAUGAGGAGGAAAAGAAGUUAGUACGAGAUAAUUUAAAAGCCAAAAAUAUAAUUACAUAUGCAUUAGGAAUGGAUGAAUACUUUAGGGUGUCAAAUUGCAAGGGUGCAAAAGAUAUGUGGGAUACCUUACAAGUAACCCAUGAAAGAACAAUAGAUGUGAAAAGGUCUAGAAUAAAUACCUUAACUCAUGAAUAUGAAUUAUUUAGAAUGAUUCCUAAUGAAACUAUACAGGACAUGCAAAAGAGAUUCACACACAUAGUAUAUCAUCAUGCAUCAUUAGGAAAGAUAUUUCCCAAUGAGGAUCUUAUUAAUAAAGUUUUGAGAUGUUUAAGCAAGGAAUGGCAACCAAAGGUAACGGCUAUUACAGAAUCAAGGGAUCUUUCUAACAUGUCUCUUACAACUUUGUUUGGAAAGUUACAGGAACAUGAAAUGGAACUAAUGAGACUAAAUCAGCAUGAGAAGAAUGAUAAGAAAAAGAAAGGAAUCUCACUUAAAGCCUCAUCCUCAAUUCAAGAAGGAAGUGAUAAAGAAGAUUUAAAUGAAAUAGACGAAGAUGGUGAUUUCAGUUUCUUUGUAAAGAGGUUCAACAAAUUUCUAGGAAACAAAGGAAAUCAAAGAAGAUCAAAUUUCAAAUCAAAGAAAAGAGUAGAAGAUUCAUCUUCUCUUCCAAAAUGUUAUGAAUGCAAUCAACCAGGACAUCUGAGAGUUGAUUGCCCAAGUUUCAAGAAAAGAAUAUAUAGAUCUGAAAAGAAAACUUUCAAUGAUAAGAAAGCAAAGAAGGCCUACAUUACUUGGGAAGACAAUGAUAUGGACUCAUCUGAAGAUUCAGAAAAUAAAGUUUUAAACCUGAGUCUGAUGGCCAAGAAUUAUGAAAGCGAUGAAGAGGUAACAUCUUCUGACAACAAGUUAUCUAUUUCAUUUGAUGAAUUACAAGAUGGACUCACUGGUUUACAUAAAGAAUCAGUCAAACUAGCAAAACUAGUUUCAUUUUCUAAGAAAACUAUUUCAAACUUAAAAAAAUAAGUUUUAAAAUAAAAUGAAGAAUUAGAAAAUCUUAAAACUGAAGUCAAAACUUUAAGAUCAACUGACACAAAUCAUUCUUCCACCACAAAAAUAAUACAUGAUAAUAUAUAAGCAUCUAACUCUUGUAAUUAUUGUAACAAGUAUAUAGAAGAAAUCAAGGAUUUGAAAAAUUCUCUUGCCAAAUUUUCUAUUGAAAAAAAUAAUUUAGAUAUUAUAUUAGGAAAGCAAAGAUGUGUUUUUGAUAAGGCUAGAUUAGAAUAUAAACCUGAUAAACAACAAAAUUUUUAUAAAAGUUUCUUUGCAUCCACACAAAAGAAUAGUUAUCCUUUCUUAACUUUUUUUACUGUGGAAAGAAAGGACAUGGUACAUCUACAUGCUUGUCGCAACCUACCCUUCGGCGGGAGGGCGACGCGUGACUCGCGGGUGCGUGUUCCAAGAAAGGAAUACGCGCGGAGUCACCACCAACGUUUAUUUGAGGAAAACGUCGGAAAAAAUGGAAAAAGACAUGAUCUACAAACUCUAAGCGAAAGGUUCGGGAGUUGUAUUUACGCACGGGGAAGGUAUUAGCACCCCACGCAUCCAUCACAAGAGACGACAGCCUUUAAUCAAAUGUGCAAAUAUGACUUCAAUUUAUAUUCUUUUCCUUUUUUACAUUCUUAUGUCUUUUUAUGCCUUUUUAUGUUUUUAUCUUUUUGUGGUCGACAAGGACGUUUCCCUUUGCUCUUACGUAUUCCUCAAUUGUGAUGAGAAAAUCAGACCUACGUAGUUCUUUUGUGAACAAAGUAUUGGUUAAAUUGUUUUUAUCUUUUUUGCAAAAUAUGUUUUUAUUGAAUGAAAGGUCAUUAAAGGCGUUGGACCAUUAGACAAUCUUUCAAUUCUUUUGAAAAGUGAGAAAUCAUUAAGGCAUUGGACCAUUAAUGAUUUCUUUAUUUUUUGAAGAGGUAACAAAGUUACAUAUUGAUUUUAGGCUUUUUAGAAAUCUACACUUAACCAAUAAAAGCGGAAAAGACCAUUUCAAGACGUUUGACCUUUGAAAAUGGCUUUUUUAGGCGAUAACAAAAGUUUGGUUUAUGAAUUGAUUUUAGCCUUAGUUUCACUUUGGUUAUUAGUCAAUUCAAUUAAGAAAGAGAAAUCCCAAAGAGAAACGUCCGAUUGAUUUUUUUGGUGUAUUUUACUUAAAGAUAUUUUUUGAUUAUUAUAUUAUUAUUUUACCUCUUUUUGGUUUCCAACGUGGCUACGGCAUGACCAAACGGUCAGAUUUCAUUUUAACAGAAAUUAAUGGAUGUUACAAUUCAAAUGAUCAGUGGAAAUUUAUUUUAUUUUGGAUUAGGGGAGAAAAUGACUUAAGUAAAUGACUAAAACACGUCAAAAGGGGGUACGGAAAGUAAAUGAAAUGAAAAUAAAAGCAUGUGAAACAAAUGAGGGCCACUAAGGGAACAUAGAAUGAAUUAAAAAGUUCGAUUUCGGGAGCUUACCGGUUGAAGACCGAAGAACGACGAAGAACAACGAAGAACGUUGAAGAACGGUUGAAAAUCUUUGAGAAAUCACCCACGGAAACAUUAAAAAAGCACCUCGGCUUGGAUUUUCUUCACGGAAACAAUUUUUUUCACUAAUUUCAAGUGAUCUCGAAUUACCAGGAGGGCUGAACAUUUUUUCCCUUCACUUCUCCCCUUAUUUAUAGGAAAAUAGGGGAAAAGCUUGCCACCCAGCUCGCCCAGGCGAGCUAGGUUGCUUCCUCCAGAAGCAACCACCUUCUGGAGGAAUUUUCUGGAAGGCCCAAGUGGGCCUGGUUGCUAUUUGCACCCCCAUUUUUAGUAAAUACACUCCCAUGCCUUUUUUUGGUGAUUCUUUUUCCGUAACAUUACGAAACUUUACGAAUUUCGUAACGAUGCUUGUUUUCUUUCCGUAAUGUCACGAAACCUUACGGAUCACGUAAUCAUCCCUUUUUUGCCUUCUAGAACGUUACGGAACUUUAUGGAUUGCGCACUAACACUUCCUUUUAAUUUCCGGCAUGUCACGGAACUUCACGGAUUGUGCUACAAUGCUUUCUUUUGACUUCCGGCAUGUCACGGAACUUCACGAAUUGCCUAACGAUGGGUGCCAAGUACCUCAAAGUGGUCAAAUGAGGGUCGCAUCCCAACAACGGAUGGUCCCCGGACGAAAUUAGGGCAUGACAGUUGCCCCUCUUUACUUGUCUUUUAUUGGAGAUAAAGGGGAAGUAAAGAUAAGACACUAAUUUCGUUCGAGCGAAACACCAUUCGGCCAGUGAACCUCCCUACCAGCGGAACCUGCAAAAAUUUGAAAAUGAUCAGUACCGACACAUCAUCCUGAUACCGUCGAAUUUGUUCCUCUUGGUUGAUACAAGACGUAGAAUGACCAUAAUUUGUCUCUACGUUUUGUUGGACACGAUCGAGCCUGGACGGCGAGACACAAAAUGACCAUAAUUUGUCUUUGCGUUUUAUUGGACACGAUCGAGCCUGGGCGGCGAGACACAGAAUGUCCAUAAUUUGUCUCUGUGUGCCACCGGACACGAUCGCCUGUGGAUGGCGAAAAGGUGUGCAGAAUGACCAUAAUUUGUCCCCACCCACCUCUCAACUUGUUGUUUUUGAAAGAAAAAGGGCGCAGAAUUUGUCUCUGCGCAUUUAUCACCCAACUUGCGAAAUCUGAAUGACAAAGGGCGCAGAAUCUGUCUUUGCAUGUUUAUCACCCGCCUCGCUGCUCCUGAAUGAUAAAGGGCGCAGAAUUUGUCUCAACGCAUUUACCCACUCAGCUUGUUGUUCCUGAAUGAUAAAGGGCGCAGAAUCUGUCUCUGGGCGUUUACCCACUCAGCUUGUUGUUCCUGAAUGAUAAAGGGCGCAGAAUCUAUCUCUGCGUGUUUACCCACUAAGCUUGUUGUUCCCGAAUGAUAAAGGGCGCAAAAUCUAUCUCUGCGCGUUUACCCACUCAGCUUGUUGUUCCCGAAUGAUAAAGGGCGCAGAAUCUAUUUUUGCGCGUUUACCCACUCAGGUUGUUGUUCCUGAAUGAUAAAGGGCGCAGAAUCUGUCUCUGCGCGUUUACCCACUCAGGUUGUCGUUCCUGAAUGAUAAAGGGCGCAAAAUCUAUCUUUGCGCGUUUACCCACUCAGCUUGUUGUUCCUGAAUGAUAAAGGGCACAAAAUUUGUUUCUGCGCAUUUACCCACUCAGGUUGUUGUUCCUGAAUGAUAAAGGGUGCAUAAUUCGUCUAUGCGCGUUUACCACCCAACUUGCUAUCAUGAUUUGAGUCUUAUAGAUAGCAAAGGAAAGUUUUAAACGGAUAACCACUCGGGUAUCUCCGUAUGUCACGUGACUCCAGUGUCAGUAUGACAGAAAUUGUCUGCGCAGAAGAUGACGUCAAUCUCCGGGUGUCAAUGGGCUCGUUGGCCGCGAUUGAUAAAGUGUGCAGAAGAUGACAUUAGUCUCUGCGUGCUAUCAUGCUUUGAGUCUUAGAGAUAGCAAAAGAAAGUUUAAAUGGAUAACCACUCGGGUAUCUCCGCAUGUCACGUGACUCCAGUAUCAGUAUGACAAAAAUUGUCUACGCGGAAGAUGACGUAAAUCUCUGAGUGUCAACGGGCUCGUUGGCCGCGAUUGACAAAGGGUGCAGAAGACAACGUUAGUCUCUGCGUGCUAUCAUGCUUUGAGUCUUAGAGAUAGCAAAAGAAAUUUUAAACGGAUAACCACUCGGGUAUCUCCGCAUGUCACGUGACUCCAGUGUUAGUAUGACAGAAAUUUUCUGCACGGAAGAUGACGUAAAUCUCCGUGUGUCAAUGGGCUCGUUGGCCACGAUUGACAAAGGGUGUAGAAGACGAUGUUAGUCUCUGCGUGCUAUCAUGCUUUGAGUCUUAGAGAUAGCAAAAGAAAGUUUAAACGGAUAACCACUCGGGUAUCUCCGCAUGUCACGUGACUCCAGUGUCAGUAUGACAGAAAUUGUGGGGGCGGCCAACAAAAGCGAGACUCUUGCUCCUACGUAUCCUCAAUGAGGAACUCAGACCUACGUAGUUCUGGAUAACUUGUGAGACUAAAAAUAGUCUCGGUGUUUUCUUCACUAAAAUGCGAACAUGCUUUAGUAAAGAGAGAAAACUUCCAACUAAUCAGAGCAGCAUAUGCUUUUCGGAUGAAAAACAGUGUGUCUACCGGGGAAGGGGAGUAUGCUGAUGAAAUCUUCUCAUAACCACAAAUGAGAUUUUGGAUGUUAGCAUUUCAUUUCUAAAUGACCAUUUAGAAGAAAAUCACUCAAAGUGUAUUAAUCUCACAUAGGUAAGUGUUUCGUCCUAAUUCCGAACCAUAGAUAUGCCAUGACUUGAUCUUGCAAAUCAUUUCCUAUCAAAUCAAAGAUUACAUGCGUGAUCAUGGAUCAGAAGGACUCUUUCUUGGGAAUGGUGUUUUUUUGUGGGAAUUUUGGCUUUGAAUGUUUUUGGCCUUUUCCUUUUCUAUUUUUGUUUAGCGCGAGGCGAACAAGUCACCGACGCACAGGAUUUUGGUUGGUAAUCAAAGGGAGAGGGCCACUUUAGAUCGUGGUUUCCUUUCUCUUUUUGUUUUCUUGGUGACAAUUCUGUAUUGUUCAGAUAUUGUCUGGUCCAAAGACCUUUCUGCAUGUUUCUUCUGUUUUCUUCGAAUCUUUGAUCGGGAAUUUUCUUUCCUUUUUUGCUUUCUCCCACUCUUCGAUUGGGAACUUUCUCUUUUUGUUUUCUCCCGCUCUUUUGAUUGGGAAUUUCCUUUCUUUUUUUGUUUUCUUCCGAGGGAAAGGAUUGAUAUUCUCACCCUGGGUCAAGGUUUAUGGUAAGUUGGGUCAAGGCUUGUAGAACGAAUGGACAUGAUAUAUGUCAGGGUGUUGGUCUGGUUCAGGGAUAAAAGGGGAUGUUCGACAUUAUUUCCAUGACACAAAUGCAACAAUGAUGAUUUGGAAAUUUUAUUCAAAACCAGUCAUGCAUGCACCUAUGUGGACACUCAAGUGUCGAAAAUUUUUUGGUCAUGUGAUGCUAGGGCUCAUAAUUUAUUUUCUCUAUUUAAGUCAACCCAGUGUUUCCAAAAUAUGUUCUUUUAUCAAUUUGUGCAUUCAUCCAAGUCUAUCUUGGGUGUUCGGAAAAACUUUCACAGCAUUUACCCUUCAACUGUGUAUACACAUUUUUUUCAAAAACUGGUUAUGAUCAGUGAAUUUUUUCAAAGAAAAGCUGGAAAUUAUCUCUUUUCACGAGCAUGUUAUUUUAUAGCUAGACAACUUUUUAUUUUUUUUUCUUUUUUCUUUUUUAUCAUUUGUUUAUUUCUUUUCCUUGUUUGUUUUUGUUGUUUUUUUUCAUGAGGUAUUUUGCUACCUAAACAUGUGUAUAUUUUUGUGAGGUAUUUUUGCUAUAUACAUGCAUAUCCAAGGUAUCUUGCUACCUAAACAUACAUAUAUAUUUUGUGAGGUAUUUUUGCUAUAUACAUGUAUAUCCAAGGUACCUUGCUACCUAAACAUACAUAUAUAUUUUGUGAAGUAUUUUUGCUACAUACAUGCAUAUCCAAGGUAUCUUUCUACCUAAACAUACAUAUAUAUAUCUUGUGAGGUAUGACUACCUCCCAAGCUUGUGCUUGUUUUAUUUAAAUUCCCAAGAUCCUGAGCAACUAGGUGUGUCCUACUAUGACUUGAGAAACAAAGGUGAUCAAAUAACAAGCAGAGGUUUAAAAGGUUCUAGGUUGCCUCCUAGUAGCGCUUCUUUAACGUCUUGAGCUGGACGCAUGACGACUUGUCGGUCACGGACCUAGUACUUUGCUUACCUUUGGCCUUGGACUUGGUCGCCUAUUUGUCGGCCAUGUGUCAUAAGCAAUACUCUAACCUUUUUGUGGAUGAGCUGAGGUGAACUCUAGAGGUGGUGGCAGUGCGUUUGUUGCCCGCUGUCGGCCAUCCCUAGGCUGCUGUGGUGUCUCGCCAUGCGCUUGCCUGGGGGCGCAAUACUUCUUGAUAAAAGCCCGGUCAAUAGGGGGCCUGAUGAACUUGGUGGGGGCGACGGGCACUCCGUAGAACUGACAGAGGCCCGUCAUCAGAGCUGGAAACCCCAGGGCCCUGUUGGACUUCUCCGGGUCCACUGGGUGUCUUGUGGGCGCGACCCCUACAAAUAGUAGAUGGCAUUAGAAAUCAGUUGGAAAUAAUGCAUACCUACCUAUGUCGGGACGGCACAGACCAACUGAUACUUCCGCAGGGGGAGAUCGGCAUUACGAUCGCUGGGUAGAAUGUUGCUAAGUAGCAACAUCAUCCAUAUCUGUGUAAUAGUGGUCAUUUUGGUGCGCAUGAUCCGCACUCGUUUCUUUGCAGCGGCACCGGUGAAAUCUUGCCCCGGUAUGCAUAGUAGCUACGUGAUAGCCUCCUUCUCUGGUUGUAUUCGCACAGUUGGCGCCCUCUAAUAUUAGGCAGCCUUGCAGCGGCGCUUUCCAUUUGUCCAGAGCUAGGCAAGGGACGAUGACCCAUCGGUCAUGACCCUAGCCUCUAGUUGUGUCUGUCCCUAAGUACCUGAAAGUAGGAAACAACAUUGCGUGGUAAACUAUGGCCGCAUUACCGUUUUACAUUGAUGGGUUUCGGCCUCCAACUUCAUCCUGACAUCUGACUACGGCCAGUAGAUUCUGCCCCUGUUAUGACAAAAUAUGCAUGUGUAUGCGUAUGCAUGAAUGUUUUCAAACGCAACAAAUUUUAGUGAAAGCUGGUUUAGGUUCAAUUUUAUUUAAGCGCUUUGGGGCAUCCCGUGGACUGAGCGAAAAGGCUCAGGUUAUCAUAAACUGCACAUGGUUUUAAAGCACGAAGUGAGGACUGAAACCUCAAACUCAUAUUCUCUUCUUUUAAAAGACUGUGACGAGAAAUAUACGGAAGACGGGAAUCCCUGGGGGAAACCAAGAAGAAUACACAAAAAUAAAAGAACUUGCAGCGACAUCCUCAAUUGCCCCAGAUUCUAAGCAUAGUAUCGCUUGACAACAUCGGAAUUCACGGGUAAAGGCAGCUCCUCGUCAUCCAUGUUGGUAAGCACCAGGGCCCCUCUGGAAAAAACCCUUUUCACAACGAAAGGUCCUUCGUAGUUCGGGGCCCACUUCCCUCGAUUAUCUUUAACAGCGUGGGACAUCUUUUUUAGCACAAGGUCCCCUUCAUGGAACUUGCGCAAAUGCACCUUCUUGUUGAAUGCGUUCUUCAUUCUUUGUUGAUACAGGCGCCCAUGGCUCAUGGCCGUCAAGCGCUUACCUUCAAUAGGGUUGAGUUGGUCAUAGCGUGUUUGAGCCCACUCUGAUUCUUCUAAGCAUGAUUAUGCUAGUAUCCUCUGAGAAGGGAUCUCUACUUCAAAUGGGAGUACCGCUUCCGCUCCAUAAACCAAGGAGUACGGUGUUUCCCCAGUAGAAGUUCGUACCAAAGUUCGGUAUCCAUGCAAGGCAAAAGGCAACAUCUCAUGCCAAUCUUUGUAUGAUAUUGCCAUUUUCUGAAUAAUUUUCUUAAUAUUCUUGUUGGCUGCUUCCACGGCUCCAUUCAUCUUUGGUCGGUAGGGCGUGGAAUUGUGAUGCUGGAUUUUGAAAUCCGUGCACAUUUCCUGCAUCAUCUUGUUAUUCAGAUUGGUACCAAUGUCGGUAAUGAUCUUCCUAGGGAGUCUGUACCGACAAAUCAGCUCCCUCUUGAUGAAUCUGACCACUACACUCCUCGUGACAUUGGUGUAGGAAGCCACUUCGACCCAUUUGGUGAAAUAAUCUAUUGCCACGAGAAUGAAGCGAUGACCGUUCGAAGCCUUAGGUUCGAUGACCCCUAUAACGUCUAUCCCCCACAUGGAAAAAGGCCAAGGAGAGGACAUGACAUUCAGGGGAUGUGGCGGAGCAUUGACAUUGUCCGCGAACGCUUGACAUUUAUGGCAUUUCCUUACAUGGAUGCAGCAAUCACUUUCCAUGGUGAGCCAGUAAUAACCUGCUCUCAGGAUUUUCCUGGCCAUAGCAUGCCCGUUGGCAUGCGUUCCGAACGAACCCUUGUGGACCUCCUUGAUCAUGUGGUCUGCCUCUUUGGCAUCCACGCAUCACAUGAGAGUCAUGUCAUGGUUUCUUUUAUAUAGUAUGCUCCCACUCAUGAAGAAACCGGCCGCCAAUCUCCCCAAUGUCCUUUUAUCGUUGUCGGAAGCCCCCUGUGGGUAUGCUUUGCUUUCAAUGAACUGCUUGAUAUCGAAAUACCAAGGCUUACCGUCCCGUUCUUCUUCCACCUGACAACAAUGCGCGUGUCUGCCACGACACCAUAACUCAGUGUAUGGUAGGACCCCGUGCGGUGUUAGCUGGAACAUGGAUGCCAAAGUAGCAAGCGCAUCCGCCAUUUGAUUUUCCUCCCGGGGAACGUGAUGGAAGGAGAUCUCAUCGAAGGAAUCAGCCAACUCCUUGAUAUAGGCUUUGUAGGGUAUCAGCUUGGGGUCUCUAGUUUCCCAUUCCUCUCUCAGCUAGUGAAUCACCAGUGCUGAGUCCCCGUACACUUUGAGCAUUUCGACAUUAGAGUUAAUUGCCGCCUAGACGGCCAGGACACAUGCUUCAUACUCAGCCAUAUUGUUUGUGCAGUCAAACCCCAGCCUGGCUGUGAAAGGUAUACAUUGAUUGUCUGGAGAGACCAAUACUGCUCCAAUGCCAUGGCCUAGAACGUUUAACGCUCCAUCAAACCAUACAGUCCAUUUGUCCCGAUCUUCGUCUAGUUUUUCCUCAAACAAGGUCAUGAUGUCCUCAUCCGGGAACUCGGGAUGCAUGGGCUAAUAGUCGUUGAGAGGCUGCUAAGCCAAAUAAUCUGCUAAGGCGCUUCCUUUUAUCGCCUUUUGGGUGACGUAAACUAUAUCAAACUCGGAUAGCAAGACUUGCCACCGGGCGAUCCGUCCUGUGAGAGCUGGCUUUUCAAAGAUGUACUUAACCGGGUCCAUCUUGGAUAUCAACCAAGUGGUAUGGCUCAGCAUGUAUUGUCUUAGACGGUGGGACGCCCAGACUAAAGCACAACGUGAUCUUUCGAGCUGGGAGUAAUUCAUUUCACAGGCCGUGAACUUCUUACUCAAGUAGUAGACAGUGCACUCUUUCUUCCCGGACUCGUCAUGUUGCCCCAGCAUAUAUCCCAUCGACUCGUCCAAAAUCAUCAUAUACAAGAUGAGAGGCCUUCCGGGUACCGGUGGCAUAAGCACAGGAGGAUUCAUGAGACACUUUUUUAUCCUCCCGAAUGCCUCUUGAUAAUCCUCAUUCCAACGGACGGUUUGGUUUUUGUGUAAGAGUUUGAACAACGGCUCACAAAUAGCAGUGAGCUGUGAUAUGAAUCUGGAAAUAUAAUUCAAACGUCCCAGGAAACCUCGAACUUGCCUCUUGGUACGGGGUUCCGGCAUUUCAAGGAUAGCCUUCACCUUUUCGGGGUCCACCUCUAUCCCUUUCUGGCAUACGAUGAAACCUAGCAAUUUCCCUGAUUUGACCCCAAAAGUGCACUUAGCGGGGUUCAACCUCAAUUGAUACUUCCUAAGCCUUUCGAACAACUUCCGCAGGUUGACAAGGUGUUCCUCCUCGGUCUUAGAUUUGGCAAUUAUAUCAUCCACGUAGACCUCGAUCUCUUGGUGCAUCAUAUCGUGGAACAAAGCUACCAUAGCCCGUUGAUAAGUUGCCCAAGCAUUCUUGAGUCCAAAGGACAUCACCUUGUAGCAGAAUGUCCCCCAUAGGGUGAUGAAGGUAGUCUUUUCCAUAUCCUCCGACGCCAUUUUUAUCUGAUUGUAACCGGAGAAUCCGUCCAUAAAGGAAAACAAAGCAAAAUUGGCCGUAUUAUCCACGAGGAUAUCGAUGUGCGGCAAAGGAAAAUUGUCUUUGGGACUGGCUCGAUUCAAAUCCCGAUAAUCCACACACAUUUGCACCUUCCCAUCCUUCUUAGGGACUGGCACAAUGUUGGCAACCCAUUUUGGGUACCGAGUGACAGCCAAAAAACCAGCGUCAAAUUGUUUCUUCACCUCUUCUUUUAUUUUCAAGGAUGUCUCGGGUUUCAUCCUCCUCAGUUUUUGUUUUACCGGGGGACACUCGGGAUCUAGAGGUAAUUGGUCUUGUACAAUGUUAGAACUCAAACCGGGCAUAUCUUGGUAUGACCAAGCAAAGAUGCCUUGGUAGUCUUUCAGCAGGACUGUCAAUUCUUCACGGAUGGGUGUGGUCAUACCUGUGCCUAUCUUUACUUCCUUUUUCCCACUACCAGUUCCUAAGUUCACUAGUUCUGUCUCUUCUUGAUGAGGCCCCAUUUCUCGGUCCUCAUGGGUGACUAUCUUCUCCAACUCCGGGGGAAGUCCCACAUCCUCGUCCUCUUCACCCUCCGUUUGAUUUGUUUCUUACUCGAAAUCGACGGUCGGGUCCCAGGUAUUAGUACCUUCGAGGGACUCGUCGUCGGAUCUGGCGUUAAACGUAAAGAAAUAAACAUGCAAAUGGAUGAGAAUGGGUAGAGACGUAGGAACAGAUGAAAAAAGAUCUUUUAUUUUAUAAUUCUAGGAACAAAAAGACAUAAAGCCUUAACAAAAGAAAACUCUAAAGCCUAGGCCCAACUGUAGAGUUUAAAGCCACAAAGGGUUACAUUAUGCUUGCUGCAUAAAUAUCCGGGAGUUCCUCCACUCGCCAAUUUCCUAGUCGGAAACCAGGAGGGCAUGGUUGUACCAACUCUGACCAACUUGGAGCAUCAUCUUCGCAUAUUGCAACGACUUGGCCUUCGUGUCCUAGACCCGCACUUACAAAGCUCCUACUGAUGUGGCAGGGCAGGCCUCCUUUGACUUCUUGUCCCAAUCGCGAGCCUUGACCUCUGCUCUUCCUUCCUAUAAUGCCUUUCUUUAUGUCCGCUUGUGUGGGUUUAUAGCCUAACCCAAACUUCCCACGGUUUCCUUUGGCGCUUAUCAGGCUGGUUAUGCCACCGUUGUCCUUGCCUAAACCCAUUCCGGGCUCGUAAACAUUCCCCAACGUCACUCUGGCCAUCAUUACUGCCGCAUCGGAUAGGCAAGGUUGCCCAGAGAAGGAAUCUACAAAGGCAAUGCUAACCACCUCAAAAGACUGGAAGGCCGUUUCUAAUGACUCCUCCGCGACUUCCACAUAUGGCAUAGAGGACGGGCAACUCACCAAGAUGUCUUCCUCGCCCGAUACGAUAACCAACUGCCCUUUCACUACAAACUUCAAUUUUUGGUGGAGUGUAGAGGGAACGACUCCCACCGAAUGGAUCCAUGGGCGCCCCAACAGGCAGCUGUAAGCGGGGUUAAUGUGCAUUAUUUGAAAGGUAAACUGACAUGUAUGGGGGCCUAUUUGUACAGGGAGGUCGAUCUCUCCCCUAACCUCUCGGCGGGUGCCGUCGAAGGCACGAACUACCAUGGAACUUGGCUUUAGAUGGGAAGCAUUAAACGGUAAUUUCUCCAAAGUGCUUUUGGGCAUUACAUUUAAACUGGAACCGUUAUCGAUAAGCACCUUGGAUACGACGUGGUCCAUGCACUUGACUGAUACAUGUAAAGCCUUGUUAUGCCCUUUCCCCUCGGCAGGGAUUUCUUCUUCGGCGAAGGCGAGAUAAUUGUUGGCGGUGAUAUUAUUGACAAGUAAUCCAAAGCCCUCUACAGAGAUAUCUUGAGCCACAUAAGCUUCAUUCAAGACCUUUACUAGCAAAGCCCGAUGAGGCUCAGAGCUCAUGAGUAAUUCCAAAAGAGAGACCCUGGCCGGUGUUUUGUUGAGCUGUUCAAUGACCUUGAACUCGCUCUGCUGAAUAAUGCGGAGAAACUCGCUUGCUUCCUCUAGCGACACUUCCUUCUUGCCGCAGCCAUCCCUUUUCUCCGGAAGACCCUUUACUGGAAUAUCCUCGUUCGGAGUGGGGGUCAUCUUGUCAUUUUGUUCCUCUACCAUCUUGGCCUUUCCCUUAAUGUUUGCAGGUUGUGUUGGUAGGUCGGAAGGUGCAAACACACGACCGCUGCGAGUCACACCGCUCAGCCCCGUGAUAUUGGUUACCUUGGCCGACAAUGAGCUGAUGUCGGUGGUUUCUUCUUCCCUUUCACUCGGAGGUGUAUACUUCCACGGGACUGCGUGGCUAUUUUGGUAUGGGAAAGGAACAGGUUUAGUUGCCAGGGGGUAUUCGCGCUUUUGUGGAGCUGCGUCCUUGGUGAAAUAUAUCACCAAAGGUUUAGGCCUUCCAAAGCUUCUCUCAUCCGCGGACUGCAUACAUAUAUGUUGCUCUUCCUUCCCCUCAUCACCGACUUCCAGUCAGCCUUGAUCUAUCAUUCGUUGCAACAAUUCCUCUACUGCCAAACAUGUUUCCAUGUUAUGUAGCUCGCCGGGAUGCAACAAACAAGAAUCCUCUUUAUGCCCACCGUGGGGAAUCACACCUCCCUUUUGUAGGGCCUCAAAGAUAAACCUCCUAGGGGUUGCCACGUCCUUUAAAGGUUUAGACCUUCAAGACCUAUCUGACUCAAUGGCAUUAACCGCUCCUCCUCCAUGAUUGGCGAGUGGGUUGAUUUUCAAAUUGGGCCGAUCCUCUUGAAAUGUCAGCCAUCUAGCAUCUAUCAAAUGUUGGACCUUGUAUUUAAGGGCCAAGCAUUUUUCGAUGGAAUGCCCCGGGGUAUUCCCAUGGUAUGUGCAAGUUGCGUUUAGAUCAUACCACUUUGGGAAAGGGGGUUGGUAGAUCUUCCCGGGAGUUAUUACGACCAUUUGGUUGGCGAUGAGGGACGGCAAGAGGUCCUCGUACGUCAUUGGGAGUGGGGUGAAUUCUGGAAUUGGCCUCGGGGGAUAGUUCCUCAUUGCGUUGGAACUGGCGCUAAAGUGGGCAUUGCCGGCCGGGCGAGUCGUGGUUGGAGCUGGAGCUUGGGGGGCCUCCCUCUGGAUGGGGGCGGGCGCCCUAGGUUGUACGGGUGAUGAACUGAAGGAGUUCCCAGCGCGAGCUGAGAAGCUCAGAUGAUGUUGCGCAUACUGAUGUGUACCAUGAGAUGUCUGCGGGGGUUUGACCCAUGCGGGCGCCGAAGUGACGGCGUGGGCAUCUCCCUCCUUCCUUUUUGCCCCAGUUGCUCCGAUUCUUUUAGCAUUGGCGCUUGUGGAGGAAACGUAAUCGAACUUCCCUCUUUUCAACCCUACUUCGAUUCUUUCCCCGGCGAAUACUAGGUCCGCAAAGCUGGACGGCAUGUAACCUACCAACUUCUCAUAGUAAAACACUGGCAAGGUGUCUACCAUCAUGGUGAUCAUCUCCCUUUCGACCAUGGGAGGGGCCACUUGUGCUGCCAGGUCUCUCCACCGUUGUGCGUGUUCUUUAAAGGUCUCACCUUCCUUCUUGAACAUAUUCUGUAGCUGAGUGCGAUCGGGAGCCAUAUCGGAAUUAUACUGAUAUUGCCUUUGGAAAGCAGUAAUCAGGUCCUUCCAAGUACGAAUGCGGGAAGCUUCCAGAUUAGUGUACCAAACAACCGCGGCUCCGACCAAGCUAUCUUGGAAAAAGUGUAUUAAUAGCUUCUCAUCCCUAGAGUGCGCGCCCAUCUUGCGGCAAUACAUCUUGAGAUGGUUCUUGGGACAAGUCGUCCCUUUAUACUUGUCGAAGUCCGGCACCUUGAAUUUUGGGGGGAUAACAACAUUCGGUACCAAGCAAAGAUUCAUCAUGUCCGUGAAUGGAUAGUCACCAAAGCCUUCAACAGCCCUCAAUCUCUCCUCGAGGAGAUCGAGUUUCCUUCUUUCUUCGGCCGCCGGGGGUGGUCCUUCCGUGGACAAGAAUACUGGCUGUGCUGUGAGGUUGUGCUGAGGCAAUGUGUUGGGUGUCGGCCCCUCGACGGGGAUCGGGGGAUAGAAAUCAACAUCCCCUUGGGCAUGCUCUUGAUGAUCUUCAUGGGCCUCGUGGGGCUGUUGAGGAGGCUCCCUUUCAAGGAUGGGGGAAGAGACAUGACCUGCGUCAUCGUGCAUGACUGGCGGCGUGUAAUUAGGCGGCAAUCCAUAAGGGUAAGCCACCCGAUUGUAUCCCAAACGGGGGUUGCUGUUGUGACCCUGUGUACUCUUCUCUCGUCCUAUUGCGUUUGGGGGAGGAUGGUGUGCGGUAGCUAGGAGAGUUGGGUCUGCUUCGGCAGCCGAACUGACAGCGGCAGCGGUGGCCACGUUUUUCUCCAUGAGUUGCCUCAUUCCUAGCAUGGCCUCCAUCAUAGAAGCCAUUUGUUCUUUCAAAGCUGACAUGUCGGCUUUCAUCUGUUCCUGUGUCUCCUCUUGGUCACCCAUCGCUCUAGAUUUGGAUCUGGUGCGAUAGGGAUGCCUUGUGGCGCGUUUAGUUAUGGUGUUUUUCCUAAAAAAACCCAAACGUGAGGAGUAGGUAAAGAAUAAUGAAUUUAUGCUAGAGAUAAAAUGCAGAAGUGAUUUGAUUCGCACUAACUUUGGAGUAGAAAUAUGGGAUCAACUCAUUUUAUUCAGAAAGUUAUAUCUAGUCAAGAUCUGAGCGACCAUACAAGCUUUCUAGCGGUUUCUAAUUAUAUGAUCCAUUAAAUCUAUCAUAUGAUGAUAAUAGCCGAGAAGUCCGUGGAUCUCCUCGGGGGCGGAGUAGGUGUCUGCCAUUGCUUUGGCCUUGGCUAGCAAUCGGGGAAGUUCUUGACUCCCGUUCAAGGUAAGAGCAAAUCGGUCCAUCCACAUGGUUGCCUCUUGGUGUAACGAGUCGAUCACCCUUCCUUUAGCCUCCUUUUCCGCGUACACUUGGGCAUACUCGUCCGCCACCCUAUGCUCGUGGGCCGUGGCUAGACUUAGUUCCUCUUGGUACUUGCUGAUGAUGGCUAACAUGUUGGUCUCUGUCUCGCAUAAACACUGAGACAAACUUCUCUUGGACCUCGAGCAAGCCUUCAACUUAUCCUUCAAGAUCAAACUGUCUACCCACGAUUGGUCCCUUUCCUCCCUCCGGAGUUUAAGCUCGUUGUUACUACCCCAAAGAGCCCCUCGGAACUUGUUCCGACCGUGCUCUUCCCAACGAGCCCUCUUGGUCUCUUGUUCAAAGGCCUUGGUGGUAGCUACAUUUACAUCCCUCAGUUCGGCAUUCUCCUUUUGGAUCCUAAGAGCCACUGAUUAGAACCUUUCUUUGACUGUUUGAGCUUGCUCGAGUUCUGCCCUAAGGGCCUGCACCUCUUCGUCUUCCUCCGGUGCCUCCACUUCCUCCCUUUUAGCGGUUCUCAAACUCGGGAGCCAAUCCAAACCUUGCACGUGGGCUUUCAACCACUUACGGUAGCCACCGAUAGGCCCAUUGUUACUGCCUCUGAGUCCUUUGUCCUUCUUUUGCAACACCUCCCAUGCCUUGCGGACCUUCUGAAAUGUCUCCAUGUUGGUCUUAUUGAAACCUCGUGAAAUGAUAGGCGCGAGCUCAUCCUCUAGUGGUGCCCCUCUCAUAGGGUAGCCAAGUUGUCUUAUAGCAAGAACGAGAUUGUAGCUGAUGCAACCCCUCGUCCCCAUCAAGGGAACAUUUGGAAAUCCUCCGCAUGAAAUAAGAACCCCGGUUCUUCCUUCCUUCCAUCGAGGGAACCAGUUGAUAGAUGCUCCUUCUUUGCUUGCUAAGAGUUGAUCCCAAUUUUCCCCUCCUUUCUCUGUGCAUGAACGGUGGCUUUCUAGCGGGCAAGCAUGCCUCACCUCUUGGCGAAAAAGGUGCGAAACUAACCAUACAUAAAGAGUUGGAGUACAACAAACAAUCCUUGUAUUGCUCUUUUCACAUCUUCGGUCGAAGGUGUCAUAUAAGUCGGCUAGCAUAGCGACAAUCUGGCUUUCCUUGUGGUUAUGAUAGGCAAGAAAAGCGUCGAUCGCUGCUAGGUCCACCAACCCAUCCACCUUCGGAAAGAGGACUCCUCCGAAGAUCAACAGUGCGAGAAUAUCUAUGAACGGGGCCCACUCGCCUUUACCUGCCAAGAUUCUUGCUUUUGCCUCCAAAUAUUUUCUUGGUAUUCCAACCACCCCAUUUUCGACUUGCGCCGAGAUUUGGACUAUCUUAGAAAUUCUAGCUAAUGAGGGAUAGAACCCUGAGAAGAGGUAUGGCCUCCUUCCCCCUAGAGGACAUCCUAGGAUCUCUUCAAAUUCUUCCACCAAGGGUGAUAGCUGAAGUCCCCAAAGGUGAAGCACCUCAACGACUGAUCAUAAUACUGGGCGAGGGAGGCAAUGGCCUCUGUGGAGACUUCUACCAUGGCUAGGUCCUAGAUUUUACCGUAAGCUUUACGAAAAGCUUGCCGCUGGAGCUACCCCAUUAACUGCCCUAGCUCUUUUAGACUGGUGAUCCCUAAGCUCUUGACCUUGACUUGAUAGAACCUCUUUUUAAGCGAAGGCGUUUGACUUGAUCCCAUGUUUUACUAAAGGUGAAACAAAAUCUAGUGCGAAUCAAAACUCCGACAUCUAUCAUGGGUGGAAUGGAUGAAUGCAUGAAGAAAUGCAUAUAACACAGAUGCAAUUUAUGAAUACGGGAGCCCGAGAAAUUGUCUCCUUCUUAGAUACAACGUCUUGGGGUAGCAAAGUGCCUGACGUAUGUAUUUAAGAAGUUGGCACGGACCCUCCGUUGGUUUGACAACGAGAAGGGAUCACAACAGAAUCCGUGUGUGAUACAUAUGCGAAAGGCGCAACACGGGAAUGUACAGUAGGACAAUUCACAAAAUAUAAGCAAAAGCGUACAUGACGCUUAUGCAUGGCAGUGUGAAAAUGGCACACAGCGUGUCCGCUUCGUGCCCCUAUUCAAGGGACCUACAAGGGAAGGAGCUAAAAAGGCUUUUAGUGAUAUUUCCCAAGGUGGUCAUAUCUCUCUUGAUGGUCUCUAGAGGUAUCAUCCUCUUCGAAGAACAUAUUGCAGCAGUAGGGACUACUAGAAACAAUAUGUUAUCAAAGAGAAAAACUCUAGAUGAGGGUUCACUGUAACCAAGCAAGUCGGAGACCUAGCAUGAGCACAGAUUCACCUUCACUCCUUAUGUUCCCACGAACCCGGGUAUAGGGCCCUUUUUCAAUUCAUCGUGUGUGCAAAUAGUGUUGGUGUUUGUGUGCAUCAAAUGAAUAAAUAUUUACCUCAUGCAUACAUUUUAAAACACACAAAAAGCAUCAAAGAGUUAUAUACACAAGAACAUAAGAAAAAUAAAGGGAAACCAACAAAGGAGAAAGUCAUGAUAAAACAUUGCACAAGAUUAAAUGGCCUAACUCUCUAAAAACAGUCCCCAGUGGAGUCGCCAACUGCCGCAACCUACCAUUCGGCGGGAGGGCAACGCGUGACUCGCGGGUGCGUGUUCCAAGAAAGGAAUACGCGUGGAGUCGCCACCAACGUUUAUUUGAGGAAAAUGUCAGAAAAACUGGAAAAAGACGUGAUCUACGAACUCUAAGUGAAAGGUUCGGGAGUUGUAUUUACGCACGGGGAAGGUAUUAGCACCUAACGCAUCCGUCACAAGAGACGGCAGCCUUUAAUCAAAUGUGCAAAUAUGACUUCAAUUUAUAUUCUUUUCCCUUUUUACGUUCUUAUGUCUUUUUAUGCCUUUUUAUGUUUUUAUCUUUUUGUGGUCGACAAGGGCGUUUCCCUUUGCUCCUACGUAUUCCUCAAUUGUGAUGAGAAAAUCAGACCUACGUAAUUCUUUUGUGAACAAAGUAUUUGGUUAAAUUGUUUUUAUCUUUUUCGCAAAAUAUUUUUUUAUUGAAUGAAAGGUCAUUUAAGGCGUUGGACCAUUAGACAAUCUUUCAAUUCUUUUCAAAAGUGAGAAAACAUUAAGGCAUUGGACCAUUAAUGAUUUCCUUAUUUUUGGAAGAGGUAACAAAGUUACAUAUUGAUUUUAGGCUUUUUAGAAAUCUACACUUAACCAAUAAAAGCGGAAAAGACCAUUUCAAGGCGUUGGACCUUUGAAAAUGGCUUUUUUAGGCGAUGACAAAAGUUUGGUUUAUGAAUUGAUUUUAGCCUUAGUUUCACUUUGGUUAUCAGUCAAUUCAAUUAAGAAAGAGAAAUCCCAAAGAGAAACGUCUGAUUGAUUUUUUUGGUUUAUUUUACUAAAAGAUAUUUUUUGAUUAUUAUAUUAUUAUUUUACCUUUUUUUGGUUUCCAAUGUGGUUACGACAUGACCGAACGGUCGGAUUUCAUUUUAACAGAAAUUGACGGAUGUUACAAUUCAAAUGAUCGGUGGAAAUUUAUUUUAUUUUUGAUUAUGGGAGAAAAUGACUUAAGUAAAUGACAAAAGCACGUCAAAAGGGGGUACGAAAAGUAAAUGAAAUGAAAUGAAAAUAAAAGCACGUGAAACAAAUGAGGACCACUAAGGGUACAUAGAAUGAAUUGAAAAGUUCGAUUUUGGGAACUUACCGGUUGAAGACCGAAGAACGAUGAAGAACGUCGAAGAACGGUUGAAAAUCUUCGCGAAAUCACCCACGAAAACGUUACAUAAACGUUACAGAAGUGCCUCGGCUUGGAUUUUCUUCACGGAAACAAAUUUUUUCACUAAUUUCAAGUGAUCUCGAAUUACCAGGAGGGCUGGAAAUUUUUUCCCUUCACUUCUCCCCCUAUUUAUAGGAAAAUAGGGGAGAAGCUUGCCACCCAGCUUGCCCAGGCGAGCUAGGUUGCUUCCUCCAGAAGCAACCGCCUUCUGGAGGAAUUUUCUGGAAGGCCCAAGUGGGCUUGGUUGCUAUUUGCACCCCCAUUUUUACUAAAUACACCCGCAUGCCUUUUUUGGUGAUUCUUUUUCCGUAACAUUACAAAACUUUACAAAUUUCGUAACGAUGCUUGUUUUCUUUCUGUAAUGUCACGAAACCUUAUGGAUCACGUAAUCAUCCCUUUUUUGCCUUCCGGAACGUUACGGAACUUUACGGAUUGCGCACUAACACUUCCUUUUAAUUUCCGACAUGUCACAGAACUUCACGAAUUUCCUAACGAUGGGUGCCAAGUACCUCGAAGUGGUCAAACGAGGGUCGCAUCCCAACAACGGAUGGUCCUCGGACGAAAUUAGGGUAUGACAAUGCUAUUUUAAGAAAAAUAGUAAUAAUAUUAAAAUGAUAUGGGUCCCAAAAGGAUCUUUUAUUAAAACGAACGCACAAGGACCCAAGAAAGUUUGGGUACCUAAGUCAUAAACAUGAUCAUAUAGGUUUCUUUGAAGAAGAGUUGGUACAUAGAUAGCGGAUGCUCUAAACACAUGAUGGGAGAUUCAUCAAAGUUCACUCAUAUUUCUCCCAAGAAAAGUGGACAUGUGACUUAUGGCGACAACAAUAAAGGUAGAAUUCUUGGUGUCGGAAAAAUAGGUACAAAUUCAUUUGCCUUCAUUGAAAAUGUUCUACUUGUUGACGGUCUUUAGCAUAGUUUGCUAAGUGUUAGUCAAUUAUGUGAUAAAGGCUAUCUAGUAUCAUUUGACUCUCAUAACUGUGUCAUUGAAAACAAACAUGAUAGAAAUAUAAAGCAUAUAGGCUAUAGAACAAAUAAUGUUUACAUGAUAAAUUUAGAUCAAACACCAAAUCAUGAUCAAUGUUUUCUAAGUAAAGAUGAUGAUCAUUGGUUAUGGCAUAUAAGAAUUGCCCAUAUAAAUAUGGAACAUUUAAAUAAACUAAUUUCUAAAGAUUUUGAAAAAGAUAGAUUGUGUGAUGCUUGUCAAAAAGGAAAACAAGAGUUUCUUUCAAAUCAUAGAAUAUUGUGUCUACAACUCAACCCUUACAAGUUUUGCAUAUGGAUCUUUUUGGUCCCUUUAGAACUACGAGUUUUGGAGGAAACUAUUAUGCUCUUGUUAUAGUUUAUGAUUACUCUAGAUUUACAUGGACAUUAUUUCUCACUCAUAAAAGAAAUGCCUUUCAUACUUUCAAGAAACUUGCUAAAUUAUUCAAAAUAAGAAAAAUCUCAAAAUUGCAUCUAUUAGGAAUGAUCAUGGAGGAGAAUUUGAAAAUAAAGAUUUUGAAUCAAUUUGUGAUGAACAUGGCAUUGAACAUAAUUUUUCUGCACCUAUAACCCCUCAAAAAAAUGGAGUUAUUGAGAGGAAAAAUAGAUCUUUAGAAGAAAUAGCUAGAACUUUGUUUAAUGAUACAUUUCUUCCCAAAUAUUUCUAGGCUGAAGCUGUAAAUAUUGCAUGUUACAUCAUGAAUAGAACUUUAAUUAGACCAAUCUUGAAGAAAACUCCAUAUGAAUUAUAUAAUGGAAGAAAACCAAACAUUUCACAUCUUCAUAUGUUUGGAUGUAAAUGUUUUAUGCUAAACAAUGACAAAGAUAACUUAGGUAAGUUUGAUGCAAAAUCUGAUAAAGAUAUAUUCCUUGGCUAUUCCUUGCAUAGUAAAGCAUUUAGAAUUUAUAACAAAAGAACUAUGAUUAUUGAAGAAUCCAUCCAUGCAGUGACUAUGUAUAAAGGUGUAUGCAACAAAAGGUACUGAUUACAUGAUAAGAGAAUGAAGCAAAAUGUCCUCUUCACUUGUCUUUUACAAGGCAUGCAGUUAUCCAAAGAGAAGAAUAAAAUGUAACCUGUACAAUUAGAUGAAGUUAGGCAUAAGAUAGAUAUCAAGGAAAGUAGCUUAAACCACAGUCUCACGGCCACUGUUUCACUCAUGCACAAGUGUUUAAGUUAUUCAUUAAUAACAACGAACAAGAGGUUCAAUCUUUGCGCUUCAUCUCAUGCCAUAAAGUAAAAAAUGUACAAACAGAAUCAGAAGGACAUUCCCAGGCUUGUAGUGAGGUUUGGCUACAAAAAUUCAUUGGUUUUUCUAGGAUUCAAAGGCUUAGAUUCUAAGAGAGCACAAAUCCUAGACUUAUCCAAGUGACCUUUUUAAUACAAUUAGCUUGCUCACUAGCUUUUCACUUUCAUUUUCUUUUGACCUUAUUACAACAGCACAUAUUUUCUUUGAUUGCUCUUUUUUUUUUUAAACACACAACGUAUUUGUUGUGUGUGCUGAUGCUUUAUCUUUUUCUUUGCAUCCCAAAUAGUUCCACUCCCCCAAAUUUGGAGUAAAUUUUCCUUGAACCAUAUGUUCUCCUAGAAUCUAAACAAGGUAUCUGGAGAUAAUCAUUUAGAUUCAGGGUUCAAUUAUUGACAAAAUCAUUCAGCUCAAAAAGGGUGCAAAGGGUAUAGUUAUCAUUCAAGGUAAGCUUUUUGGUCAUAAGGCUUGUGUAAGAACAAUCAUGGCCUUCAUCAUGUCCUCAUUUAUACAAUUCAUUCUAAAAUUCAAAGAUUAAUGCAAAGAUUAUUACUCACAGCUAGUCGUUCACUCACAGUUUAAGUUCACACUCUCACCGGUUUUAGUUCAAGCUUUUCUUUCUCAAUCAAUCUGUCUACUGACUAACAAUUCUAAAUGCAAGUUCACAUUCUUGUUCUUUCUUUGUCUAACAUACACACUUGCUCAAACUCAUGAAAAGAAACAUAAACUCCAUCACAAUCAUGCAUUCCAUCCAAAAUCAAACCAUACACCAAUUUUCACAAAAAGAUAAAAGUGUUUUACUGCAAUAUCAUCAAAAUCAAGUCCAACUGUUCCAUAUGGUUCAGAAUAAACAAACUAACUACCCAUAAAUAAAACUAGCAGUGUAUAUAAACAUAAAAGAAAUACUAUACUGAAACCAUAAUCAUAAUAAUAGUGAACCAAAAAGCAAAAAGUAUCAUCAGGAAUCAAAAUUCCUAUGACUAGUCUUGGGUGUCUGAACAUCCUCCUCAUUUGUCAGAUGGAAAGACUAGGGAAUCAGAGAGAGCAACAACUUCUCCGUAUGAGGAAUCAGAAAGAUCAACAGCUCCUCCAACUGGGGAAUCAGGGGGAUCAGCUGCUUCUCCAGCUGGUGAAUCAGGGGGAGCAACAGUUUCUCUAGAUGGGGAAUCAGAGAUGAUAAUCAGAGGUGGAGAUGGGAGAACCACUUCAAGUUCAGGAGAAGAAGGUGGAUUCACCACUGGAGAUUAUGGGUCAGUUGGCUCUGGAUCAACCUGUGUAGGUGUGGGCUCAGGAGGAGCAACCUCGUUGGGUCUCACCAAUGGAAGUUGAGCUUCAGGCCAGGCUACUUGCUCAAGAAAAUGCUCCAUAGGUAUGAUUGGCCUGUUAUGAGCCAACUCUUGCAGGCUGUGCAUGAUAAUAAAUUGUCCUCGGAAUAAGCUUUGUAGCAUAGGGACUAAAGUUUGUGAGCUUUGGACAUCCUAUCCUACAGUUACUGACAGAGGAGCUGGAGUGGAUGAUGAAGGGAUGUCAUUUGUGCUAGCCCUUUUUCUCGAUGCCAUCUGUAACUAAAAAGAAUUCAAAAUUCCUUAGACCAAAUCUGUUCAAGUUUAAAAAUAGAAAUAAAGGCUGAAAUUAACGAUGGGCACUUAGCGAAACGAUGGGCACUUAGCGGAAUACAGCUCGCUCAGCUCGCCCUCGGACACUUAACAUAUUGGCUUAGCUGGAGCCAAGCUCGCUUAGCCUAAUAGUUGCCUAAUGAAAUGUGCUUAGCUCAGAUAGACUCGGCUUAGCGCAAGGCUUUCAAAACAAAAUUUUCUAAGUCACCUGGGCUUAGCGAUUCAGCCUCGCUUAGCCAUAAGUAUCUCAACAGGAGGAUGAGUGUUCAUCCUCACAAGAUGAACUCGCUUAGCGCGGUAUGUGCACUUAGCGAGUUCGUCUGGAAACGCAUAUCUUCAAUGAAUAUCGAUGAACUCGCUUAACGCAGCAUGCUCGCUUAGUGAGUUCAUCGCAUUUUCCAAAAAAAAACACAGAAAACAUAGUUCGUUUCCUUGUCAUUUAAAGCCUCUAAAAGGCAUUAUCAACAUGCAAGACAAUUGAAAAUAUCUACACAUCACUAUCAUAUAUAAAGUCCUAAUUUUUACCUAAUCUAAAAUCAUGAAAACCCUAAAGAUUAAAAGCUAAAAUCUAUGGUUUUCUACCCUGAGGUUCAACAACACAAAAGAAUGAAGGGAGUAAGGAACUUACUUGUAUCGUUGAUGCUUUGAUGCAGAAGAAGGUGAAAAUGCAGGAAAAUGAGUGCGAGAGAGAAGGUGCAGGCAACUCAGCAGUUUCCAACAAAUGUGAGUGUAACUGCCAUUACACUCACAUAAGCCGUUUUGCUUUCUCGAAGUGACGUUUGGUUUUUCGAAAAUGCUCGCUUAGCGGCACCGUGUGCUUAGCCCAACUUUGAAAUUCAAGUUUUUUUUUUUUUUUGCACGGAGAAGGGAUUGGCUUAGCAUGCAGAUAGGGCCGCUUAGCAAAAUUUGCAUAGCAAAAUACCUGCAACUCUCGCUAAGCCGGGCUCUGGGCCGGCUUAGCUAAAAUAAUGCAUCUUGAGUAUAGAGGACCAUGCACUUAGCUGAUAAGGACUCGCUUAGCGCUCACAUUGUCGCAAGGAAUUCAGCUUAGCCGCCAUGACUGACGCUUAGCUUCAUGAACCCCAAUUCUGGCUGCAAAGAAAUGAGCUUGGCAGCAAUGACUCGCGCUUAGCCAAAAUGUAGGAUGGGCUUAGCGAUUAGGCUGCAACUUAGCCGAAUUCAGAUCGAAUUGAAGUGGGCUUAGCUCAGCCUUGGCCAGCUUAGCCGAUCAAAUCAGCCUCAGAUGCAAGGGUUGGGCGCUAAGCGCUUGAGACUCGCAGCUUAGCGCAUGAACAAAGAUGCACUUAGCACGAGGCUUGCACUUAGCAAAAGGACUGUUUUUCAAAAAAUGUAUUCUAAGUUAUUUUUCAGUCCCUUCCUCAACAAAUACAAACCCUUAUAUCUAACAUUCAAGGUUAAGUUGAUAUACUCCAAAGUACAAAUUAUAAAGCAAGUUCCACAUGAUAUAUGCAUGAAAAACAAAGAUAACAAAAAUUAAAAAUUGGGUUGCCUCCCAGGAAGCACUUCUUUAACCUCAUUAGCUUGACGUAUUUACCUCAUUGGGUGAUAUCAUGUUUUGGUUCUUACUUUCAUAACCUCUUGACCUACUUCCAUUACCUGUAAGCAAACAUUUUGUUCUGUAACGGGCUUGUUUUCAACAAACAAAUCAAAAUCAAUUUUCUGAUCCUCAAAACCCAUUUCCAGCUUCUUUCUACCCAUGUCAACUAUGAAACUUGCAGUUAACAUGAAUGGCCUUCCCAAUAUUACAAGAAUGUCAGUAUCUUCACAGAUAUCAAUUACCACGAUGUUUGCCGGGAAGAUAAAAUGUUUCACUCUGACUAGCACAUCUUCAAUUACUCCAUAUGGUCUGGUAAUGGAGUGAUCAGCUAGUUGUAAAGUCAUUUUAGUGGGCAUGAUCUCCAACUCUCCCAACCUUCUACACAUGGAGAGUGGCAUUAAAUUUAUACUGGCUCCUAAGUCAAUAAGAGUCUUUCCCACAGUGACUUCUCUAAUUGAACAAGGAAUAGUUACACUCCCAGGGUCUUUAUGCUUAGGUGGAAGGAUCUUUUGAAUCACAGUGCUACAAUUUCCUUCCACUAUAAUGUUUUCCUGGUGAAUGUACUUAUGUUUCCUUGUUAACAUAUCCUUCAAGAAUUUGGAGUAGAGUGGCAUCUGCUAUAAAGCUUCUCCGAAGGGCAUGGUUAUCUCCAGUUUCCUAAAAAUAUCUAAAACUCUCGCCAAAUGACAGUCCUUCUCCUUCUUGGAAGGUACCACAGGAUAUGGUACUUCCGCAGCUUCAUUCACAGCUUUUUCACUUCUACUCUUCUUUUCAUUCUCAUUUUUUUCAUCUUUUUCAAUUUUUUUAUUUUCUUUUUCUUUUUCUACUUCUUUUUCUUUUUAUUGGUCAUUCAAUUCUUUUUUAUUGACCAUUAUUUGUUUCUCUUUUUCCUGAUUAUUUUCACCUCUCACAUCAUUUUUCCUUCCAUCAAUACCUUUCUCUUCAAUAGCUUUCUUCUUGAGUCCAACACUCUUCUCUUCCUCAUUCUCCACAAACCUUUUACUUCUUGUCAUCACAGCUUUGCAUUCCUCCUUGGGAUUCUUCUUUGUAUUUUCCAUAAAACUAUUGGAUGACUUGUCAGCUAUCUACUUAGCUAGUUGUCCCACCUAGACCUCAAGGUUCUUCAGUGCUGACUCAGUGCUUUUAUGAUUUGACAUUGUUACCUGCAUAAACUGAGUCAAAGUCUCCUCCAGCUUAGUAGUCCUCUGAAAGAUGUUAGGCCCUUGUUGGAUUGGCAUGUUCGAAGGUCCACCCUGGUCUUUGUUAAAUUGAUUACCAAGGUGCGACCUCCACUAUCCUUGUUGAUUAUAAGGACCCUGCUGGAAGCCUAAAAAUCCUCCUUGAGUAUACCUUUGUCGCUGUUGGUUUCCCAUAUAAUUAAUUUCUUGAGUGUUCUCUUCAAUGGGAAUACAUUGGCCUAUUUCAUGAGCCUCACCACAGAUGGUACAACCUGUAAUCUGCAAAACAGAAGAAUGUGAAGGUUGACUACUAGAUAGUUUAGUUGGCAACUUACCAAGUGUUUCUGUUAAAAUAUCAAGUUGCUUAGAAAGCAACUUAUUCUGUGCCAAUAAAGCGUCAUGUGAUGAUAGUUCUAACAAGCUUUUCUUUGUGGGUUAAUGGGUUCUAUCACCCAGAAUGGCGUGAUCACUGGCUGACAUAUUCUCAAUUAGCUCAGUUGCUUCUUUCGGGGUCUUCAGCUUUAUUUUUCCCCUUGCUUGGUUUGUGGUCUCAGGCCAUCUAUGAACAUAUUCAAUUGGAUUGGCUCUAAAAAUCCAUGUGUGGGAGUUCUUCUCAAUAAACCUCUGAACCUCUCCAAUGCUUCACUCAGAGAUUCAUCAGGGAACAGAUGAAAUGAAGAGAUUGCAGCUUUCCCUUUCGUAGUUUUGGACUCUGGGAAGUAUUUCUUUAGGAAUUUUUCAACAACUUCUUCCUAGGUUUUCAAACUGUUACCCUUAAACGAGUGAAGCCACCUCUUGUCCUCUCCUGCCAAUGAGAAUGAGAAUAUGCUGAGUCUUAUAGCUUCAUCUGGCACACCAACAAUCUUAACCAUGUUGCAUAUUUCGAUGAAUGUUGCCAAAUGUGCAUAGGGGUCUUCAUUAGGUAAUCCUUGGAAUAAAUUCCCCUGUAUUAAAUGAAUCAAAGAAUGCGGGUAGUUGAUGUUGUGAGCUUGCACUUCAGGACGUGCAAUGCUAGUAAAGAAUUGCGGUACUGAGCUGCUUAAAUAGUCCUCAAGGGUGAUCCUCUGGUGUUGCUUGUCUGCCAUGAUAGUGGCUUCAAGCAAUUGAGUGGCAGAUUCCCUUGAUGAUGGCGAAUCAGGUGAUAAUGAAUCAGAAAAAUGAGUUUCUUCCUCAAGAAUGGAUGCAACUGUUCUGUCUUGCAAAAGUUUCCUUCUCCUCUUGGCCCUAUUCCUUCUCAAUGUAGCUUCAAUUUCUAAGUCCAGAGGAACUAAAUUGCCUAUGGGAGAUCUAUGCAUAUAAAAUACUAACAGACACAGCGGUUAUUCAAUUCAAUAAGAGAAGAUAACUAUGAAUUGAAAACAACUAUUCACAAAUAAUCAAAGAAUAACGAAUAAAGAAUAAACACCUAAAAACGAUCUAACUUUCCAAAUAAAAAGAAGUUCUCCUAAGAAUCAUACCAGUUUCCACUGUUGAAUGAUCCUAAAAACACAUGCAUCUAUGUGAUCAAGGCAAAAGCAUGGUAGAAUGAAGUUCUGAUAGCACAGUGAACACACAAAACAUCAUUAAAUCGAUAAAAAAGAUAUUUACAUCAAAUACCUACAAGGAAGAUCCAACAGAGGAUUUAGCUUUCCAUAAUUGGGAAGCUUCCUUUACAACAAAGAGAAGAGAAAGAUGAAAGAUUGCAUAAAUACAAGUAGUGGAGAUGUCUCCUCCACCUCUAGGGCCUCACAAUCACUCACGAACUCAUCUCAAGCUCUCAGGACGGCUUCCUCUUCAAGCUCUGGUCUCUGCAGAUCUUCACAUAAUAAAAUCUCUCAAACUCUCUGGAACUUAGCCCUUUCUCUCUCUAGAAUCCCUCACAUGCAGAAGCUCCUUGAGAAAAUGGCCAAACUCCCUCUCUAAAUCCGAUUUCAGGCUUAAAUAGGUGGCCUUGUUCGUGUUUGUGCGCUUAGCGCAACUCUGAUCCACUCAGCGCACAUUAGUGAAUAUCGACUUAGCACGUGCUUUUCUCACUCAGCGAAUGGACUGAAGCGGUGCGCUUAGUGGGAUGGACCUUCGCUCAGCGAACAAGCACAGCUCAUCCUUCUUCCAGAUUCUUCCGCGCGCUUAGCUGAGGAAUGUUGCGCUCAGCGGAUGGCUCGCUAAGCCAACAGAUUAGCUUAGCGAGAGGGUGAAAAUCAGCACUUCAAAACUUGCCUAAUUAACCUGAAAUUGAGAGAAAAUGAUUAUUAAACACACAAAAUAGAAUUACUAAGUAUUUAUUACCUAUCUUUAACUAAAAGAACUUAUAACACUACAAAAUAACCAUAAAUUGGAGGAGUUUGAUACAAUUUACACAAGUUUUAUACACAAAAGCUAGUCGUAUUCACCGACUAACAAUGGCGAAGAUCACAAAGGCAAAGGAGAGGGAAAUGAUGAAGACUUUCACAUUGAUGAAACAAAAACAAGUAUUGAUCUUCCAAGAGAGUGGAAAACUUCUAGAUAUCAUCCUCUUGACAACAUCAUCGGUGAUAUAUCUAAAGGGGUAACAACUAGGAAGAAGGAAUAGAUUAUGAGGAAACAUAUGCGCCAGUUGCCAGAUUUGAAGCCAUUAGAAUGUUAUUAGCCUUUGCAUCCAUAAUGGAUUUUAAAAUUUACCAAAUGGAUGUGAAGAGUGCCUUUUUGAAUGGCUUUAUCCAAGAGGAAGUAUAUGUAGAUCAACCCCCUAGUUUUGAAAACUUACAAAAGCCUAAUCGUGUUUUUAAAUUGAAAAAGGCAUUAUAUGGCUUAAAACAAGCCCCUAGGGCUUGGUAUGAAUGUCUGAGUAAAUUCCUUUUAGAAAAGGAUUUUUCAAGAGGUAAAGUUGAUACUACUCUUUUUACUCAAAGAAAGUUGAAUUAUAUACUCUUAGUUCAAAUCUAUGUUGAUGAUAUCAUUUUUGGAUCCACUAAUGAUUCUCUCUUCAAAGAAUUCUCUCAAGAUAUGCAAAAUGAAUUUGAAAUGUCAAUGAUAGGCAAGUUAAACUUUUUUCUUGGGCUACAAAUCAAGCAAACAAAGAAUGGAAUAUUUAUCAAUCAAUCAAAAUAUUGCAAAGACCUAAUUCACAGAUUUGGGAUGGAAAAUGCUAAACAUAUGGCUACUCCAAUGAGUACUGCUUGCUACUUGGAUAAGGAUGAAACCGGUUAGUCAAUAGACAUUAAGAAAUAUCGAGGUAUGAUCGGAUUUCUUCUUUAUUUAUCUGCUAGCAUACCUGAUAUAAUGUUUAGUGCUUGUAUGUGUGCUAGAUUUCAAGCAAAUCCCAAAGAAUCACAUCUUAGUGCAAUUAAGAGAAUCAUGAGAUAUCUAUUAGGCACUAUUAAUAUAGGAUUAUGGUAUCCUAAAAAUUCUACUUGUAAUCUAAUAUGGUACUCUGAUUCUGAUUUUGCUGGUUGCAAAACUGAUAGAAAGAGGACUUGUGGAACCUAUCAUUUCAUUGGAUCUAUUGUAGUUUCAUGGCAUAGUAAGAAACAGAAUAGUGUUGUUUUAUCCACUACUGAGGCAGAAUACAUUUUUGUUGGCAGUUGUUGUGCUCAAAUACUUUGGAUGAAACAACAACUUUCUGACUAUGGAAUAAUUCUUGAUCAUAUUCCCAUUCGAUGUGACAACAUGAGUGCUAUAAACCUAUCUAAAAGUCUUGUUUAGCACUCAAGAACCAAGCAUAUUGAGAUUAGGCAUUAUUUCUUGAGAUAUCAUGUUCAAAAAGGGGAUUGUGUACUAGAGUUCGUUGAUACAAAAAAUCAGCUAGCUGAUAUCUUUACAAAACCUCUCCCCAAAGAAACCUUCUUUGCUAUUAGAAGAGAAUUAGGACUUUUAGAUAUCAAUGACUUAGAUAAAUAGUUAACUUGGUUGAUUAUUAUUUUCUUUCCUUAUGAUUGUUAAUUCUAUUUUUUUAUAAUUGAGUUUGGUUUUGUUGGUUUUUACUGAUUGUGGAUUAAUGAUUGUCUUUGUUUGUGUUUUGAUAAUCUUGAUAAUUGUUGAUUAUGGAUUAAUGAUUGUCUUUGUUUCUGUUUUGAUGAUUAUUUUUGAUUAAUUGUUGUUGAUGAUUGUUUUUGCACUUUUGAUUGUGCUUGAUGAAUGUAGUUAAGAAGUUUAUGAUGCUUUUUUUUCAAUGUCUAUUUUUGGAUCUUUGACUGUUAUUGAUAAUAGUUACAAUGAGUGUGUAGGUUUUAUGAGUAAACAAUAGUUAGUUUUUAUAGAAAAAGCUGUGUUUUAGGGUCUGGUAAUUGAUUACCACUCCCUAUAAUCGAUUACCAUAGAACAAUAGGCUAUAAUCGAUUACCAGAGAGUCUAGUUAGUUAUAGGAUAAGCUUGUAAUCGAUCACAGCUCGUCCCUGCAUAUAAAAAACUGCACUUUCUCUCUCUUUAGCAGAACCCUCACUCCCCUCUUCUCCUUGACGAUGCCCAACCUCCUUUAAACUUCAAAUCCUCAUAACUUUCUCGUUUCUUGGCUGAAUUACUUCAAACAAGGCCCAAACUUCUUCUUUUUCAAUUCUCUACAAAGCCCACCAAUCAUGAUUAGCUAAAACAAGCUCCAAUGGUAGAAUCUUUGAAGAAACGAAAGGGAUCCUCCUCCACCACCACCGCUACAGGCCACCGCCGCCAUGGAACAUCUGGUGACCCACUAGCACCAAUUCCUCCUUCCUUUUCAUCUCCCAGGUCAUUAACUCUGUUUUCCUCUGAUGAUCAGCGUUAGAGGUAUUACUCCCAAUUCUGCAAUUGUGUCAUUCUUGACCCUAAGUAUUUAGAUAUUGAAUUCUUUGAUGGUGAAACAUUUGAUUGCUACCAAGUGUUUCAAAAUUCUGAACUGGUUAAAUUUAUGUCUCUGAAAUGGCCUUAUUUUCCUGAAUUAGUUAGAGUCUUUUAUAAUAAUCUAAAAAUUCUGGAUGGAUUUAUUUAUUUUGAGGUGCAUCAAAUUCCUAUUAUUGUUGAUCAAUCCUUAUUUUAUUCAUUGACUAAGCUGAGCAGUCAAGGUGUUCCUUUUGAGGGCACUCUUGUAGAUGACUAGAAACAUGUUUAUUCAAGUCAUGAUGCUCGAAAAAUGGUUUGUAAUGACCAUGCUGACAUGACCGGAAGAUUGCUUGCUGGGUCAUUUACAUUUGAGUGUUGCAUCAUGCACUAUGUUCUUUGUCAAAUUUUGCUUCCUAGGUCCACUAAUCUUGCCCAGGCCUCUAAGGAGGAUUUAAUGUUGUUGUGGGCUCUUCAAAUUGGUCGUCAAAUUGACUGGGCCCAUCUUGUUCAGUACUGAAUGCAUAAGGCAUUACGGGCCAAUGCACCUCUUCCGUAUCCUCAUCUAGUUACUUUAUUUCUCCAGCAUUUCAAUGUCCCCAUAGACGAUGAACCUUUUUGUCAAGGUUAAAUGGUCUUUUGCUAUUGGUGUUGGUGUGUUACAUCUUUUGGAUAUCGGAAAGAUAUGGAGGCUCAGUGGGUGCGCAAGUAAGACCUGUCGCCUCCCAUUCCCGAUGAACAUACACCGUCUCCACCACUGCAACGGGAUACCUCUUCUUCUCUCUUGACUGAAGUCCUCACCGAGCUACGAGAUCUUAGAGCUUUUGUUGGCGAUCGCUUUGAUGCGAUGGAUUCUCGUAUCACUCGUCUUAAAGACGAUACGAUUUUCAUUCGACGUUGCUUCGAUCCACCUGCAGAUUCUUAGUUGUUUCUUGUGUUCUACGUCAUUCAUUUUCUAGACAUUUUUACUAUUUAGCCUUGUAUUUUGGCUUUAGUUAUUUGGUACUUUGGUUAACUUUUGGAUAUUAUGCAUUUAUUGCUUUUUGAAUUUGAUAUUUAGUUUGCUUUUGUUUGGAUAUUUAGCCUUUGCUUGGCUUAUGCAUUGGUUUGGAUAUUUAGACUUUGCUUGACUUAUAAUUUGCUUGACUUAUGUUGUGGUUGAUUAAGUUUUUGGAUGAGUUAAAGUUACUUGCUUUGGAUUUGUUCUUUUCUCCCGUCGUUUUUGGCUUUUUGAUGUUGCCAAAGGGGGAGAGAAACUAAGGGUAGAUUUUAUCUAAAAACUAGGCCAUUCUUUCCAAUUUUAAGGGGGAGUAAGGAUGAGUGCACGCAUUGCAAAUCAUGUAUCGUUUAUCUUGUUUUCAAAUUGUUGUCAUCAUCAAAAAGGGGGAGAUUGUAGAUGCAUAUGCUGUAUGAAGCUUUUGAUGAUGCAAAAAAUAUGAAAGCCAUUCAACAUUGAUCCAAGACAAGAUCAAGAAAUCAAGAGAAACGAUUAACAAUUAGUCCAUUAUAUGUUAAAAGAAUCCCUUAAAAGAGAUUGCAAAGGUUUGGCCUUAAGUUAAUCUUUCAAAACAUCUUACAAAGUUUUUUAGUUAAAUUCUAUUUUGAAAAAUAUGUUUUUCUCUCAGGUAAUUGACUACCAGAGAGAAAAUAGUUUUAAACAGUUUUAGAAAAGAAUUAAAUUUUAAUUUUAAAUGUGUAAUCGAUUACUAGAGGCAAAAUUGUUUUAAAACAACUUUCAAAAAGAUUUGAAUUUAAAUUUUAAAUCUGUAAUCGAUUACAACAAUUGUGUAAUCAAUUACCAGUCAUGAAAUUUUGAAAUUCAAAUCUGAAGAGUCAUAACUCCUCAAAAUUAACUAUGUAAUCGAUUACCACAUAUUUGUAAUCGAUUACCAGUGAGCAAAUUCUAAAAAUAACUCUGAAAAGUCACAACUCUUCACAAGUUUUUGAAAGGCCACCAAAGGCCUAUAAAUAUGUGACUUGUGUUCGAAAUUCUUCAGAGUUUUUCAGAAUAAUAAUUAUCCUAUCUUCUCAAAAGAAAACCUUUAGCCAAACACUUGCAAAAUCAUUAAGGAUUCUUAUAAAAUCUUCAUCUUGUAACAUUCUUCUCUAUAAGAGAGAAACAUUCUUCUUUACUUCAAAGAAAACAACUGUUAUUCAAGAGAUAGUGGGUCUCUUGAUUUGUAAAAGAUCUCUGAACACAAGGGAAUGGUAUCCCUGUAUGGAUCAGAAAUUGUAAAAGGAAUUUACAAGUUAGUGGAAAUCUCAAGUGGGUUACUUGAGGACUGGACGUAGGCACAGGGCGUGACCGAGCCAGUAUAAAACUGAGUUUGCGUUUCUCUCUUCCCUAAAAUUCUUUAAUUUAUUGCAUUUUAAUUUUACUUUGCUUAUUUUAAAGAAGUAUCGAUUGAAUUGUUCUUUACUUCAUUUAUAUUAAGUCUGCAUAUUUCAUUUCAAGAGAGAAUUAAAAUUUGUGAAGGGAAAUUUUUUAAACUUAAUUCACCCCCCUCUUAAGUUAUUGAUGCCACUUGUUUAACAGCUUUCAUUUUCAACCAUGUCAAAAUGUCAAAUCCAAGGUUGUCAUCUUCAACUUCAUCCUCAAAAUACCUUUCCAACUCAUUCCUUUGUUCAUCACCAUAUUUUUUUCAUUUUCUUUCUAAAUUGAAAAUCCCAAUCCUCAUCACCUUCUUCUGCAUUCAAUUGUGAGCCAAUGUUUGAAGCCAAAGUACUAGAAGUACUACUUUCAAUGGAAAUGGGAUGUUGUAUUGCAUAAUCCGCAAACAAUUUUUUUAUGAGAUCAUCCAAUUUUUUCACCAUCUCUUUGCUUUUCUCAACAUCAUACAUUUUCUUAAAACAAAAUUCAAUAUACUCAAACUUAUAUUGUGGAUCAGGAAAAAAGCCAUAAAUAAAAGAUUGUUGAUCUCACCAUUCUCUCAAUACUUGUUAAAGUUUAGUUGCAUAUUAACCGUCAUCUUUUGUAUCACUGGAUCAUCAUUGCACCUCUACUUAUUUAGGUAUUUUUGAAUACUAACCAACCACUUGAAGAAAUUGUUAGUUGUAACAUGCAAUAACCCAUAAAAAGAAAGAUUUACAUCAUUGAAAACCUUAAAAAAAACUCACAAAAACACGAGCACGUUUCCAUUCAAUCUCUUUAAGACAUCCUCCUUCACCAGUAAGAAGAUUGAGCACAUAUGCAACCUCAACAUAUUCAAAUUUUUCAGAAAUAUCUAAUAUCAUAUAAGUGGAGUUCUACCUAGUUGGUACAUCAAGUGUUAGCAUUGCUUUCGAAUUUACACUAACUAGCUCCACACACCUCUUAAAAGUUGUCAACCUAACCGGAGAAGACCUCACAAACUUGCAUGCAACCCUUAUUUUACUAAUUGAGGAGUCAAUUUCAUUCAACCCAUCACUGAUAACCAAAUUAAAAAAUGUGAGCGGAAUAUCGCAUAUGAAUGAACUCUUCAUUCAACAAAGUACGACCAUUCCAAAAACUUAGACCUCUACUUAAAUAUGAAAUGGCUAUAUUGUUACACAGCAAAUUUUUUCAAUCCCCCGUUCUUUCAAGCAAUUCUCUAAGGUUAUUAAACGAAAUUUCUAUAUCUUCUUAUGCAACCUAAAUGCCUUGUUAAUAUAAUGAGAUGUCACACACAUUUAAUUGAGAUUUUGGAUUGAUCUCCAUGUAUUAUUUGUUAGUGAAACUAAUUCUAUAUUUGUAGACAACAUGCAUUUCAACUUCUCUUUUUCGUCAUUAAACACUUGAAUGCAAUAUCUAGCAAUAAUUACACAAGAAAUAAUUUUAAAAUAGGGUUGAGCCUUUUCUAUAAACUUCCUAAACCCUUCAUUUUUAACAAAUUUAAAAGGAAGUUCAUCUAAAAUUAUCAUCUUUGCAAGUGCUAUAAGAAUCUGCUCUUGAUUGAAUUCAACAAGUUUCAUACUAGCAACAUUAGGGUCAUCCUCAAAAUCUUUUCCAACAUUAAUUGUCUUUUGUUUCCUAUCAACCUCCUUAUUAGGGUUUUUCGUACAAUCUCUCACAUGCCUGAUCAAGUUAGUGGUUCCGUAUUUAGAAUUGUUAGCCUUAUGUGAUUUACCAUAAUACUUGCAAAAAGCAUCAUCAUUUACUUAUUGUAAUGCAUCCAAACACUAAAAGGGGUUUUAAUAGCUUUUCCUUUUUGUACCUUUGCUUGUCUAGAUGGAGAUGGAGCUUUUGUCCCUUGUUGUGUUACUUGUGUAGGAACCUCUGGCUCUCAUUCUGAUAGUGACGGAGCUCUAAUUGGUUCAAUAGGACACUUGGAGGGAGUAACCGGUGGUAGCAACUUGCGGCAUUGCCACUUCUAGUACAACUUCUAUAUGUUAUUUAUCUUGUUUAUAGACUUUUAACAAAACUUGUGCAACAAAUAUAAAAUAAAAUAUCAUAUAAAUGCAAACAACAGAAUAUAUAUAUAUAUAUAUAUAUAUAUAAUGUCUUCUAUGUUGGGGCAGUACUAUCAUAGCAAGUAUUGACAAACAAAAAUUAAAUUAUUGCAAGUCACGAGAACCAAAAUAAAAUGAAACUAAUAUAGUCACAACCUCAGAAAUUCUGAAUUGCAUAAUAAUAUUAACAAGGCAUGAUAAUGCCAUUCAAUCCCAAAAGAUGGUUUUGGUGACUAUUAUCAUCAUUGGCAGGUGGCUACAUUGUACUUUGGAUAUACAAGUAAAGAAAGUUGGAAGCAGACAAAUUUCAUGCUAGCAACCAAGAAAGUUAAAGCUUAGAGCAUUCACUAUCAUGUACAUAUAGGAAUUUCACUUUUAGAAAAGGAAAAUUAAGAAGAAAAAAAAGUGUGUGUAGUAUGUAUAUAGGCACUCAUAGACGCACGAUGCUGAAAAAUGAAAGCAGAAUAGCUAUAUAUUUAAUUAUUAUGAUUUUGAAAUAUCAUAUUCAAUUUUUCAAAUCUUCAUGACACUAAUAAUCUCUCAUGAUGGUAACUAUAUGUAGUAACCAUGAUCAUAUAAAAAGUAAACUAAAAUGUAGUAUUAAUUACAAGAUAUUGCAUUAAUGAUAAUUCAUAUAUGGUGAUGGCAUGGAAGAUAUGAGAUAUGUAGUAUAAGAGAAUGUUCUCAUGGGAAAAAAAAGAGACACUAGCUAAAAAUGAAUAAAAUUAGAAAUGCAAAAUAAGCUUUGUUUCAAACUUGAUCAAGCAUUAACAGAGACAUAUAGCACUAAUUUGAACAACCAUACAUAAAUAUUCAAAUUCAAACUCCAAAUAUGAAAGACAUAAAGCCAAUCAAUCACAAUCACAAUCGUUGUCUAUGAAUUCCAAAGAGAUUGAUACUAUCAUCCACCAUAUAAUGGCACUAAUUUCAUUCGAGAGAUAUGGCUAUUCAAAAUCGGAUGCCAGAGAAAAAAAAAAAGAAACUGAAAAAAGCAAAAGGACAUUGAAGUCCUGUAACACCAAACAGGGGACCUUGAAGUCCUACAAAACAUAAAAUGGAGAACAUUGGAGUCCUAUAGCAUAAGAGCAGAGGAUGUUGAUAUUGAAGUCUUGUAAAGCAUAUAAACAAAAGACAUUGAAGUCUUAUAAAGCAUAAAAGCAGAAGACAUUGAAGUUUUCAAAAUCAUAAAAGUAGAAGACAUUGAAGUCUUUGAAAGUAUAAAGAUAGAAGACAUUGAAAUAUUUGAAAGCAUAAAGAUAGAAGACAUUGAAGUCUUUGAAAGCAUAAAGACAGAAGACAUUCAAGUCUUAAGAAUCAUAAAAGAAGAAGACAUUGAAGUCUUUGAAAGCAUAAAGAAAGAAGACAUUGAAGUCUUUAAAAGCAUAAAGAAAGAAGGCAUUGAAGUCUUGUAAACUGUAAAGACAGAAGACAUUGAAGUCUUGAAAAUCAUAAAAGCAGAAGACAUUGAAAUCUUUGAAAGCAUAAAGAUAGAAGACAUUGAAGUCUUUGAAAGCAUAAAGAUAGAAGACAUUGAAGUCUUGAAACAUAAAUGUGAGGACAUUGAGUCCUAUGGAAACAUAAAGGCGGAAGACGUUGAGUCCUAUGAAAACAUAAAGACAAAGGAUGUUGAGUCCUAUGAAAAUAAAGACAAAGGGCGUUGAGUCCUAUGAAAGAUAAAGGCGAGGAGUUUGAGUCCUAUUGAAACAUAUAGGCAAGGACGUUGAGUCCAAUGAAAGAUAAAAGCGAGGAAUUUGAGUCCUAUAGAAAGAUAAAGGCGGGGACUUUGAGUCCUAUGGAAACAUAAAGGCGAGGACUUUGAGUCCUUUGAAAGCAUAAAGCCGAGGACUUUGAGUCAUAUGGAAACACAAAGGUGAGAACGUUGAGUCCUAUUGAAACAUAAAGGCAACGAUGUUGAGUCCUAUGAAAGCAUAAAGACAGAGGACAUUGAGUCCAAGGAAACAUAAAGACAAAGGAUGUUGAGUCCUAUGAAAACAUAAAGAUGGAGGAUGUUGAGUCCAAGGAAACAUAACGGCGAAGGACUUUAAGUCUUAUGAAACAAAAAUAAAGGAUGUGGAGUCAUAUGAAAACAUAAAGCAAAGGACGUUGAGUCCUACGAAACAUGCCAGUAGGUACUAGUACCCAAGGGCUUAACCUUAUAAGAAAGCAAAAGAUUGACUCUUAGAAAGGGCCUCUCAUCCUAAACUCAAAAGAUAGGAGAUAGUGAUGGAAGCUUGCUUGUUGGGCUCCUAUGGAGGCUGGAUCUUUGAGCUUCAAUGAGGUCCUUUAAUGGUGAUUUUCCACCAUGGAGAUGCAGUGGAAGACAAAGGAGAAGAGGUGAGAGGAGGCACCAUCCACUAGGGAAUAAGCCAUGGAAGAAGGAGCUUCACCACCAAGAUGUGUUGGAUCGAGUGGCCUCAGAAUAAUUAAGAAGGGGGGUUGAAUUAAUUAUUCCUAAGACUUUACCAAUUAAAAAAUUACUCUUUUAAGGCUUUUACUUUUGUUGUUAAUAGAAUAUGAAGUAGAAGAGAAACUUAACAGAAAGUAAAAGCAAAAAUUAAAUGCACAGCGGAAAGUAAAAGAGUAGGGAAGAAGGAAACAAACACACAAGAGAUUUUAUACUGGUUCGGCAACAACCCGUGCCUACCUCUAGUCCCCAAGCGACCUACGGUCCUUGAGAUUUCUUUCAACCUUGUAAAAACCUUUUACAAGCAAAGAUCCACAAGGGAUGUACCCUCCCUUGUUCUCUUUGAACCUAGUGGAUGUACCCUUCACUAGAACUGAUCCACAAGAGAUGUACCCUCUCUUGUUCUCAGUCAAACCCAAGUAGAUGUACCCUCUACUUGUACCACAAAGGAUGUACCCUCCAAAGUGUUAAGAAAAAGAUCUUAGGUUGUUUAAACCUUUGAUACUUUGUGAAUGGGGAUACAAAAGAAUUCUCAGGCUGUUAAACCUUUGAACGCUUUUGUAUUAGGGAAUGGGAAGAAUCAAAAGAAUUCUCAGACUGUGUCAUUUUGAAUUCUUUGACAAGGGAGAAGGGAGACACAAAAGAAUUCAGGCAGUUAGUCCUUCGUUCUUUUGGAAAAGGGAGAAGAGAGACACAAAAAGAAUUCAGGCGGUUAGUCCUUGGCGAAUUCUUUUUGGCAAAGGGAGAAGAGAAUGAAAAGAUGAAUGGCACAAGUUUUCAAGGUUUAGAAAACCAGAAAACUUCAAAAAGCUUUUGGUACAAAGAAGAAGAAGAAGUUCAAAGAGAUUUAAAGCUUGUAAAGGAUUGUAUAUUAUUCUUUUUAAAAUGCAAAACAAAGCCUUGCUUUUAUAGACUCUUCACGUCUGGUCAAGAAGGCCAUUCAGAAGACUUAUAACUUUUAGAAAAACUUAAAACCAAUUUGAAAAAGUCCAAAACCUUUUUGAAGAGUUACAUCUUUUAAUUUAUCAGAAACAGUCACUGGUAAUCGAUUACCAAAUUAGUGUAAUCGAUUACACAAGGCUUUUUAAGUGAAAGGAUGUGACUCUUCACAUUUGAAUUUGAAUUUCAACGUUCAAGGGCACUGGUAAUCGAUUACCAAAACAUUGUAAUCGAUUACAGCCUUUUGAAAAUAAUUGGAACGUUGUAAAUUCAGUUUGAUAACUUUUUCAAACUCAUUUUGCUACUGGUAAUCGAUUACAACAAUAUGGUAAUCGAUUACCAGAGAGUAAAAACUCUUUCGUAAAAGGUUUUGUCAAAAACUCAUGUGCUAUUCAAAGUUUUGAAAAACUUUUUAAUACUUAUCUUGAUUGAGUCUUCUCUUCAUUCUUGAAUCUUGAUCUUGAUCCUUGAAUCUUGAUUCUUGUCUCUAGACUUUCUUCUUGAGAUUGUUGUUAACAUUGUGACUGUUGUUUAUAGUAAUAUCAUAAACCUGAAAAUCCUAAUGAAUCAUUGGAAAUAUCUAACAACAAACUUCAAAUUGCCCCAAGCAUCAUGCAUAGUAUUUCUUGUCGACAUCAGAAUUCACAAGUGAUUUUCCUCCUCAAAUCUUAGCUAGCCCACAUCGAUCAGACUUUGCACCUUAUAUUUCAGGGUCAUACAAUGCUCAAUGGAAUGCCCCGGGACUCCCCCAUGAUAAGCACAUGUCACAUUGGAGUUUUAUCUUCUGGGAAAUGGAGGUUGAGAAAUCUUUGAUGGGCUCACAACUACCAUUGCAUUAUCGAGCAGAUACGAGAGUAAGUUAGCAUACGAAAUUAGAAUUGUGGUGAAUUCUACAGGCUUCUUUUCUGGAAAGUUCCUUCCAUGGUUGGUGUUUUGAUUGGUAUUAGGGGUGGUGUCUGGUCUUGGAUGUGCAGCAGGUAGAUUCUGUGGCCGAUUUAGGGGAGGCCUUUGCGGAUGAUUGGGCGUUGUUGGUUGGUAGGGUGGUGAGUAAUGGGAAGGAUUGAUAUUGGCUAAGUAUUGAUAUUGUUGGGGAGGAUAUUGGUACAUGGGAUUUAAAGGGGCUAGUGGGAAAUUUGGCAAUGUAGGAACAACAGUCACAACAUGGGUUUCUCCCUCCUUAUUUCUUCCACUCAUGCUAGGUCUUGUAUUACUAGAACUCGCAGUAGCAGCAUAAUCUAAUUUCCCUCUUCUCAUACCCACUUCAAUCUAUUGGAUCAAGUGGCCUUGGAAUAAUUAAGAAGGGGGGGUUGAAUUAAUUAUUAACGAACUUUUACUAAUAAAAAAUCUAUCCUUCUGAAUAUUAAUAAAAGUAAAAACAAUAAUUAAAGUGCAUAGCGGAAAUUAAAAGAGUAGGGAAGAAGAAGACAAACACAGGAGAUUUAUACUGGUUCGGCAACAACCCGUGCCUACAUCCAGUCCCCAAGCGACCUGCGGUCCUUGAGAUUUCUUUUCAACCUUGUAAAAAUCCUUUUACAAGCAAAGAUCCACAAGGGAUGUACCCUCCCUUUUCUCUUUGAACAACCUAGUGGAUGUAUCCUCCACUAGAACUGAUCCACAAGAGAUAUACCCUUUAUUGUUCUCAGUCACAACAACCCAAGUAGAUGUACCCUUUACUUGUACCACAAAGGAUGUACACUCCAAUGUGUUAAGACAAAGUUCUCAGGCGGUUAGUCCUUUGAAACUUUGUGAAUAGGGAAACAAAAGAAUUUUCAGGCGGUUAGUCCUUUGAAAUCUUUUGUUUAUGGGAAAGGGAAGAAUCAAAAGAAUUCUCAGACUGUGUCAUUUUGAAUUCUUUGACAAGGGAGAAGGGAGACACAAAAGAAUUCAGGCGGUUAGUUCUUCAUUCUUUUGGAAAUGGGAGAAGAGAGACACAAAAAUAAUUCAGGCGGUUAGUCCUUGGCGAAUUCUUUUUGGCAAAGGGAGAAGGGAAUGAAAAAGAUGAAUAGCACAAGUUUUGUUUUCUAGGUUUGGAAAACCAGCAAACUUAAGAAAACUUUUGCAAAGGAAGAAGAAGAAGAAAUUCAAGAGGAUGUUCAAAGAGAUUCAAAGGAUGUAAAAGUUUGUAAUCAAUUUUCUUGAAAAUGCAAGUUAAGGACUUGCUUUUAUAGACUCUUCAUGUCUGGUCAAGAAAACCAUUAGAAGAGUUAUAACAUUUAGAAAAACUUGAAAAAUAUUGGAAGAGUUGCAUCUUUUGAUUUUUAUUCAAAACUUUUCACUGGUAAUCGAUUACCAAAUCAUUGUAAUCGAUUACACAAAGCAUUCUUGUGAAAGGAUGUGACUCUUCACAUUUGAAUUUGAAUUUCAACGUUCAAACAUACUGGUAAUCGAUUACCAAUAUAUUGUAAUCGAUUACACCAUUUUGAAAUUGAUUGGAACGUUGUAAAUUCAGUUGAAAGCUUUUUGAAAACAAACCUUGCCACUGGUAAUCGAUUACAGUAAACUAGUAAUCGAUUACCAGAGAGUAAAAACUCUUUGGUAAAAGGUUUUGUGAAAAAUUCAUGUGCUACUCAAUGUUUUGAAAAACUUUUCAGUACUUAUCUUGAUUGAGUCUUUUCUUGAUUCUUGAAUCUUGAGUCUUGAAUCUGUUCUUGAUUAUUCUUGAUUCUUGAUUCUUGAAAACUUGAAACUUGAAACUUCUCUUGAAUCUUUCUCUUGAUUCUUGAAUUGUUCUUGACUCAAUCUUGAAAUCAUUCUCAUAGGCUUUUUGUGAUCAUCUUUGUUAUCAUCAAAACACCUUGAAUCAAUCUUGAUUCAUCAUCAUGAAGCAAUGAAGUUUGCUUUUACAAUCUCCCCCUUUUUGAUGAUGACAACUCUGAAAUCAAGAAACGCAUACACACACUUUUUCCUAGUCGAUCACUCACUUAAAUUUUCCAUUCUCCCCCUUUGUUUUUGAGUUUAUGCUUUACUUGAAAUUAAGUUGAUUACUUAUGUGAGUUCUUGAUUUAAUUCCUAUUUCUCUCCCCCUUUUGCAUCAACAAAAAGCCAAAGUGCGUAACAAGUAUAAGACAAUCAUAUACUAUUAAUCAUUCACAAGACAUACAUUGAAGAAUAUAAACCAAUCAUGAAGCAAGAAACAUGAAUAGAUCAAAUAUAUAAAAACCACAUAGUCAUAUAACAUAAUUCAUAAUUGUUCAAUCAAACCAUGCUAAUAAAGAAAUACUAAAUUAUCCAAAUGUCAUAAUAUAGUCAAAUACACAGCUAGAAAACAAAGUGCUAGUAAUUGUAGAAGCAAGCUUCAUGAUGAAUCAAGAUUCAUUCAAGGAGUUUUGAUGAUAACAAAGAUAAUGACAAAAAGCUCAAAAGUCAAGAUCACUUCAUGAUAACAAAGAUGAUGACAUUCAAGAAUGAGUUCAAGAUUGAGUCAAGAACACUUCAAGGAUCAAGAGGAAAUUUGAUUUCAAGAAUCAGGAUUCAAGAAUAAUCAAGAUAAAGAUUCAAGACUCAAAGAAUCAAGAAUCAAGAGAAGACUUAAUAAAGAUAAGUAUUAAAAAAAAUUUCAAAACAUUGAGUAGCACAAGAAGUUUUCACAAAAUCAUUACCAAAGAGUUUUACUCUCUGGUAAUCGAUUACCAGAUUAUAGUAAUCGAUUACCAAUGGUUUUAAAACGAUAAGAUUUUCAAAAUUCAAAAUGAAGAGUCACAUCUGUUGAUUUGUAAUCGAUUACACCUUUAUGGUAAUCGAUUACCAAUGACUGUUUUCGAAAAAUUCAUUUCCAAAAGUCACAUUUCUUCAAGUGACUUGUUUCUGAAGAGUUACAAGUUUUGACUUGAGUUAUCAAGAAACUAUAAAUAUGUGACCUUGGCAUGAAACAUUACAACAAUCACUUUCAUAUCCAUCAUCUCUUUCAAUCAUUCUAUCUUUCAAUAUCUUCUUUCAUUUCUUUUAGAACUUUCUUAUUUCAUCUUCUCUUCAUCUUUCUAAAAGUUUUUGUUCAAAAAUUUUUCUUCCAAGAAAAGUUCUUUAUUCAAAAACUUGUGCUAUUCAUCUUUUUCAUUCCCUUCUCCCUUUGCCAAAAAGAAUUCGCAAGGGACUAACCGCCUAAAUUCAUUUUGUGUCUCUCUUCUCCCUUUUCCAAAAGAACGAAGGACUAACCGCCUGAAUUCUUUUGUGUCUCCCUUCUCCCUUGUCAAAGAAUUCAAUAAGACAUAGUCUGAGAAUUCUUUUUAUUCUUCCUUUUCCCAUAAACAAAAGAUUUCAAAGGACUAACCGCCUGAUAAUUCUUUUGUUUCCCCCUUCACAAAGUUUCGAAGGACUAACCGCCUGAGAACUUUGUCUUAACACAUUGGAGGGUACAUCCUUUGUGGUACAAGUAGAGGUGACAUCUACUUGGGUUGUUGACUGAGAACAAGAGAGGGUACAUCUCUUGUGGAUCAGUUCUAGUGGAGGGUACAUCCACUAGGUUGUUCAAAGAGAACAAGGGAGGGUACAUCCCUUGUGGAUCUUUGCUUGUAAAAGGAUUUUUACAAGGUUGAAAAGAAAUCUCAAGGACCACAGGUCGCUUGGAGACUGAAUGUAGGCACGGGUUGUUGCCAAACCAGUAUAAAAACUCUUGUGUGUUUGUCUCCUUCUUCCCUACUCUAUUAAUUUCCGUUGUGCACUUUAAUUCCCGCUUUUACUUUUGGUUAAGUUUCUUUUCUAUUUUUCAUUUACUUAACAACAUAGUAAAAGCCUUAGAAGAGUAAAUUUUUAAUUAGUAAAGGUUUAGGAAUAAUUAAUUCAACCCCCCUUCUUAAUUAUUCUGAGGCCACUUGAUCCAACAAGUGGUAUCAGAGCAGGUAUCUUGUUGAAAGUUUAACCACUUAAUCGAUUACCAAUAUAUUGUAAUCGAUUACACCAUUUUGAAAUUGAUUGGAACGUUGUAAAUUCAGUUGAAAGCUUUUUGAAAACAAAACUUGCCACUGGUAAUCGAUUACAGUAAACUAGUAAUCGAUUACCAGAGAGUAAAAACUCUUUGGUAAAAGGUUUCGUGAAAAAUUCAUGUGCUACUCAAUGUUUUGAAAAACUUUUUAGUACUUAUCUUGAUUAAGUCUUUUCUUGAUUCUUGAAUCUUGAGUCUUGAAUUUGUUCUUGAUUAUUCUUGAUUCUUGAUUCUUGAAAACUUGAAACUUGAAACUUCUCUUGAAUCUUUCUCUUGAUUCUUGAAUUGUUCUUGUCUCAAUCUUGAAAUCAUUCUCAUAGGCUUUUUGUCAUCAUCUUUGUUAUUAUCAAAACACCUUGAAUCAAUCUUGAUUCAUCUUCAUGAAGCAAUGAAGUUUGCUUCUACACAAUCUUCUCACCAUCUAACACUAAAUCUAUAAAACUUGAAGGCAUGUAACCUACCAUCUUCUUAUAGUAAAACAUCGGCAAUGUGUCCACUAUCGUUAUUAUCAUUCCUCUCUCCAUCAUCGGGGGCACUACUUGAGCUGCCAGAUCUCUCCACCUUUGAGCUUAUUCUAUGAAAGAUUUAUUACCUUUCUUGCACAUAUUCUGUAGUUGCAUUCUAUCUCGAGCCAUAUCAGAUUUAUACUGAUACUGCCUAAUGAAAGCAGCCAUUAGGUCCUUCCAGGAAUGAACCCGGGAAGGUUCCAAGUUAGUAUACCAGGUAAUAGCUGCCCCAGCAAGACUAUCCUGGAAGAAAUGCAUCAACAACUUUUCAUCUUUCGCAUACGCCCCCAUCUUCCUACAAUACAUUUUCAGGUGAUUCUUUUGGCGAGUGGUUCCCUUGUACUUAUGAAAAUCUGGCACCUUGAAGUUUGGAGGAAUAACCAUAUCUGGUACCGAGCACAACUCUGCCAUGUGAGCAAAGGCAUAAUUUCCUCCUCCUUCAAUGGCACGUUGCCUCUCCUCCAUAUGCCCAAUCCUUUCCUUCUCAAGUACUAUGGAAGGCCCCUCUCCGCUUACAAAAUGCAAGGGUUGUGAUAACGAGCGACAUUGAGAUAUUCCAGGAGCGUUCAGCAUAGGGAUGCCAGAAAAUGCUUGCCCUUCAGUGGUAUAUCCAGGAUAAACCCCGAACCUGACAAGAUUGUGGUCUUGGGGGACUUCAUGUGUUUCCCCCAUAGGUUGAGAGACACGUGCAUGAUCAGAUUGGGGUUGUUGAUUCUCAAUGAGUACUAGUGCAGAAUUGUUGAUAUUCUCACCAUAAGCUUAUACGACAGUAGGCAGUGUAUAAUUAGGAGGCAACUCGUAUGGUGGGAAGGAAUGUUUGCUCUGAAUCUGAACAUGAUGAGGCCCAUAUGCAUUUUUCACUGUCUCGCCUCCUUGACCUACUACAUCUAAGACUAGACGAUUCACUUGAUUGAAACCGGUCGGCUAAAUCGGGUCCAUCUCAGUAGCAGUACUCGCAUCAACAACUAUAGCAGUGUUAUCCUCGAUCAUCUUCCUCAUGCUCAUCAUUGCUUCCAUCAUCGUUGUCAUCUAUUCCUUCAUGGCCUCCAUAUUGGCCUUCAUUUGUUCAUGUACUUCUUCGAUUUCACUCAUUAUUCUGACCUUAACACGUGUCUGGUAAGGGUGUCAUAAAGCGCGAUCUUUCUCUUUGGUUACAAUGAUUACAAUUUUGAUUUCAAGGAAAGAAUGCAAUGAGCAAUGCAACUAAAGUGGAAAGACAAACAAGAACGAAUGCAUGUGAAUGAUACAUUGUUGAAGUAUUGUGAAUUUUACACAAUACAUUCAGUAGAACAUAGGGUCGAAUCAACUCUAAUUUUUCAUUAAAUCUCAUCAGAGUCAAAGUACAAUUUGAAAUAAAACAUGGACACAUCAACGGUUCCUAAUUUUGUAAGUUAUUAGCUCAAUCAUGUGUUGGCAGUAGUCAAAGAAGCUAUGUAAAUUCGACCCAUCUUCUGCCCCAACUUUCUCAAGCUGGUUACUUCCAUACUUUGACCUUGACUUGAUAAAAUACUUUUCUUAAAAGACUGUGCUUGGUUUGACCCUAUGUUCAUAGGAAUAGAAAUUUUGAUCGCCAAUAUUUUAACAACCUAUCAUAGAGGAGAUAUGAUGAAUGAUCAGUGCAUAGUUAUGCUAUGCAUGACACAUGUAUUUAUCAAACCGGCACAAGACACCUAAAAGACCACCCUCUUCUUGUUAACAAUGCAUUGGGUACCAUGUCCAUGUGAUUUCAAUCAUUUUCAAGAGAAAGGAUUGUAUAACCCUAACAUGGUUUGUCUAUAGCUAUUACCAUGGUACCCAACUCAUGAAACUAAAAACGGGGUGUAAAAUUUCACACUUCGUUGUGACUUUUGGCAGCGAAGAAGGAAAUGCAAGGCAUGAACAACUAUAUGGUAGGAUUAUGCAUAACAUGUGAAUGAUGAUAACAGAAUGUAUGCAAUUGGCUGAACAAAAACAUGCUAAAUGAAUAUGUAUGACAAUGCAAUGACUUUGGCAAAUGCAAUGCAUGAAUAUGAUGAAUGAUAAAUGCAGGAAUGAUAUGUCUAUUAUGAUGCCAUGAAGAGAUGCAUGAUGCGAUCAAGGAAACCAGACAUGGUGAGUUUGCCCAGUGUUCUUAAUUCAGGAACCUAAUGGAAAGGAUCCAAAAGUCCACUAUCUAGUGACAACUCCCAAGGUUAUUUUCAUGUAACCUUACUGACCUCUAGAGAUAUCAUCAUCUCAGGUAAUAUACUGUGGCAAUAGGGACUAUCAGCGACAAUGCAUCACCAAAAGAGGAAAACUCUAGAUGAGGCUUCACUAUAAUCCAGCAAGUCGGGGACCUUGCAUGACCACAUAUCGACCUCCACUCCCUAUGGCUAACACAAACCCAGGUAUAGGGCCCAAUAUCUCAAAGUGUGUGCAAAAAGUGUGGGUGUCAUAUGUGAACGGAGCAACCUAAGAAUUACCCAACCCCACCUCCAAAAAAAACAAAAAAAUUCCUAGGCAGAUACAAGAAGUAGUAUAGCACAUGUCGUCUAUCCUAGGAUUCAAUGGCACAAUUUAUUUCUAACUACAAAUGUAAUAGAUACAAAGAUACACACCAAGAAGUAACAAUGUACCAAAGGUUAUAUACAAACAUGAGUGAAACAACGAAUAAAGGAAACGAGCUCGAAGCUAAACCGCAAAAUGAACGAUACCGGAAUGAAACUUUAACGAAUGACUUAACUCUCUAACGAUUCCUAGUGGAGUCGCCAUCUGUCGUAACCUAACUUCGCGACGAGACGACGAAAGCAAAUAAAAGAAAGCAUGUUCAUCUCUUAAGGAGAAAAUGAGUGGGAGUCGCCACCAACAUUUAUUUAUGAAAAACGUUAGAAAAACCAAAAAGAGGUCUACGAAUUUUGAAAAGAAGGGUUCGAAAGUUGUUUACGCAUAGGGAAGGUAUUAGCAUCCCAUGCACCUAUCACGUAGAACGACAACCUUUAAUCGAGUGUGCAAUAAAAAUAAUGUGACUACAAAAUUAAUUAUUUUUCCAAGAGCGGUGAAUUUCUUUUCGUUUACUAUAAUAUUUUAUUUAUAUAUUAUUUUUUUAAUCAAGAAGGGUGUGUUACCCUUGCUCCUACAUAUCCCCAGGUGCAAUGAGGAAAUCAGACCUAUGUAGUUCUUAAAGUUUGAAUGUGUGUGUUAAAUUGAUUUUAUGUUUUUUUUGAAAGAUUUAAUUGCAAACGAAGAGUCGUUAGGGCAUUGGACCUUUAAAUGACAUUUUGGAUUCUGAAAAGCAGAGGGAGUUGUUAAGGCGUUGGACCUUGAAACGAUCUCAAAGUGAUAUUUGAGUAGAAAAGAUUACAUAUAUAAUAUCAAGAGGGAUACACAAGGGUACAAAGAUUACACCCGAUCCUUAAAAAAAAUAAUUGAUCGUUGCGCAGGGCGCAAGACUAACAAGAGAAAUGACAAAGGAAAUGAUCCACGGUCACAAUUCUGCAGCGCCUCGACUUUACUUUUCUUCUUCUCAUUUUCCUUCUGCAUUUUUUCCUUUGUUUUCUUUAGUUCCAUCCCCCUUAAACCCCUCCUCUACAUGGCUAUUUAUAAAGAAAGCCAUUUGGUGUAGGGGAAGCUCACCCAGGCGAAUUGGUUUCUUAAGCUUGAAGGUAUCAGCUCACCCAGUCAAGCUGGUUGCUUAAGGCUGAAGCUUUCCCAUGGUCCAAGCGAGUUUAGAUCUAAAGAGUUCCAAAAAAUGAUCAUUUUGUCCCUUUCCUUGUGGCUUUUUGUUUUCGGAUCUGGCAAUCAAACAUCAACCUUGAGCGACCCCGUGUCCUUGCGGUGCAAUGGGUGCCAAACACCGUAGUUCGAUUAGCAAUGAUCAAAACAUCAUAUGUGACUGAUAAAAGCAUUAUACCUGGAUGAAAUUAGAGUUUGACAUCUAUUAAUGAUAUAUCAUCAUCUCCUAUGAAAUGUAUGCAUAUUUCAAAUGUUUUAUUAAUAAAUAUUGUUCAAUUGCUCAAUUUCACUAAAUAAAACAAAUAUAUUUAAGAUAAAAUUGUGACAUCAUUUAAAUAGAAAAAAAAUAAGAAAAAAUGUCAUUUUUUUAAUAUAUGUCUAUGCUUAUUUUUAUAGUUAAAUAAAAAAUUUCAAAUAGAAACACAUCAUCUCUCUGUUUGAUGCAAAGGUCAAAAAUCUAAUUCGUAUAGGACAAGGAGCAAUAAUAGACCUAGAUCAAAUACUAGUAAUUAAAUGAGGAAAAUAUUGAUAAUUGACAAUAUUUGAGGUUUUGUUAGAAUUAAAAUUAGAGAAAAUUGGAAUGUACCCAAAAUCACAAUCUUAGGUUGUUUAUCAUAUUUAUAAUUAUUUUCACAUCAAGUCUUUUAAUUUUAUUCUUAUUUACUAAAUUGAGCAUCUAACUACUAGUAUCCUUUAUUUAACAUAAACUCUUAUUUUGUUAGUUUUAGGAAAUUAAUUAUUUGGGAACAUAACUCAUGCUUUAGGUUUAACAUUAAGUUUUUGGUCCACAAUUACUAUUGUAUUCUCCUUAUGUGAUUAUUAUUUCUAUACACAUCAUGCAUAUACCGUAAUUAAUUGUUAUAUUUUAAAUGAAAUUAAUAAUUAACACUUAAAUGAUGAGUUUUAAACUUUCAAUGAUUUUUAAAAUGUAAUUUCAUACUCUUUAAAAACAAUUGAUAAAAAGAUACUCUUUAAAAACAUCACACAGUUUCCUUUAAAAAAAAAUAAAACAUCACACAGUUACUGGAAACUUGUUAAAAAAAUAUCAAAGCACAUCAAAAUAUUACAGUGAGUGAAAAGAGAAUUUUUUUUUUAACAUGAAUGAAAAGAUUUAUAAGUAUGUAUAUACACGAAAGAAAUAAAAGAGAAUACGAAUACAAUAAUAAAACUGUAAAAGUCAAGGGAAGUAAUGUCAGUCAAAUCUGAAAAGAAGUGCACAGUUUUUGUACUGUCAACAUAAUCCAGAAAUAAUUUUAAAUAUGAUAUUCAAGAUAUUUAUUAUUAAAAUAAAAAUUACUAUAUGUAAUAAUGUAUGAUCUAUAACAUUAAAAAAUUGUAUACGUACUAAUACAUUCAUGCCAAAAAAAUAAAAAUAAAAACUUUUUUCUUAUUUAAAAAUGGAAAUUAUAAAUUACAAAUAAAAAUAAAUUGGUGAAGGAGAUUUAUAUUGGAUUGCUCAAUAUUUGUGAUUCUAUAUAGGUAAUUGUUAUAUUAAUUAAAAUUAAUAUAUCAUUCUUAAAAAUAAAGACACUUCUAUAUAUAUAUAUAUAUAUAUAUAUGACCUUGAACAAUAUUUUGUGGUCUAAAAUUUAGUAAAACUAUUAUUAAAAAUAUUUUGUAACAUUUGAAAAAUGUUGUCAAACAAACUAUUAUGUUUUCGCAACAUUAUUGUGUAUAGCACACUUUUAUACUCUUGACUUCCAUUAAAUGUUUUUUUCAAUUGCCAAUAAGGGUGAUAAGGUUUCAGAAAAUGCCGAUGCCUCGUGUAUACUAUUUUUCUACCAUGUUUCUGUUGUAUGUAGCUUGUGUCUUCUUCACAUAUGGGGCAUGCAUGAUAGCCCUUAACAUUGUACCCGCUCAAAUUGCCAUAUGAUGGAAAGUCAUUAAUGGUACAAGAAAACAUUGCACACAAAUCAAAAGUCUCAUUUUAAAACCCAUUAAACACCGAAACCCCUUCGUCUCACGACUUUGUCAAGUCUUCAAUCAAGGAACUGAGAUAAACAUCAAUGUCAUUUCCUGACUGUCUUGAGCCCGAUAUCAUCAUAGACAACAUCAUCUAUUUUCGCUUCAUGCACAACCAAGGAGGCAAGUUGUAAAUUACUAGCAAAACUAGCCACAAACUAUGUUGAGUGCUUAAACUGCCAUAUGGAUUCAUUCCAUGAGUGGCAAGUCGAAGCCUAAGAUUUCCUGGCUCUUUGCCGAAAUCUAGAUACAAACGAUCAAUCUUCUUUCACUAGGAGGAAUCAGCAAGAUGACGGAGCAUUCCAUCAUAGUUUCUCCCAUUUGCAUUCCAUGUAAGGUCUUUUGUACCAUCUACAUUAGCAAAAAGACGCUUAAACCUGGAAAUGAUCGGAAGAUACCACAACACCUUUGCUGGGGGGGACUUUCUUUGAGUUUUCGUGAAUACUACACUCAUCUUCAUCCUUCACUUUGUACCGUGAUACCCCACACCAAGGGCAUUUGUGCAUUUCUUCAAACUCAUGUUUGUACAAUAUGCAAUCAUUAGGGCAAACAUGAAGCUUCUGAUACUCCAUACCCAUCGGACACAAUAUCUUUUUUGCCUGAUAGUAACUUUUUAGCAGCAUGUUUUCCUCUGAAGCAUAUUGUGCACUACUUGAAGCAGUGAACUGAAGCUUUUGUCACUCCACCCAUAUCUGGCCUUGACAUUAACCAUACUUAACAUCGCUGACAACAAUGUCAAUGAAUUCUUGCACCACGGAUAAAACAGCUUCUUCAAAUCACUUUGAAAUGUAUCAUACAUAGGGGCAUGUGCUUGCUAAAAAGAUUCUUCUCCAAGAUCACAAAUCAUUUCCUCUAUGCGAUCUCCCUUUUGUACAUCAACUGGUUCAGAUUGGGACUCCCUUUGCAUGUCUAUGAAUUCACCAUGCCAUAUCCAUGUCAUAUAAUUCUUCUUAAUCCCAUCACAGUAAAUGUUCUUGUAUGUCGUUGAGUAGUUGUCGUCUCCUGUUCAAACAAUUUAUAUAGGGACAUAAAUAGUUUUUAUCCUCAUCUGGUCGACUUCUUUUGGAAGCAAAUUGCAAGAACUAUUCCUUGCCUUCCUCAUACACAGGGCUUAUGCAACUUGCGUUCAUCCAACUUCGAUCCAUAAAAUUAAUAACUUCGUGAUACUCACAAAGUUAUUCAAUGCAUGAAGAUUUUACUUUUCAUUAAAGGUGUGGCCAUAUCCCAUUCAGGAAGACAUUUUUUUAUAGUAGAUUGAUACGUCAAGGUUAAUUCUAUUUUUUAAAAUUUGAUAAAAUGUCGACAGUAUUACGCAUUGAUCUCCAAGUACAUGACAUGAGAGUGGUGAGAUUAGCUCCCCGACAAUCAAGUAUGCACACAGAGAACAACUAGAAAUGCAUUGUAGCAUGAAUCUACCAUAAAAUAUGACUCUUCCCAAACUAUCCAAACGGACAAUUCAAGAUUCAAUACAACGAUUAAUGCAAAUUGUCCACGAGAAUCAUUGUAUUCAAUCUCAAAUGGAAAUCUAAGGUUCACUCAUGAUGAACAUUAAUUAUAUACGAAGUAAUAAUGCAUUAGUAAUGUAAAACAAGGUAAAUAAAGACUCAUUACAAAAAGCAGCCCAACAAAAGUGUGAAAGACAUCCGUACUUGUGAUAAUGCUCACUAAAAGUCUCCAACAAUGAAUAUUGUUAUCACGAUGUAAACACCAAAAGAAAAGUGCCUAAAAAAUUAUUCAAGAUGUUAUAAUUUAGAAGAAAAAAAUUCCAGCAACACCAACCUAGUAAUUGCAUUUAUAUAUAAAGAAAAAAAUAAUUAUAACUAUGGUAAUUGGAACAUACUAGAUCAACAUUUGGAUAUGCAAUUGACCAAAUUUGACCUAAAUUAGUUCAAUUAAUCAACAAAUGGUAUGACCAUUCGCUUUUUAAUUUACUCCUUCAUACAAAUAUUACAUAAAUUUUUAUAAUAUAUUUUGGUACAAGCAAGAUAAAUAUUACAAACUAGCACAAAGAAGAUACUAGAAAAACCAAAACUAAUAUGGUAAUUAAGUUCCAUUGUUGCAUCCAAAUAGAUCUAACUAUUUUUUUUCCUUUUACAAUCAAAUGCAUUCAAAACUAGGAGUAUGACAAUACACAAGUAGUUUACUAACUAUCACAUUGAAUCAAAUGUCUAUACAAAUCAAUGGGAACACAUAAGACCCUUUCUGAACAAACCGGAAAUACAAAUAUCUACUAAGCCACUUCAAGUGUGUAAACAUAUCUCUACCAAAUUGGGCAAAAUCAAGAACAUUAAACUAACAACACUCAACAACCAACAACCCAUCAACAUAUUCAACAAAUGUUCCUCCUAUAUUUUUAGCUCAAAACAAAUGUAUACCCAAAUCAAGAACAAUAAUCAGAUAAACCAAUUUAAUGUACCAAACAUUAAGCUAACAACAUUCAACAACCAACAACCCAUCAAAAAAAUUCAGCAAAUGUUCCUCAUACAUUUUCAGGUUAAAACAAAUGUAUACCCAAAUCAAGAACAAUAAUCAGAUAAACCAGUUUAAUGUUUCAAACAUUAAUAUAACAAAAUUCAUAAGCAACAACCCAUCAACAAAUUCUAAAUUAGAAUAUCAAAAGUAGAACACUGACAAAAUUUGAAACCCCCCUUAGACACACACAACACCCUCUUCACACUUAUCGAAAGUGAGGGUGUUGUUGUGUGUUGUUCAUCCUCAUGAUGAACUCAAAAUCAAAAGUCUCAAACAAACACGCGACUUACUUGUUGACAGAGUGGAACGAGGAGGCAAGAGGAGUUACUACCUCACGGAGCAAACACAACGAAGAGGCAAAGAGGCGCAAGGAGGUGAACAGGCAAAAGGGGGUGAGGAGGCAAUUUUUUAUGGAGACAGCAGAGAGCACACACGAGAGAAGGAACUCAGACGAAGAAGAAGACAACGUGAAAAAAAAGGGCUCAUAGAGGCAAUUCAUAUAUUUUUAAAUGUAUGUUUCAACCUCGGUUUUUUAGUAAAAAAACCGAUGUUAACUAAGUGAUGUUAACGAUAACAUCAUUUUUUUAUUAUAAAAAACUGAUGUUAAUGUAUCAUUUACUAACAUCAGUUUUUCUGAAAAACUGAUUUUAACUUAGUCAUGCUAACAUACAUUUUUCAAAAAUCGAUGUUAACAUGACUUCGUUAACAUCGGAAUUUUUAAAAUCGAUGUUACCAUUACUUUGUUAACAUCGGGUUUUCAAAAAACUGAUGUUAACAAAGUUACACUAUUUACAAUUAUAUCACCAAACUUUUGUUAGCAUCGGUUUCAUCCUAAACUGAUGUUAAGGUAACGAUGUUAAAUCUAUAUUUUCUAGUAGUGAAAGUGUUUAUUACUUUUUUCCUCUUGAAUGGAGUUGUUUAGGCUUGUAGUGUUUCUUAGUCGUCUUAUACGACUAACUUUUGUAUAGAAAAUUUUUUCAAAACAUGUAUAGUUUCCCCAAUUUAUAGUUCUUUUGUAGGAAUUUGUAAAUAAAUCUUGAUAUGUUUCGAUACCUGUCAUUAGAGUAUCUUUAAUUGGAAUUAAUGAUAAAAUCUAUACAAUUUCAGGUCAAAAGAGGCUAAAGUCUUGAAGUGCUAAAAGGAGCAGUCGCGCUAAGCAGAACCUGUGGGCUCAUCGCGCAUCUACCGCUAAGUGCAGCUUCAGCGUGCUGAGAGAAUCUGGAAGAGCACAAGAAUUUAGGUCAUGCGCUAAGCGCGAGAUCAGCUCGCUAAGCGAGUCGUUAGUCUCUUGCCAGGCUCAGCGCAUAACUAGCACCAAGCCCAAAUCUAGUUACUCACGCUAAGUGCAACAUCGCGAUGUCAGAGCCUAUUUAAAGCCUGAUUUGUCAAAAUUAGGGUACAGAACACAAUACCUCUACCAGAGCUGCAUACUUUUCCACAAAAUUUGAGAAGAGUGCUCUGGAGGCAGCAGAGAGGCAACAACUAAGCAAGGAAGCUAGGGUUCAUCACUUUGAGAGAUUAGAGAGUGUUUGAGUGAUUGUGAGGUACCAAGAAAAGGAGGGGGGAUCCCCCUUCCUGUGUAAGCAACAAUUGCUCUGUACUUUCUGUCUCACUUGUAUUAGGGUUCCUUGUAUGGCUGGCUAAAAACCCUAGUUGGGGAUUUCUAAUGAACAGUUGACGUAAUUACUUUUCAUAUCUAAUUAACUGUGUUUUGUGUGUUCAAUGCUUCUUUCAAUGCUUAAUUACUACAUGCUCUUGGUCUGAUCACCCAUUUGUGUGUACUGUUAGGUGACUUUAGCAUUGGGAAAUGUACUAUUUCCUUAGAACUUGAUAGAAGCAGGGCUAAAUAACUGCAUUACCAAGGAUGGAUUGCAGGGUUUUAGUUUUCUUAUUAUGAUGUGAUGAUAAUGUUGAUUAAGUUAAGCCUAGUCCAACAAGAGGGAUCUGAGGACGAAGCUUGGGUUAAAUUAGUCUAACUUACGAGGGAUCGAGGUUUAGUACUUUAGGCUUGAGCAUAGAACACAAGAACAUGAUCAAUUAGAGAAAUACCUUCAUAUGCAUCAACUCGUUUGUUAGAAAGACCCAACUCUUUUUAGCUAUUGCUGUCAACUUUUAAUUACUUGCAUUUACUGCUUUUUAACAUAGAAUCUAGUUUACUUUUGUUUCGAUUCACAAUUAUCAAUGUUUUCCUGCACAAUGCCUAAUUCUUGAAUAAAACUUUGUCUAAUAAACAAGUUCCCUGAAUUCGAUACUCGGAUCACUCCGUUUUAAUUUUAAAUGCUUGACGACCCGGUGCGUUUUCCGAUGUUUCAUUUCCCUUGAAUUUACUGCUUGUAAAUUUGAGAAAGAGAAACCAUGUUGAAGGGUAAAUAAAAAUCACAAACAAACACAAAAGCAUAUAUGGCGCCGUUGUCAGGGAACUUAAUUCAUUAGAAGAGUUCAGUUCAGUUUUAAGCCAUUGCUUUAUAUUUUUUUCUUUUAUUCAUUGAUUCUUUUUGUGAAUAUUUCCAUUACUGCAUAUUUUAUUGUUCUUUGGAAUUGGAUAAUUGUUGUUCUGUUUCUUUUGUAUGCAUAGGAGAUCUGCUGCAGUUGAUUUAAUUCCCAUAGAUUUGGAAAUUAACGCUACUUGUAGGAGACGAAACACAGAGAGAAUUAGAAAAUUUUUGUAGGACUUAGAAGUAGCAGCAACUCCAGGAGAAGAACCUCGAUCUUCCGAGGCAUCUUCUAGCAUUCUUAUCCCAGGACAAUCUCAUACAGAUUUGAUUGAAGAAGUUAUCAUGGCUAAGCAGCCAAGGAGAGUGACCCUAGAAGACUAUUCAAGUUCAAGUGUACCACAAUUUUUCACUAGCAUUGCACAACCGGAGGUUCAAGCCCAGACCAUUACAUACCCUCCAUCAUUGAUUCAAUUAAUUCAGAAUAAUUUGUUUCAUGGUUUACCAAAUGAAGACCCAUAUGUGCACCUAGCCACUUACAUUGAAAUCUGCAAUACUAUUAGAUUGGCUGGUGUGCCUAAAGAUGCAAUUCGGUUGAGCUUGUUUUCGUUCUCACUAUCUGCAGAAGCUAAGGGGUGGCUUUAUUUAUUCAAAGGCAACAGUCUUAAGACAUGGGAUGAAGUUGUUGAGAAAUUUCUAAAGAAAUAUUUUCCUGAGUCUAAGACUGCAGAAGGCAAAGCCGCAAUCUCUUCUUUUCACCAAUUUCCAGAUGAAUCUCUGAGUGAGGCCUUAGAAAGAUUCUAUGGUCUAUUGAGAAAGACACCCACUCAUGGAUUCUCAGACCCGAUUCAGCUCAACAUUUUUAUAGAUCGGUUAAGACCACAGUCCAAGCAGCUGUUGGACGCUUCUACAGGGGGUAAAAUCAAGAUGAAGACCCCUCAAGAAGCCAUGGACCUUAUUGAAAAUAUGGCUGCAAGUGACAUUGCUAUUUUGAGAGAUAGAGCCCACAUUCCAACAAAGAGAAGUCUGUUGGAACUUACAUCACAAGAUGCAUUGUUGGCACAGAACAAGUUGCUAUCUAAGCAACUUGAGGCAUUGACUGAGACACUAAGUAAGUUUCCAACUCAAAUACAUUCUGCACAAUCUUUACCAUCUACUAUUUUGUAGGCUGUAGGGUGUGUCAUCUGUGGUGGAGCUCACAAUUCUUGUUGUUGUAUCCCCAAUGAAGAACCAACAUCUCAUGAAAUCAAUUACAUGGGAAACCAGCCCAUAAAUAAUUUUAAUGCAGGUGGACUUCCCGGAUUCUAGCAUGGACAACAAUACAACCAACAACAAGGACAAUGGAGGAACCACCCUGGGAAUCAAUUCAAUAGAGACCAGGGUGGACCGUCCACAAGGCCGCAGCAACAAGGGCCUAGUCUCUACGAUCGUACAACGAAGCUGGAAGAGACUCUAGCUGAAUUUAUGCAGGUUUCUAUGUCUAACCAGAAGAGCACGGAGUCUACCAUAAAGAAUCUGGAAGUCCAAGUGGGACAGCUCGCAAAACAGUUGGCGGAUAGGCCGUCAAGCAGCUUUAGUGCUAACACUUAGGAAAAUCCAAAGGAGGAAUGUAAAGCUGUCAUGACGAGGAGCAGAAUGGCAACCCAUGUUGAUGAAAAGUUGAGAAGAAGGUGGAGGAACAUAAACAGCAGUUGGCAACUGAGUCGGCACUUGAACCCGUUUCUGUUGGACCUUGUGGCCUCAAUAAUAUUAAGAGGGAUAGGCUUAGAAUGCAGAAGAAGCAACAACAAUCAAUUUAAUAAUGUUCUAUAAACAUGCAAGGCAAAAUUGAUUGCAAUAACAUAAAUGAGAUAAGGGAAGAGAGAAUGCAAACACAGUUUUAUACUGGUUCGGCCACAACCCGUGCCUACGUCCAGUACUCAAGCAACCCACUUGAGAUUUCCACUAUCUUUGUAAAAUCCAUUACAAAGUCUGAACCACACAGGGACAACCCAUCCCUUGUGUUCAGGAAUCCUUUACAACAAGAGACUCACAGUCUCUUAACCAAUCUCAUUGAAUAAGAAGAAUGGAAGAAGAAUUCUCUCUUCAGGAGAAGAAUAUUACAAUAAAGAUCAUAUAGGAAUCCUUAUAGAUUUUGCAAGUGUUUGGCCAAGGAUUUCUUUUGAGAGAGCAUUUGACAAUGAAGUUCUUUUGGAAUCUCUCUCAUUGUCUUUUGAGAGGAUAAGACAUUUUUGCCAAGCAAAACUCUCUAUCUAAAAUUCGUGCCCAAGUCACCUAUUUAUAGGCCUUUGAUGACCAUUCACAAAUCUAAUGAAAAGAUGUGACUGUUGGCAGAUUUUCUGAAAACUUUCCACUUGUAAUCGAUUACAAUGUUUGUGUAAUCGAUUACACAGUUAUAAUUUGAAGGGUUAUGACUUUUGAAUUUGAAUUUCCAAAGUUUCAUUGCUGGUAAUCGAUUACAGACAUAUGGUAAUCGAUUACAUGUUGAAAAUUCAAAUUCAAAACCUUUUUCAACAGCUAUUUCUCAACCCUGUCUUCGGGUAAUCGAUUACACUUCCUGGUAAUCGAUUACCAGAGCCUUUCAUGUCUUGAAAGCACUUUGUUUUAAGGCAAGGCUUGGUCUUUAGUGAAUCUUGAAACAAGGCUUUGUUUGUUGAAGCAAUCUUGAAUUAUUCUUGAAGCAAAUGCUUAUCAUUUGAAGUAGCCUUGUUAGAUUCUUCUUUGACAUCAUCAAAAUCAUGUAUACAUACAUUCACAGUUUCUGACUUUGUUGAACUUCAGGAAGUUGUGGAAGAUGAAGAUGACCAACAUGAGAGAGAGACACCAAUAAAAGAGAGUGAAAUAGAAAUAAAGAUGAAGGAAAACAAAGAAAAAGAAAAAGAAAAAUAAGAAGUAUGAUGUGCCAUCAUUUUCUUCUAUUUUCUAAACCCUUUUUUGCACCAUUUUAAUUACUGAUUGGUCUUAAUUGUCAAUUAAUCAGGCAGUUUUAUUAUUUGGGCUCAUUUAGCUAAUUUGAUGUUUUUAAUCUAAUUUCAGGAAUUAAUGAAACAUUGGGCUUAAUCCGGAUUUUGGUUAUGGACUUGAAGAGGGCAAAUAAAGCAGCGCUUACCUUAGUUAAUUUCUAAUUAGGAAAUUUCGCAAUUUUAUUUUAUGUUGUUCAGUGUUUAUUUCGUUUUGGGCCAGAGUAUUGUAAUAGGGCCCUGUGACUUUGAGUGACUCUUUUUAAAUAGCAGCCUUGGGAUUCGUGGAAGGCUAUUUUGUUAUGCUAUUCAUUAUUCGGAGCUUUUGUUUUAGGGUUUUACGUUUUCUGCUUUGAUGCUACUGUUCACAUAAUGCAAUUUUACGUUUUCUGCUUCUAAUUACAAUUUCGUUCUUGCUUCUUCUUCUACUCUCAUUUACGUUUCUGUUUCAUUUACGUUUCUGCUUCAUGUUUCAUUUGCGUUUUCUGUUUGAAUCCAUGGAAGGCUAGAUUUUCUGGUGUUGUUUCCUUUUGAGGACGAAGCCCAACUCUCUUUGAGGUUUCGCUUGUGAUGUGGUUUCCUGGCAGUUUUCCCUUCACCAGUUAUCCCAAAUUCGUGAAUAUUAAUCAGUGCACGCUUCGUGUUCGAUUAAUUGCCUCUGAGCCUAACUUGCGUUCAUGCUUAAUGGACGAAGGGCUAACUGGUGUAUGUGGUGCCUAAUCACGUAUUGAAAACCCUAAGUUGAUUUUCGCUUAGUAAAUUGAAAUAGGGUUGGAUUAAGUGGUUGACUGUUAGGGACGAAUUCUCCAUAACCCAGGAUAAGAGAAUGGCUUCGUAUUCCAGUUUACUUGUUCUGCUCUUUAAUCACAAAACAAACAAACCCCCCCAAUCGUUACUGUUACUGCAAGUAUAUUAUGAACAUUUGGUUUGUCACUGCUCGUUGGGAAACGACCUAGGAUCACUUCCUAGUUACUGCAUUUUCAUGUUUAUUUGAUUCGGGUACGACCUUGAUCAAAUUUGGCGCCGUUGCCGGGGAGCAGUGUCCAAAGGUUCAUAAUAGCUAGCGUUGUGUGUUUAAUUCUUUCGUGUUUUAUGUUUAAUUGUUAGUAUUGUGUUAGUAUGUGUGUUAGUGUUGUUUAGUGUCCUGGUAUUUCGUUUAGUGUGUGUUCUGUUUCAGUUUUCCUAUUGAGCGCUUCCCCUGUUUCAGUUUUGGGUGUUUUGCUGUGAAUAGUGUUUUGCGACGGACUUAGCGACCAUUUCUGCUUGCGGCAAACCAGAGUAGUAGUAGAAAUCCCUUAGCGACGGAUUUUAGCGACCACCCAUGCUGAAUUAUUUGUGAUUUUUUGUUUUAGUAGCUAGGGUUGUUAUUUUUGGCUGAAUUUUUUUGUGGUAACUUCUUUUAAUCCAUAUUUUGUGGGAAAAAUAGCUAGAGCCUUUAGUUUGGUCAGAUUUGAAAGUUCCAAAAAAACUAGCAAAUUUUGUGUUUGUCAAAACUUCAAACGGCCAUAACUUUUGCUCCGGUUAUCAGAAUCGCAAUUAUUAUAUAUGCAUUUGGGGUAGAAAAAAAUUUCCUACGCCGUGGCAGCCGGCCAUAGGCCUAGGCUGGCUGAGGUCUCCAUCGUCCAAAAAAAGUGAUUCUGUCAAAAGUUUUUUAUUUUUUCAAGUUUUAUUCACUUAUUUUUCUUAACCUACCAUUUUUAGCUUUCAUAGUUAGACUUUGAAUUUUUGUCUGAAAUUUUUUGUUCUAUCUUCUCAUCAUUUUAUAAGGUUUCUCACAAAAUUUCAAGUCAUUUGGAUAUCAUUUGAGGGUAGCUGUAGUUCAAACCUACACCUUUAUUUACAUGACAAGGCAACUAGUUGUGUGCAUGCUGAAUGUAGUGUAUGACUAGAGGCAAUCCAUCUGACUUACAACCCUUUGAUCCUGAGAUAGAUAGGACAUUUCAUAGAUUAGUUAGGCAUCAUUUUACACCUUUUGAUCAUUCUGAGCAUUCCAUUACUGGUGAAUCUGUGCAUUCUGUUAUUGGUGAUUUUGAACAUCCUGAUCUUGAGCAUUAUAAUUUUGAGCAUUCUGAUUUUGAGCAUUCUGUUUUUGCACAUUCUGAGAACAUGGCACAACCUCCACCCCGUGAGAGGACUCUAAGGGAAAUGGCUGCACCUGAUAUCACCUACGAAAGCUUGUGCAUCCAAUACCCUGAUGAGGAUGUCCCAUAUGUUCUUAAAACUGGACUGAUUCAUUUGCUUCCAAAGUUUCAUGGCCAUGCAGGUGAAGACCCGCACAAACAUUUGAAAGAAUUUCACAUUGUCUGCUCCACCAUGAAACCCCCAGAUGUCCAAGAAGAUCACAUAUUUCUGAAGGCUUUUCCUCAUUCAUUAGAGGGAGUGGCAAAGGACUGGCUGUAUUACCUUGCUCCAAGGUCCAUCACAAGCUGGGAUGACCUUAAGAGAGUAUUCUUAGAAAAAAAUUUCCCUGCUUCCAGGACCACAGCCAUCAGGAAAGAUAUCUCAAGUAUUAGACAACUCAGUGGAGAGAAACUGUAUGAGUACUGGGAGCGAUUUAAAAAACUAUGUGCCAGUUGCCCUCACCAUCAGAUUUUGGAGCAGCUUCUUCUCCAAUAUUUUUAUGAAGGACUCAGUAAUAUGGAGAGAAGUAUGAUAGAUGCUGCCAGUGGUGGAGCCCUUGGAGACAUGACUCCUCCUGAAGCCAGGAAUUUAAUUGAGAAGAUGGCUUCCAACUCCCAACAGUUUAGUGCCAGAAAUGAUGUUAUAGUCAUUAGAGGAGUGCAUGAGGUAGCUACAAACUCAGCUGCAUCAUCUGAGACUAAGAAGCUUGAAGGAAAACUGGAUGCAUUGGUUAACUUGGUAACCCAGCUGGCCUUGAAUCAGAAAUCUGUACCUGUCGCAAGGGUUUGUGGUUUGUGCUCAUCUGCUAACCCCCAUACAGACCUUUGCCCUUCCAUGCAGCAACCUGGAGCAAUUGAGCAGCCUGAAGCUUAUGCUGCAAAUAUUUACAAUAAACCUCCUCAACCUCAGCAGAAAAAUCAACCACAGCAAAACAAUUAUGACCUCUCCAGCAACAGAUACAACCCUGGAUGGAGGAAUCACCCAAAUCUCAGAUGGUCCAGCCCUCAGCAACAACAACAGCAGCCUGCUCCUUCCUUCCAAAAUGCUGCUGGCCCAAGCAGACCAUACAUUCCUCCACCAAUCCAACAACAGCAAUAGCCCCAGAAACAGCCAACAGUUGAGGCUCCUCCACAACCUUCCCUCGAAGAACUCGUGAUGCAAAUGACGCUGCAGAACAUGCAGUUUCAACAAGAGACCAGAGCCUCCAUUCAGAGCUUGACUAAUCAGAUGGGACAAUUAGCUACACAAUUGAAUCAACAACAGUCCCAGAAUUCUAACAAGCUACCUUCUCAAGCUGUCCAAAAUCCCAAAAAUGUCAGUGCCAUUUCAUUGAGGUCGGGAAAGCAGUGUCAAGGACCUCAACCCGUAGCACCUUCCUCAUCUGCAAAUGAACCUGCCAAACUUCACUCUACUCCAGAAAAAGGUGAUGACAAAAAUUUACCUAACAAUUUCUGUGCAGGUGAAUCUUCUUCCACAGGUAAUUCUGAUUUGCAGAAGCAGCAUAUUCCCCCUCUUCCAUUCCCUCCAAGAGCAGUUUCCAACAAAAAAAUGGAAGAGGCAGAGAAAGAGAUCUUGGAAACGUUUAGAAAAGUAGAGGUAAACAUACCUCUGUUGGAUGCAAUAAAGAAAAUUCCAAGAUAUGCUAAAUUCUUGAAGGAGCUGUGCACUAAUAAGCGGAAGCUUAAAGGAAGUGAACGAAUUAGCAUGGGCAGAAAUGUCUCCACAUUGAUUGGUAAAUCUGUUCCUCAAAUUCCUGAAAAAUGCAAAGAUCCAGGUACAUUCAGCAUACCUUGUAUUAUAGGGAAUAGUAAGUUUGACAAUGCCAUGCUAGAUUUAGGAGCCUCUGUUAGUGUUAUGCCUCUGUCUAUUUUUAAUUCUCUAUCUCUAGGUCCCUUGCAGUCAACUGAUGUGGUAAUUCAUUUAGCUAAUAAAAGUGUUGCCUAUCCUGUUGGUUUCAUAGAAGAUGUCUUAGUUAGAGUUGGUGAACAGAUUUUCCCUGUUGAUUUUUAUAUUUUAAAUAUGGAGGAUGGAUUCUCUCAAGGAUCAGUUCCCAUCAUUCUAGGCAGACCCUUUAUGAAAAUUGCUAGAACUAAGAUAGAUGUAUAUGCAGGCACACUAUCCAUGGAGUUUGGUGAUAUAACUGUUCAUUUUAAUAUUCUGGAUGCUAUGAAAUACCCAUCUGAAGAUCUUUCUGUAUUUCGUGCUAAAAUAAUUGACCAUGUUGUUGAUGAAUACAUGAAUGAUCUUUAUUCUAAUCUGCAUACCUCUCACUCUUCAUGCAUUGAGUCUGAAAUUGUACUUGAUCAUAUGUCUGAAUUUGAUGUUGAGAGUGAAUCUGAGAGUGAUAUUGAUUGCAUGUCUGGUGGUGGUGUUUUACCUCUCGAGAUUGAUUUUAUAGAGUCAGAUAGGACUAACCAUGUUUCAGGAAGUACACAUACCUCUGACUUUCUUUAUGAGGUAAAGGCUGAGAAACCAUCUCCUUCUACCACUGUCCAGCCGACCACACCAGAAUUGAAGCCUCUGCCAUCAAAUUUAAAAUACGCUUACUUGGAUGAUAGCAAGAGUUUUUCAGUGAUUAUAUCUGCCUCCCUUGUUGAUGAGCAAGAGGAGAAGUUGUUGUCAGUUCUCAAGAAGCAUAAGAAGGCUAUAGGCUGGACCCUGGCAGACAUUCCUGGUAUUAGCCCGUCCACAUGUAUGCAUCGAAUAAAUUUAGAGGAUGGAGCUAAACCAGUAAGACAGCCACAGAGAAGACUCAACCUGGUAAUUCUUGAUGUAGUGAAGAAGGAGAUAAUCAAGCUUUUGCAAGCUGGAAUCAUUUAUCCUAUCUCCGACAGCCAAUGGGUGAGUCCCGUCCAGGUAGUCCCGAAGAAGACCGGCCUCACAGUGAUAAAAAAUGAGAAGGAGGAGUUGAUUCCUACUCGGGUGCAGAACAGUUGGAGAGUCUGCAUUGACUAUAGGAGGCUGAACCAGGUAACCAAAAAGGACCAUUUUCCCCUGCCAUUCAUUGACCAGAUGCUUGAACGCCUGGCAGGUAAAUCCCACUACUGUUUCCUUGAUGGUUUUUCUGGUUAUAUGCAGAUUACUAUUGCUCCUGAGGAUCAGGAAAAGACCACAUUCACCUGCCCCUUCGGCACUUUUGCUUAUAGGAGGAUGCCUUUCGGCCUGUGCAAUGCCCCUCGUACCUUCCAGCGGUGCAUGAUUAGUAUUUUCAGUGAUUUUUUAGAAAAUUGCAUAGAGGUGUUUAUGGAUGAUUUCACUGUAUAUGGAUCCUCUUUUGAUGGUUGUUUGAAUAGUUUGGAAAAAGUUUUGAAUAGAUGCAUUGAAACUAACCUUGUUCUAAAUUUUGAAAAAUGUCAUUUUAUGGUUGAGCAAGGUAUAGUUUUAGGCCACAUUAUUUCCAAUAAGGGUAUUGAAGUAGAUCCUGCAAAAAUUUCUGUUAUUUCACAAUUGCCUUACCCCUCUUGUGUGCGAGAGGUGCGAUCUUUUCUUGGUCAUGCAGGAUUCUACAUGCGCUUUAUAAGGGAUUUUAGCAAAGUAGCCCUUCCACUUUCCAACUUGUUGCAAAAGGAGGUGGAGUUUGACUUUAAUGACGGAUGCAAAGAGGCUUUUGAUUGCCUCAAAAGAGCGCUGACUACCACCCCCAUCAUCCAGGCACCCGAUUGGCCAGCCCCUUUUGAGCUUAUGUAUGAUGCAUCAAAUUAUGCAUUGGGGGUUGUCCUUGCUCAGAAAAUUGAUAAAUUGCCCAGGGUGAUAUAUUAUGCUUCUAGGACUUUAGAUGCUGCCCAAGCGAAUUAUACUACUACUGAGAAAGAGCUUCUAGCCAUAGUUUUUGCUCUUGAAAAUUUUCGAUCUUAUUUGCUUGGUACCCACAUUAUUGUUUAUACUAACCAUGCAGCUCUAAAGUACUUGUUGAAGAAGGCUGAUUCUAAGCCUAGGUUGAUCCGAUGGAUGCUCUGGCUCCAAGAGUUUGACUUGGAGAUCCGUGAUAGGAGCAGAGCACAAAAUCUAGUUGUUGAUCAUUUGAGUCGGAUCGAACGUGUAUCUGAUGCAGAUUCACCUAUUCGGGAUGAUUUCCUGGAUGAUCAUUUGUAUAUACUGUAUAGUAUUUCUGACUCUCUUUCUACUCCCUGGUUUGCUAACAUUGUCAAUUAUUUAGUUGCUUCUAUUUUUCCUCCCUUAGCAUCUAAGGCCCAAAAAGAUAAAAUUAAAAGUGAUGCUAAGCAUUUUAUUUGGGAUGACCCCUACUUGUGGAAAUUGUGCAGUGAUCAGGUCAUUAGACGGUGCAUUCCAGAUCAUGAGACUAACUCAGUCCUGCAGUUCUGUCAUUCUUCCGCACCGGGAGGUCAUCUGGGUGUUCAAAGGACAGCUCGCAAAGUGCUUGAUUAUGGUUUUUAUUGGCCCACCAUCUUUAAAGAUGCGUGGAAGAUCUGCAGCACUUGUGAGCAGUGUCAGAGAGCAGGAAAUACACUUACAUGGCGACAACAAAUGCCUCAGCAACCUAUGCUAUUCUGUGAGGUGUUUGAUGUCUGGGGUAUAGAUUUCAUGGGCCCUUUUCCUGUCUCUUUUGGUUAUGUUUACAUUCUCCUUGCAAUUGACUAUGUUUCAAAAUGGGUGGAAGCCAAACCCACUAGAACUAAUGAUGCUAAAGUUAUUGCAGAUUUUGUCAGGUCUAAUCUGUUCUGCAGGUUUGGAGUACCUAAAGCAAUUGUUAGUGAUCAAGGAACCCAUUUUUGCAACAGAACAAUGCAUGCCCUGCUUAAAAAGUACGGGGUGGUACACAGGGUAUCCACACCAUACCAUCCCCAGACCAAUGGACAGGCAGAAAUUUCUAACAGGGAAAUCAAGAGAAUUCUAGAGAAGAUUGUGCAGCCAAGCAGGAAAGAUUGGAGUACCAGGCUUGAUGAUGCUCUCUGGGCACAUCGGACUGCCUACAAAGCACCCAUAGGAAUGUCUCCUUAUCGGGUUGUCUUUGGAAAGGCAUGUCAUCUUCCAGUGGAAAUUGAGCACAAAGCUUACUGGGCAGUGAAGACUUGCAACUUCUCUAUGGAUCAAGCUGGCGAGGAAAGAAAGUUGCAACUGAGUGAGUUAGAUGAAAUCCGCCUAGAAGCCUACGAGAAUGCCAAGUUCUACAAAGAAAAGACCAAGAAGUUCCAUGAUAGCAUGAUAGUUAAAAAGGACUUCAUGGUUGGGCAAAAAGUGUUAUUGUAUAAUUCUAGGCUUGGACUCAUGAGUGGUAAGUUGAGGUCUAAGUGGAUUGGUCCUUUUGUUGUUACUAAUGUUUUUCCUUAUGGUACAGUUGAGAUCAAAAGCGACUCCACAAACAAGAGCUUCAAGGUCAACGGACAUCGACUUAAGCCAUUCCUCACGAACCCUUCUUUAGUGGACGUAGCGGUGGAAGAGACUUCCUUACUCCACCCUACUCUUCCCCCACCAUGACUUAGGGAGUUUUUCUUUUCCUAUCUCCUUCUUUGCUUUUAUUACACUUGUCCGAUUCUCUUUGAUGAUUUAAUUGUUUUUAAUCUUUUAAUUGUGCUACAUUGAGGACAAUGUGUUGUUUAAGUAUAGGGGGGAGUGUUCUUUGGUUUUGCUAGUUUUGUUGGUUUUGUUAAUUUGUUAGUUGUGUUAAUUUGUUAAUGUUGUUAGUUUCGUCGGAUUUUUAGUUUAAUAUUUUGGGUCAAUUUUGUGUGCAUGUACGACUUUGCAUGUUUUUCUUUGAAUUAUAGGAUAUGUUCAAGAAAUGGGUAAUUGUUUUGAAAAAAAAGUUCUUGACAUUUUGUGACUUGAAAUCCUUGAUUAUCCUCUACAUGUCAUGAUAGUUUUGAAAGCUCAAUUUGAAAGUGAUGAGUUUACCUUUGUGAGAAUUUGAGCCAUCCAUCAUCAUAAUCAUUUGGUGUGUUUUGCCCCAUUGAUUGCUUGCACAAUAGCUUUGGCUUGAUUCUUGUUGAUGCUUCCUAAUUCACAUGCAUAUUUGGAAAUGAUUGAGGCAAUUUUGUUCUUAUAAGCUUCUAGCCAAAUGGACUUACCUUGAAUUAAUUCCUUUGAUAGCCCUUUUGAGCCUUGUUUCCCUUUCCUUGUUUUGAAGCUCACUACAAGCCUUAAAUGAAAAACCAUGAUAUCACCAUAUCCUUAAGGAAUUUUGGAGCUUUGGAAUUGUUUUGGGAAUAAGUGUGGGGGGUUUUUGUUUCAUUGGAUAACUUGUUUUGUUGGCUAUGCUUCAUGAUGUAUUUUGGGCCAUACUUGAUGUACAUUGUAUAUUGGUUAAAUGUUGGACAUGCUGAAUGAAAUGUUGUUUCUCAAAGGCUAUAGAGUAAAAAAAAAAUUCGAAAAAAAAGAAAAAGAAAAGCAAUAAAGUUGAGUGAAUAAGAUCUUAAAUGGCACAAGAAUGAUGAAACUCUUGGUUCUACUCUUUAUGUUUAAUUUUUAUCUUUACUUCUUUUUAUUUUCUUUUUUUUUUAAUAUGCACUUAUUCCCCAUUGCUCCUCUAUUCCUUUGGGAUUUAGCCACUUAUUCCAUAUUUCUCCAUACCUUGUCCUUGGCCCCAUUACAACCUUAAAAGACCUUUUGAUCCUCAUGUGCUUGUGUUUGUGGGUUGAUUGUCAAUUUUAGAAUCUUGCCAAGUUUAUGUGGUGUUUGCUUUCAUGGGUGCUUUGAGGGUAAAUAGUAGCCUAGACACUUGAGAGAUAGAGUGUAUAUCUUGUGAGGCUUUAUCACUUUUCAUUCUUGAGCUGAUUAACUAUUUUGCCAUGAUUGGGUUGCUUGGAUGAUUUUCAUGAAUGUCUUGACUUUUUGGAUCUCCUUAUGUUAGAUGUUACCCAUUCCUUUCAUUCCUUGAUGUUCAUUGAGAAAUAUGUGAAUGUUUUUGUUUGUCUCUCUUUGAUAUCCUUGGAUUUUGUUCUUUAUUUCAUUUUUCCCAGGAGUGCAAAAGGCUAAGUAUGGGGGGUUUUUGAUGUGCCAUCAUUUUCUUCUAUUUUCUAAACCCAUUUUUGCACCAUUUUAAUUACUGAUUGGUCUUAAUUGUCAAUUAAUCAGGUAGUUUUAUUAUUUGGGCUCAUUUAGCUAAUUUGAUGUUUUUAAUCUAAUUUCAGGAAUUAAUGAAACAUUGGGCUUAAUCCGGAUUUUGGUUAUGGACUUGAAGAGGGCAAAUAAAGCAGCGCUUACCUUAGUUAAUUUCUAAUUAGGAAAUUUCGCAAUUUUAUUUUAUGUUGUUCAGUGUUUAUUUCGUUUUGGGCCAGAGUAUUGUAAUAGGGCCCAAUGACUUUGAGUGACUCUUUUUAAAUAGCAGCCUUGGGAUUCGUGGAAGGCUAUUCUGUUAUGCUAUUCAUUAUUCAGAGCUUUUGUUUUAGGGUUUUACGUUUUCUGCUUUGAUGCUACUGUUCACAUAAUGGAAUUUUACGUUUUUUGCUUCUAAUUACAAUUUCGUUCUUGCUUCUUCUUCUACUCUCAUUUACGUUUCUGUUUCAUUUACGUUUCUGCUUCAUGUUUCAUUUGCGUUUUCUGUUUGAAUCCAUGGAAGGCUAGAUUUUCUGGUGUUGUUUCCUUUUGAGGACGAAGCCCAACUCUCUUUGAGGUUUCGCUUGUAAUGUGGUUUCCUGGACGUUUUCCCUUCACCAGUUAUCCCAAAUUCGUGAAUAUUAAUCAGUGCACGCUUCGUGUUCGAUUAAUUGCCUCUGAGCCUAACUUGCGUUCAUGCUUAAUGGACGAAGGGCUAACUGGUAUAUGUGGUGCCUAAUCACGUAUUGAAAACCCUAAGUUGAUUUUCGCUUAGUAAAUCGAAAUAGGGUUGGAUUAAGUGGUUGACUGUUAGGGACAAAUUCUCCAUAACCUAGGAUAAGAGAAUGGCUUCUGAAUCAGAGGAAACAACCCAUUUUUAAUAUUAGUAGUUUCGUAUUCCAGUUUACUUGUUCUGCUCUUUAAUCACAAAACAAACAAACCCCCCCAAUCGUUACUGUUACUGCAAGUAUAUUAUGAACAUUUGGUUUGUCACUGCUCGUUGGGAAACAACCUAGGAUCACUUCCUAGUUACUGCAUUUUCAUGUUUAUUUGAUUCGGGUACAACCUCGAUCAAAGUAGAAAAAGAAAAAAAUCAGAAAAAUGAAAAAGAAAAAGAGAAGUUUGAGGAAAGAAAAAGGGGUAAGAGUGAGGUUUCAAGAGAGAAAAAGAGAGAGAUUACUCCAGUUGAAGGCAAGGAGGUACCAUAUCCAUUGGUACCUUCCAAGAAGGAUAAAGAGCGACACUUAGCCAGAUUUCUUGACAUCUUCAAGAAGCUGGAGAUCACCUUGCCUUUUGGAGAAGCUCUCCAAUAGAUGCCACUCUAUGCCAGAUUUUUAAAAGACAUAUUGACGAAGAAGAACCGGUGUAUCUACAAUGACAUGAUAGUUGUGGAAGGAAAUUGUAGUGUUGUCAUUCAACGAAUCCUUCCACCGAAGCACAAAGAUCCUGGAAGUGUCACCAUCCCGUGUUCUAUUGGUGAGGUUGCUAUGGAUAAGGCUCUCAUUGAACUGGGAGCUAGUAUCAACUUAAUGCCUCUCUCCAUGUGCCGACGACUUGGAGAAUUAGAGAUAAUGCCCACUCGCAUGACCUUACAGUUGGCUGAUCGCUCCAUCACAAGACCAUAUGGAGUGAUUGAAGACGUUUUGGUCAGGGUCAACAUUUGAUCUUUCUGGCUGAUUUUGUAGUGAUGAACAUAGAAGAAGAUGCUGACAUUCCCCUAAUUCUUGGACGACCAUUUAUGUCUACCACAAGCUGUGUGGUAAACAUGGGAAGAGGAAACUACAAAUGGCCAUAAAAGACCAACAGAUCAGUUUUGAUCUGUUUCAUGAAGAGAAAGCUUUGUCUGACUAAAAUGUUUGUUUGAAGGUGAAUGUGAUGGAGGAAAAGGGACUAGAGAAGAAGGUUCUGGAAGUUGGAACCUUGUUGGAUCCAGGAUAAUAGGACGAUGCGUCAAGCUAGUCACGUUAAACGAGCGCUUACUGGGAGGCAACCCAGCUUUCUUUCUAAUUUCUAUUUUCUUGCAUUUAGUUAGUUUAAUUGCUUGUGAUUGUAUGUGACUUAAGCUUUGUUAGUAUUGAGAAGAAGGGUUUCAAGUUCUUGUGAAGAGAUGGACAAGAAAAAACUUAGAAAUUUUUUUCAGUUGUCCAUCCGCUAAGCACAACCCUUGCGCUAAGCGCCAUGUCUUCACACGCUAAGCCGUUGUUGCUUGCGCUAAGUGAUACCCUUCACCAAUUGGCUAGAUGGUUUAGCUAAGUACACAUCACUGCGCUAAACCCAAUUUCUCCUCUGGAAUUUAACUUCACUGACUUGGGCUUAGCGGAGAUGAUGCGCUAAGCGCAAUUCAUUCCCUGUUGAAAAAUUAUUGUAGUAGCGCUAAGCGCGCUGUCCUGCGCUAAGCUCAAUUUCCUCUCUGGAAUUAAACUUCCAUGAAUUGGGCUUAGCGACAGGAUGUGCUAAGCGCCAAUCCUUCACUGUUUUUGAAACUCAUGGAAUUGCGCUUAGCGCACUCAAUGCGCUAAGCCUGGACUGUCCCUGUAAGUUAGAGCUUGAUUUAGCGCUAAGCCUGACAUCUCAGCCUAAGCGCAUAUUACAGAACAAUUUUGAGUUGUAGACAGUGCUAAGCGCAGGCCUGCUGCGCUAAGCCCUAAAACUCUCUCGAAUUUGAAAAUUUGGAAUUGGGCUUAGCGCAAGGUUGGGCUAAGCGCAAGGCUUUGUUAAAACCAAACAUCACAUAGACUCGCUAAGCGCGGCUAUGCGCUAAGCGAGCAAUACGAAUUUUUACUUAAAAACACAGGCUCAAGCAGUUUUCGUGGUACCCAGAAGCUUUUCUCUCUUGCGCUUGUGCCUACCCCUAUGUUGUUGUGCAUUUCUGAGUGUGCUUUGAGUAUUUCUCUUGCAUUCUUGCUCUCAUCUUACAUCUUUCACUUCAAUCCAAGUAAGUUUUUAUGUUAUUUUCUUUUUCCUUCAAAGCUUAAAACUUAGGGUAGAUGAUUUAUUGCUUUGUAGUUUGCAUUUUUGUUUAGCUAGGUUUUAAAGCUCAAUGGGGGCAAUGCCUGUAAGAGGGGUGAAGACCCCUCAUUUCUGCUGGAAACCGCGAUGAACGCGCUAAGCGCACCAGCUGCACUUAGCUGAUUCAUCACAACUGACAAAUUUUCAGAUUUCCAGAUGAUCGCACUAAGCCCGACCAUGUCGUGCUAAGUGCGUUCAUCCUUCUGAUGAGUUUCAAUGAUGAGCUCGCUAAGCACAUCUGUAUGCUAAGCGAGACUAAUGUUUCAGACACUUAGAAUUUUUCAAAAUUUUUGUUCAGCGCUAAGCCUGGAUGUCAGGCUAAGCGCAAUUACGUCUCUGUUUUUCAAUUUUUGGAAUAAGGCUACGUGUAGCCUGCUGCACUAAGCCCUUGUAAUGUUUUAGUGAGGUUGAGCUAAGCGCACCCUGCUGCGCUAAGCUCAAUUCCCCCACUGUUUUCAAAAAUUGUAGAUUUAGGCUAAGCCCAGCUUGUUGCGCUAAGCCAAAUCUGCAGAAAAAUAUUUUCUAAGUACUCACGCUUAGCCCAUGAGUAAAUUUUCAGAAGGCGCGCUAAGCCCAUCCUUAUGUGCUAAGCUCCCAGUCCUAUUUUCAGUUUUAUUUUUCUGUUUUUGAUGAGAAUAAUCCUGGUUUAACCCUAUUGUUUGAUCUAAUUCUUUUUAGAAGGCUUCUAAAAAGAGAAAGGCACCUGCCUCAGCAUCCCAGGCCCGCUAUGACCGCCAUAGAUUCAAAUCUCAGGAGGCCUGGGAUCACUACUCUGAUAUUGUUAUUGGCAGGAAGAUAUUGCCAGAGAGAAAUGUAAUGAUAUAUCACACAAAGUUUGAUGAAUUCAAAACUGAGCUUGAAAGAAGAAAUUGGCACAAGGAGCUGACCAAUUUCAUGGAUGGGAGCAUUGAUGUUGCAAUCGUUAAGGAGUUCUAUGCUAACCUCUAUGAUCCAGAGGAUAAAUCACCUAAGCAGGUGAGGGUCAGAGGUCACUUAAUCAAAUUUGAUGCAUAUGUUUCGAAUACUUUUCUGAAGACCCCUGUGAUCAUAGAGGAGAGGGAAGAGCUACAUGCCUACUCCAGAUUCUGUCGUUUGAGGCCAGAUCCACAGGAACUGGCAGCCCGACUAUCCAUCCCUGGGAGGGGAUUUGAGCUUAAUGCAGAUGGGCUAUCAUUGAAGAUCUUGCAGAAGAAUUUGACCACUCUGGCUCAGACUUGGAGCAUUCUUUCAUUCUCCAACCUGGCCCCUACUUCUCACACUUUUAACAUCACACUGGAUAGGGCCAGGUUGAUCUACGGCAUCAUCCAGAAGAUGGACAUGAACUUGGGGUAUAUUAUCUCAAGUCAGAUUUCUAUGAUUGCACAACAUGACUCCUCUCGGCUGGGUUUCCCUGCACUCAUCACUACUUUAUGCAAGGCUAGAGGAGUCACUUCAGAUUCAUUGACUUUUGAGAGACUCAUUCCAGCCAUUAAUGUGGCUUAUGUGAAGAAAACCUACUGGAACCUUGAUGACCCCUUGGUCACUUUUUGGGGAACCCGAAAGACCAAGGGUAAGAGGUCGUAGGCUCCUUCAUCUUCUACUCUCCUGACCUCUGCUCCUUCUCCCGCACCAGCUUCAGCUCCCACUCCCUUACCAGCUCCAGUUCCUACAGGACCAUCUUGCUUUACUUCAGAGACAUUAUUCGCUAUGCUGCAAAGCCUACACAAAGGCCAGAUCAUCAUUGUGCAAAGAUUGCAGAGCUUAGUCUUAUAGCCUAUGAUGAGCGUGGAGGAGUUCCUUGCAUAGGUGGCUUGGCCAAGAGUCCAGCCUUCUCCUUCUGGAGGGGGUGAGGCCUCCGCAGCCAAGAGCCUGAGCUAGCAGAGGAGCAUGUGCUAGAAGAAGAGGAUGAGCUUGUUCCUCUUGAGCCAUUUAUCUUUGAGACUGAUCCAGUCGCUCAGGAGGAAGCAGCAACUCAGGAGCUUAUUCCUCCAAAUCCUGCAUCACUAGCACCCAUUACUGAUGAGCAUGCGGAGGAUCAUCAGCAGGAUGACCAGGAGUUUUAAAUUCUGCAUAUUUGAGCAAUUUAUUUUUAUCAGUUUAUUUAGUUUAUGAUUUAUGUUUCAGUUAUUUAAAUUUUAGUCUUUAAGUUCCAGUUCUUUAAAAUUCACUCUUUUAAAUUUCAGUUGUUUUAGUUGUUUUAGUUGUUUGUAGCUUGUACAAAAGCAUGAUUGAACAGUGAACUAAUUGAAUGUGAUUCGGUGGUUUGACUUUGUAUGAAAGGAAGUGUUUGUGAUUGAUUUGAAUGAGAAAUUAUAUGAAUUGAGUGGAUUGGAAUGUAUAGAUUUUUGUCUUGAGCAAGCUUGUAGUCAUUAAAAGAGAAAGAACAUGUGAUUAGAAUUAUGAAUGAAAAUGCUAGUCAGUUUGUCAGAUUGAUUGUGAAGAAAUGCAUUAAUUGUAACCCGGUGAGAGUGUGAUUCUUAUUUUUGAGAGAAAACGGCUAUCAUUAAGUACUGACUUUUGCAUGAAUCUCUUAAUUAUGGACUGAAUGCAUGAAUUUGAGGAUGAUGAAGGCCAUGUUUUGAUUGUGAUAGCCACUUAGCCAAAAAGCUGACCAUGUGCAUGAAUGAUUUAUCCCUUGCACCCAGUUUUGAGCUGAAUGAAUGUUUGAUUGAUUGAACCUUGAGCCUAUACAGUUUUAUCUCCUGCUACCUUGUCUUAGGUUGUAGGAGAGCAUCAUCCACAGAAAAGCUUAGUUCAAGGCAGAUUUGUCCCAAAUUUGGGGGAGUUAUAUGUCAAAAUAAAAUUGUCCCAAAUUUGGGGGAGACACUAGGUAAAGGAAUGAAAUGGUCGAAGCAGAGCAGCAUACACACACAGUUUUGGGUGUUCAAAAAUAGAAAAAAAAAAUUAAAAAAAUAAUAAUAAAAACUGUAAGUAUAAAUAAAAGUGUGUGUGCUGCAAAUCAAUGAAAUGAAAGUUGAGUGCCUAAAAAGGGGCAAGUAGUGGGUUGGGAAUUAAUAAAAGUAAAGGUUGAUCUAUGGAUGAAUGCUCUCCUAGAAUUUAAGCUUUUGAAUCCUAGAAAAACCAUGAUUUGUUGACAGCCUAAUCUCAUUACAAGCCUAGAAAGCCCUUUAGAUUCAAUUUGUGUAUUUAUUUUUGUAUGGCAUGAGAUGAAAUGCAAAGGUUGGGACUUAUGUUAGUUGUUUAUGAUGGAAUGAGCUUAAACACUUGUGCUUGAGUGAAACAAUGACUGCGAGGCUUUGGUUGAUGAUCCUUCCUUGAUCUCUGCCAUUCUUACUAGCUUAUUUUAGUUGUGACUCUAGUACAUAUGUUCCUAUCUUUGAAAAUCAACAUGUUUUGUGAAAGGACAUUGAUUGAAGCAUUCUAUGACAUUCAUUUCAUAUGAUUGAAUUUUUUUGUGAAACAAGCACUAUUUUGAUUAACCACUGUAUUUUGUCACUGAGGACAAGUGAACUGUUCUUUCUUUGCUUGAGGACAAGCAAAACUGUAAAUUUGCGGGAGUUUGUUAGUCAUCUUAUACGACUAACUUUUGUAUAGAAAACUUUUUCAAAACAUGUAUAGUUACCCCAAUUUAUAGUUCUUUUGUAGGAAUUUGUAAAUAAAUCUUGAUAUGUUAAGAUACCUAUCAUUAGAGUAUCUUUAAUUGGAAUUAAUGAUAAAAUCUGUACAAUUUCAAGUCAAAAGAGGCUAAAGUCUUGAAGUGCUAAAAGGAGCAGUCGCGCUAAGCAGAACCUGUGGGCUCAUCGAGCAUCUACCGCUAAGCGCAGCUUCAGCGCGCUUAGCAUGAUGAGAGAAUCUGGAAGAGCACAAGAAUUGAGGUCGUGCGCUAAGUGUGAGAUCAACUCGCUAAGCGAGACGUUCGUCUCUUGCCAGGCUCAGCGCACGACUGGCGCCAAGCCCAAAUCCACUUACUCGUGCUAAGCACGACGGUGGCGCUAAGUGCAACAUUGCGAUUUCCGAGCCUAUUUAAAGCCUGAUUUGUCAGAAUUAAGGUACAGAAAACAAUACCUCUACCAGAGCUGCAUACUUUUGCACAAAAUUCGAGAAGAGUACUCUGGAGGCAGCAGCUAAGCAAGGAAGCUAGGGUUCAUCACUUUGAGAGAUUAGAGAGUGUUUGAGUGACUGUGAGGUGCCAAGAAAAGGAGGAGGGAUCCCCCCUUCCUGUGUAAGCAACAAUUGCUCUGUACUUUCUGUCUCACUUGUAUUAGGGUUCCUUGUAUGGCUGGCUAAAAACCCUAGUUGGGGAUUUCUAAUGAACAGUUGAUGUAAUUACUUUUCAUAUCUAAUUAAUUAUGUUUUGUGUGUUCAAUGCUUAUUUCAAUGCUUAAUUACUGCAUGCUCUUGGUCUGAUCACCCACUUGUGUGUACUGUUAGGUGACUUUAGCAUUGGAAAAUGUAUUGUUGCCUUAGAACUUGAUAGAAGCAGGGCUAAAUAACUGCAUUACCAGGGAUGGAUUGCAAGGUUUUAGUUUUCUUAUUAUGUUGUGAUGAUAAUGCUGUUUAAGUUAAGCCUAAUCCAACAAGAGGGAUCUGAGGAUGAAGCUUGGGUUAAAUUAGUCUAAACUUACGAGGGAUCGAGGUUUAGUACUUUAGGCUUCAGCAUAGAACACAAGAACAUGAUCAAUUAAAGAAAUACCUUCAUAUGCAUCAACUCGUUUGUUAGAAAGACCCAACGCUUUUUACCUAUUACUGUCAACUUUUAAUUACUUGCAUUUACUGCUUUUUAACAUAGAAUCUAAUUUACUUUUGUUUCGAUUCACAAUUAUCAAUGUUUGCCUGCAUAAUGCCUAAUUCUGGAAUAAAACUCUGUCUAAUAAAAAAGUUCCGUGAGUUUGAUACUCGGAUCAUUCCGUUUUAAUUUUUAAUGCUUGAGGACCCAGUGUGCUUUCCGGUGUUUCAUUUCCCUUGAAUUUAAUGCUUGCCAAUUUGUUCCAGAAAGAGAAACCGUGUUGAAGUGUAAAUAAAAAUCACAAACAAACACAAAAACAGUGUGAUUAUUACACACUUGUAAUUUGUUUUCCUAAGUUUUUACAAAAUUUAGAUUCUUGUCAUCACACUGAAUAUUUGUUACCGUACGUGUAUUUUUGUAUAUAUAGAUUUCUAAACAUAAAAGUGAAAAAUCAUACAAAUGUUAGGUCAACUUUCCUGAACAUUGAAGAUAAGAACCAAGGAUUCAUCUGUUGUGUGUCAAUCUCUAAUCUUGAUCCAUAGUGGAGUUGCUCUCUCACGUGGAUGUAGGUCAUAUUGACCAAAUCAUGUAAACCUUAUGUAUUAUUUUUGGAAGACAAAUAAGGUAUAUUUAUAUUAAAUAUGUAAACCUUUUGUAUUGUUUUCUUCCUUUUUCUUUCUUGCUAAUUUUGUACUUUUUCGUUUUUAUUUCUCGGUUUUUUUUAUUCCAUAGUUACUGCAAUUAGAUCGGGCCGGGGGGCAAGCAGGGCUUUUGUCCCCCCUCCUCUUUCCUCAAAAAGAAAAUUUAAAAAUUUAAAAUAUUAAUAAAAGAAAAUAUAUUAAAAUAAGUUUUGAGUUGAUAUUUAUUUUAAAAUUUUCUAGUAAUAGAUCAUAUUUCUAAUUUCAUCUAAUAAAAUUAAUAAUUAAUAUUUUAAAUUUAUUAUUUGUUGGAAGUAAAAUAUUUAAAUAAUUAUGUAUAAAAGAAAUUUCGGCCUCCUUUAAUAUACUCCUGAUCCAUACUUUCUACAAUCUGCUGUUGUGUUUUUGUUGCCUCCCCUUCCUCUCCAUUAGGACCCUAUGUGUAAACACGAGGAAAAAAAUUAAAAUAAAAAUUAAAAAUAUUAAUAAAGAAAUAUAUAAGAAAAAUAAGUUAUGGAGUAGAUAUUUUUUCAAAAAUUUUCUAAUAGUGAUCAUAUCUCUAAUUUAUUCAGAAAAAUCAAUAAUUAAUAUUUUGAAACUUGCUAUUUAUUAAAUAAUUAUUUAUUUGAAGUAGAAUAUUGAAAUAAUUAUGUAAAAGAAAUUCCAACCCCCUUUAAUACAUUCCUGGGUCUAUCCCUGCUGCGAUCUGUUGUUGUGUUUUUGUUGCAAUCCUAAAUGAAAUUUUCUGCAUAAAUUACAUUUUCUGUCAUAUGCAUUUUGUUGUGUGCUUGGUUGCGGCUGUUUGGUUUUAUUUUGUGCAGGGAAUUUGGCUCCUCCUAUAGGUGUUGGACCAACAAUUUGUAUCAGUGUAUUCAUAUCAUGAUGCUAUAUGUGCAAAAUUAUAAUUUCCGAUAAUAAUAUUAAAGUUAUGGCCAAGAAAAAUAUACCAAAAUUUGAAAUCUUUUUAUUUGAUUAAAUGACUAAUUUUACAACAUGACAUCGUGACGUUGAAGAUCACAGAAGUAAAUGUGAUCACUGACUUAAUUAUGAUUUAAAAAACAAAAGAUUUUGAAUAUGAUUAAUAAAGUUGAAUGCUACGAUAUAUAGAGAUUAACUACAAGUUUAAAGGAAUAAAAAAAAGUGAUAUAAUUAUAAUGUGAUAAGAAAAAAAUUGUUUUUGUGAAGAAUAAAACUGAGAGGUUUGUAAAAGGUAUUAAUUGAGUGGUUAAAAAAAUCAAUUCUCAACAUACACUCUCUGUUUUAUUUUUUUCAUAUACUUUUCUACUUUAUUUUCUUAUGUAUGAUUGUUUCUUAUGUAAAAAUUAAGGUGUUUAAUUUUAUUUAAAAAAAAACAUGUUACAAAAUAGUUUGGCCAAACUGCGACAAGAUAAGCUCAAACAAAGCAUUGCGAAAAGUAAAUCUUCCUGUAGCGACUUGUUUAAUUAAGGAGUCAAUACCAAGUGCUAGCUUUGUGUAAAAAUGAUUCUAAACAAAUAUUAAUGUAUAGAUAAGCUUACGCACGAGGCAACAGUGUUUGAUGAUGGCAAUGAAUAUAUAAUUGAGUAUAAUGAUUAAAGUUGGAUAUAUCAAUCUAUAGUUUACUUGGAUAUAUGGUGAUUCUCCCUAAAAAAGAUAUAUGAUGAUCAAUUACUACGUAAAAUAUGAUUAAUUUUAUUUUAAAGUAAUUAAAAAAUAUAAUUAACUACUUUUAAUGCAUUAUUAACUAUUAUUAAAUAGAAAGAAAUAAUUAUAUAAUGUAAAAACCUUUAUAAAAUCAUCCCAUUAUAAUUUAUAUAGGAUAAGUUAAUUAUUGAGUUUUAAAAUAAUUAUCUUGAAUUAAUUAAAAUAAUUUAUAAUUAAAUAAAAAUAUAAACUUAGUUUACACUUUCAAUAUAUAUAUUAAACUUUAUUAAUUUAAGAAUAUGAUCAUAUUUAUAAUAGUUUAUGAUAAAAAAUGAAUUCUCAUUAAACAAUUCAAUAAUUAUAUACAUCACUAAACGAAGUACACCUCACAAUACCAAAGACAUACGCAGACAAAUGAAAACAUUGAGUGACACUUUAUCCGCAUUAAUCUUUAGACACAAAAUCUAUGAAUCAAACAAAAAACAACAAUGUCUUCCAUCCACAUAAAUCAAUCGGAGACACCAACAACUUAUUUUCCAAAUCGAAAUUUUUUUGAGUUUUAUUACAAGAAAAUUCAUAUCCAAUCUGGUAAAUCGUGGCUCAUAUCCUGAUCCUAUAUGUGCAAAAUUUUAAUUUCUGAUAAUAAUAUUAAAGUUAUGGCCAAAAAAAAUAUACCUAAGUUUGAAAUCUUUUUAUUUGAUUAAAUGACUCAUUUUAUAACUUGACAUCGUGCCGUUGAAGAUCACAAAAGUAAAUGUGAUCAGCGACUUGAUUAUUAUUAAAAAAAACAAAAUAUUUUAAAUAGGAUUAAUAAAAUUGAAUGCUACGAUACAUAGAGAUCAACUACAAAUUUAAUGGAGUAAAAAAAAAAAUACACGCAUUUAAAGGAGUCAGUUUUUCAAAUUCUAGAUUUGUGUAAAAAAGAAAAGGAUAACAUUAAUUGGUGAAAAAUCACUUCAAUGUAGAGAUAGAAAGAGAAGAGAAAUAAAAAGUGAUAUAAUUAUAAUGUGAUAAGAAAAGAAUUGUUUUUGUGAAGAAAAAAACUGAGAGGUUUGUAAAAGGUGAUAAUUGAGUGGUUAAAAAAAAUCAAUUCUUAACAUACACUCUCUGUUUUAUUUUUUUCAUAUACUUUUCUACUUUAUUUUCUUAUGUGUGAUUGUUUCUUAUGUAAAAAUUAAGGUGUUUAAUUUUAUUUAAAAAGAAAAACAUGUUACAAAAUAGUUUGGCCAAACUGCGACAAGAUAAGCUCAAAUAAAGCAUUACGAAAAGUAAAUCUUCCUGUAGCGACUUGUUUAAUUAAAGAGUCAAUACCAAGUGCUAGCUUUGUGUAAAAAUGAUUCUAAACAAAUAUUAAUGUAUAGAUAAGCUUACGCACGAGGCAACAGUGUUUGAUGAUGGCAAUGAAUAUAUAAUUGAGUAUAACGAUUAAAGUUGGAUAUAUAUCAAUCUAGUUUACUUGGAUAUAUAGUGAUUUUCCCUAAAAAAGAUAUAAGCUGAUCAAUUACUACGUAAAAUAUGAUUAAUUUUAUUUUAAAGUAAUUAAAAAUGUAAUUAACAACUUUUACUGCAUUAUUAACUAUUAUUAAAUAGAAAGAAAUAAUUAUAUAAUGUAAAAAGCUUUAUAAAAUCAUCCUAUUACAAUUUAUAUAUGAUAAGUUAAUUAUUGAGUUUUAAAAUAAUUAUCUUAAACCAAUUAAAAUAAUAAUUUGUGAUUAGAUAAAAAUAUGAAAUUAAUUUACACUUUAUUAAUUUAAGAAUAUGAUGAUAUUAUAUAAUCGUUUCUAAAAAAAAUGUAUUAUCAUUAAACAAUUCAAUAAUUCUAUAUAUACCACUAAACGAAGUACAACCCACAAUAUCAAAGGCAUACAGACAAAUGAAAAUAUUGAGUGACGCCUCAUCCGCAUUGAUCGCUAGACACAAAAUCUUUGAACUGAACAAAGAAAAACAAUGUCUUCCAUCCACAUAAACCGAUUGGAGACAUCAACAACUUAUUUUCCAAGUCAAAUUUUUUUUAGAUUUUAUUGGGUGAAAAUUCAUAUUCGAUCUAGUAAAUCGGGACUCAUACCUAAGUUUGUAAUCUUUUUAAUUGAUAAAAUGACUCAUUUUAUAACUUGAUAUCGUGCCGUUGAAGAUCACAAAAGUAAAUGUGAUCAGUGACUUGAUUAUUAUUAAAAAAAACAAUAUUUUAAAUAGGAUUAAUAAAGUUAAAUGCUAUGAUACAUAAAGAUCAACUACAAAUUUAAAGAGUAAAAAAAAAAUAUACGCAUUUAAAGGAGUCAGUUUAUCAAAUUCUCGAUUUGUGUAAAAGAGAAAAGGAUAACAUUCAUUUGGUAGAAAAUCACUUCAAUGUAGAGAUAAAAAGAAAAGAGAAAUAAAAAGUGAUAUAAUUAUAAUGUGAUAAGAAAAGAAUUGUUUUUGUGAAGAAAAAAACUGAGAUUUGUAAAAGGUGAUAAUUGAGUGGUUAAAAAAAAUCAAUUUUUAACAUACACUCUGUUUUAUUUUUUUCAUAUACUUUUCUACUUUAUUUUCUUAUAUAUGGUUGUUUCUUAUGUAAAAAUUAAGAUGUUUAAUUUUAUUUUUUUUAAAAAAAACAUGUUACAAAAUAUUUUGGCCGAACUUCGACAAGAUAAGCUCAAAUAAAGCAUUACGAAAAGUAAAUCUUCCUGUAGCGACUUGUUUAAUUAAGGAGUCAAUACCAAGUGCUAGCUUUGUGUAAAAAUGAUUCUAAACAAAUAUUAAUGUAUAGAUAAGCUUACGCACGAGGCAACAGGGUUUGAUGAUGGCAAUGAAUAUAUAAUUGAGUAUAAUGAUUAAAGUUGGAUAUAUCAAUCUAUCGUUUCUUUGGAUACAUGGUGAUUCUCCCUAAAAAAGAUAUAUGAUGAUCAAUUACUACGUAAAAUAUGAUUAAUUUUAUUUUAAAGUAAUUAAAAAAUAUAAUUAACUACUUUUAAUGCAUUAUUAACUAUUAUUAAAUAGAAAGAAAUAAUUAUAUAAUGUAAAAAAUUUUAUAAAAAUCAUCCGAUUAUAAUUUAUAUAUGAUAAGUUGAUUAUUGAGUUUUAAAAUAAUUAUCUUAAACUAAUUAAAAUAAUAAUUUAUGAUUAGAUAAAAAUGUUUAUCUUAAAAAUAAUAAUUUGAUUUGGCCACAACCAGGUUAUCGUUGGUGAGUUUUCACUUUCCAAAACCAAAGAGGUUAUCAUAACCAACAUCAUCAAGUACAUGCAUAGAGAUCAAAUUGAAGCAAACAUCCGGACCAUGUUUUCCUCCUCUAAGUAACAACUUCAUGUUAGUUUGCAAACAAACAUCACCAACACCAAUCACCUUGGACACACGAUUAUUACCCAUCUUCAAGACUCUAAAAUCACCUGGAGUGUAAGAUGUGAAGAACUCCUUCCUAAUUGUAAUAUGCAGUGUAACACCACUAUCAAUUAUUAACAUGCUCUCAUCAAAUACAAGAUAAAGCGAAUCAGGGUCAUGGAUAAUAACAAGAUCAUCACUGGUAGUAAUAGUCACACAGUCAUCAUCAUGAUCUUUCUCUUUUUGCUUACCGUUCUUGUCUUUACUCUCCUUCUUUCAUAGAAAACAGUUCCUCCGAAUAUGUCAUGUUCUGUGACAAUAAUGACACUCAAUGUUCUUGUAUCGAGACCUAGACUUUCUUUCGCUCUUGUCUCUAUCACCCUUCAUAUGUGCCUCCAUCAUUCAAGCAAAUAGAAAAACAGCCCCUUAACCAAAGAGCUCUAAUACCACUCGGAUGGGAAAAAUAGGCCUACACAAUAACAAACUCCAUAACAGAGUAAUAAGCAGCAGAAAUAAGGAAAAAAAAAGACACAAUUUGUUUAACGUGAAAAACUCCUCAAUGCAAGGGUAAAAACCACGGGUCGUUCAGAUCAAAGAAAUAACUCUACUAUAAUCAAUAAAGAUACAAGAGAACCACCAACAAAUGCACUAAAAUGUGUUACAAACAGUCAAAUCAAAAUAAACCCUCAAUUGAUACGAUAGAGACAAGAAGAUAAAGCCCCAAAAUAUAAAACAAAUAAUGCGAAACACUUAUCUCUCUACAUAUAUCUUUUUCCUAAUCCAACCAGACAGACAAUUUGAAGUAUCACACGCGUAGAACCUGCUGUUCAAAAAUCAAUCUGAUCCAACGGUGAACAAAUCCGCAGUUGCAAUUUGAAAAUUACUCUAUGGUGGGUAUGCGAAAAUCACAAUGAUUUUCCCUCUCUUUCUUUCUCUCUCAAUGAUUGGUAACUGUAUUCCCUCCCAAAUGAAUAUCUCUCACUUUAUCUCACUUUCUAAUCUGACCCUUCUCGACUUAAAUAAAUGAGACAUAUAAACUUUCCCAUUUGAGUUUUUACUCCACAUAAGAAAGAAGCCAAAAAAUCCACCAGUAAUAAUCACGUAUCCAUAGUUGUACGUAAUGACAUUCAGUUACUAUCUAUUAUUUGUUAAAUAAAAUUAACUAUAUUUACACAUUUACGAAAUCAUGUCCCUGUAUGACAGUAAGUAAUCUCAUUAGAAUGUUAACCACUUUUUUAAGACAGAGUUCAUUUACUACAUAUCAAUACUUGUAUAUAAUUUUCACGCUCAUUCACUACUCUUAACAAAUUAAGAGACACAAUUAAUCACAUUUAUAAAAAGUUAAUAAUAUUAAGUGUGAUAGGUGGACACGAGAGUAGAAUUUCCGGUUGUGUAUCACUCAAUCUUUUUUCUUGAAUAUUUUUUUUUACAAUAUUAUUGAUAUGAAAUAUUCCUCAAUUUUUGUUAAUGAAUUAUCUUUAUAAAAAACUUAAGUAAUCAUCUAUAGUGAUCAAGUCAAAAACUUAUUUUUAAGGAGAUCGAGUCAAAAUAGUAUUCUAAUCAAUGAUUUGUUGGUAUCUUUUGCCUUGAGUGUAACCAUUAUAAAAGGCUACUACCCUGCUCUAGUUUCUGUACCAAUAUUAUCCAAAUUCGUGAGAGCUAAUUCAAUCAAAAUGUCUCCCAAAUACAAGCUAGUGCUGUUGAUAGCAUUGGUUUUGGUUGCAACCUCCCUUGCUGGUCGCACAAAGGAACAUCCUAAGCAUCCUCCAUCCCUUCAAGAACAACAACACACCCCACACCUUGAUAGCUACCCGCCAAAGCAUAGACCGAAACCACCUCAUCCUGUACAUGGUGCCGGGGAGGAACCAACCUCCAUUCCACGAAAGAAGGGACCAAGAAGGCCUCCGAACUGAUGAGUGAGUCAAAGGUUUCAGAUUGCCUCAAAUGGUUUAACUUUGACUCGAUCUCUACCACCACAACAUCACGAUAUGUUGUUACAAUCAUAAUCGCAAUUUGAAACCUUGGGCUAGCUAAAACUAUUUUAAUAUAAAGUAUUAAUGGUCACUGCUACAUGAGCGUCUAUGAUUAAAUAAAAAGUAGGGAGUUUGAACCCAUGUAAUACCAUGUUGUGAGGUUCUCCCUCUUUGUGUGUGCUUUAAAUUUUCACAU
Molecule: long non-coding RNA, 191879 nt
Filed under: Glycine max (soybean)
Lineage: Eukaryota; Viridiplantae; Streptophyta; Magnoliopsida; Fabales; Fabaceae
Description: long non-coding RNA (GMAX_LNC003527)
Source: RNAcentral